AAAGUAUUUGAGCUUGGGACAAUUAUAGAGUUCCAAUGAAGUGAGGUUUUGAAGAUCAACAAUUGAAGAAGAUAGGCGUUCCAGAUUUGGAAAAUUGGAAAUCCACAGAGAUGUUAGAGAGGCAGGAAGAGGAAGCGCAGUCCCCAAUCUUAUGUCCCCUGGCUCUGGUGGAAAUGAAUAGUACUCAUUUAUGUUAUCCAAUCUCAUUUCCAAGGGCAGUUGAUGCCAUUUUCAAGGGCAAAUGCAAUUGGAAAUAUGUAAUUUUUGGUUUUAUAGGGAUUAUUUCCGAGGGCAUUUGAUGCUGAUGGUGUUGUUGUUGAAAAUAAAUUUUUCGCCGACGACCCAUCGAAAAUUGUGCUUUUUCAAUGCGACUUAAUACGAUGACAGUCGACUACAUGACUUUAUUGGAAAUGAGUUUUUCCAAGGGCGUUUGUAUAUUUCCGAGGGUAUUUGUCCAAGGAAAUAGCCAUUAUUCUUGUAGUGAAUGUUAGAAGUUAAGGAGCCCUCCAAAUUACAGAAGAAACUCGAUAAUCUCGAUAAGACUAAUGUUGAAAAUAUGUUAUCCCUUACUUUAAUAAUUGAAUUAUUCUAAUAUCAAAAAAUUUCUAUAUAUGUAUAGAGACUCGAUAAAAGUAAUGCUGAAAAUAUGUUAUCCCUUACUUUAAUAAAUUAAGGGAUCUUUUGUUAGAAAAUUUCUUUCAUUUAAUACAAAUUAACGGAUAAUUUAAAAAAAACAUAUUUUAAUAUACGAUAAGAAAAUAUAUAAUAUCAGAGCGUGUGUUUUUCUUACCUUCAAGCUUGACCCUAAAUCAUUUUAUAUAUAUAAAAUAUAUAAUACACUAUUAGAGUGUAUGUUUUACUUGCCUUUAGUUUACCCCUUACUAGAUAAUGACUCUUAUACUUUAUUUUAACUUAAUUUUUUAUAUAAAUUUUGAGUUAAUGGUUUAGUGCAAUUUAAUUGUAGAUAUUAAAAAUCAAAUUAGCAUUUAAUGAUGCCACUUCAUCCACUAUUCAAUUGCAUGAGAUUAAUGACUCAAAAUUUAUGUAAAGAACUUAAGUCAAAAUUUCAAGUUGAAAUAUUGCUCCUUAUAUUAUAUAUAUAGCGAGGGCAUUCUCACUUUAAUUAACAAAUAAAAAAGAUAUAGUUUUUAAUGUAUUGACAUUUAUUUUUUUAAUUUUAGUGAAAUUCUUAUUUUUAGUAAAGUGAGGAUAUUCUUAUUUUGUAUAUGUGCGUGUGCAUAUGCGCGGGUGCAUGUAUGUUUUUGUUGCCAAAAGAGUACAUGUUGAGUGGAAAGGUACAAUUAUAUCGAACAAACCACCAGACUAGAUCGAUUUUUUCUACUAGCACUAAAUAAUUAUUUGAAACAACUAAAUAAUUAUUUAAUUAUGUUUCAAAUAAUUAUUUAAUCAUGCCCUUAAUUAAGAAAUAUACAGUAUUAAAAAAACUUUAUUUUAACUAGUGGAAAAGAACAAUAUUAUUUGAAUUGGUCUUGGAGAAUGGUAGGUGAAUGAUGCCAAAUUAAAUUUGCGCGAAUAAUCCAAAAUCAUGUGAGACUUGCUCAAUUAUAGCAUCACGUGUCCUACACUAUAAUUAAAGCAAAUGAAAUCUGUGACAAUAAAUAUGUAAUCAAGUAGCCGGUCCAAGGCCAAGUUGUCAAUUAUUCGAACCAAAAAAGUUGGAUUUUGACAAGACAUUACAUAUAAUACAAGAAGCUGCUGGCAUCUUCCAAACAAGCUCGGAAAAGCAGUUAGUAAGACUUGUACACAGGAAAAAAGCAUGGGAAAUAAUAAUGUGAUGGGAUUGGGAGGCGCUGUCUUGGCAGCGAUCAUAGCUAUGAUGAUACUCUUCUUCACCGCAAAUCAAUCUUGUGCUGCAGGCAACGGCACCAACAUUAAUAAUUUCCAUACUGAUCCUGAUGUGUUGUUUUUUCAUGAUGAUCCGGAAUUGGAGUUACCUGCUGCUGUAACAAACGUAUUGAAUCCCUCCAGUCUACCAUUCGGUUGCGGAAGAGGCGUAAAUUAUCGCUCUUGUACCCCUAAUUCCCAGAAUUCCAAAAAGGGUGAACAUUGCACACCUGCCCCUGGCAGCACGUAUCCCCCAGCCAAUCGAUUGUGCUAGCUAGCUAAUGAUACAUCUUUAAUCUCCAAUCUUCAUCUUUAUCCUGAACUAUGCCAUGAUGUGGGUUUAUUCUGCUUGCAUGUUGUAUUUAAUUUAUAUAAGUAGCUAUAAUUAAUUAAUAAUCUCUCUUUCCCUUCCUUUCUCAAUUCUAUAUCUCUCCAUAUAUUAUUAGUUAUUAAGCCUUAUGUUUGUACUGCUGCAUCCAUGCAUUUGUAUUAAUAAAUUAAUUAAGAUUUCUAAUUUAAUUCGUAUUGAUUAAUUUGUUGUUAAAUUAGCUAGGUUCCACCAUUUUCAUUAUAUCAUUCAUAUUCACUCGUUUCAAUUAUACCAUACCCUUCCAGAGUUUGUUUCUUUUCCAUGUGCGUACGUAUUAAAAGCCCGGAGAAGUAAUUAAUUAAUCAAUUAACUAUUAAUGGCAUUUUAUAUCGAGCUGGACCUACUCUUAAUUACCAGCCUCUUGAAGGGAAACCGGUCACAAUAUAAAUCAAACAACUGAACGUACACCUUCAUUAGAUUUCCAACCAAUGCCUUUGUAAGUAACAUUCAUUGAUUUAUCUGCUCCCUAGUACCCGCCUUAAUUGAUUGUUACGACAACAUCAUCCCAAAUAUUUUAAUUACAAUUAUAUAUGUUAGCCUUUUUUUCCUUAAAUAAAUAAAAUUACACAGAGACACAGAUACAAUUAAUGUGGCGUAUGGGAGGAUAUUGGUUGAAACUUGGAAGUAAUAUCAGUUAAUUCAUACCACCAUUCUUUUAAUAUCCAACCUCUAUCUUCAGUUCUUCACGAAUAUGAAAUCUAUUGCUUUCUUUCAUUCACUUUGUGUGAUAUAAUGUCUCGCAACCUUAGCCCAUUGUUUGAGAAGUUAUCUCAGUUAAAGUAGCAGUUGAGACUUGAACGGGAACUUUGAAGUUCAUGCAAGUGUUGUUCAUGUACCAAAUAUACAUCGAGCAAACAUUUGACCAACGGAGCUACAUCUAAGUAAGAGAGCACAUAGAGCACUAGGGAGCUUUUGAUGACUUGGCUCCAAUAACGCCGGUUAUUUAUACAUGGAGAAAUUAUACAUAUACAAGAUAUAAUGGGAAAUUUUCUGUCAUUUUGAUUUUUACCCCGGUGGUUUCUCCAUAAUUUACAAUUUAUUAUUAAAUUAACGGUAUAUAAGUUAUUUUACCUAAUUUAUAUUCUCAAAAUAUUUAAAUUUUAUAAAAAUAAACUAAUGUCCUAAUUAAGCUUUUUAUUUUUUUUUUCUGCUUGACAAAUUUAUAAAGACGUCAUUUUUAAGAAGGAAACAAUUUCUCUUCAUCUUUUUACUGCUUGAUCGGAACUCGGGGAUUGAAAAAAGAAAAGGAUUGAUGUUGAAGGAAAGAAUUGGGUAUAGAAAUAAAAUUGUGUUCUUUUACAAAGUUAUUAAAAGUCAAACUUAAUGAAUUUAAUUGCUAAUAAUUAGGUUACAAUAUACAAUGAAAUCUUAAGCUUUCAAAUUUUUUUGCCCUAGAAAUUAACUUUAUAACUACAUUAUUGAAAGCUCAAGAAAAAUUAGAAGAGGGAAAACUAGAAGAGAAUCCAAAUCCUACUCUUAUUAAUUAAUUAUAAUAUUUCUUUUUUAAAUGAAAUCCAAAAUUUUCCUCCUUUUUUCCCCUUUUUAAAUAUGCAAAACUUAAAAACCGGGCAUACUCUGUGUAUAUUUCUGUAAAAUCGUCGUUCAUUAAGAAAAUUUCUUAAUCUAAUUAGGUAACUUUAGGGUUUGUGACUGCAACCAAUAAAAAGAAAAAGAAUCAAAAGGACAUCUUUUAUUUGUAAACACACAUCAAAUCUCUUUUAUCAAUCAAAUUCUUUUGAUUAUUAAUACAAGAGGCUACAUAGCAUAUUCCAUUUUCUCCCUCAGCUAAAAUAAUGAAGUUAAUUUGUAAAUCUAAAUCCUGUUACAAAUUGUUUUACUUAUUAACAGCCGGAAAUUAAGAAAGUUAGAUCUCCAGGCUCCGCUGGAUUUUAUCAAUGCUGCAUUACUAAAAAUUCCUGCAAAGGACACAUAAAUUGCUGCAAUGGAGAUCUUUACAAAGGAUGUGAACAUUGCUGUGUUGGAUAUAAAAUGCAAGGGAUAUGAAUGUAAAUAGCGAUCGUUUUCAUUUCUGUUUAGCGUUUCUGCUUUUCCAAGGUUGGUAAAUGGAGAGUAAAGAAACAGCAGAUCACCGAAGAGGAUUCACUAACGUUAGUUAAUUUAGGGGUUUCCUCGAGAUUACACCUUUUGUUGAGCUGAAUGUGUGAGGCAGUCCGACUUUUUCCUUCUGCAAUGUGAUUGCUGCUUCAUUCCAUUUGAGUUGUUCGGGUGGGACUAAUUGCUCAACUUCAAUGGAGGAAUAUCAGGCAUAUCGGCAAUUAAGCUGUAUUAAAUACUGAAGAUAGAAAGUCUUGUUGGGCAUAAGACGAAUGAAAAACACUUGUUCUUGAACACCUUUUCAUAGUUUCAAAUAGAAGUGAGAGAGAAGUGAUGCUAAAAAGGCUGCCAAACUUAAUAUUUUUCUACGAGAAUUAUGUUUCAUGUGGAACCGAUUUUUGUUUCGUGAUCUUGUUACAUUCUUACCUCUUUGUUCAUGGAUUGAUUGGUACAUGUGUAUUUUCAAAUCAAAAGUUUUCAUCUUAUGAACUUGCAUCAUCUUUGUCCUCUUCUUUCUCUCCUCUAGGAUGAGCAAUAAUGAAAUUCAUUGAUUUGUCAUUGUUUGAUUUAUGAUAAGCGGAUUUCUCAUCCUACAAAUUUUUUCGGCCAAAUAUGUUAUUAAAUACUGUAUCUUCGCUGGUAGUAUUUCGAGAAAUAGCAUUUGCUUAUGAUUUGACUUAACAAACAACAUCCAGUCCGCUUAUAUUAACCCUGCUGUGUUUUUUUUUUUCACAAUAUCUGUUUCUAUUCUUUGUUGAGGACUUUUGUGAAUCUGUGAUACGAGCUGACAGAAUGGUUGCAUCCAAAUUUAAUAUGAGAAAACAGAUCCUCUAGCCUGUCCGCUUAACAUGUUAGGAAAUUGAGCUUCCUCUCAAGAUCACUCCAAGCAAUUUAUCAAGUAACAAAUUAAUAGAAAAAAUUAAAUGGAGAAUACACCAAUCACACAACACAAGAUUUACCUAGAAAACUCCAAAUCCGGAGAAAAACCACGGCCGUUGUCGAGAGACAACCAGAGAAAAAUAUUCACUAUGUGGAAAAUUAUUACAACCACUCUCCGAAAUAAAUUUCUCUCACCCAAACCCCAAAUACAUAAUUAUGAGAAAUAUCCCUUAAUAAAGCAAACCCGUAAUACCAAUAUUGAGGAGCCAAAUGCUCCUUCAAUAUAACUACAUACUUAAGAAUAUUUUUAUCUAUCAAUUCUCACCAAAAUUUGGAUCGCUUCUCUGGGAUUUGGAUACCUGGCUUUCAAAUGAGAGCUUCCCUUUUAUAGGAAAAUUUUUGCCUAAAAUCAAGCCAAUUUUUCAACAUUCAAUAGCCACCAUUUCAAUAGUUUUGAUCACUUCCAAUUGCUUAUCAAACUUCUUGACUAUCUCCAAAUUGAAUUCAAAUGAUAUCUUCCAAAUUGACUUUUCAACUCUUUUUUUUUUUAAUCAAUUUUCAACAUAACACGGAUAGAAUAUUAAUAAAAAGAAUGAUUUUCCUUUUUAAGCUUCUAUGUCAAAUUACACAUGCAAAAUGAUAAGAAUCCUUUUUCCAUUUGUAUGUAUUUUGGAGGAGGCACGUCCACGAGUUCACCAUACUGCAAUUUUUAAUUAAUUCUAUUUAUUUCUCAAAUUACUUUUGUUAAAAUUAAUUUAUCUCUGUUGUUUCUCAUUUCCUCUUCUCAAUAUAUUUGAACACUAAUGGUGUGUUUUUUUAUCAGCAACUGGAAUGAAAAUUUGGAAAUCGGAAUCAAUGAUGCAUUUAUUUACAAAAUUCAGGCCUGGAAUCGAAAUAAAAAAUAGUGUCGGGACUAUAGAUUUUGGUAAUCAUUAGCAUAGUUUUGAUUCCUAAGGGAGGGCCUGGGAAUUAGAAUCUAAUUUCUAGAAUUAUUCAUUUUACUCCCAAUAAAUUUUCGUAAUCUCUAAAUUGACCCCAAUUAAAAUUUGACAUUUUUGCAUUUUAAUUCCUAUAGAAUUUAUGAAAAACUCAAUUUUUUUGUAUUAUUUACAAAUAAGUCCUUCGUUGGUAAUAAUAAUAAUAAUAACAACAACACAAAUAAUAUUAGUAUUAUCAUCGUCAUUAUUAUUAUUAUUUAUUAACAUCAUUAUUAUCAUUAAAAUUUAUUAAUUUUAUUAUUUUAAUUGUUAUUAUUUAUUAUUAUUAAUUAUAUUAUUUAUUAUUAUUAAUAUGAUUAAUGUCAUUAAUUUAUUAUUAUUAUAAUUAAAAUUAUUUAUUUUAUUUUUAAUUAUUAUUAUUGUCAUUAAUUUCAUUAUUAUUAUUAUCAUUAAAAAAAAUUUACAAUACAAAAAUUAUCCAAUCAAUAAAUAAUUACUAUUGAAGGCAUUUAAUAAUGUCACGCAUACAUUGUAUAUCCAGAAUAUCUUCUUAAAUAUAAAUUACUAGUCAUCGGUAACGUAUAAAUAGAAAAACUAGAAUUAAAACCUUUUAGAAUUGUAAGUAGCUAGAUUUCAUUAAAAAAUUCAAAAAUUAAGGGUCUUCACUAAAAUUUAACCUAUAUAUCUAUGUGAAAUUUGCGUUUCGGCUCUUGGCUCCUUGGUUUGAAAAAAAAAAAAAAAUUAAAAAUGAGUAUCUGCAAAUUGAAAAAAUAGUGCAUUCACCUUUUAAAUAGAUUUUAAACAUAGUCGAUCUGUCUAAUAAUUAGUACCUGCUCUCGCUUGUAUUAAUCAUGGCUAAGUUUCCACCCAAAAAAUUCCUACUCAAACAAUAAAACCAAUAAAUUACAAAAGAAAAAAAUAAUCCGUAUUGUUUGUUGUUUGUUUUAUCGUGGCUUUGGUUCUCUGCAACGUUAUUUGAGUUCUUUGCAAGAAUUAGCUCACCACUAUGUGGAGCUUGUUUAAGAAAAAUAUUGAAGAAGAGACAGCAUAAUUAAGUUAACAGUAGAUAUAUGGCUAGGCAAACUUAAUCGAUAUUAAAAUAUUGAUACACAACAAUUUUAUUUAUUUAUUUUCCUUCUAGGCAAACAUGGUACAUGUGAACAGCUAGAUAAAGAGAAUCUCUUAUAUAUAUCAAGAGAUCUUACAAGUUAAAUUAAUUAAAACAACCUAAGACACUCAUACAAUUGACGGAUAAUAACAGUAUCCAUCCUUUUAUUUCCUUAAACAUAACAUAAGAGAGUAACACGGCAUGUACUUAACCACUAUGGUAAGGGUUUCUUCCAUUUUGCGAGACCACAAGAAGAUCAAUAUUUCCAUUAAUUUCAUCAUCAGCAAUAAGUGAAAAAAAGGGGUUAACUGGAAGCCCCUCCGACCAAUCGUUAUAACCUGAAAAAUUCAUGUUAUAAAACUUAAUCACAAAUACACAUAUUAAAAUACGAAUUAUAAAUGAUAUUUAAUUGAAAAUGCAUGGCCUAUAUAUAUACCCGGGCAAGGAGUUUCCAUAAUCUUCAAAUCAGAAAGGCAAAAGAUUUCUGUUGGCUUCGAGUGAAUUGUAUUCACAACUCAAAAGGUAAGUAGUUGUGCUCGACCGAGUUCUUAAUUCUGGUUUGAUCUGAUAUAUAUAUAGAUCAACUGGCCGACACUACAGUGAGAACGUAGCAAAUAAACAAGUGAUGCACGGUAAAAUAAUGUAUCAACGGUGGCUCUAUAUAGCUAAAUUAUUGCACGUGCGAAACAGGGUCCAAAAAAUAAAUAAUUCUAAAUAAGAAGACGAACUGACGAUCAAAGCAAUAACACUAACCAAUAAUGCAUGGUAAGGAUAACAUAUCAUAUAUAUUAACGGCUAUGUACGUUUCAAUUAAUGGAUCCACGAAAUAAAUAGUUGUACAUAAUAAAUCAAGCAAAGUAGACGAUUAUUAUUAUGGUUGUUGCAAUUUGUGUGAUCAAAUAAGAUCAAUCAACACCAAACUGCAACCCAAGAUCUUCAUAUCAAACCAAACAAGAUGCUCACAAGAUUUGAUUAGGGCUAAGUUUAAUCAACCAGAAACACAAAUGAAAAACUAAAUUGAGUAAACAAAGAAUCAAGAACAAGACGAUUUAACGUGGUUCAGCUGAUUUACAUCAGCCUACAUUCAUGGAGAAACAAUAUGAUCAGCUUUUAUUAAUUUGCAAGGAAUACAACCAAGCUUUAUAGAGCACAGUGCAGAGAUCAAGAAGUCAAUCUAACUGAUCCCAACUUCUCUCUUUCUCUCUCAAAAUACUUUCUCUUUCUCUAUAUUAGAAUCAACUGUUUUAACGGCUCUUUAAUUGAUUUCAUGAAGCCUAGAAGCUCACGCAUUGUGCACGUGAGAAUAACAACCUUUAACGACUUGGCUUAAGCACGUGAUGGGCUUGUGACUUACUAAAGCUGAAACGACAUCUCUAGAGGUCGUUUAAGAGAUUAUUGAUGACACCCAUCAAAACGCUUCUUUUUAUGUUGUUUCACUUAUACGAGUUCUUCCUUAAAAUGCAACAAUCCCAUGUCGUAUUGGUCAAUUCUGAUUUGCUUCAUCAGCUACUUCAACAAUUCUCCACCUUGAACAAAUCAGCCUGAUCAACAUUGUUCCUCUCCCUAUGUGUGUCAGCAACCACACAAGCCAACCAUGUUCAAGUGGAACUUGAGAUUGGCUGUUGAAACCACUUUUGUUAUCAUGUCAGCAAGGUUACUGUCUGUAUGGAUUUUAAUCAUUUUCACCACCCCUUUUGACACUCAAUUUCUUAUAAAAUGUAGCUUUAUAUUUAUAUGUUUCGUUUUUUCAUGAUGAGCUGGGUUCUUGCUCAGAUAGAUUGGGCUUGAACUGCCACAGAAUACUUCAACAGACUUCUGAGUUAAUCCCAGUUCUGCCAUUAGACCCUUCAACCACAAAGCUUCUUUAACUGCUUCUGCAGCAGUAGUAUACUCAGCCUCUGUUGUUGACAAGGCAACAACAUGUUGUAGACUUGCUUUCCAGUCAAUCAAGCAGCCAUUGAACAUGUACAUGUAGUUGUUAAUGAUCUCCUUCUAUCCAAAUCUCCAGCAAAGUCAGCAUCAACAAAACCACAUAUUCCUUUGCCUUUCCCAUUUGAUCUGCCAUAGACUAAUCCAUAUUCAAGUGUGCCUUUCAGGUACCUCAAUAUCCAAUUUACAACUUUCCAGUGGUCCUGUCUAAGUGAUGCCAUAUACAUGUUUACCACACUGAGAGCAUGUGAAAUAUCUAGCCUAGUCAAGACCAUUGCAUACAUCAUACAUCCUACAACAUUUGUAUAAAGGACCUUUGACAUUUCAUCCUUCUCCUUAUCUUACUUUGGACAUUGUAAGCUUGAGAGCUUAAAAUAUGCAGCAAGUGGGGUUUUCACAGACUUACAAUCUGUCAUGCCAAAAUUUCCAAGCACCUUUUCCAGAUACUUCCUUUGUGUAAGAAACAUAAUUCCUUUCUCCAUGUUCCUUAUGAUUUCCAUUCCUAGGAUUUUCUUAGCUUGACCCAAAUCCUUUAUGUCAAAUUUAGAAUUCAACAGCUGCUUCAAAGCUUCAAUUUCAGCUCUAGACUUACAAGCAACCAACAUAUCAUCUACAUAUAAUAACAAAUAUAUGUAGAUAUUUGUUUUUACCAACUUAUAGUACACACAGCAGUCAAAAUUGCAUCUCAAGUAGCCAUGUGAUAGCAUAAACUCAUCAAACCUGAGAUACCACUGCCUUGGGGACUACUUCAAACCAUACAAUGACUUUUUCAGCAAACAAACAUAGUCAGGCUUCUUAGGAUCAGUAUACCCUUCAAGUUGAGUCAUCAAAAUCUCAUCUUCUAGUCUCCCAUGCAGAAAUGCAGUCUUGACAUCCAGUUGAUCAAGCUCCGUGUCAUUCACUGCAAUUAAUGCCAAUAAAACCCUUAUUGAAGCAUGCCUGACCACAGGUGAGAAGAAUUCUUUAAAAUCCAUUCCUUUCUUCUGAGUGUAUCCCUUAGCUACUAGCCUAACUUUGAAUCUUCUAGGUUCAGCAGCUGUUAGUCCUUCCUUAAACCUGAAAAUCCAUUUGCAACCCAUUAUUUUCUUGUUUUUGGUCUUUUCAACCAGUGAUGUUAUCUCAUCAUCCAUAACUCUCUGUCAUUCAGAUUUAUAAGGGCUCUAAAUUGCUUCAAAGUAGUUCUUAGGUUCAUCUACUUCAAUAUCAUGAGAUGCAACUAGAACAUAUGCUAUUAAAUCAGCACAUCCAUACCUCUAUGGAGGUCUUGUUUGUCUCUUCUUUCUAUCUUUAGCUAACUGAUAGUUUUGUAGCUGAGUUUGCUGUUGUUGGGAUUGAGUCUGAGUUUCAGUGCAUUCUUCUUGAUCUUCACUACUGUUUCCAAAUUUUCCAUCAUCUUAAGAUGACUUGUGAAUGAUUUGCUCCACCUCAAACUGAUUACUGGUCUUUUCACCCUCUCCCUGUUGACUAUCUCCAGCAGGUUUCUUAUUUUCCAGUAUAGCUCCUUCAUUGAAUAUCACAUCUCUACUAAAGAUACAUUUUGGUAGGUUAAGAUCAGUACACCACAGUUUAUAGCCCUUAACCCCUUCAUGGUACCCAAUAAACUAUCCUUUAAGUGCUCUUGGUGCCAAUUUACCUUGUCUGAUAUGUGCAUAUGCGGGGCAACCAAAUACCCUCAAAACAUCAUAGCUUGCUGGUUUACCAUGCCAUAAUUCAAAUGGGAUUUUGUAAUCCAGAGCAACUGAAGGACUGAGGCUUACCAAGUAACAUGUUGUUAAUAAGGUUGCUGCACACAGACUCUUAGGGAGUUGUGCUUGAACCAACAUACAUCUAACUUUAUCCAUCAAAGUCCUAUUCAUUCUCUCUGCUAGCCCAUUUUGCUGAGGUGGCAUUCUCAUUGUUUUGUGCCUAGCUAUCCCUUCAUGUGCAUAGUAGCUGUCAAUUUUUUUAUUGCAAAAUUCAAGACCAUUAUCAGUCCUGAGUUUCUUCACCUUCCUCCCAAUCUGAUUCUCAACCAAUGACUUCCAUUCUUUGAAUUUUUCAAACACCUUAUCCUUGUGCUUCAAAACAUAAACCCAAACUCUCCUUGAGAAAUCAUCAAUUAUUGACAGAAAGUAACUAUUACCACCUAGUGAAACUGUUUGAGCUGAACCCCACAGGUCUGAGUGUAUGUAGUCUAAUAUUCAACAGGUGGUGUGAGUUGAGCUUUUGAAACUGCUCCUAGUUGUUUUUGCUAGUACACAGUCUUCACAAAAAUCUAGCUCAGUGAUCUUCUCAUCUCUCAGUACCCUUUUGUUUCUGUAGUUCCAUUAGACCCUUCACACUCAUAUACCCAAGUCUCAAAUGCCAAAGUUUGGUCUUGUCUUUUUCAGACCCAGUAGAGACACUAGACAAUCCUAUAAUAGCUUCCCCAUACAAGACAUGGAAAGAUUCAAGCUUAAUACUAAAGCCAAUUUGAUCAACCAUUCCAAGAGAAAUCAGAUUCCUCUUAAGGUCAGGGACAUGCCUAACUUCUCUAAAUUCUUAGAUUUCCCUAUUUUGCAAUUUAAGAUUCACAUCCCUCAUACCUAUGAUUCUACAAACUGCAUUGUUUCCCAUCAUUACCUUCCCUCCAUCAAUUUCUUGAUAAUCUGAAAAAUAAUUCUUGUAUGAACACAUAUGAAAGGUACAUCCAGAGUCAAGAAUCCAUUUACCUCUCUGCAUGUUCUCAGUUGCCAACAAACUCCAGCUAAUUCAUAUUCUUCUUCUUCAACCGUUGCUGCAUCACCAUGUUGACUCUUCUUUUUAUUCUUUUUGUUAGGACAAUCUCUUUUGAAAUGCCCUUCUUUAUGGCAUUCGAAACACCUCAAAUUCUGAGACUUUGCCUUAUUCUUAUCUUGCUUCUAUUUCUUCUUUCCAUUACCCUUGCUAGCUUUACUUGUUGCUAUGAAACCUUCACCAUUUUCAUACCCCCAGACUUUUGCUGUAACCCCCUUGUAUUUAGGGUUGCCUUAACUUCAUCUAAAGACAAAGUCUGUCUACCAUACAUGAGGGCAUCAACAAAAUUAGAGUAUGAUUGCGGCAGUGAACUUACUAGAAGUAGGGCCUUACCUUCAUCAUCUAACCCUUCAUCUAUAGUAUUCAAAGUAUCACAAACUUUAUUGAAUUCAUCGUUGUGAUUAUCAAGAGAGGAUCCCUCAGCCAUUUUGAGGGUAAACAUCCUCUUCUUGAUAUAAUCUGUUUGCUAGAGACUUCGUCAUGUAUAGUUUUUCAAGCUUUGCCCAAAGCUCUGCAACUGUCUUCUCCUUGGCAACCUCCCUUAUUACAGAGUCACCAAGACUCAAGAUGAUGAUGCUUCUGGCUUUCUUGUCAACCUCAGCAGCCUGCUCAGGUGUUCUUGAUGAUGAAGUUUCUUUUCCUUCUUUUUUGGUAACAGGUUCAAUUGCAUUUCCUAGCCCUUGUGUGAUCAGCAAAGCCUCCAUUUUCACCUUCCACAUAUUAAAGUCAUUCUUCCCAUUAAACUUCUCCAAAUCAAUCUUCGUCAUUGCCAUACUUGGAUCUGAUUCUCAAGACCAAGCUUUGAUACCAAUUGUUGCAAUUUGUGUGAUCAAAUAAGAUCAAUCAACACCAAACUGCAGCCCAAGAUCUUCAGAUCAAACCAAACAAGAUGCUCAAAAGAUUUGAUUAGGGCUAAGUUUAAUCAACCAGAAACACAUAUAAAAAACUAAAUUGAGUAAACAAAGAAUCAAGAACAAAAUGAUUUAACGUGGUUCAGCUGAUUUACAUCAGCCUACAUCCACAAAGAAACAAUAUGAUCAUCUUUUAUUAAUUUGCAAGGAAUACAACCAAGCUUUACAGAGCACAGUGCAUAGAUCAAGAAGUCAAUCUAACUAAUCCCAACUUCUCUCCUUCUCUCUCAGAAUACUCUCUCUUUCGCUAUAUCAGAAUCAGCUGUUUUAACAACUCUUUAACUAAUUUCAUGAAACCCAGAAGCUCAUGCCUUGUGCACAUGAGAAUAACAACCUUUAACGACUUGGCUUAAGCACGUGAUGGGCUUGUGACUUACUAAAGCUGAAACGGCAUCUCUAGAGGUCGUUUAAGAGAGUAUUGAUGACACCGAUUAAAACGCUUCUUUCUAUAUCGUUUCACUUAUACAAGUUCUUCCUCGAAACGCAACAAUCCCAUGUCGUAUUGGUCAGUUCUAGUUUGCUUCAUCAGCUACUUCAACAAUGGUCUUCUUAUUUCUUUCAUGGACCCAUUGAUUUCUACUUCCACAUUCGUUUAUUUCCACAUGCAGUUGAAACAUUUUUAGCCAUUAAUCUCACAAUUAUCAAACUUCAACCUUCUUUUUGCUGGUUUGAUAUAUAUAUGUAAAGAUCAAGUAGCCGAGAAAACAGAUAACGUAUGCAUGGGUCCACAAAAUAAGUAGGCAAGAUCAUGUCGGAGCAUGGAUGGGUCCACAAAACAUAUAAUUUUUUUGACACGUCUAAAGUAAUGCCAUAAACUUCAUGAAAAAGAAGGAAAAAUAGAAAAAAAAAAAAGUAGGUUCUACUUUUUGUUUCAUUUUCUUAGCUUUCCUUGAUGGGAUGGGAGUGGAGCCUCAUUUUUUGACACACAAAGUCUAUACAAUCUUAACUUUCUAUCUCUAAUACAAUCAAAUGAUUGAGCUUAAAAUGUCGAUUCGUCAUUUUUAUUAUGUAUUAAUAGCAAAACUAAAUAAUUAAUGGACCCUAUAUUAUAUUAGUAAUUAUUUUUUUAAUAUUAAUAGCAAAAAUUGAGGAACAGGCCUGGAAGUAGCCAUUAUGGUUGGAUGGACGCAAGACUCGUAUGAACACAAUCGGCAAAGUUGUUAACAUGCUCAAUUUUAGGGGAGUAUAUUGAAGAGAUGAGACUUUUAAAUGAAGCACACCAUUGAGGACAAUAAUAUUUUUAAUGGGGAAAGAAUGUUAAUUACGAUCCCAAAUUUAUAUUUUUAUUUAUUUUAAAUUGUAUUUAUCCUAUUGGUUGUGAUUAACUCAUACUUGGACUCAGUAAAUUAGUAGUCAGUUACUUAACUAAUUAUUUCUGUUAGUUCGGGAUUGUGGUUCAUAUUCUUUAAUUUUAAGUUUUUAUCCAUGAGUUAACAUUUGAACUAGUAUCAAUGUCAGUAAUAGGAGGCGCAAACAUUAUUUAGCAAUUAUAUUGAGAGGUGUUUGGUCCUCCGAAGCACCAACAACAUGUUUAUGAAGGUUUGAGUUUUCUCCAAUUAACCUGUUUGUCACUGAUUCUUUUAAUUUUGUUUGAUUUUCUGUUGCAGAAAAGUUAUGUCUCUAACACAAUUAAUGACAUUAUUUUGUCAUGAUACACACACACACACACACACACACACACACACACAUAUAUAUAUAUAUAUAGAGAGAGAGAGAGAGAGAGAGAGAGAGAGAGAGAGAGAAAUGUUCCAGUCCGUAAUUUUAAAGUGCGAGAAAGUACAGUAAAGUUUUAAAACUGCAUGGUUUUAAAGGCUUAAAACUGUAAGCCUUUAAAGCCGUGCGGUUUUAAAGCUUUCACGAACUUUCCCGCACUUUAAAAUCCCUGACCGAAAAACUACUAAUAUAUAUAUAUAUAGUAGUUUUCUGGUCCACACUGUAAGUGUAACACCUCAGUCUAAAAUCCAAGGGCAAAUAUGUCCACAACUCACAUAUGAUUUAAAUAACUCUUUACAAACAAUAAAAUUCGAGUCUCAAAUACAAAAGCCAGCGGAAUAACUUAAAAAUUUAGCCAAACCAUCUACCAUCUUCAACUUGUCACUCAUCACGAAUCAAUCCUGACUUCUGGAAACUAAAUCACAAUAAACUAUAAUGAGUACAAAACCCAGUAAGCAAACUAGUUUUUGUUAUACGGAAAAUACAUACAUACUUAUACAUAAUGCAAUGGAUUAUAUGCCAUGAUCUUUUGGAAAUACUGUAAAAUAAAUUCAUAAAAAUCUCUUUAUGUCGCUUUCAAACUUUCUCAUUUUCUUUCGAUGAAAUACGUAUCCUGCAAUGUGGCACUUUGUGCUGUGCGUGGCACUUUGCGGCGCUCUGGCCCUCAAGAGGUGGCCCCCGCAUAGUCCCAAGAGGUGGCCCCCACACAACUUCAAGAGGUGGCCCCCAAUGCAAAAUCUCAUAAAACAGAAAUUCCGUUUGCUAAAAUCCACUUUCUCAUUCAUAGAAAACUCAAUGCAUUUUCGUGCUCAUGCCAAUGAACCAUCACACAUACAUAUGCCCAUGUACAUAAUCACGUUCAACACAUGCCAACACAUCACAUAAACACAUGGGCAAAGACAUUUAAAUCCAUAUCCGUAUAUAUAUCAAAAUAGGCUUUUCACACAAGUCAAACAUAUAUAUUGUUUAGUGUGAUUCGUUUUAAAGUCUAGUUUACUUACCUCUUGGCACACUACCUUAUGAAAUCUAUAAAUUUUAAAAGGAUAAGGAGAUAACUACCAAGUUUUUUUAUUGAAUCAGCCUGGUUUUCAAUGAUUUCCUUCAUAAAUCUCAUGACAUAAUAUCCACAUUCAGUAUUUGUAGUUUGUUGAGGACACUACACAUAAAUUUUGAACUAAUUAAUGUCAUUUACAUAUGUAAAUAAAUUUAAAUUGAACAUAUAUAUGUUCAAUUUCAUAUACCUUAACCCUUUUCCAAACAAAGGAUUUCCGAUUCGCAUUUCCCAUUUUUGCUACAAAAAUCUUGAAAGCACUUAAGAUACAUAAUUAAAUACACAUUUAGUCAAGCAUGUUUUAAUAAAUGCAUUAUAAUUGACAAAAAAUGACAAUAACUUAUAGUGAUACAAAGUUCUUCAAAUCAGGGCGAGGUUCAUGACCGAGCGAAUCAAAAAAAUAUACUAUAAAUUUGUGCGGAUCCACAACAAUCAACAUCCAAUGUUUGCUAUAUAUAAUGAUAAAUAUCAGCCUUGCAUAUUUUUGUAAAAGAAAAAGAGAAUAAACUCCAAAUGCUAUAUACAAUUAAUAAAAUAACAAACCUGAUAUUGUAAGGAAACAUCAGAAGCUGUUGUGGAUCAAGUAUUUCCAUUCUUGAUACCAUUGCACGAGCUCUAGUCUCAUCAUUAUUUCCGGUUUCAUCACAAAAGAUUGAAGGAUUACCAAAUUUGCAAAUAUGUUCCUAGGGACGAUCCUUCAAGACUUCGUAAAGAUGCCUACAAAAAACAAGUAAUAAUUACUUCACUGCAUAAAUUAAAAUUAUAACUAAUUAUUUUGCCAAGAAAAUAAGUAAUUUAAUUAAAUUACUUCAUGUAACAAAUUAUUGUUGCGACCCCAAUCUUUUCCAUGCUACAAAAUUGUACAAUGUCAUCAACUGAUAAAUAUAAUUCAGCUUGUUCAUUGUUGAAGAUCCCUGGAUAAAUUUCAAUAAAUAAUGCUUUAGUCAACACUCGGCAAGCGUACUUGCAAAGAGCAUCUAUUCUUGCUAGCACUUUGUAUUCCUGCAUAUUCUCAAUAGAUUUAUUUAUGUAACUACAAAUAUGUAUGAGAUAUCUACAAGCGAAAACAAAAAUUAAUUAACCACAACACAAAAAAGAAUAAGACAUUAUAGGCGUCAAUGAUAUGCUCAGUUAAAUGCUAAAUUUAUACAUGAGUGCAACAUAUAAUGGAAAUACUUGAUCCACAGUUAAAUGCUAAAUUAUAAACAUCUGAAUAUUUUAAAUGCUAAAUUAAAUGCUAAAUUAUAAACAUCUGAAUUUUUUAAAAAUAUGUAUCAGUUUUUGAAACUAACAUUAUUUCUCUCAUUCAUAUUUGUUCAUAUAUUCGAUUCAAGAUGUUUUAUUAAUUAAUUAUUAAAUUGUAUACUUUAUGUCUUUAUUUCUAUAUUACUUGUAUUAAAAAUAAAUAAGUUAAAAUAAUAAUUUUUAUAAUUAUAUACUCUAUUAAAUUAUAAUCUCUUUAUAGUAAUAAAAUUAUUUUGAUUCUAAUAAUAUGAUUAUAAUUAUAGGUAGAUUUUACAAUAUUCUAUAUGAUGCUAAAGGAAAGAGGAUGAAAUGAUUAAUUAAUAUUGUAAUAUCACAUAAUAUUAUAUAAAUGCUUAUUCUAUUAAUUCUCCGUUAGUUUUUAUUUUUUUAUUAGUUUUUUUAAUAAGAAAGUAUGUGUGUAUAUAAAUUAAUUUUAAGUUAUUUGAAGAAUUUGAAAUAUUUAUAAUUUUGCAACAAAUCCCACAUGGCGCUUGUCGUUCUUGGUUUCCCAAUUUCGUAAAAGAUAAGAUGAAAGAAAAGAGAAGGGGAAAAGAAAAGAAAGAUAAUCCAAUUAAAAGAAGGAGGAGAGGUCAAGUUGACGAUUAUGAAGGAAAAGAAUAGAAGUCGUGAGGUUCUGAGAUUGAUAACUGAUUAAAUUUCAAAGGAGCAUGACAUGAUUCGACCAAAUUUGUAACUUCCCUAAAAUAUAAAUCCCCAGAAAAUUUUUUACUGUUCAUCCAUAUUUUCAACAUUUGCUAUUCAAAUAGAGUAAAUUAGACAAAGAAAAGAAAAGAAAAAACAGCACAUGUAGGCCACCCACAAUCAAACAAUCUAUCAUUUUCUUUCUCAAACAUGAUUAAACAAAAGGAAAGAAAGUACCUUAUGUGGGGACCGAAACUUUUAAAAUCCAAUAUACAAGGUAGCCGAAUGCUUCAACAAUUUCUUUGAUAGUGAUGUGGUCCCAAGCUUUACAAUCUUCUUGCCAACAUGUGUGGUCCAGAGCUUCCAGAUUUCUUCCCAAUUUGUCUUCACUUCCACUAUGUGUGAACAGUUAGGGUUUACGAUUUUGGGUCUAUAUAAAUAAUGGGUGAAAUUAAGAGUUUGGAACUUGGAAAUAGAAGAUAGGAAGAUGUUUUGUAUGGGCAAAGGGGAAUUUUACAGAGAAAGAAAGUCAUAGAAGAAUGGAGGCUGAAACAAAGAGACAAUGAUAUUUUGCGGUAGACAAAGAAAAUAAAGAGGGAAAGUGGCAUUUUUAUACUACAAACUAAAUGACACAUUUUAAAAAGAAGAGUCACCUUUUAAUUAAUUAAAGAUGACUUCUUAUUUAGUGGUGAGUCAUUUUUAUGUCAUAAAUAAAAACAAUUUUAUAAUAUAUGACUUCCAAAAGUAAAUAAAAGUCAUCUAAACUAAUAGAUGACAAUUAAUAGUAUGUUUGUCAUGUAUUACAUGUCAUCUUUGUCCUGUUUUGUAGUAGUGGCAUCCUCAUGUAACAAAUGCGUACUGAUACCAUCAACCUAAAAUCAUCAAUAACGCCUCAUAAGAUAUAAUCAAAUCUCAAUCAUAAACUCUAAUGUCCUCAAAUAUAUCAAUUUAAACAACUCCGAAGCUCAACCUCAAAUGUCCUCAAUAAUCGGCCCUCAAAACAUAACAGUCCAUACUUCUCCGAUUUUUAAUAAAUUAUUCUCUUAUUGGAAGAAUCUCAAAUUUUACAGACCAUAUGCUGACACAUUGAAAGUUCAUUGAUAAAAAUUUCAUAACAUAAUUCCUUCAAAAACGAUUGAAAAUAAUUCACGUUUCAGAUAUCAUCAAUACUGUCAAACAGUUUUCUGAUUUGAACACAAUUACUUUAAAAAUACAAAACAAUUUACUGCUUUAUCAUAAAAUCAUGAAACUUUCCAGAAUCAUACUAGACAUAUAUAAAAAUCAUUGGUCCAAAUUUCAUAAUUUUUGAAGAAUUCUAGCUAUGGUAAAAAUAAUUUCGUCAUUCACGUUAUUCACUGAAAUCAUAAAUUUCCAGGUUUUCAGACUUGAAUUUGAAAAAUCAUAAUUAAUUGAAAUCUUAUCUGAUUAACUUGAAACAAGUUUCAAACCAUUCUAGACGAUGUCUAGUUUAACAUACCCAAAAAUCAGAAUCAAAAUCGAUUUGUAAAAAUUACUAUGAUUUUCGUAAUAAUUCACUGUCAGCAUAUUUCUGCAAAAUCUUAGAUUUCUACUUCUAUUGCAAUCAUGCUUCUCCACAACAAUUUCAUAGAAAACAAUAAUUAAAACGUACCUCCAAAACUUCUCCCAACAAUAACAACUUGAUCCAAUGUGUUGUCUAUGGCAAAACUAAGAAGAAGACUUUCUUCUUCUCUUUUUUCUUUUCUUUUCUCUCUUAUAAUGAAAAAGACAUCUUGUUCUAUUUAUACUAGGUUAAAAAGGAUUACUAAAAAUUAAAAAGACUUAAAUACCCUUAGGAGAUUUGGGGUAUUACAGUAAGUCUUUAAAAUCGUGUAGUUUUAAAGAUUUUGAGGACUUUUCCACGCUUUAAAAUUUUGGACUGGAACAUUUCUACAUAUCUUAAUAACUUUAUCAAUGUAAAGCUAGUAAUGUUUUUACUUAUUUAUAACGGCAAAUUUGAAAAAGAAAAAAUUUGCAUCAGCAAUCACCCUUAAUUACAAUAGAAAAUAUAACUAAAUCUCAUAGAUUUUUACGCUCUUUGAAAAUCAUCAUUCUAAAAUCUAAAUCAAACCUUAUCCGUGGACAAAAAAAUCUUAUUCAAACAAUAGAACCAAUAAAUUAUAGAAUUACAAAGGGAAAAAAAAAGUAACUCUCAUUGUUUGUUGUUGUUUUGGGUCCCUUUUUCUUAUUUUUGGUUCUUUGCAAUGUUAUUUGAGGUCUUAGAAGUUAGAAUGCUGCGAGACAAAUGAGUUUUGAGGGGAGAAUAAGAUAAGAGAGAACAAGAAGAAAUUAAAAAAACGAAAGAAAGAGAGAAAAAUAAUUAAUUUUAUUAAAAACAAAAGGGUAAACGCUUGUUUAGUCCCUAUAUUAUGAGGUUAGUGCCCAUUUAGUCCUUAUAUUUUUAAAAACACCUCAAAACGUCCCUGCUGCUAAAUAUUGACACUCAUGCCAUUAUUUUUUAUUCUUUUUAACUUGCUUUUACAAUAUUACACUCUUAUAAUAAUUUUUCUUUAUAUUAAUAAAAAAUUAGAUUAUCAAAUUAAACUCAAAAAUAAAAUAAAAACAAAAAAGGUAUAUAGUAAUUUUUGUGGAAGCUCACGUAUGUCUAAAAAAUUAAUAUUGUAAAAAAUUACAUUAUCAAUUUUUUUAGAAAAAUUAAUAUUUUUAACUCGAGAGUGUUCCACAAAAUUUUUUUUUAUUUUUUGGUGUUAAACUGGUAGUUUUUUUCUUUUUAAUAAUGUCUAAAAAAAUUAUUAUAAUAAGGUAAUAUUGUAAAAAUAAGUUAAAAGGAACAAAAGAUAAUGGCAAGAGUGUCAAUAAUUUAAUGGUAGGGAUGGUUUGAGGUAUUUUUAAAAAUAUAGGGACUAAACGGACACUAACUUCAAAAUAUAGGGACUAAACGAGCUUUUACCCAAAACAAAAAUAUAGCCUCAAUUUUAGCCAUUGAAAUGAUCUAAUGACUAAAAAACUGGUAUUAAUUUAAAAUUACAAUAAUGUUAUAUCUACUUAGUUGGGAUAUUUAUUUUGUAUUCAUAUUGAUGUGGCAAAUGAUGUAUCACUAUCUAAUUAAUUCAAGUAAUAAAUAAUUAUUAAACUUUAUCCUUUUUAAUUCAAAUAGUAAAUUUUUAUUGAUGACAGGUCAUUGGGAGUACAAACGAAAUAUUCCAAUUUAGUAAAUAUAACAUUCACUCUUCAAAUUAUUUUCCUUGAACAAAGUCUCAUGGUAAAUUUACUAUUUACUAAAUGUGUUAAUUGUCACGGUAUGCAGUUGAGAUUGAGCUUAGUUCUUAUUGCUGGUUUGAUAUGAUAAAUAUGGAUCAAGUUACCGCCACUACAGUGCCAACGUUGCCCAAAAAAAAAUUCUGUGGGGUACACUAUAGAUAAUGGAUCAACGGUUCAAGUUCAAUCCAACAAGCAACUCUAUAUAAUUAAGGGUGCGUUUGAGAUUAAGUUUGGGCAACAGUAGCUUACAAACUACAGUAUUAAAGUAUUUGAUAAACACUAGCUGCUGUAAGUUAGAAGUUAUGUUGAUAUAAUUUUUCACUUGUAUAAUAAAAAAUCUAUUAUAUCUUUAAGAAUUUUGUCAAUAUUAUUAUUUAAAAUUUAUAUUUACUACAUAUUAUUAAUUUUUGUUUCAUAAUUACAGUUUUUUUUCCACAGCAGCUGUAGUUUAAAAGUUACAUCACCUCAAUACCAAAUAGAACCUAAAUUAUUGCACAUGCCAAAACAAAAUAAAUAAUUGUAAAUAAGAAAGUCUAACAAAUUAAAGUAAUAAAUACAAUUACUAAACAAUUAAUAGUGCUUCGUAUAGAUAACAGAUCUACGGCUGAAGUUUGAUUAAUUGUAAGAUUAACGGCGUAAAUAAGAAGACAAGCAGUCUUUUCUUUCAAUAUCAUUGGGUAAAAUAAAUUUGUAUUGUAAUUGUAUGGCAUCUACUUUAUUACUAGGACCCGAACCCAAGAACUCAUCUCCAACUAUAUAUAUUUUUUCUUUCAAUUUUUUGCACCAUUCAUAGAAAAAAUAAAUUUAACACAAAAGAAUUACUUAAAUGUUCAUUCAUUCGAUCUAAUGGUGCACGUUUUUAGUGAAAAAGCCACAAUAAGUCAUCGUUAUUCUUCUACUAUUGAAAUGAAUAUAUCAAAUGGAUGAAAAUUAAAUUAAAAGAUUGAAAUGACUAUGUGGAAGAAAAUUGAUGUAAAAUGUUGAAGUUAAGAAGCCCUCCGAAUUAUAGAAGAAACGAAAUAUAUUGACACACAACAGUUUAUUUAUUAAUUAAGAGAGACAAAAUAUAUAAAUACAAACAAAGAAAAUCUCUUGCAUAUAUCAAGAUAUUUUACUAGUUAAGUUAAAAUAAAUUUACGCUCACGUAAUUGACAAGUAAUAACAAUACUCAUUUUUUUAUUUCAUAAAACAUAGUAUGAAAGAGAAAACUUCAUGCAUUUAACCAGUAUAAUUAGGAUUUCUCCCAUAUUGAGAGACUAUUAAAAGAUCAAGAUUGUCAUCUUUUAUGUCCUCGUCACUACAAUACUAAACACACGAUGAUACCUCCAACCCUCCAACCCAUCGAUCCUACCUGAAAAAAUUAUAAUUAAUAGGAAACUUAUUCACAAAUGCAUAUAUUUAGAAAAGAAUUACAAAUGAACGAACUUAGCCUAAAAAUUAACCUAAGGAGUUUCCAUAUAUUCUUCAAAUUAGAAAGAGAAGGUUCUCUGCUAGCUUCUUGUGAACCGUAAUCAAAAGUAAGUAGUAGAGCUUGAGCGAGUUGUUAUUUCUGCCGGUUUCAUAUGAUAUAUAUGGAGAGAGAGAGAGAGAGAGAGAGAUCACGUGGCCAACAAUGCCAUGGCAUUGAUUACGAAUCAACGGCACGGAUCAACGGCUGAAGUUUUAUUAUCCAUAAAAUUGCCAAGAUUAAGGGCUAGGGUUAAAAGAUUGCGAUAAGUCCGAAAUAUGUACGGGCAGGUCCACAAUAAUAUCAAUAACUGCAAAAGAAGACAAACAAAGUAAAUAGACAACAGAUCUGAACCGAACCGAACCAAACCAAACCGUAUUAUGGCAAUUUGGUCUGAAGUAAAAAAAUCAAAUGGUUUAGAAAUUUUGAACCAUUUGGUUUUUUAUUUGGUUCGGUUCAAAACCGAACCAAAUUACCAAACUAAAUGGUUCAAGAAAAAAUUAAAAUUAAAAUUAAAAAAUAGUUCAGAAAUUAUUUUUUUAAUUUCUAUUUGUUAGUUAAUACAUGAUAUUAUAUAUGUCAUAGCAUACACUUUAUUUUAUUGUUGAAUUUUAUUAUUUUAAUUUAUUAUUGUUAGAUUUUAUUAUGUUGUUUAUUGUUUGCUAAUUUAUAGACUUAAGAUUAUUGUUGUAUUAUAAUGUAUUAUUAUAUUAUUUUUUAUUGAAUAAUGAAUAUAUAAGAUAAAAUCAAACCAAACCGAAUCGAACCGUUCGGUUCGGUUCUAUAAUUUGGUUCGCAUUUAGUUCAUAAAUUCAUGAACCAUUUGGUUUCAGUUUGGUUCGGUUUUAGAACUUAACCGAACCAAACUAAAUAGUACCCACCCCUAUCUGAAACAUAUGGUCUGAUCUGGUCCACAAUGCUACCAGUAACUGCAAAAGAAGACGGACAAAGUCAUUAAACAUUAUUAUUAACUCGCCAAACAAAAGCGAAGCAAUUGUGCAUGGUACAGACAGCAGAUCGACGAAUGUGAAACAUAUGGUCUGAUCUAGUCCACAACUGCAAACAAAGAAAUUAUAUACCAUUUUUGACUUGCGAACAAAAGCGAAGCAAUAAUGCAUGGUAUAGACAUAAGCCAUUUUUACUUUAUUGCAAAUGUGAACAGAUGGCCUGAUGCGGUCCACAAAAUAUAUAAUUGUCAAAAAGAAGACGAACAAAGCAAUUGAUCAUAAGCCAUUUUUACUUUAUUGCAACAAAGCAUGAUUCACGCUUAUUGCAAUCACUAAACAAAGAGAGAUUCUAGAGUACAUAGAAUUAUUACGCUUGAUUAAUAUAUGUAUAUAUAUAUAUAUAUAUAUAUAUAUAUAUAUAUAUAUAUAAUUUCCCUGUCUAAUUCCGGGAAACUAAUUACUUUUUUAGGCCUAUGAAGUCAUUUCAAUAUUUUAAUUUUUUAAUCAUUUAUUUACUAUUUACAUAUUAAUAUUUUAAUUGUUAAUUUUUUACAUUUCCAAUUACUUAACAUAUAUCAAUUAUUUUUGUUGCCUUUACAAAGUUGUUACAAGAAUAUUAUGUUACAGUGGGGAUACUUUCAUACUUUCAUGAGUUAACGGCGGUCAAUGGUUAAAGAUAACGAGUUUUGGGGUAGAUUGAUGUUUUCAAUAGUAAGAGGGGGAAAUUUAAAGAUUGUCAAUUCCCUAAGGGUAAUUAGAAAUUAACCCAUAUAUAUAAUAGGUACAUUUGAUAUGAAACGUAUAAUUUAAUUAAAUAUAUCUAUUAAUUACAUUUUAAUUUUUUAAAAUAAAUAUACACAUAAUAUAUAUGUAUUAAUUUAUAUAUAAAUAUAUAAAGAAAAUUAUUAUGUAGCACAAAUUCCCGCCCUAUUAAAGAUCUCAUGAUAUCCAAAAAAUAAUUAUAUAUUUAUAGCAAAGUGUUGGUAUAUUUUGAAGGAACGAGUUCGGUACGGAAAUAUAAUAGUAUGUGUUUUUAAUGACGUUUAUAAAGUCAUUAAAUGUCAAAAGGAAUGAAUUUAGUGAUCAAUUAAUAAUUAGAUAGGUAAACAUGAAAUCUCUCGGUCUAUUAAUGUAGUAUAUUUUCUCCCUCAGCUAUUAUCAUUAAAUUAAUUUGUAAAUCUCGUUUCCGGCUACUCCUUCCAAAUAUACAUGAGUAGUGAUAUUUGGCCUUUUUAUUAUAACUCACAAUCUCCUAUUUUUUUGUUAACCCCAUUAAAUAUUUUAAAUAAAUCUUUAUCUCUCAACAUAUCACACAUAAUUAUGGAUUUACCUUUAUUACAAUUUCUAUCUUUUUUCCAAGCACUCACUAUAUAAAAUUUAUAAAAUCUAUUUUAAAAAGAGAAAAAAGCUCUCAUAAUCACUAUAAUCUCUCUUUUUUAAAAAAAAAAAAUUAUUCGUUGUUCUCAUAAUCAUUAAAAAGAAAAAGGCACCAUCCUUUAUUGAAUAUUGAGUAUUGUAAAUUAAUUUCUUUCACGAUUACAAAAGAAGAGUAUAUAAUAUUUGAGAAGAAAUAAUAAUUUAAAAAGUUUAAAAAAUUAGAGUUUAAGAAAUUAGAUUAGCUAAAUUAGAUAUUAAUAGAAAUUGUCAUAUGAGUGCAUUUAAAAGUUAUUUACCCUUUUAAAUCAUUUCAUAUAAUAAUAAAAUAUGUACUAACAUAAAAGUGAUUAGUGGGGACUGAUGAGAUAUAAUGAGGGGGUCAAAUAUCAAAUUCUACAUAUAUUUAAUAGCUAAUAUAAUUGUUUAAAUAGGAUUGUAAUUAAACUCAUUAAUUAACUACCUUUAAUUUUUCAGUAGGCGAUAUUUUUGAAACGUGAUGAUCAUGUGUGAAUAUUAUUCGAAAGUAAUGAUGUUACACUACUGAUGCUCAUUUAUUAACUGUUGUCUUACCUCUUAAUUAAUUUUUUGCAUUUGCACUUGGAAUUAAUCAUUUGGCUGUGAUAGUAAUGCUACAGCCAGCGGAAUUUGAGCCUCCCUUCUUCAAUGCCUGCUACGAGAAUGAAGCUAACAAUCGGGAUGGACAGAACAUUCUUUAGACAUAGAGUUCAAAUUAAGAUAAGGGGGGUCAAGAUUUUUUGUUAAAUUUUAUAAGAUAUGAUGAUGGUUGCUUGUAAUAUGUUGUAAUGGGCAAACUAUGGAAGCAUAACAUCUGCAAAGACUUGCUUCGUCUUUAAUGGACAACUAGCAAGUAAAAACCUUGUUUGAUAUGCUGCUUUUAGAAACCAAUUUGCAAUCCAAUUCAAUAUUACUAUUCAUUUUUCAGGUACAUACAAGUUGGGAAUGCUGUAGCAAUUCCAGUUGGUAAUGGUAUUGCAUUGGGAUACGCUUUUGGUCAAGCUUGCCAAGGAUUAGCCGAUGAUGAUCAGCCAUUGACUAUACUCCCUUUCAAGUUUCCCAAUUGUCUUGCGCAGUCUCUUCAACACUUGCAGAAGAAGAUUCUGAUUGAAAUUGUAAGGAAAACAUAAAUAUGAUUCAUCAAAUUAUACUCUUGUUAGUUGCGAGUUAUUACCAAUUUGAUUUUUAAUUUGCUAUUGAUGUACGGACAAGCAUAUUCAAUGUAUUAUUUGUUAUUGAAGAUGUUUCGAGGCAGGAAUUAGAAUAUGUUACAUCUUUUAGUUAGUGUUUUAGACAUAUAUACUUUAUACUUUUUCAGUUUGUAAUCACAUGUAUCAAAUAAAAGGUUUAGUUUUAGGGUUAAUUUUGGUAUCAAUCAUAAAUGUCUAUAUCAUUAUUGAAAGGGUGUUAAAUUAAAUGCCAAAAGGAUGAAUUUUUUUCCCUUGAGUAUGAGGGAUGUUUAUGAAAGUGACACCAUCAUAUGGCAUGGUGUCAUACUAUUAACAUAUUAUUUGAAUAUUAUUCACCAAAUAUCACAUAAUCAUGCCUUUUAUACAAGUGUAUAUAUGUAGAUGUAGUACAUACUCUUAUAUGUAGCCAUGAGAUCGAAUCCUGUCUUAGUAAAUGAAAAGUUACUUCUUGUAAUCUUAUACUACGUUCUUUGAUAAAGACUUUCGCUUUUUGCUUUGAAAUGGCAACUUCAUAAUGAAGUAAAGACUUUCGCUUUUCAUUCUUUAGUGGCAUUCUCGGAUGAAUUGACACAUUUUGUGACCCAUGCUUAAACCAUGUGGUGCUUUUUAUCAUCAUUAUUCCCAUUUCAAUUCUGCUUUUGGCUUUUAGGAAUUAAGGGUAUGCAACUUGCGAGCUUCUUUUGUCACCAACCCAAAAGGCCAAAACCAAUUAAAGAGGGCAACUCUCCUUCUUGUUCUAUCAUUCAUGUUUCAUUCUCUAGAUUGCCGUGCUCUUUGGUUUAUGAAAACGACAAAAUAUAGAACAUUAAUUAAUUUGAUAUGAUUUCAAAGCAUAAUGAGGAUGCAAUACGACAAAAUAUAAAACAUUUAUUAAUUUGAUUAAAUUCCAAAGGAUAAUGAGAAUGAGGGAACAAUGUAUUGGAAAAUUGCACUAGAAUUGGAUGUGGAUAAAAAUAAAAUGCGUUUUUUUUGGGGUUUUAAUUCAAAAGAGAGAAAUAUAAGUUGUAUUUUACUAAUUAAUCGAAAAAGAAAAGUUUAAAAAGUAUUUAUUCGUCAAUGGAAAAAAAAUUAUGAAAAGAUUUAAAACAAAUUUCACCAGUAUUUUCUCAAACCAAGAAUGGUUACUACGAACAUUAAGCAACAAACAGACAAUUUCCAAUUUAAUUAUUAGUUUUAUAUUUAUAUAUAUAUAAGUUCGUUUUGAUUUUUUAAUGAAUUAUAUAAGUGGGCCACUUGUCUAAAGUCAGACAGUCAACAACCACCGACAUUGUUAUAUAAAACUUCCGUUUUAAAAAUUUUAACACCUAAUGUGAAAAUAUCCUCAAGGGGCCCUAGACUUUAUAAAAUAUAAUAUUAAAUCUAGUGCUAAAAAAUACUACAACUUGGUGGCGUUUAUUUUUUAACUUAAUGACUUAAAGUAACUUAACUUAAUUAAUUAAGUUAAUUAGAGGUGUUUGUUUUUAUAACUUAAUGAGACUUUUUAGAUAAUUUUGACUUAAUAAAAUAAGCUAAUUUUUUUGGCUUUUUACUUAAUGGAGAAAUCUGAAUUAAGUCAAUUACUUGCUAAUGUCAAAAAUAUCCCUGUUUUAUAAUUUAUUUUUCAUGUCUAUCCCAAAACUCACCCAUAGAUAUUUACCCACAUAAAAAAUCUCUAUUUUUUCUUUCUUAUAUUAUAUACGAUAAAAUUUGAAAUUUAUGGUAUUUUAUAUAUUAAAAUUCCAAAAUAAUUAUGUAUUCACUUGAAUAUAGUUUUACUUAUAAAUAUUAAAAUAUUGUGGUAUUUAAUAUAUUAUUUAUUUGACAUUCAAAUUUAAUAAGGAUACAAAUGUAAAAGUACAUAUUUUCAGCUUUUUAAGUUGAAAAAAACAAACAACUUAAUACUUAUUUUCUGAGAUUCAGACGAAAAAAUAAACAUAUUAUUCAAAUUCAGACACUCAGACCUAUUCAGAAUUCAGACUAAUUCAGGUCUAUUCAGAUUUCAGACAAAAAAACAAACGUCACCUUAGAUUUACCUUAUAUUCUUGUUGUUAGAAGUCGAUAAAAAAUCUAUUCGUACUUUUUGCCAGGUAGUUUGGAUUCAUAAUAAAAACACUAUUAUUUAGAUUUAUUUUGAUGUUCGAACUCGAUAAAAAAAUUUAUUUAAAUUAUUAGUACAUAACUAGGUUAUUUGAUAAAUACAGGCAAAUUUUCUAACCAAAAUCGUCCAAAGAAGUUGAAAGUGUUUAUUGUUGUUAUUUCAUAUAUAUACAUACCCUACUUCUUGUUCUUUUUCUUUUCUCACUUUUUCAUAAGUUGACUUUAAAGGAAUACCCAUAAAAAGUGAUUGAAAAAGAUAUUCCACGUAGACUAAACCAUCCACUCAGGAUGCACCACGUGUAAAAAUCAUGACCUUUUCUCCUGCUCGGCAUAAAAAUAUUUUAAAAAAAUAAAUAUUAAAAAAAUAAAAUAAUAGAUGUAUGUAUAUAUAUAUGUGUGUACACACGCACGCGCUAAAAUACCGGGAACGAGAAAACAGACUUCUACUUUCUUCUUUCAAUUUUCUAAGCUCACGCUAGCUUUCUCUCUCUAAAAGUAGGAACCGUAAAUUGAGUGAACGUGCGGAAUGACGGCAGCGACGCCGGCGACGGAGGCGGUGGAGGAGUUCUUGAGGAAAUGCGAGGCGUCGGUGACGAGGCGUACGGUGCGUUUCGGUCGGUGUUGGAGAAGCUGGAGGAUCCGAGUAGUCGGACUCAGGCUCGGGUCUUCCUUUCGGAUCUUCAGAAACGGGUAGAUGACUCGGACGAGUGUCUAAACAAGUACCAUUUCUGGAUCCAAGAUGUCGUCUUGGACCAAUACGAAGGUCCAUUACUCUUGUUCAUUUUUUCUUGUUUAAUUCGGUCGACUUUUUUUUUUUUUUUCUCUCUUUUGAGCUAGUGGUUUGACUUUCUUUGAAUUAGGGACUAAAAGUGAUUGUUUGUUUUUUAGUUUGGGGAGUGGUUUUGUGGAAGGUAGUUCGGAGGAAAAAGUGCUUUUGAAAUUAAGUGAUUUUUGGGAAAGUAGUCUAGUGCUUAUGUGACAUAAGAAGUGCAUUGUGGAGAAGCAAUUGUGCUUCUAAUAAAGCCUUUUUUACAAUGUGAUUUAUGCUUUUUUUUUUUAAAUUCAAGAAGUGCGUUUUAGGAAUUUUUCUGAAAGAAACCCCAAAAAAAAAAAAGAAUGCUCUUUUUUUUUUUUUUUUGGGGUAGUUGAGCUGGAAACUUGAAGAAUCUGCAGAACUUAUUUGGGUUUCUGGUUCUAAAUCAUCCUCAGUUGGUUGAUGCAUUUAGUAGCUUUCCGGGAUUAAGCAAGCCUCAUAGCACAGUCAGAUACGCUAUAAAGAAGUUGCUUGGUCUGAGAGAGCGAAAAGCAAGAGACUUGAUGAAUGCUGUUGCAGAACAUAUAAGAAACUUGGAAAGUAGAUCAAAGCGCUUGAAAGAGGUACUUCUAUCUGCCCUCUUACAAGAAAAUUUGAAUUAACCAAUUACAUGUAGUACAUAAUCUUUGAAUUAUAUUACUCAAUUCUAAAUAUACGCCCUACCAUUUUCUCCACGGUGAUCUUUCUGCAACAGGCACUUGAGAAUUGUGGGUGGGAAGUGGUUCAAUCCUGCAGUGGUGUUUCAAUGGUGGCGAAGCCUUCUGCUUAUCUCAACAAAACUGUAAAGAUCAGCCGGCAUUCAUCUGACGGUGGUGAGAAAACUGCUACAGAACAAAUCAAGCCUGAUGACUCAAAUAUCAGGGAAGCCAUAGUCAAGGCAACUGGUUUGUGCAUCAACAGUGGCUCGUGGACCGGAAUUCCUGGCUAUUGUCGCUUCACAAUUGCACUGGGAGAAAGCGAAUUUGAACGAGCUUUGGAUUGCAUAGCUAAAUUCAAAAGCAUCGUACACGUAGUUAACUAAAAAAUGGUAUUGUCAUUUGUCAUGAUUUAUUUCUAUUGCCUGAUGAUGACACCCAUCAGGACUUGGUUGUCGUGAAUAAAUCAAAAAUCAAAUUGCACUGGUUUUUACCGGUUAUCAACAAUUGUGAUGUUUUGAGAUUAUAACAUACUUGACAACGCUGACUAGCGUCUCUCCUAUGUGAAUUGGGACAAAAAUUAUUUUCCCAAUCACGCUUUCGUUUGAACAAUUCCACUUCAGAUAUAUAAAAUAAUGAUGAAAUUGUGUUUUAUAAUUAGUUACGAGUAAUUGGUUCAAUAUUAAUACAAAACUAUUUUAACUAACAUGUGACUAUUUUAAGUAACAUGUGGCAUAUUCUAAUUACAGCAAAGCUUCCAACUAAAAUUCCCAAAUCAAAAGAAUUUCAAUCUCCAGAACAUUUUGCAAAAUGUUUCUUUUAGUCUCUACCCUGUGCUAGAAUUUUCUCUAAGUUUCUUUCGCAAAGACUUCUAAAGAACUAUCCAGAUAUCGAGCUAUAAUCCAGUCUAAUUGUAUAUAUUUCUCUAAUUCACCUCCCUCUAUUUCAUCAGAAAAUCAACAAACACUUUCAAAAAGCUAGCUAGCUACCCAGAUGGCAAAAUCAAGAAUUCUUGCAAUGACAAUGUUGUUUCUUGUUGUGGCAGCAACAUUGAUGAACAUGGCAUUACAAGCAAACGCUCUGAUGCCGUACACAUGAUCACCUUUCUUUGACAUGAUGUUCCCAAUGGCGGAAGAGUCUUUCAGGGUUCUUGAACAAACCCCUUUAACGAUCGCAAAAGGAGCUGAUCAUCAUCAAACUCUAGCCCUGGCGAGAGCAGACUGGAUGGAGACACCAACAACACACGUGAUCACGCUCGACAUUCCAGUGAUGAAGAAAGAUAAUGCGAAGAUUGAAGUUGAAGAGAACCGAGUAUUGAGAGUGAGUGGGGAGAGGAAGAGUGAUGAUUAUUAUAAGGAGGGACUGGAAGGGGAGAAAUGGCACAGAGCUGAGAGAACAUUUGGCAAGUUUUGGAGGCAGUUUAGGAUGCCAAUGAGUGUUGACUUGGAACAUGUUAAGGCUCAUUUGGAAAAUGGUGUUCUAAGGAUCACAGUGCCAAAGUUUGCUGAAGAGAAGAAGAGGCAGCCUAAGGUUAUUAACAUUGAUGAAGAGUCUGGUAAUUCUUUCGAUGAAGAUAUUAAGGCCACCAAGGCUCAAAUGUAAUUGAUUAAAGAAAGAAAUAAUAGCUUUGCUUGAUGUGCUAUUUGUUUAUGAUCUUUUAUUGGUUUUGUUGUGAGAUGUUUCUCUUUGGAUUCUCUGUUUAAUGUAUUUUGAUGGGUUUUUGAGGAUGACUUGUAUGUAUUGACAACAAUAAAGUGCUUUUUAAGUUGUCCUACUCGUCAUUCAUCCUCUGCUGUGAUAUUAAUGUGUUAAUGCGAAGAUUCAUUAUAAUUACAACAAUUUUGACGAAUCCAAACGUUCAAUAACUAAUUCAGGAAGUUGCUUAAAGUGCAUUAAAUUAGAGAGUAUAAAUAAUUGUGUAAUACAGUCCAGUCUUCGUGUGUUUAAUUAGCAAUAAAAAACCACUUUGCAACACCAUUAAAAAAACAUUUUAACAUUAUUGCUGAGGGAAGAGGCAGCUUAAGCUUAUUAACUCGUCUUAUUAAUGCUGAUGACGCAGCUGGUAAUUCUUUUGGUGAAUAUAUUAAGGCAGCUGAAGCUUAAAAUUAAUUAAGCCCACUAAAGCUUAAAACUAAUUCUUCUAGUGACGAUGCUUUGCUUAGUUCGCUUUUUGUUUUUAAUUUUUUUGGGCUAAAGUUUUGCUUAUUUUGCUUUUAAAAUUCUAUUCGCGUUGCUGUGGAAUAUUGUUUAUCCUUCGAUUUUCUGUUUUUGUUGUUAUCGGAUUUGAUGAUGGUUUAUAUGUACGAAGAUUAUGUAAUAAAGUGCUAUAUAUUGUGUAAUAAAGUGCUUUUGUAACUAUAUAUAUAUAUAUAUAUAUAGAUAUUUCAACAGCUGAGAACGAUUAUGAAAAUUACACAUUUGCACUCAAUAAGAAAUCAAUUCAUUAAUAUAGCCAUUAUUAAUACGCCUGGUUUAUUGUUAAUGAAAAUUAAAAAAGAAAAAAAAAGUCUUUUUCUUUGGCCUUUAUUAUGCAUUUUAAGAGGAAAAAAAUUUAUCCCACUCCAAUUCAUGAAGAUAUUCUCAUUUCUGUCAUAUUGAUGUGUUAAUAUGAAGAUCCAUUGCAGUUGGUGAAUUCAAAUAUUCAGUAACUGAUGAAAUUGUAUUUAUAAAUUCAUACUAAUAGCAAUUGAAGAUUAUAAUUAAUUUUGUAAUAUGGUCAAGCCCUCGUGUGUUUAAUUAGCACUCAAAAACCACUUUACAAUAGGCAUUAAAAGAACAUUAUAACGUCAUUGCUGAUGAGUUCUGGUGAAGAUAUUAAGUUAAGGCCACAAAAAUCGAAAUGUACGAAGCUUCGUUUGUUUUUUGUUUUUGAUUUUUUUUGGGGGCAAAUGCUUGGCUUCGUUUGCUUUUUCGUUUUUGAUAUUUUAUUGGCUUUAUUGUGUGGCAUGUUCUUGUUUUCUUUUGAUUUUCUGUUUUUGUUUGUUAUGGGAUUUGAUGUACGAAGAUUAUGUAAUAAAAUGCUUUUGAGUUUUAUACAAACACAACAAAAGAAGAACACUAACGUACUAAUUAAUUACUAAUAAGAACAUUAGCAAUUUUUGCUGAAGUCGGAUGAAGAGAAAUAUUACACAUACGUAACGGUACCGCAGAAGGAAAAAAUAAAAGAAACUAAAGUUUAUUUCAACAGCUAAGAAUGAAAUAGGCAUAAGAAAUUAAUCCAUUAAUUAAUUAAUUAAUACAGUCCCCCGCUACUAAAUAAUGCGAGCCCCUUACUGUACUUAACAUUUUUCUUUUUAUUAAUUUAAAACAAUUUUCAAUUGAGAUUUGAAUUUUAAAACUACAUACACAAACACACCUGAUUUUAAAGAAAAAAAAUUCUAAUAAUAAAAUAUUUUACAUAUGUAACCAUACGGCGAAAAAACAAAUAUAAGAAACUGAAGUUUCAACAGCUGAGAAUGAGAUAGGCAUUAGAAAUUAAUUAAUUAAUUAAUUAAUAGAGUCCUCCUUUGCUAAAUAAUGCGAGCCCAUUGUUCUUUUUAUUUCGAAAACCCAUUAAUCACCAACACAUAAUACACGCCCAAUUUAAAAAAAAAAAAACUACUAAUAAAAUAUUUCAGUCGUCCUCUGUUGAGUCGUCCUCUGUUGGGUCGUCAUAAAAAACCCAUUUACCAGCUAUGACAGCAAGAGGUAUAUGGGUUAACAAGUCCCAAUAUUGUCCUCCAUCCUUUCUGCACUUCUUUUCUAUCAACGGACAAUCCACGAUUUUUAAAUGCAAAAGUGAGGAAGGCAGGCCCUUCUCCGGAAAGUAUUUGAGCUUGGGACAAUGAUAGAGACCCAAUUCAGUGAGGUUUUGAAGAUCAACAAUUGAAGAAGAUAGGCGUUCCAGAUUUGGAAAAUUAUAAAUCCACAGAGAUGUUAGAGAGGCAGGAAGAGGAAGCGCGGUCCCUAAUCUUUUGUCCUCUAGUGGAAAUGACACCAUGUCGUCAUCGCAUCCACUGAUUGUAAGAUGUCGCAGAGAGGAGAAUCUGUGAAAUCCCCGUCCCCGCUCAAUCAUUGACUUCCAAAUCUCCAUAUUACCCCAAAUAUGAAGUGACUGAAGGUUGGUGGGAAGGCCAUCUUCUUCAAGGCUUGGAAGCUCACCUCCUAUUCUUAAUUGUUGAAGAGAGGUCAGAUUGUGCAAUCCCUUGGGUAAGGCCUCGAGAAAGGACACCAGAUUUCCACACCUCUCAAUACUAAUCCCUCGAAGCUGUCGGAGAUUAUGUAAACCACUCGGUAAAAUUUUCAGAUUUUCACAAUUAGAAAUCUCGAUUUCUUCAAGAGAUGUGUUGUUGUCCAACCUUUCUGCUAUUGACUCCAGCUUUGAACAACUCCGAACAUUAAGUAUCUUAAGAGACGGAGGUAGAUUGCCAACUUCAAAGGACUCAAGCGUGGCAGGUAACUCUUUUUUUGAAAAUAUACAUGUCAGAGAUGGACAAUCGAGAAUAUCUAAAUGCUCGAGAAGAUAUGAGGUGUACCUUCUGCUGCUGCUACUGCUCUGGAUGCCCUCUUCCACUGUCAAAGUCCUUAUAUUAUUGCACAUCUUGAUGUCCAACCUCUUAAGGCUCAGUGGUAGUUGGACUCCAGCAAUAUAUGUCAACGAAUGGCAAUGCCAAAUAGUCAACAUCUCGAGAGAUGAAUUGGUGCCGCACAUCCAUGCCUCUGGUAACGAUUUCAGUGCAUCACAUUUUUUAAUCUCAAUUUUCUUCAACUUGGAAGGCAGAGCAACCUCAGGAAAGGAAACAAGGGAACUGCAGUUGUAGAUUUCUAUAUCUCUCAAGGAACUGAGGCUGAACGAUGAUUGUGGCAACUUCACAAGGCCUUCGCAUCCGCUCAAUGCUAGAUAUUCAAGUCUGGAUGACAACUCGCAGAGCUGCUGUUGUUGGUCUUUCUCUUCCUCCGCCACCAAGGAUUGAAGUUUGGGACACCCUCUUAUCGUCAGUCUUCUGAGAGAGCAAAUGUCUUGCAGUAAUUCGUUAUGACUCUUCCAUAUAAAUGAUUGCUCUUUCAUAUCAUUUAUCUUCAAUUCUUCCAAUUUUGGCAGUCGCGGCUUUAAUGGCCCUGCGAGAAACACUUGAUUUGAUCUAUCUCUACAAACCACUGAAUUCUGUGAACCGAGAUGAUCAGUUGCACUUCUCCACACAACCUUUUUACAUCCACCAAUCUUUAAUUUGCAAAGAGCUGGAAGACUCGAAACUGAAACUGACAAUUCUUCACAUCCUUUAAUAACAAGCUUCUCCAAUGCAGGAAGGUGCUCUGGAAAUGUUCCUUGCAGCUUAGAACAUCUUAAAAUGUGAAGCUUUCUCAAUUUAGGAAACCGUUCAACUCCCUGACUGGAUCCAUGAGGAAUCCAGUCUUCCCAUCCUUGCAUGUCUUCAAAAUGAAGAGUCUCCAAGCAUGGAAAAGGAAUUGGAGUAUCAUUCCCAUAGAACUCUGAACCCAACCUCUUUACACUAGUCAUUCCACAUACUGCAAGAUGCUUUAGAGAGGGUAGUUGCCCGACUGACGGCAGGGUAGGACACAUGCCACAAUAUUCAAAUUUUAAGGUCACCAACUUUGAGAAUGAGGAAUCUCCGAACCAAGUUGGAAAUUUUGCACCUCUAUAGCCGCUGAUACAAAAUUGUUCCAAAAUUUUAUUGGGUUCUAGCAUGUCAAGCACGUCCUUUUCAGUUUCCGCCUCCCUUGAAGACGAGCCAUCAGUACUGAGUGUCCAUCGAAGCAAUAAUUCUCUAAGAUUCUUCUUUCCAUCCAAUUGAGCCUCCUUUGCAUCACCAACGUCUUUUACAUUCUCCAAUUUUGAAAUGUUAAGUGUCCCAUGAAGGUGCGUCAACAACUUUAGCUCUCGUAAACCGGAACCACUGCCUUUUCCCACAACAAAAUUACACAACGUCUGAAGACUAGUCAACCUACCAAUUCCUACUGGCAUUUCCUCCAACGACUUCGUAUUUGAAUUCUUAAGAUGAUGCAAUUUGGCGAGGUUUCCCAUGUCUGCACACAACUUCUUCAGCCGAUCACAAUCUUCCAACAAAAGACUAUGCAAAUUGUAAAGCUUGUUGACUGAUUCAGGCAGAGUUCUAAUCUCAGUUCUAGACAGGUUAAGGUACCUUAAAUACCUCAAAUCACCAAUUGAAUCCGGCAGCUCAGGGAUGCGGUAUCCACGCAAAGAGAAGACCCUCAAGCGUCGGAGUUUGAGCAACUUAGGAAGAAUGCUAGGAGCCAAGAAGCCAGGCGAACUUUUUGUCAACAUUACUGGUAAAAAAGUUCUCAAAUGCUGGAUAUCAUACAAGUCCCCAAACCUUUUACCGCCAUCAAAAUAUUCAGGAAUGUAUGAUAGAUGACGAAGAUUUUCGGAAAAACCUUGCUGCUUGUAAAUUUCUGAGGUAUACUCCAUUGUGAAGUAUAUCUCCCCCGCAGCCCAACGGGCAAGGUCAUUGAUAAGAUCGUGCAUCACAAAUCGUGAUGUAUUGUUGCUUAAUUGCUGGAAAAAAGAUCUUGAACGUAGCUCUUGAAAGAACUUUCGACCUAGAACUUCGUUAGGAUUCCCACUCUCUUUAUGAACCAAGAAACCCGAAGCACUCCAUAAUAAAAUUAUCUCCUCCUCUUCAAAUUCAUAAUCCUUCGGAAACAACGAGCAGUAUGCAAAGCAUUGUUUCAAAAUUGGAGGAAGAUAAUAAUAGCUCACUGCAAGAGCUGGUAUAAUGGGACAUCUAUCUUCUGGUAAUUCCCAUAUCUUGCUACUGAGCACAUCUUCCCACACACCUCUGUCAUGUUCUCCACAUAAAAGUCCUCCCAGUGUUUUUGCUGCCAAGGGCAAGCCAUUGCAUUUGAUCACUAUCUUCUUGCCAAUGUCCUCCAAUGACUUGUGUGAACUGAAAUCUCUUGUCCCCAAAGAGUGCUGAGCAAACACGGACAGACAAUCCUCAGUUGACAAGUUUGUCAAUUCAUAAGCUUGAUCCGGCCUCAUGAUUUUUGCAACCUGUUGAUUGCGAGUAGUGACAACAAUCUUACUUCCCUGCGCGCCAGCUUCAAACGGACGGCUCAUGUCAACCCAGUCAUUGUAAUUCUCAUUCCAAACGUCGUCUAAAACGAGCAAAAAUUUCUUUUGAGAUAACUUCUUCUUCAGCUUCUCUUGAAGCAAAUUUAAAUCACUGUCAUCAAUAGUCUGCUUGGUAACGGAUCUUAGAAUUGUUUUUGUUAGCCCCUUAACGUCGAAAUCCUCAGAGACACAAGUCCAUGCCUUGAGAUCAAAAUGAUCCUGCACUCGCUUAUCAUUGUAGACAAGCUGAGCAAGAGUGGUUUUGCCCAGGCCGCCCAUACCUAUAAUAGGAAUAACAGAGAAUCCACCAUCGUUGCUUAAAUCAUCCCUCAACAGCAGUUCAACAACAUCCUUCUUUUCUGUUUCCCUGCCAUAUACUUUGGCUUCAGUCACUAAAGAGGUUGUCUCUAGCCUUUGACUGGCUUUUUUGGACCCUCCAGCUGAACUUUCUUUCAAAUCUAGCAAGUUUUUCUGUGUCACAAUUUCUUGAAAUCUGCUGUUGAUCUCUUUGAUUUUGGACAUCAAGCCAUAAUCGAACUGAAUCGAUUGUGGAGUAAAAGUGGUGCAGCAAGCAGGAAUGAGCUUCCGAAACUUACUUGUUCUGGCACGACUGCUACUGGGUUGAUCAUGAGCAGCAGCUGGUUCUCCAUUUCCAAGCAGCAACAUCCUCCGGAAAGCCUCAGUUUGAAACUCAUCCAACAAGUCUUCAACAUCAUAAGCCAAGUUCUGAAGCUUGCCAAGCCACUUCUUCACAGACCGAUUAGUUGUCUUCUUCUCCUCAGCAUCAUCAAGCACCGCCUUGAUCAUCUCCAACAUAUUCUCCCACUUCAUUAGAUAGUCUUGGAUCUUCUCUUGGCGUGCAAAAAACAGAAUCCCCUCUGAAGCUAACUUAUUGACCAGCAAAUCAACGGACGCCGUAAGGAUUGCCUCUCCGAUGAUCGACAUUUUUUUUCUUUUUUUUUGGGCAAAGGAAGAAAGGAGCAGAAUUAUGGGUUAUGGAAAGCAGAAUGAGAAUAUUGAACGGGUGAGAAAAUGGAUAAUUAAGCGGAAUGAGUUUGUGAUUGUGAAGGGUCUGGUCCAGCAAGCUUAGUAGAAAUCACGCGUUUGUACUUUAUUGACCAAUGACUAAUAAUUUGGCAAUGCACCCACCACCACCACUUGGUAAGCAAAAUGAAAAAGUUUAAUAAGUGCAGGGGUCCAGCAAAAUACGACGUAAAAUGUGGCAAGUCUCCCCACUUGUUGUUCCUUGCAGCUAAGAAAAGAAAAAACAGAGCCCACCACCCAUUAAUAAUUUAGCAAUUCACCAAUCACCACAAAAUUCCAUUAGAUAUUCGUCGAUCAAGUAGUUAAUCCAGUGUCUGCUACGUAGAGCCUUCACUUUACAAAUCUUCAACUCAUAAACCAAGUUAAAUCAAGACGUUUCUCUCUCUGUAUAUAUAUUUUUUAACUCCUAAAACGUUUCUUUUUAGAAAUAUUUUACUUUAUUCAUCUAAUAUGUUAUCUAACAAAUAGACACAGAUGAAAUCACUCUAAAGUGAAGAUGAAAGGGAAAAAAAAAACAUUCCAACCACCAAUAAUUUAGCAAGCUUCACUUUUAUUCCACCAAAGUGUAAAUAAAGCCAGCCCCCACCACCAUCAAUAAUUUAGCAAGCUUCACACGCUUGUUGUCUUCUCCUUGACGAACUGGACGGGGUGGACCAAGAAUCAAUGAAAGAAUUUUAAAAAUAAUAAUAAAAGAAAAACAUAAACAUUUUGGACUCAGAGUAGAACCGUAAUUAAUGCUAAAAUUUAUUCCGCUAACGUUUUCAAAAUAUUGUUCUUUAUAAUUGUACAGCAAAUAAGACUAAGUUUUGGACAUUUUCAUAUUCACUUACUUUCAAAAGCAGUAUUUCGAAACAUUUUACAGAAUCAAGUAACAGUUAUAUAACGAGAAAAGUGCAAAGUUGUGUAAUUCCAAUGUUUUUUUUAUCACUGACACUCAGAUCAUUUUUUAUUUGGGUCGCCAACUCGCCAAUGAACCCAUGAUUGAAUGAGUGUUUAGAAAGAAAAUCAAUAAAAAACAAUGGUUCUGUUUUUUUGUUAAUUAGGUUAGUAUUUAUGAUUGAGUGACUCAGAACUAUAUUUUAGAUUGAGAAUCAAUGGUUCUCCCACACUGAGAGGCUGUAAGUUUAAGAUUGUCGUUUGCUAUUUUAUCGACAAGAGAGCACUCGAUUUUAUUAAAAGGAGAAAGUCAUAAGAUUUCCUUUAUGAGAAAAUGUAUCUGAUCAUUCCUUUUUACUUGAAAAAUUAAUAUACAAAAACUUACUAAUAAAUGACAUAAUAUACAUAAAUUAUUAAUUCAUUUGAUAGUUGAUUAUCGAAUGACAUUUGACCCAUGGGAGCAUGCAGUCUAUAAAAUAAUUCUUCUUUUUUUUUUUAAACAAAAAAUCGGUGAUGUUGAAAAGCAUUUCUGUAUAUUAUUAUUACUCUAAUUGGAGUGAACAUUUCAUAAAAAUAAUGCCGUAUGAAACUAAAUUAUUAAUUCAUUUGAUAGUUGGUUAUCGAAUGACAUGUGACCCACAAUAAAUAGUUAAAUUUGGCGGCAACAAUAAUUACAAGACGAACUUAAAGCAGCGCAUAGGUUUUUCUUAAAAAUACAUAAACAAUUCGAUAUUUGAAAUUCUAAUAUCUCAAUAAUAUUGAUCAUGAUUCAGUUACCAAUUAGAUCCACUUACAAUUUCUUUUUUUCUUUUUCUGAUUUCCAAUCUUUACCAAAAGAAAAUAUUUAGUGAUCCCUUUUAUCAACUUGGUUUUAUUGACUUUCUUCCUAUCAUAGAAGUGAAAAGAGAAACAGAGGCCAGCACCAAUUAGUGUUACCAGAUUCUGUAAAGGCAAAAUCAGUGCCCAGCAAAAAGAAGCUAUGUUUUCGUUAUAUGCUGCUUCCUAUUUAGUACAUGCAUAUAAAGAUAUACACGUGCACAUGCAGCACAUCUAUCUAAAACUUAAAAAACCGAAUUAGAAAUACAGGAUUUAUGGUAGAAAUACAACAGGAAUAAGAGUGAAAUUCCAAUUUUAAAAAUUGGGAGAAAUGAAAUGCGAUAUUUUUUUAUUAAUAAAAUAAUUUAAUUUUUUUUAAUUCUACCAGCAAAAACCAUUAACUUAUCAAGUUAUUGGUUUCAUUCACAGUUUACAGUCGGUUUCUUAGUUUCAUUCCUUAAUUCUACAAGAAAAAAACAGAAUACUUGACAUUUUUUAUUUGACAGUUUUUAAGAAAUGUCAAACAUAUAUGACAUUUUGUGAAAAACUGAGUAAUUGUGAAAUAUAAAUGACAAUUUAUUUAAACGUCAAAUAAUUGUGACGUUUUAUCAAAUAAAUGAUAAAUAUAUUACAUAUUUAUUGAAUAAUUAUCAUUUACCUUUUCCUUUUAUUGACUUGAGAAAAAAAACAAAAACAUUGACUAUACUGCUUUUGUUUUCGUUCUUAGAACAGAUUUUAGUUUCUUUUGAGAAAAUUCAAACUAUUCCCAUUACUUUCUUUUCAAUAAUCACCUCUCAGUUUUUCAUCAAUCACUCAAUUCCGAAUUUCAUCUCCAUUCUCUUUCGAAGAAGAACGCACGAAGAAUUUUAGCUUGCUUUCGCUGCUUCUCGAAUAUUGGGUAUUGUUUCCUUUAAUUUAGAUAAUUUUUUUUAUAUCUCUCUUUCAAGUUUGAUAAUUUAGGGUUAUACUUGAAUUAAUUGUAUUUUUAAUCAACCAAGGUUGAUUUAAUUGAUUCCAAGUCUCAAUUUCCUGUUCAACAAACAGAGAACGCACAAAUAAUUUUCAUUUUCAUACUCAAUUUUGAAAGAAUCAAUUUAUUUUAUCUUUGGUUAGUACACUUCUGUUCAAUUUUUGUUUAUUUAACUUAAGAUAUCUUUUUCUUUCUUUUCUUCAAGCAGAUUAUAGAUUAUAUUGAGAACAGAGCUUUCUCCUUAAUUCCGCCAAGAGCAACAUUGAUUUCAGGUGAUAAUUGAAUGUGUAAUAUUUUCAAUUGAAAUUAAUUGAGUCUCGUAAUAAUAAUAGGGAUUUGAGAUUUACAUCCUGUUGAAAUGAUUUUAGAGUGUUCUGCUAUUUGAAUGCGCAUUAAUUGUUCCUCUGUUUCAAAUCCAAAUCCACUGGUCUACUAUUCAUUAUGACAAUGCAUAUGCCGAUAUUGUCUUCCAUCCUUUUUGUACCUUUCAAUUUAGUGAGGUUUAGACAGGGGUUCCAGAUUUGGUAAAUCAACAAUCACCAGAUAUGUAGAGCGGCCGGAAGAGGAAGCAUGGUUCCUAAUCCUAAUCUUGAUUUAGAGCAGAUUAGGUAACAUGUGGCAUUCUACAUUCUUGCAAUGCCAUUUCUUGUUAUGGCAGCAGCAUUCUUGGUCAUGGCAUCACAAGCAAAUGCUUUGAUUUGAAGACUUGCUUGGCUAUGAAAAAUAAGGAGAGCAAAGGUAAUUAAUCUUGGUGUGAUCAACAUUUUUAUGGGGUUACUAAGAAAAAUAAAGAUAAUAUAAAGAAUGUUGUUGAGGGGUAUUUUCAUAUUUACACAAGUGUUCAAAGUAAAAAUUGAUUUCUUAAAACCCAUUAGCUAGCGCACAUAAUAAUGGGGAGAAAAUUUUAGACUACGAAUGGUCCCACCCAUUUAAUAAUAUUCUUCAAUCAAUUAUGUUUACUUAAAAAAAACAAACCCAUCUCUUUAUUACUUUCUAACUAUUCAUAUUAAUGUGUUAAUAAUUAUGAAGAACCGGUGUAAUUUAUAUGAUGUAGGAAGCACUUUAGGCAAAAUCAUUUGAAUCUAAAAAUUUCAUGAUAUUGUGCCAAAUAUCCAAAACAGAGCUUCCUACAUUUCAUUGCGCUAGCUAAUUUCUUGUACCAAAAUUAGGAAUCACUAAAGAGUAGAGUUACGUGACUGAAUAGUAUCAUAUCACAGAAACUCAAAACUCAAAAGUGCAAUAACAUUGAACAUUCAGCUGGCUAGCUUAUAUUAAUUAAUUAAUACUACUACUAGUUCUUUAUGAUUAAUUAAAAGAUAAAAUAUUUUACAAUCACAAAACAUUAUUCCAUCACUCAAGAGUAGAGCUUCCUACAUUGUUACCCAAGCUCUUUUAUAUCUCCCAAACAUUAUUAGAGUCCCACGUUUGUGGCACAUCAUGAAGUAAAAUGUGCCAAUUAGUAAGAGCUUCUUUGUUUUGUUUUCUUGGAUGUGUUGCAAUUUUCAAGUAUCAUUCAAAAUUUUACGCCAUCAACACAGGAAAAUUAUAUAUAUUCUGUCAGCACUUGCAUAUGUUGCAAGUGCUGACAGAACUUUUCAUUUGAUUUGAUAAUUGGCUAAGGGUGAUUUCGAUAACGUUUCCAAAGAAGAUAUAGAACAUAGAUCAAAAAGAAAAAUAAGUAAUUUGAUCAGUCGAUGCAAAAAAUGAGCGAGCUUCGUAGUCUGACUAACAGGACAUGGCUUGGAGCAAGGAUCAAUGGACAAGUUUGAGGUUUAUGAAAUAUUGGGAAAAGAGACAAAUAAUAAAGCCACUACAAGUUAAGCAGAUCAAAUAAACAGAACAGAGGAAAUAAGUGAUCAAUUUAUUACUUUGUGCAAUGGCCACAGCAACAGCGAAAAUAUGUCUACAUGACUACAUUAUCCGACUGGCAUGGUACUAUCACCAUGCAGCAUUACACUAACAUUUCCUUAUCAAUCAAUUUUGAUGGUAUGAUAUUAAAAACAUCGACUUCAUAAUUUUAUGUAAUUCAAAGAAAAGAUAUAAUUGAUUUGAGUUAGUUUAAAAUAUAAGGAAAGAGUAAUGGGGGAUGAUGUCGAUGUGGAAUGUGAUGAGUAAAGAUAGACAACAAAUAUUGAUAAUGUAAUAAUGAAAUAUGUAUUUAUUGAAAAUAAAUUGACAGUUAAAAUUAAUAGAUAUAUAUCCAAUGCAUCGAGUUUAUUUUAUCACUUCGCUAACUAUUUUGUAACUACAUGUUAAUUAGAAGUUCAAUUAAUUUUGACCAAAGACUCUAGAGAAUGUCAAAAAGAGAUUUGAUUUUUGUCUUAAAAAAAUAAGAAAUGAAAUAAGUCAAAAUCAAUCACAAGAACAACAAUAAGAGCAUAUUUUUAUAAAACCACAAAUACAUAUAAAUUUAGUUUCGAAUUAGAUAAUUAUUAAUUUGUAUAGUACGAGAGCUUUAUAGAAAAAGAGGAAUUUUUUAAAAGGAGAUUUGCUUAAGGAACAACUUUAGUUUGGUUUAAUUUGUGAAGGCUCAAGUAAUUGAAAGCAACGCAAUGGAAGGAAAUACAAGCUUUUGAUUUUGACAAAGUAAUCACUAAAAUAUUUGACAAGUUUGAGAUGUUAAAAAAACUGGAAAAAUAGACAAAUAAUGAAGACCCGACAAGUUGGCAAAGCAAAUAAACAAAGGAAAACAGAGCAAAUAUUUACCGUUAUACAUAUAUUUUUUUAUUUUUUCCGAAAAAGAAUGUUGCGAUAUUUUUUCCCAAUAAGAAGCACGGUUUGAUAUUACUACCAUAGACCUUUAGCUACCAUAUAUAAGCACGUGUCUAAUUACCAAAUGAAUUCCGCUAUAACAAAGAAUAAAAGCUAAUUUCAUUGAUGGCAUAUGUUGUGCUUUCUUUUAGUUGCAUAUAAGUAGAGCACUAGAUCAACAAAUAAUUGAAGACUUGUUUGGCUAUUGAACCAUAGGAAGGCAAGUCGUGAACAGUCUUGAUAUAAAGUCGUGAACAGCCUUGAUUUAAAGCGAUCAUUGUGAAUAUCCCUGCCCAGUCUGAAGUGGGCUUUGAUACUUGUGACAAUACUCGAUCGAGGCUGUAAAGAAGCCGUGGGUGUACAUUUCUGGUCCAACAAUCAAUCUAACUGGCUUACUUUACAGCAACAAAGAGAUAGAGAAUAUAUUAACUGCUUGUGCAGAAUAUGGAGCAAGAGCUUAUUUAGUGUCGUGUCAAAAUAAAUAUAACAAAGUUUAAGCUGAAUAUAAAUUGUUAAUUACAGGCAGAGCAAGUUGAGUUUAAAAAAUGCGAAGCACCCAGUCCCAAAACAGAGAAGCUUGACGUUGGCCGGCAGGAUUAAUAUUAUUUUUUUUUUAACAACAAUCAAAGCCAGUUGGGAAUUUAUUAAGAGGUUAAUUAGUUGAAGUAUAAAAAAGGAAUUAGCAGGAUUCACGCCCGACCAAAUCCACAUGGCCAAAGCAAAGGAUUAAGUUUGAGAGAUUAUAAUGAAAUAUAAGUAAGCUUCGCACAUGCAUGCGUCUGACUGACAGAACAAAUGAAGGAAACAUAAACUUAUCAUUUUUAAGAUGUAAGCAUCAAAACAUUCGACAAGUUUGAGGUUCGUGAGAUAUUGGGAAAAUAUACAAAUAAUAAAGCCACUACAAGUUAAGCAGAGCAAAUAAACGGAGGAAAUAACUGAUCUAUUUUGUUCUUUGUGCAAUGGCCACAGCAACAGAGAAACUAUGCCUACACGACUACAUUAAUCCUACUGGCGUGGUACUAUCACCAUGCAAAUUAACAUUAACAUUUCAUGAUCAAUCAGUUCUGAUGACAUGAUAUCAAAAACAUUGAUUUCAUAACUUUAUGCAAUUUCAUAUAAAAGAUAUAUAUAGUUGAUUUGAGUUAGUUUAACAUAUGAAGAAAGAGUAAUGGGGAAUGAUAUCACUGUAGCGGGUGAUGAGUAAUGAUAGACACCAAAUAUGGAUCAUGUAAUAAUGAAAUAUGUAUUUACUGAACAAUAUUUGGCAAUAAAAUGAUGCUUUAAAAAUUUAAUAUUGUUUGCUAGAAAAUAAUUUGACAAUGAUGCUUUAAAAAUUUAAUAUUGUUUGCUUGAAAAUAAUUUGACAAUUAAAAGUAAAAGAUGUAUAUGCAAAACUUUGACCUUAUUUUAUCACUUCACUAACCAUUUUGUAAGUACAUCUUAAAUCGAAGUUCAAUUAAUGCUGACGAAAGACUCCAGAGAAUGUCGAGAAGAGAUUUGAUUUUUGUAUACCAAAAAAUUACAGAUGAGAAAAGUUAAAAUCAAAUUGCAAGAACAACAAAAAGAAUAUAUUUUAUAAAAGCCACAAAUACAUAUAAUAUAUAAUCAGUUUCGAAUUAAGUAAUUAUUAGCUUAUAUAGUGAGAGAGUGUUAUAGGAAAGUUGGAAUUUUUUAAAAGAGAUUUGCAAAGGAAAAAGUUUAGUUUAGUUUAGUUUGUGAAGGUUCAAGUAAUUCAAAGCAAUUAGCAAUGCAAUUGAAGGAAAUAUAAACUUCUAAUUUUUACAAAGUAAUCGCUAAAAUAUUUGACAAGUUUGAGAUUUUCAAAAAGCUGAAAAAAAUAGACAAAUAAUGGAGACCCUACAGAUUGGUAGCGCAAAUAAACGGAGGAAAAUAGGGCAAACAUUUAUUUUUUUCCAAAAAGAAUAAAAGCACGUGUCUAAUUACCAAAUAACUUCCACUUUAAAAAAGAAUAAAUGCUAUUAUCAUUGUUAGCACAUGUUGUGCAUUUUUCAUUUAUUUAUUUGCUUUUACUUAUUGAAGUUACUUUGCAAACUGCUCCAAGCAAACUACAAAAUUUCUUAUAACUCUAGGAUCUUUGCAAUGGUCCUGCAAUUUGCUUUCCUUUCUAUUAGGUUAGCUGUUUAUUCAAAAGAAAAAAAAAAUGGGGAAAUGGAAACGUCACCCUCUAAAUACAGAUUUUGAAUUUUAUUAUUAUUAUUCAAAAUUAGAUAACUAUGCAAAUAAUGGGCGGUUAUAACCAGUGAAACUGUGUCCAGCUACGAUGCAGGUUUAUUUUUCACUUGAUUAAAUAUAUACAAAACUAAAUCACCUGAGCCUCUGGUUUCACUAUUUUUCAACUUCAAAUUAAAACGCAAAAAUUGAUGGUAUUGGAGUUCGUUGUUUAGUUUUUCUGUAGGUCAUGGGGAAUCAAAUAGCCAUCCAUUUUUAUGUCUAUUUUAUGUACUAGUGGUCACUGAGUAUUGGGAUGUCAUAGGCCCGAAAAGAUACAGCUGAAAAUCAAUCCCCUAUCUAAAGUGGAAAACAGUAGCUAGAACAGAAUCGAUGGUUUGAUGUCUUAGUUUAUUGGCUUAAACAAUUAAUAGUACAGAAAAUGCAUGAUAGAACUCAUAUUUUAGCAAUAAUCCUCAGCUCACUGGCCGUUAGUUCAGAGUGACAAUUCUUAUUAGUCAAAGAAUCAAGAUGAUUUUUAGUUGUAUAUGAAUAGAGCACUAGAUCAACAAAUAAUUGAAGACUUGCUUGGCUGUUGAACCAUGCCGAUGGCUAUUCAAAGACUACAGCUUAGCUCUGCCAUUCAAAGUUAGCAACUCAGCUGCCAAAGACUGCCAAGCCAUCAAGAUAAUACCAAGAUACAACGUCAAGAAUUACAUACAGGCCGUCACAUAUUACGUUUCUCCUCUGUUUUAAGAGAGAUUUACGAGCCCAUGCAGUAGAAGUAAUUAAUUAAUUUAUACAGUUCAGUACUCAUUCCUCCUCUGUUUCAAAUCUAAAUCCACUGCUCUGCCAUUUAUUAUGACGCAGGGUAUAUGGGUUAGCAAGUGUCGAUAUUGUCCUUCAUCCUCUGUGUACCUUUCUUCUAACAAGGGACAACACGAGAUCUCUAACCGCAAAAGAAAGGCAGGCAGGCCCUUCUCUGGAAAGUACUUGAGCUUGGGACAAUUACAGAGUUUCAAUCAAAUGAGGUUUUGAUGAUCAACAAUUGAGGAAGACAGGCGUUCCAAAUUUGGUAAAUCAACGAUCACCAAAUAUGCUAGAGUGGCGGGAAGAGGAAGCGUGGCUCCUAAUCCUAAUCUUGAUUUAAAAUUGGCUAUGUAACAUGUGGCAUUCUACAUUCUUGCAAUGCCAUUUCUUGUUAAAGCAGCAGCGUUCUUUCAUCAUGGCAUCGCAAGCAAAUGUUUGAUUUGAAGACUUGCUUAGCUGAGAAAAUUAAGGAGAGCAAACGAAAUUAAUUUUGGUGUGAUGAAUAUUUUUAUGGGUGUACUAAGAAAAGUAAAGAUAAUAGAAGUAAUGUUAUCGAGGAGUAUUUUGAUAUUUACAAAAGUGUUCAAAGAAAAAAGUGAUUUUUUGAAAUCUAUUUGCUGGUGAACAUAAUAAAACGGCAUUCUGACUUCUGAGUAAAUUUAAAACUACAAAUAGUCUUACUCUUUUAAUAAUAUUCUUCAAUUAAUUCUGUUUCUUUCACAAUAUAAAAUCCAUCUCUUUAGUACUUUCUAACUAGUCAUACUAAUGUGUUAAGGCUAAACCUAUGUUACGUGCAACGUAACAUACAUUCAACAUGUAAAAUAUCAGCUAGUACCCAAAAAUUUUAUGGAAACUACAUUAAGAGAAUUAAAAGAAAUACUUUUAAGUCUUCAAGAAGAAAUAUAAGAGAUAAAACAAGAAAUAGGAAAAAUAAAAAUUGAAAUGUCUGUAAUACAAAAAAGCCAAAAGAAAAAUAAAAAGGUAGAAAGACUCGAUAUAAUAAAAACAGGAAUAAUUGGAGCAAGCUUUAAAAAACCCACUCAAAAACCCCAGAAAGGUAGUUAUGAUUAUUGGUUUAUGGAAACACAAUAUCCGAAAAUAUUGCGAGAAUCUGAAGAACUAAAAGCAGAAAUAAAAAAGAAAGAUAAGGGAAAAGAAAAACUAGAAAUAAAAGAACAAACUCCAUCUGAGUCAAACUCUGAGUAAUGGACGAUACACUAGAAAGUUUAACUGAAAAAUUCAGUGACAUAAACCUUAGUGAUUUAGAAGAUUUUGAAAAAGAAUACCAAAUAAAAAUGAAUGUAGCAGGAGGACCAGAAAUGAAACCUAAUAUAACAGAACCAAGUCAUAGAUAUAUGACGAAGAAAAAAAAUAAUAAACCUUUUUAUGAAUAUAUCCCUACAGUUAAAAAUACACCUUGGAAAAAAGAGUUUGCACCCAAUCAGGAUACAUUAAAUCCUAUAAGCAAUACAGGAACAUUUUUAAACUUAGACUGUAAAAUAGAUCCUCGUAAAACAUUAGCAGAAUGGGGAAUACAAAUGAAACUGUUCUUUACAUACAAUGGGGCUAAUGAUGAUUGGAAUGUAACUACAAAUGAAGAAAAAAUAGAUAUAUUUGUAGAUAUCAUAUUAACCAGUUUUACAGGAAAUAUAUUUAAUUGGUGGAGAGGAUUAAGUGAUGACACUCAAAUGCUCAUAAAAGAUUCAACCAAAAUAGCUUUUAGAAGAAGUAAUGCUUUAGGGAUUGAAAGAAUAAUUGAAUAUAUUGCAAGUGAAUUUUUAGGAGAAGAUUGGCUAGAAAAUUCAGAAAGAGAAGAUAAUACUGAAAAACAAAGAGCAAGGUUAAAAUUAAUGAAUUUAACAAUUUGCAAUAUGUGUUUUAUUAAAGAAUAUACUUGUGAAUUUACCAAAUACUACUAUGAGCAAUAUCUAAGUUUAGAGGACCAAGAAGUUUAUAAAAAUCUCUAUUACUCUAAAUUACCGUACCCUUGGAAUAGUUAUUUUAUUAAUGAAUAUGAAAAAGAUAGUACUUCAACUAGACUCCCAGAUACUCUAGGAGCUAGAAUAAGAUUUCUAAAUACAAGAUUUAGUGAUAUAUGUAUCCAAAGAAAUCUAAUAAAAAAGAGUAAAAAUAUAACAACAAUAUGUUGUGAGAAAACAGAGAUGCCAACCCAAUGGGGUUGCUCUAUGCCGUAUAAAAGAAAAAGGAAGUUAUAUAUGAAAGAGAAAAGAUAUAAAAAGUAUACUAACUUCAAAAGGAAAUAUAGAAAACCUGGACGAAAAUAUUAUAAGAGAAAGUAUAAAAGUCAAAAGAAACAAUUAGAUAAAACGAAAUGUAAAUGUUGGAAUUGUGGAGAAAUAGGACAUAUUAGCACAGAUUGUAAGAAGAAGAAAGUUAGAAUUUUACAAAAGGACUUUAAUACAAUACAAGAAGAAUUAGAAGAAAUAAGCAAUAUAUCAGAUUAUGAAGGAGAGGAAAUAUAUAUAGUAAAAGAUUCUGAAAAUGAAUCAGAAUAAAAAGGAUAUAAUUGAAACGGAAGAAAUCGAAGAUAUUGAAGAAAUAGAAAGAGAAGAAAAUAAAAGCGGAUAUAGUCUUGUAGCAACUUUUAAUAAAGAAAAAUAUAACAAACUUUUGAAAUUGAAUGUAGAAAAACCAGAAUAUGGAAUAUUACAAAAAUUGAGAGAUCUGUUCAAAAGAAAAAGAAUAGUAUUACAUGAAUAUUAUGAACAAGAAAAAGCUGUAACCAUUACACAAGCUGAAGGAAAUAUUAGGUUCAGCUUAAUAAAUAAAAGAACCAUAGAUUUAGCACUAAGAAAGGUAAAAAAUGAAUCAACAAGAGAAAAAAUACAAUAAGUGUAUCUCGCUGAAAUUCAAAUAUUAAUAAAAUCACUCUUUAAAGAAGGAGUAGAUAGUCCCAUAGUGUUGUCAAUACAUGACCAACGAUUCCAUGAUCCUAGUAUAGGACAUUUAGGAACAGUAGAAGGAAAUUUAUGCUAUACUAAAUUAUUAUUUACAUGCCAUCCUAGAUACUAUGUGCAUAUAAAAUAUAGGAAUAUAGAUGAAACACUUAGCCUACAUUUUAAAUUACUUAAAAAGAAUCUGAUGAAAGAAGGAAAUAGAUUAAUGACCAUAAAUUAUUCAGCCCUAUACAGUUUUUGUAAUUCAAAUUAUGGAGAAGUUUAUGGAAAUAAACCAUAUAUAGAAAUAAACAAGGAAUGUGAAGAUAUAGCAACUCUUAUAGAACCCAUUAUGCAAGAUUAUAAAAUCCCGAUAACUUAUGAAUUAAACAUAGAUGAUAAGAAACAAUUUUUAAACGAUAGUAAUGAAAAUUCUAUAAUAAGCUUUGCUGGAAGAACCCUUUUAAGAGGGAGUUCAUCUAGAAGAUUAAGCACUGAUAAACAGAUAGCUAAUAACCUAACAUUAGCCAGACCCAUAAUAAGUAGUAAUGUAGUAAGAAUAUUUGGACAAUAUUUCAAUGGAAUAGAAUAUACCAUACCAUUACCUAUUUUAAUAGAUACUGGAACAAGCCAUAAUUAUAUGAAUCACACAAAAAAUAAAGGACUGUUAAUUAAAGAAAAGGAAAUUCCAAAUGAAUAUACUGAUUUCAAUGGAAAUAAACAUAUAUGUAAACAAGAAGUAAAAGUUCCUUUAAUCAUUGAAGGAAUUAGAAUAAUUGUAUCUUGUUACAUAGAUUCUUUUAUGACUACAGACCCUGAAAAACAUAUAGUAUUAGGAAAUAGUUUCUUAAACAGUUUAGAAUAUUAUAAGAUUGAGAAACACCAAAUCACCUUACAAAUAGAAGGUCAAAAGAUAGUAUGUGAAACAUGUUAAAUCAAGCUUAUAUCAAAUAUCCUAUGUCCGUAUAUAUACAAAUCAAUAUAGUCGAAAAAGACCUAGAUACGUGUGCCUUAAUAGAUACAGGUAGCGAAAUAACAAUUAUGAAAACUUUCUUAUCUAACCAAUGGCAAGUCAAUGGAAAAAUAAAACUUAUUAGUAUAACAGGAGAUAAACAACAUAUUAAUCAAAGUUUAUUGAACUGCGAAAUACUCUUAGGAAGUAAAAUUGUCCGUAUAAACCAGGUAUUUCAAUAUAACCAAAUGGAUUGUGAUAUCCUUUUAGGUAAUGAUUUCAUACAACAAUUUCAGUAUUACCAGCAAACUCCUUACAUGAUUACCCUUAAAACACCCUGUAAUCAUAUCCUUCGUAUCCCUCGAGAGUUUAAACCUUACAGAGUUCAGCCAGCCCAGCGUGGUGAUAAGGUUAUUUAUGAAAAACAUUAUUUAAUUUCUAAAGGACAGAGUUAUAAUAUACAACUUGAAACAAUAAAAUCACAGCUUGAAAAAGUGUAUAAAGAAAAUCCAUUAGCAUUAUGGAAAGCAGAUCAUCCUAGAGCAAAGAUAGAAUUAAUAGAAAAUAGGAUUAUAAGACUUAAACCUAUGAUGUAUACAGAGGAAGACAGAGAAGAAUUCAAAAUCCAGAUAAAAGAAUUAUUAAAUCUAAACUUAAUUAGAAACAGUAAUAGUCCACACAACAGCCCAGCGUUUAUGGUUAGAAAACGAUCAGAACAAGUUAGAGGAAAAGCUAGAAUGGUAAUAAAUUAUAAGGAAUUAAAUAAAUACACGAAGUUUGAUGGAUAUUUUUUACCAAAUAAAGAAGUGCUGAUAAAUCUAGUGAAAAAUAAAACUUAUUACUCAAAAUUCGAUUGUAAAUCAGGAUUUUGGCAAAUAAAAAUGGAAGAAGAUAGUAUCCCUUAUACAACAUUUAGUACCCCACAAGGUCAUUAUGAAUGGUUAGUAAUGCCUUUUGGAUUAAAAAAUGCCCCUCAGAUAUUUCAAAAUAGAAUGGAUAAAGUCUUUAAGGACUAUAGAUAUAUAAUUGUAUAUGUAGAUGAUAUAUUAAUAGCAUCAGAAACAUUAGAAGACCAUAGAAGACAUUUAAAAGAGUUUGUAAAUAUCUGUAUUAAAGAAGGUAUAGUACUGUCAGAAAGAAAAGCAGUAAUAGAACAUAAGAAAAUAGAAUUUUUGGGAAUGAUUCUUGACAAACAGGGAAUCAGACUUCAGAGCCACAUAGGCAAAAAGAUUAGUGAAUUCCCUGAUAAAUUAGAAAAUAAACAACAAAUCCAAAAAUUCUUAGGUUGUUUAAAUUAUGCUGAAGGUUUUAUAAAAGACUUAGCAAAAAAGAGGAAUACACUCCAAAAAUUACUUAGAAAAAAUAAUACUAGAGGAUGGAAUAUGGAACAUACAGAAACCGUAAAAACUUUAAAAGAGGAAUGUAAGGAUCUCCCUUCACUCAGAUUACCAGAGGAAACUGAUAAACUAGUAAUACAAACUGAUGCAUCUGAUUUGCAUUGGGGAGCUAUACUCAAAACUGAUAUAAAUGAAAUUUGUAGAUACACCAGUGGUACAUUUAACCAAGCACAGGUUAAUUAUCCAGUACAUGAAAAAGAACUCCUUGCAAUAUAUAAAGGAAUUAAAAAAUUUUCCUUAUUUUUGUUACAAAAACCAUUUAUUGUAGAAACAGAUAACUCUCAGGUAAGCUCAUUAAUUAACAGAAUUUUACCAAACGAACCACAAUAUAGAAGGUUACAUAGAUGGCAUGCAUAUUUGUCAUAUUAUAAUUUCAAGAUUAUACACAUCAAAGGUACUAAUAAUUUUCUUGCAGAUUUCUUAAGCAGGAACAUAGAAUUUGGAAAUGGAUCCUGAAAUAGAUAAGAUCCUAUCUGGAAUAGACGCUGAACUGCAUAGACUGGCAACAGAAGCAUCAGAUAUAAUCGAUGCAAUAAAUUACAUAAAAGAGGCUUAAGAGGCCCAUGAAAAAGGAGUACAUUUGUUAGUGUCACAAAUAAACGACCUGACAAAAGCACUCUUAAUAAACAAAGGCCCAACAGACAUCGCGCCAAUAAACACCAGCCCGAAAGGUGAAGGAAGCAGUAGUGGACCCAUCAGAGAAAAUAAACCUAUCUCUGACCCGGUGAUAAACCCAUCAAAUAUAAUAUCCAUAGAGGUUGAACCGCUAAAAUCAAGUCCUUCAAAAAAGUUCAUCCAAAUAAACAAUCUCCAGAUAGAAGAGGAGAAGGAACCCUUAAAUCCAAAAGAAGAAGAGUAUAAACAGUUCUCUACUUAGAUUUACUCUACCUGUUCCCAUAACAAUAAUAUCCACAAAGCACCUAGAAAAAAUAUGUACCCUAGGAUGAUAGCUACUAAAGGAGCAGAUCCACUCCUUGUAGGAAAAAUAGCCCGUUAUGGUUAUUUAGACUUGGUAUAUUCAGACAUAGACCUUCGAGAAAUAGCCAGUUUGGACGAGUUACUAGUUAAAGAAAUAUCCAAGUUUGCCCAAAAAAGACCUAUAUACCUCAAAUUCUACACCAUAAGUCCAGAAUACCAUCAAAAUGUAGAAUACCAGGCAUUUUACAUGAUCUCAGUAGGGCAUAUAACAAAAAAUUUCCAAUUAGAAGUAGGAACCGAAUAUACUAAUGUUCCUCAUAUUACAAAAAGCUGGAUCCAAACCAGAAGAGCUCGAGGUAUAAAAGCAAUAUGGAGCAUAGCAAAAGAUUUGUAUAAGAGAAAUUUCAGAACCAUCAUUAGAUUUCAAAAUUGCAUCCUUGUUACAGCAGAAGACAGUCAUACACAGUCAAACAUCCUACUGGAGCUAAUCAAUGAGAUAAGCACGAUGCGAUUUCCCAGUAGCAAUAAAACUAUGCAGCAGGCUUAUCAGCUUAUGGAAGCAAGCAAUCAGCCAAGAUAAAGAAGUGGCAGACAGAAUAAAAAGAGAUGGCCGACAAGAUAAAAGAUAAAGCAGAGAUGGCCGACAAGAUAAAAGCAGAAGCUAAAAUUGUCAAAGAUGUCCGACAUAAAGAAGACACGUGUUUGUCAGAAAUAAGGAAGAAAACGUUGUAAUAAUGUAGAAACGUAAGCAAUGAUGUAAAAGCCCAAUAAUUAAAGGGCAGUAAGGUAACUUUGUAAAGAAAAAAGUUUUGAUAUAAAAGAAAGAAAAGGAAGAGAAAGCUCUCAGAGCUUAUCAUUCAGCAAGAAUUUAAUCAUCUUGAAGAGUUUUUUUCCAAAAAUGGAUAGCUAAACCUUUUCUUGCUCUAAAUCCUAAAUCGAGACAUCACUAAUCAAACACCAGAGAAAGGAAAGAGAAACCUAAACUCAUUCAAGAUUUCUAAGCUUAACGAUCGGAUUCCAUACAGUAAGGCCGCUCGAGUCCGCUGAUCCCGUUGAGGCAAGGAGGCCGUUGAGGGAAUAAGGACAACCAGGCUGCAGGUCACUGGAAAAGGAUUGAAAAGCAGAGAAAUAAGGAUAAUUUAGGUAAUAAUUCUCAACCCUUAUCUGUUGGUGGAAGUUUGUUGCUGAUUAAUGAUGUGGAGAUUUAUGGAGGAAGAGCUAAUCUCCAGAAGUGAUAAGAAAUCUUUUAGCAUUCAAUGAACAACAAUAUCUUGUUAGGAAAUUCUAAAGAAUAUAUAAUAAACUCAACAACCAAGAUAACAUACAAUGAUUAUAUGAUGAUAAUAGAUUUUAAUCUAGGAUCAUUUAAGCAAAGUUCUUAUCUUUUGAGUAAAGAAGAGCUUGUUAGAACAGAAGAUCUACAAGCAGUAUGCACGCUUGACUUACCAAAAGAAAUAAAAAGAAAAAUUAUAAACCAUAUUGAAAUGGAUAAUUUAAAGCAUAAUAUAAUUAUGUUAACAAUAGAACAAGGAAUUGACGUAGCCUUGGCAUAUAUAGAACAUGAAAGUCGAGAAAUUGGACCAUCAUACAUAAACUACAUAGAAAAUUCAGAUAAUGAAGAACUUGAACUGUAAAAAAUAAUAUAGAGAAGCAACCUAUAAUAUAAAUCGGAUAUCUUUUAGGCGUUAUUUUAUAACAACCCACGUAACUAUAACCAGAACAAUUUAUAAACAUAAAAUGGAAACUGGAUUUUAUAUUAGUAUUCUAAAUAAUAUUUAUAUUUUAGUAAAAAUAGAGAUAUUCUAUUAUUCAGAAAAUACUACACAUAAUCCAGAAAUUUCAAAUUUAAAUAAUCCUACUUAUAUUUUAGAAACUAAUAACAAUUAUUACGAUUUUAUUUCCCUACUCCUCCUAAUAUUAUACCUAGGAUACUUGAAGGAGAACAGGUUAUAGCCUUAUAUUUAAGGAAUAAUAGUAGCACAGGAUACGAUAGAUAUACCCUAUAAUAUAAUAAUAAAACAUUCAUUAGAAUUAAAACCAACUAUUUACUCUUAUAUUUUGUUUUCUAUAAUUAUUUUAUUGUCAUCCAAUUUAACUUUGUUUUUUUUUUUUUGCUUAGUUUAUAAAUUUUAGUUUAUUUAGUUUUAUUCAGUUUACAUAUUUUAUUCAGUUUAUAUUUAGUUUAUUCAGUUUACAUUUAGGACACAAACCAAAUGGUAUCAGAGCCAUACAAUCAAAAAGGUUUAAUAAGAUUCAGUAACACUGUACCUAAUUCUAUAAUAUAAUAUCUUGCAUCUAUACAAAUAUGAAUCCAGUAGAAAGUAUAGUUAAUAGUUUAUAUACACUAAAGGUCUUUGAAAAAGAAGAGAUAAAAAAUUUAAUAAUAUCUCUUAAGACAGAAAAGAACAACAUAAGGAAUAUAGAAAUCGAACUAAUACAAGAUUUAUUGGAAAGAUCAAUAGAUACAUUAGGGGGUGAAAUUAUAAUAGAAAAGAAGAUGAAAUUCAUAAAAUUUUUAGUAUGUUGGUAUAAAAAAGAAGCAUUACCAUGAAUCAACAAGCUUUUAACACAAUACAUCAAAUGACAGAAGCUCUAGACCAAAUGAAUUUAGGAUGGGAAAAUGUGAUAACAAUUUAUAUAAAUCUAAUAACCCAAAAAAUAGAAUUAUUAGAACAAGAAAGAAUAGGAAUAAUACAUUUAGGACCAAAGAUUUAUUCUGAAUUUAUAGAUUUAUAUGAAUUUGAUAACCAUGUGUUAUUAUAUAGAGAAAUAAAAAGAACACUAGAAAGAAUAAAAAAUAGGUGUAUAAGUGAUCAAAGGAGACAAAUACACCCGUAAAAUGAAAAAACAUAAAGAACAAGGACUAAAAUGAUAUUUGCCAGAAAGGAAAAGACAAAGAACGUACGUUACACUUAACGUAACUUAGAGAAACCCAUGUGUUAAUAAUGAAGAACCAGCAUAAUUUAUACGAUAUAAGAAGCCCUUUAGCACAUUAACCCGAAUUUAGCUAAUGCAUGUGCCUAAUAUAGCGAAAUCAACAUUCAGCUCAUUAGAAUGCCAUUAUACAAAAAAACUGAAUAUUAAUAGACACUGGAUCAUGUUGGAUUGUUAGUUGUUAAUUAUGAUGGGAAUACAAUUUUCAUAACUAAUGCAUGUGCACUUUCAUUUGUGUCUAAAUAUACAAAAACUUGUAUCCGAUGGUUUACAUUUGUUUAAUCUAACGGCUAUAACAUGUAUACAGACAAACGCUACCGCUGCCAUCUUUCUUUGUCCUCGUUGUAUCCUUGAUCUUAUAUUAUCCUGGUGAUUCUUGAAAGAUCUUCCCAUUCUCACAUGCUGAGUCGCUUGCUGGGAUGAUUAAUACUCGAAGGUCCUUCAUUGGGACAUUUCAGCAAACACCUGAUUCAUUCUAUCAAACAUCUGCAUCACUAAUCGCUAAAUGAUAUAAAAUAGUUCUUUUUUGAAAAAUUGAUAUAAAUCAGUCACCUUAGAUUUUCUUAGUCUCAGAGCACAACGGGUGAUGAUUCCAUGAGAAAUAUUAAUAUGCAUGCAUCCGCUGCAUUAGUUAGAGCUGCUUGUCAUUUUCUUCGUUCUUUUGGAUACUAUUUUAAAUUUUUAAUCAGUCUAAUUCAGCUGCAUGUUUGCUUUCAGUCCAAAUCGAAAUCAGAUAUUAAGUACUUCUACUGGUAUGGACGCACCCAAAAAUCUAUGGGAUCCGUAGUUCUUGCAGAAGCGGCAGAAUGCUGCCAGCAAUUCAGGCAGAUAGAAGCUUGGUUGAGUGGUUGUUCUUCAAUGUGAAAUUCUACAUAAUGGCGAUCCUUUUAAUGGGGUUUAAAUUCUUUUUUUUUUUUUGAGUUGUUGAUUUAGAGCAGAUUAAGUAACAUGUGGCAUUCUAUAUUAAUUCUUGCAAUGCCAUUUCAUGUUAUGGCAUCAACAUUCUUGACCAUGGUUUUAUUUGCUUAAUUUUGCUUUCUGUUUUUGAUAUUUUCUUCGCAUUGUUGUUGUGGGAUUUGUUAUUUGUAGAUAGUGUAUAUGUAUGAAGAUAACGUAAUAAAGUGCUUUUGAUAAAUUCCCCUGGUCUGUUUACUUCACUAAUUCAUUAAUGAGCAAGUCCUCUAUAGAGCUGUGUUGUGCGUUCAAGUUUUGCUACAUGAAAUCGUUAGGUGAGGAGAAUUUUUAAAAGCAUACAUCGAAGUAAUGAUUAAAGGGACAAAAUCAACAUAAAUAUUGAUUAUCUUGAGUUAGAUUAUACAAAGAUCAAAUAAUGAUAAUCUAGUAAAUUUAUCAUAAUACACUACUAAAAAAUGCAUUUUAAUGACACAAAUUUUAUGACAUACAUCUUUAUGUCAUGAAAAUAUUAUGAAAAUACUUGCAUGAUGUAUAAUGCUUCUGUGAUUAUUUGAUGAUAAAUUCAUAAUUGAUGCUGAUAUGAAAUGAAGUGAUGAUAGGUAAAUAUCAUGCGAUUUUUUUUAUGGGUAAGAAUAUUUGAACCCACCAAAUUACUCUUUAAACUUACUUUUUUAUUGAUAAUUUUAUUACAAAAUUACCGAUAAUUUGAAUUACUAUUACAGAAAAACAAUAAUUAUAUAAAAUUAUUUUACUUUUACUCAUUGUUUAAACCUACCGCAAAACUCAAUCAAAGUAUGCUUAUUUUCUUCUUCUGCACAAGUGUAGUAAAGUUUUUAAUAAGUUCCUCCUUCAUCCACAGUUGAGAACUUUCUAACUUUUGUUUCUUGUUCUAGUAAUUUGGAUAUGCUGUGUUAGAUACUGAAUUUAUUAAAUUUCUUCUUCUCUUUUGAAUAAAAUCUCUUUAAAAUUCAAUUCAUAAAAAAAUAAAAAAUUAAUCUCCUUAUAAUUUAAUAUGUUUCAGCUGUCUUAGUGGACUGAUGCAAUUUGUUUCAAUCAAAGUUUUGAAGCAUCCUAAAUUAUUAUUAUUUUUGUUUAAUUUGUUUAGAGUUCAAUUGUUUAGGUCUUGGCUAAUUUUUAAUGAUAAUAUUUAUGAUUAAAUUAUAUGAGUAUGGUUAAUUUUUUUUUCCUUCAAAUUUAUUUUCUGAUGUUGCAUUUGGUUAGCAAAAAGAUAAAAAUAGUAGAAAAUGUCAGAAUUAUUGUAAUGAAAAUGUUGUUUUAGUCUGAUAUUGGGAAAAUAUCCUUAUACAUAUUGGCAUGAUAUUCAUGGGAGACCAAAUUGAGAAUGAUGGCAGACUAUGCAGUACUCACAAUUAAUUUAAAACUCACUAUUUCUAUUGUUUGUGUUUUAGUAACUUUGGGGGAAUUCCAACUAUAGUUACUAAGCUAUAAACUUGUUUAGGAUUACUAAUCAACUUGCUAGAAAGAGUUGCAAACUAAUUAGCUUUCUCUUAUAACUUUUACAGAUCAUCUGUGGAGGAGAACUGCAAGGAGUUGAAGACUCUAGACCCUAAACUUCAUAUCUUGAUUUAUAAGUGUAAUGGGCAUAAGUCCGAAUUAUGGGCUGGAGAUGGUAUAUGUAAUCAUUCUGCUCUUGGUGUUUUUUUUUUCCUCUAGUUAUUUUUGUUCUCUACUCCAUUGUAUAUUUGCAUUCAAAAGUAUUUUUUCUUUGUUUUAAGCUUUUAAAUUUAUGGAGAUGAUCUUAUUAGGCGUUAAAAAAAUAGUUGUAGAGCUUUACUAAAACUAUGUAAACUCUUAUUGAGAUUUGGGUUUGAUUUUGUAAGAUUGCUAAAAAUUUCAUAUUUUAUACUUGUUUUAUACUUUUCUAGUCGAAUUUCUUGCUUGUGGAAGAUAAAAUAAAAGUCCAAUUCAUGUUGUAAAAUUUUUUUCCUCCCUUUUUUCUUCCCUUAUAAUCAGGCUCUGGCUUUGGUGCUAUGCUUGGUGCAGUUUAUGGUUUCAAUGCAGGGAACCAAUUUCAUCAGAAUCAUCUUAAAGGAUCAAAGUGGCUUCCUUUUGUAACUGGGUAAGUCAAUGCUACUUCCUGAAUUCGAUUUGGAGUUCUUUCGGAAUAGAUUUCCUUCCCUUACAUCACUUGGCUUCUAGUUGCAUCUUCUUGGCUUUCUCCAGCGGACUUUUUUAUUGGCAAAUUCCUUUGUUUCUAUUGUUAUCAAGUGCUAGUGCUGGAUUUGGAGGUAUGAAUGGUGCCUUCAUUUUUAUUUUUUUAAUUUUAUUUUGGGUGUAUAGUAUUGUAAUAUACUUCUUUGUAUAUGUUAGAGUGCAAUUUAAGCACUAGUUUUGCAUUGUUUACUUCCCUUAAUAUCGAUGUUUUGCACUUAAUAAUAGUGAUUUACUUUUGUAGGUGCAAUUCUAUUGAUUGGUAAUAAAAUUAAGCUACAAGAUGAUAUUUAAUGAUGAUUGUUCUCUUGGAGAAAUUAUGAGCGUCAGAAGAACUUUGUUGAUAAGGCGUGGGCGCGUGCUGUCAACUACGGACCUGCAGUUUUUAGUUUAAACGUGUUUUGUAUUUUUGGUUAUUUUUGUAAUUACGAAUUUAAUAUUUCAGAUAUUAGCAUUUUAUUUUAAAUAGAAUUCUAGAGGAGAAGAGAGGGAGAGUAUUUAAGGGAGGAAUCUAUUGUGAAAGAGGGUAGAUUGGAGAAAAGAAAGAAACCCUAGAUCUAAAUUUUUCUCUUCUCACUAUGAAGAACUAAACCUAUUAUUCUGGUUGAAGGUUAAUGAAGCUUUGAUUCAUCACUACUGUGAGAUCUUUCUUAUGCUUUAAUUGUUUUAUUGCUUUUUGGGUAUUUGUUUAAUCUCUGAAUUAUUUUCAUGAUUAUGUUUGUUAAUUAGAUAACUGGCCACUAUUUAAUUAUCAACUUAAUCUAUUGUCGAUUAAAGGAUUCAUCGUAUGAAGAUUUUAAUGUUUGUGACAAAUAACAUAGUAGAGAGUUGUGUUGUGAGAAUAAACAAUCUAAUUUAAAUGAACCAUCGUAUGCGUUUGUUGAUUAGGAUUUGGGUCUCUCUGGUUUUUCAAGCUGCCAAUUGAUUAAAUCCUAUGAUCGUAUCUAGGGUUGUCUAUUGAUUAGGGAAAUAACCAACGGUCGUACCUUGGUUAUCGACUAGUUAAGGAAAGAUUGGCUAUUAGAGGGUCUCAGUAGCUAUAACCAGUCUAUUCAUAAGUAGUAAUAAUUUAUAUUUGAAUCAAUGAUCAGUAGUCGAAUCAAGCUGAGUUAAUUCCUUUAACCAGAGCUUUCUCCAAUUUGAAUUACAACUUUAAUUUGCAUUUUUGUUAUUUUAAUUUGAUUUUUAUUAUUGUCAACAAAACCCCCAUUUUAUGUUUUCCGUUUUAAAAGGAUUUAAAUAAUUACCGAUCUCUGUGGACACGACCCUGCUCAAUCACUAUACACAAUUUAUUUAGAGUAGAUAUUUAUUUUUGUUGGCUUCGACAACCAUCAGUAUAGCUAGUACAAAAUAGUUCUUCAACUUCUUACUUUUGGCUUUAAUGGGUUCGACAUAUGAUAGCGGAGCUCUAUCACCAUUUGAUGUCGGACAACAAAUAGGGGACAUAUGGGAUUAGAAAAAUAAGAAACAUGACCAAAAUAAAAAUCUAAUCUACUCAUAUAAGCAACUCAUCAAAUAAGUGUAUCACAUACUUAAGUGAAUAAGAUUCCGUGAUUUCUAGGAAUCCAAGUAAAAUUAUAACAUUCUUUAAAUAAGACUCACAAGCUUAUUAGGUGUUAUAUUGAAUCAUCUAAGUUGAAUAAUCUUUUGGGUUGAAUAUGUUAAUUUCUUAUUCCAUAUGUUUCAGCCUCUCAGUAGUUGAAUUAGCAAUGGAAAUUUGAAAAUGGAAAAACUCAAUGCAAUUAUUUUAGGUGCUUAUCAUAGAUAAGAAUUUCACUUUUUACACUUCAGUGUCUGUUGUCAAAUUUAUUAAGUAUGAACCUGGAUUAGGUUUGUGCUCUCGAGGAUUUAUAAAUAAGUGCUACUUGACUUAGAUGUAAGAAAAUUGAAAAGCAGAGUUGCUUGAUUGAAUAGCUUCAUAUUUUACAUCACAGAAACUCAAUUUUCAUUGCCAUAUGUAGCUCAAAAGAGCAUGGACAUUGAACAUUCAGCUAAUUUAUACUAACUAAUUAACAUGACUAUCAGUUCUUACUUCUUGGUACCCGACAACAUCCAUCCAUAAGAGUGAAACCCCCAUUGAUUUCAUAUAUACAAAAUAAAUAACUUACAAAGACAAUAUUUUGUAUCAAAUAGUUGAUUUCUUCAUGUGAAAUUCUACCUAAUGGCUAUCCUUUUAUCUGGUUUAAAUUCUUCUUUUUUCUUUGAAUUGUUGAUUUCUAAUGUUCUUGUCAUUUGCACAUGUGGCGUUCUGCACUCUUGCAAUGCCAUUUCUUGUUAUGGCAGCAGCAUUCUUGGUCAUGGCAUCACAAGCAAAUGCUUUUGAAUUGCUUUGUUUGUUUUUUGUUUCUGAUAUUUUUUUUUUUUGGCAUUGUGGGAUACUGUUUCUCUUUUGAUUUUCUGUCUUUGUUGUUAUGGGAUUCUGGUAUAGUAUGCAUCAGUACACGUAUGAAGAUGAUGUGAUAAAGUGCUUUUGAUAAAUUGCCCCAGUCAGUUUACUUCACAAACCAACCAUUAAUGAGCAAAUCCUUCUAAUGACCCUUGUACACAUUAGAAUGAAUGCAAUUAUAUAUAUACACAAAAAUAAAUAAUUCUCAAGUAUAUUAUUUGAUAAUCGCAAAAGCAACAAGUCACUCCAAUAAAUCUCAUAACACACUUGUGGUCUAUAUUGCAAGUCUUUGUAGAGAAAAUAUGAAGGACACACAAUUGAAUUUUUUCUAUGAUAAAGAACUCUAAACAAAUUCAUAUACAUAUCGCAGUACCGCUUACAAAUUCAUUUGUUUCUUCUUUUCCUUUGAUCAAGUGCUAAUUACAGCCUUGAUAUUUCAUUUGGUUUUAGUUAAUUUUCUAUAGGGUUGUGUUGUAUGAAAUUAAUUACAAAACAAUCUUUAACGAAGUCUUAUGAAAAUACCAUAUUAUAACUACAAAGUUAGGCUUCCUAAUCAAGCUACUGUUCAUCAGAUUGUGUAUUGUGUUACUGGUGAGCUCUUAUGUCAAUUAUGACCAGACGGCGCCUUGGCUAACUGUGAGUUAUGUGCGAACAUAAGAGCUGCAAAUGAGUUAUGUACUAUUUUUAUGUGACAAGGUAUGUGCUCUGUUUUUAUGGUCUUUCUCUCUGUAGUUCCCUCUGUAGUUUUUUUUUUGGGAUACAUUGAUAAUAAAAUUAGAAGUCUACUAAUAUGUACAAUCAGAAACCUAUUGGGGACUUUUUGUCUUUUGAUGCAGUUGUAGGGCACAGCUCAAAUAUUCUUUCCUCAUUUAAUAUUGGAGAAAUCCGACUCCCAAGCGAUUCUGUUUGCGGUUGUUGGACAAACUGUAAUGUGAAUUUAUAUCUAAUGGGUGUGAUAAUCCUUGUAGUCAGUUUGGGAUUGUUGAUAUAGAUAUGAUGUUUAGUCUCCAAAAUUCAGAUGAUGAUAAUCUUGUGAGAACUUUUUGUCAUAUUUUCUUUUGUGUUGGUGUUGGGAUCUUAAUUUUGUAACCAAUGUUACGGACAAUAUGAACCCAUUUUAAGUGAUAUGAUGCAAGUUCAUGUUCAAGAAUCCCUUUAAUGAAACAUUCCAGUGUUUAAUAAUGAUGAGUAAUUGAUUUAAAUUAAUACCAAAUAUUUUAAAUAACAUGUGGCGUAUUCUAGUGGGAUCCUCCAACUCAGAUUUCUAACUCAAAUGGAAACGUUUCGAAUUUCUUCAUAACAUUCUGUAGAACGGUUCUUCUCGUCUUUACACUUCCUUUUGUGAAUUUCUCCCAGUUUCUUUUGUGAGGACUUCUGAAUAAGCUUCCAGGUAUUGAGAUACAAUCCAAUCUAAGCCCAUAAGUAUAUCCGCCUCACAUUUGUCCAUUUCCCCAGAAAAUCAAAAAGCACUUUGCUUCGAAACAAUCACUCUCAAAAAAACCAUCUAGCUACCCAGAUGGCGAAAUCAAGAAUCUUGCAAUGGCAAUGCCAUUUCUUGUCAUGGCAGCAGCAUUGAUGAUCAUGGCAUCACAAGCAAAUGCUCUGAAGCUGUACGUACGAUCACCUUUCUUUGACAUGAUGUUCCCAAUGACAGAAGAUCCUUUCAGGGUUCUUGAACAAGCCCCUCUAACAAUCCCAAAAGGUGCUGAUCAUCAUCAAACUCUAACCCAGGCGAGAGCAGACUGUAUGGAGACACCAACAGCACACGUGAUCACGCUCGACAUUCCAGGGAUGAAGAAAGAUAAUGUGAAUAUUGAAGUUGAAGAGAACAGGGUCCUGAGAGUGAGUGGGGAGAGGAAGAGUGACGAUCACUAGAAGGAGGGAGUUGAAGGAGAGAAAUAGCACAGAGCUGAGAGAACAUUUGGCAAGUUUUGGAGGCAGUUCAUGAUGCCCAUGAGUGCUGCCUUGGAUCAUGUUAAGGCUCAUUUGGAAAAUGGUGUUCUGAGGAUCACAGUGCCAAAGCUUAGUGAGGAGAAGAAGAGGCAGCCCAAGGUUAUUAACAUUGAUGAAGAGCCUGGUAAUUCUUCCGGUGAAGAUAUUAAGACCGCCAAGGCUCAAAUGUGAUUUGAUUAAAGAAAGAAGUGCUUGAUGUGCUAUUUGUUUUGUGAUCUUUUCUUGGUUUUGUUGUGGGAUGUUUUUCUUUGGAUGUUCUGUUUAUUGUAUUUUGAUGGAUUUUUAAAGAUGGCUUGUAUGUAUUAACAACAAUAAAGUGUUUUCUAUAAAUCCGGGUCCUAAAUUUGUAAAAGAAAUUAAUAAAACGCUUGGUUUAUUGUUAAUAAAAAUAAAAAAGAAGUCUCUUUUUCUUUAGCAUAUAUUAUGCAUUUUAAGGAAAAAAAAAUUAUCACAUUCUAAUUCAUAAAGAUAUUCCUCUUCUGUCAUAUUAAUGUGUUAAUACGACGGUCUAUUGGAGUUAUAAUAGUUUAGAUGAAUCCAAAAUAUUCAACAAUUGAUAAAUAGUAUAUAUAAAUAUUAAUAGCAAUGGCACAUAAUCAAGUAAUUCAAGAACUUGCCCAUAGUGCAUUAAGUUAAAAGAGUAAAAAUAACAUUACAAAACAUGCCAGACCUUACGUGUUAAAUUAGCAAUUGAAAACUACUUUACCGUACAACACCAUUAAGAGAUAUUUAUAACACUGUUGCUGAUGAGGCAGCUGUUAAUUCUUUUGGUGAAGAUGUUAAGGCCACUAAAGCUGGAACGUAAUCAGGGAAAUAUAAUGUAUUCACUUAGUUUGCUAUUUGUGUUUUUAUAUUUGUUUGGCUAAUUCUUUGAUCAGAUUGCUUUUUGUUUUUGAGAUUUUAUUGGCUUAGUCGUGGGAUAUUAUUUAAUCUUUUAAUUUUGUGUUUUUAUUGUUAUGGGAUUUGAUGAUGGCAUACAUAUAGGAAAAUUAUGUAAGAAAGCGCUUUUAAUAAAUUAUGGCCGGUUUACUAUUAAUUAACUAAAUUUAAUUUACUCAAAUUACUCCUAUACACGAUCAAAAUAAUUUCAAUUCCAUGAUAUAAAUACGCGCGUGCGGACACACAAAAUGUAAAUAACUUUCAAAUACAAAAUAUUUAAAAUAAUCAUCAUACUAACAAUUCACAAGUUAGAUUAUAAUAAGGCCCCCAAGGCUUAAAUGUAAUUGAUUAAAGAAAGAAGUGCUUGCUUUCCUUGAUGUGCCAUUUGUCUAUGAUGUUUUCUUGGUUUUGUUGUGUGAUGCUUCUCUUUAGAUGUGCUGUUUAUUGUAUUUUGAUGGGUUUUUGAGGAUGGUUGUAUGUAUUAGCAACAACAAGGUGCUUUUUAUAAAUCCGGGUUCUAAUUUUGUAAAAGAAAUUAAUACUCUUGGUUUAUUGUUAAUAAAAAAGAAAAAAGAAAAAACCUUUUUUCUGUGGCAUAUAUUUUGCAUUUUAAGAAAAAAAAAAUCACAUUCCAAUUCAUGAAAGACAUUCCUUCUGUCAUAUUGAUGUGUUAAUAGAAAGAUUUAUGUGAAUUAUAACAAUUUUGAUGAAUCUAAAUAUUUAAUAACUGAUAAAUUGUAUUUAUAAAUAUUAAUGCCGGUGGCACAUAAGCACUUAAUUCAAGAACUCCCCUAUGGUGCAUUAAUUUAAAGAGUAGAAAUAUUUAAUAAAUCAUGCUCGGUUUACUAUUAAUUAAUCAAAUUUAAUUUACUCAAAUUACUCCUCUACAUGAUCAAAGUAAUUUCAAAUAUACAACACACAAAAUGUAAAUGACUUUGAAAUAUAAAAUAUUUAAAAUAAUCACCCCACUAACAAUUCACCAGCAAGAUUGUAAAUAGUCGAAAUAAUGAUAAUCUAGGGGGUCCAGUCAUAAUAAUUUGAUUUUUAUUUAUAUUAAUUAUAUCAGAAAGAGUACGCGAGAUUAUAUAUAUAUAUAUAUCCAACAGCUAAAAUUUCAAAACAAUAUUUGCCCAAGUCUGAUGAAGAGAAUACAUAUAUAUAACAUGCACUCGCACACAUUCUAUUGUUUAAUUAAAAAAUUCGAAAGCCCAUUAUAUACAUGAUAAAGACUCACCGACACCGAACCAUAUUCAUUUAAAGGAAUUGUUUUCAACUGAGAUUUGAAAUUAUAUACACAAACACACCCGAUUUUUUUUUUUUAAAAAAAUUACUAAUAAUAAAAUAUUUAAGACGUCCUCUGUUCAAUAAUCAAAAACCCAUUUAAAAUCUAUUUCAACUUUAGGUAUAUGGGUUAACAAGUCCCAAUAUUGUCCUCCAUCCUUUCUGCACUUCUCUUCCAUCAACGGACAUGCCGAGAUCCAUAAUUGCAAAAGUGAGGAAGGCAGGCCCUUCUCCGGAAAGUAUUUGAGCUUGGGACAAUAGAAGAGUUGCAAUUCAGUGAGGUUUUGAAGAUCAACAAUUGAAGAAGAUAGGCGUUCCAGAUUUGGAAAAUUAUCAAUCCAAAGAGAUGUUAGAGAGGCAGGAAGAGGAAGCGUGGUCCCCAAUCUUAUGUCCUCCGAUGGGAAUGACACCAUGUCGUCAUCACAUCCUCUGAUUGUGAGUUCACGCAGAGAGGAGAAUCUGUGAAAUCCCCGGCCCCGCUCAAUCAUUGACUUCCAAAUCUUCAUAUUAUUAUCAAUCAUAAGAGAAUGAAGGUUGGGGGGAAGGCCAUCAUCUUCAAGGCUUGGAAGCUCACCUCCUAUUCCUAUUGUUAAUUCUUGAAGAGAGUUCAGAUUGUGCAAUCCCUUGGGUAUGGCCUCUAGUCUGUUACAACCAGAUAUCUCCAGCCUCGUGAGUUUCGCACAAGGCAAUCCCCCUUCGGGAAAGGACUCCAGAUUUCCACAAUUUAAUAUCUUAAUCUCUUGAAGCUGGCGGAGAUUAUGUAAACCACUCGAUAAAUUUUUCAGACUUUCACACCCAAAAAUACUGAUUGUUUCAAGAGAUGUGUUGUUGUCCAACCUUUCUGCUAUUGACUCCAGCUUUGAACAUCCCCAAACAAAAAGGGACUUAAGAGACGGAGGUAGAUUGCCAACUUCAAGGGACUCAAGCGUGGCAGGUAACUCAUUUUUUGAAAAUAUACAUGUCAGAGAUGGACACCUGUCAAUUAAUAAGUGCUCAAGAAGAUAUGAGGUGUACCUUCUGCUGCUGCUGCUGCUCUGGAUGCCCUCUUCCACUGUCAAAGUCCUUAUGUUACUGCAACUCCGGAUCUCCAACCUCUUAAGGCUCAGUGGUAGCUGGACUCCAGCAAUAUAUGUCAACGAAUGGCACCACAAAAUCUCCAAGAUCUCGAGAGAUGAAUUGGUGUCGCACAUCCAUGCCUCUGGUAACGAUUUCAGUGCAUCACAAAUCGAAAUGGAUAUUCUCCUCAACUUGGAAGACAGAGCAACCUCAGGAAAGGAAACAAGGGACCUGCAGCCGUAGAUUUCUAUCUCUCUCAAGGAGCUAAGGCUGAGCCAUGAUUGUGGCAACUUCACAAGGUCUUGGCAAUCUCUCAAUUCUAUAUAUUCGAGUCCGCACGACAAAUCGCAGAGCUGCUGUUGUUGGUCUUUCUCUUCCUCCGCCACCAAGGAUUGAAGUUUGGGACAGCUUCUUAUCUCCAGACAUUUGAGAGAGCAAAUGUCUUGUUGUAAUCCGUCAUGACUCUUCCAUAUAUAUGUUUGCUCUCUUGUCGACAAAAUUAAUACUUCCAAUUUCGGUAGUCGUGGCUUUAAUGGCCCUGCGAGAAACACUUGAUUUGAUGUAUCUCUACAAACCACUGAAUUCUGUGAGCCGAGAUGAUCAGUUACACUUCUCCACAACCUUUUUACAUCCACCAAUUUCCAAUUUGCAAAGAGCUGGAAGACUCGAAACUGAAACUGACAAUUCUUCACAUCCUUUAAUAACAAGCUUCUCCAAUGCAGGAAGGUGCUCUGGAAAUGUUCCUUGCAGCUUAGAACAUCUUAAAAUGUGAAGCUCUCUCAAUUUAGGAAACCGUUCAACUCCUUGACUGGAUCCAUGAGGAAUCCAGUCUUCCCAUCCUUGCAUGUCUUCAAAAUGAAGAGUCUCCAAGCAUGGAAAAGGAAUUGGAGUAUCAUUCCCAUAGAACUCUGAACCCAACCUCUUUACACUAGUCAUUCCACAUACUGCAAGAUGCUUUAGAGAGGGUAGUUGGCCGACUGACGGCAGGGUAGGACACAUGCCACAAUAUUCAAAUUUUAAGGUCACCAAAUUUGAGAAUGAGGAAUCUCCGAACCAAGUUGGAAAUUUUGCACCUCUAUAGCCGCUGAUACAAAAUUGUUCCAAAUUUUUAUGGGGUUCUAGCAUGUCAAGCACGUCCUUUUCAAUUUCCGCCUCCCUUGAAGACGAGCCAUCGGUACUGAGUGUCCAUCGAAGCAAUAAUUCUCUAAGAUUCUUCUUUCCAUCCAAUUGAGCCUCCUUUGCAUCACCAAUGUCUUUUACAUUCUCCAAUUUUGAAAUGUUAAGUGUCCCAUGAAGGUGCGUCAACAACUUUAGCUCUCGUAACCCCGAACCACUACCUUUUCCCACAACAAAAUUACACAACGUCUGAAGACUAGUCAACCUACCAAUUCCUACUGGCAUUUCCUCCAACGACUUCGUAUUUGAAUUCUUAAGAUGAUGCAAUUUGGCGAGGUUUCCCAUGUGUGCACACAACUUCUUCAGCCGAUCACAAUCUUCCAACAAAAGACAAUGCAAAUUGUAAAGCUUGUUGACUGAUUCAGGCAAAGUUCUAAUCUCAGUUCCAGACAGGUUAAGGUACCUUAAAUACCUCAAAUCACCAAUUGAAUUCGGCAGCUCAGGGAUGCGGUAUCCACGCAAAGAGAAUCAAAAUGAUUUUUAGUUGUUCAUAAGCAGAUCACUAGAUCAACAAAUAAUUGAAGACUGGCUUGGCUAUUGAACCAUACGCGGAAAUUCGAAGACUGAAACUUAACUCUGCCGUUCGAAGUAAGCAACUAAGGUGCCCAAAGCCUGUCAAGCCAUCAAGACAAUAUGAAGAUACAACAUCAAUAAUAAUAACAUCAAAAAAUACAUAGAGGCCAUUACAUAUUACACCUACCCCAAUUAGAAAUUAGUUAAUACAGUCCUAGCUCCUCUGUUUUAAAAGAAAUUCACAAACCCAUGCAGUAGGAAUAAUUAAUUAAUUUAUACAGUUCGGUACUCAUUCCUCUUCUGUUUCAAAUCCAUAUCCACUGCUCUGCCAUUUAUUACUACGCAAGGUAUAUGGGUUAGCAAGUGCCGACAUUGUCCUCCAUCCUUUGUGUACCUUUCUUCUAUCAAGGGACAACCCAAGAUCUCUAAUCGCAAGAAAAAUAUUUCAAAGUAAAAAAUGAUUUCUUAAAAUCUAUUAGCUAGUGCACAUAAUAAAAGGGCAUUCGUGGUAAAUUUUAGAUUACAAGUAGUCCCACCUUUUUAAUAAUAUUCUACAAUCAAUUCCGUUUGUUUUAAAAUAAAAGGAAUCUAUCUCUUUAUUACUUUCUAAUUAGUCAUAUUAAUGUGUUAAUAAUGAUGAAGAACCAGCGUAAUUUAUAUGAUGUAGGAAACCCUUUAGGCAAAAUAACCUGAAUUUUUUAGAGUAGCGGCUAGACAUAUUGGGCAUAACCUCAGUUUCUGUUACUUCUUUGACCCUGCCUAAGCUCUUUUAAGGGCUAAUAUCAAAAUUUCGUGAUAUUGUGCCUAAAGAGCUUCCAAUUCAAGGAGCUCCCCUGUUUUUGACUGAAACAUAUGUAAUCCGAAAAAUUUAUAAUUAGAUAAAUCAUUCAAAAUCUCCCUGAAUCUAACCCACAUUUCUAUGGUUUAAUAACAUAUCACAAAGGUGCCUAAUAUAAUGAAAUUAGCAUUAGUUCACGAGAUUGCCAUUAUAUAUAUUGAAAAAGAAAUUAAUACAAGAAACUGAAAAUUAAUUGACACUGGAUCACGUCGUGUUAUUAGUUUGAUUAUGAUGGGAAUAUAAUCUUGGUCUUUUAAUUAUCAUCUGUUAGGAAAUUGGUGGGUGAAGCAGACACGCAACUAAAGUAAAAUUGUAAGAAAAUAAAGAACAAGCACAAAAAUGGACACUAGAAUUUACGUGGUUCGGCUUUUAACCUACAUCCACGGGCGAAAACAGAAGGAAAUAUUUUACUAGUGAAAAGGAGUUACAAGUAUUGUAGUAUUUUAGCUCACUUCCCAAAACCCCAAUACACCCAAACUCUCAUAACACUAAUCACUCAAGAGUUUAUUAAACUCUUAAUACUCUCAACUCUUAAGGAAGGAAAUGCUUCUCUCUCAAAAUGAAAUAAAUUUGCUCAUUCUCUUCGUUUCUAUUUAUAGAGAAAGCUUUGGCACUAUUCAUCAAUUAUAUAUUUUUUUUUUCUUCUUUCUUUUGUCAAAGCCGUGUGCCUCUUAUUUCUUCUUCAAACAUUUACAGCUUCUAGAUUGCGGCUUCUCAUUCUCCAUUCUUCUUUUGUUUUCUUUUCCAACGAAAGAUGGUGUUGACCAUCUAGAUAGCCAUUUUUUUUUGACAUUUCUCCCACUUGGAGAUUAGAUUGAGGACCAAUCAAUCUCCACAUCAUCUAGCUACCGCAUGUGCACUAGUUUCAUUUGUGUCUAUCAUUGAAGAGUAGAGUUGCUUGAUUUGAAUAGUAUCAUAUCAUAGAAACUCAAAACUCAAUUUCGUUGCCCGAGCAUACCAUGCCAUAUGUAGCUCAAAAGUGCAAUAACAUUGAACAGUCAGCUAGCUAGCUUUUACUAAUUAAUUAAUACGACUAUCAGUUAUUUUUGAUUAAUUAAAAGAGAAAAUAUUUGACAAUCAUGAAAACAACAACAAUUCACUCCAAUAAACAACAUAAUAAAUACAUGAUAUUUAUUAAAAGUCUUUUUAUGAUGUAGAUUAGAAGGGAAAAUACGAAGGACAUAUUAUAUAUUAUAUAUGAUUGAAUUUAAUCCAUGAUAAUUAGACAAAAUAACACUAAUCUAGCUAACUAAUCCAACCAUCAUAAUAAUUUGAUUUUCAUUAUUUUAUUGUGUCCAAUCAUGCUAAUUUAAUAAGAAAAACACAGAACACUUGAGGAUUUAGAUAUUCAACAACUUUGGCCAAGUUUGAAAAAGAUUAGGGCUUCCUUCAUGCUUUGUGUUCUUAUGUUACACAUGAUCAUAUUAUGUGACAUUUGACAGAAAACUGAAAAUUAUUCAAAAAAAAAAUCUUAGUUAGCACAUGAUCAAAAUGAGAGAAUAAUGCACACACAUCACAACAAUGUUUCAUUCAUUUUGAAUCUAUAUUUACAAAACUUGUCCGAUGGUUUACAUUUGUUUAAUCUAACGGCUAUGACAUGUGUACUGUCAAAACGCUACAGCUGCCAUCUCUGUUUGUCCUUGUUGCAACCUUGAUCUUAUAUUAUCCUGGAGAUUAUUGAAUGUUCUUCUCAUUCUCAUGUGCUCGAGGGUCCUUUCUUGAGACAUUUCAGCAAACACCUGAUUCAUCCUAUUAAACAUCAGCAUCAUUAAUCAGUAAAUGAUGUAAGGUAGCCCUGUUUUGAGAAGUCAACAUAAAUCAGUCACCUUAGAUUUUCUGAGUCUCAGAGCACAAUGGGUGAUGAUUUGAUGAGAAAUAUUAAUAUGCAUGCAUCCCCUGAAUUAGCUAGUGCUGGUUGUCAUUUUCUUCUUUCUUUUGGUACGGUUUUAGAUUAUUAAUCAAUCAGAUUCAGCUGCAUGUUUGCUUUUAGUCCAAACCAAAAUAAGAUAUUAAGUACUUUUGCCAGAACAGACGCAACCAAAAUUCUAUGGGAUCUGUAGUUCCUAGUUCAUGCAGAAGCGGCCGAAUGCUUCCGGCAAUCAGGCAGAUAGAACCUUGGUUGAUUCGUUUUUCUUCAUCUGAAAUUCUACCUAAUGCCUAUCCUCUUAAUUGGUUUAAAUUCUUCUUUUUUUUCUUUGAAUUGUUGAUUUAUAAUGUCUUGUAUGCAAAAAUUUAUAAUUUCGGAUGAUGAUAAUCUUGUUUAAGAAGAGAUUUCUAGUUACGGCAGCAGCAUUCUUGAUCAUGGCAUCACAAGCACGUGCUCUGGUUUGCUUAGUUUCCUUUUUGUCCCUGAUAUUUUCUUGGUAUUGUGGGAUAUUGUUUCUCUUUUGAUUUUCUGUUUUUGUUUGCUUAGUUUCCUUUUUGUCUCUGAUAUUUUCUUGGCAUUCUUGUUCUCUCUUAUAAUAAAGUGCUAUUGAUAAAUUCGCCAGGUCGGUUUACUUCACUGACCAUUAAUGAGCAAAUCCUCCCAGUGACCCUCAAACUCUUCUACACAAUUAUAAUAAUUUCAGUUUUAUAUAUACAAAAAUGAACAGCUCUCCAAUAUAUUAUUUGAUAAUGACAAAUACAACAACUCACUCCAAUAAAUCUCAUAAUAAAUAAAUGGUCUAUAUUGCAAGUCCUUUUAGGACACAUUAAAAAAGAAAACGUAAGGAAUGGCAUUGCAAGAAUAUGGAAUCAGAAUAACAGUGAUACAAAGAGAAAAAAAAGGGGAUGGUCGGGUUGGGUUGCUUGCAAAAUUAUUGGUGCGGGGGUCUACUUGUUUUUGUUUCACUUUAUUAAUUAAUUACCGAAGCAAACACGUCAUCAUUUGAAAAAGAAUCACUAGCACCAGCUUAUGAAAAAUAAAUUUGUAAGACAUAUUAAUUUCAAUGAAAAUGUAGCGUGAUUAUGUUAUGAAUUCAUUAACUUACUUCAUUAAUAUUCUUCAUCAUUAUGGUUAAUGGCUUAGCAAAUGCAGGAGCAGGGGUCACCCAAAGUAAAACACUUUCUCUUGUAUUAACCUUUGCUAGCCGUCGAAGUUAAAUUUUUUUUUGAACAAGUUAAAACAGUUCCAACUCAGAAUUAGUAGUGCCCAAUUGGGUUGUUAUAAAUAUUUCGGAAUUUCAGUCUAAGUUGAAUUGUUUAAUUGUGUAUGCACAAACAAGCUUGACCACUUCUUUCAUAUUGAUACCUAUAAAUUGCAACCUUAUUUUACGUUGAUGCACAAUCUAAUUUAACAAAAAGAAUAUUCAAAUUGUCACAAAAUGUUUUCUUCUUAAUAUAUAUAUAUAUAUACAAUAGUUAAUUUUUCUUAUUCUUCACUCCAGGAUCCAGCUCCAUACCCCUCUCUUUGUCGUUAUGCUGCUCAGCCGUUAGAUUUUAAUUACAUUAAUCUAACAGUUGAGAUUUGUAAAUGAAUAAUGAUGUGGUGUUUGGCUACUAUCUGAGCCCACUGCAUCUAUUUGGUUUUGUGAUUUUUCGAUUGACUAGUUCUGAAAAUAUCGGCAGCCAUCGACGGCAAAUCUGAACAAAGGCAAUAGGAGGUGAUCGUGGUGAAAUUGUUUUUUGUCAUGCGAAUCUAACGACUUUCGAAUACGUUCAUUCAAAUAUUAAAUGCAAUUCAGGAAAAUAGAAGCUUGGUUGAUUGAUUGCUCUUCAUGUGAAAUUCUACCUAAUGGUUGUCCUUUUAAUGGUUUAUACUGUCUUAUAUGCAAAUUAAAUUCGGAAUUCGGAUGAUAAUAAUCUUGAUUUAGAACAGAUUAGGUAACACGUGGCAUUCUACAUUCUUGCAAUGCCAUUUCUUGUUAUGGCAGCAGCAUUUUUUAUCAUCGUUUCUAGAGAGAAUGAAGAGAGAGAGAAAGUAUCAUCUUAUUCCUUGUUAGUUUCUCCGUGUGAGCUCUGUAAAAUACUUUGAUUCAUAAAUAAAACUCAUUUUAGUCGAUUCUCCCUUGGAUGUAUGUUCUGCCUCAUUGCACAGCCGAACCACGUAAACAGUGCUGGUUUCUGUUUUUUUUCAUUUGUGUCUAUCACUAAAUUAUAAUUGCAAUAGGCAGAGGCUAUAGCUUUUAAAUAUUUGUUAGAUCCAUUGAGAAUAAUUAUAUUGGGCUAAUUUUCAAACACAAUAGGCAGAGGCUAUAGCUUUUAAAUAUUUGUUAGAUCCAUAGUAUUAUCGUCAUCGUUAUCAUUUAAACAAAGAAACAAAAUAAAUUUCAUUAAACUGUAGUAGUGGAUUAAAAGUUAGUCCAUAGUAGACAUUAAGAUUGAUAGUUAGUUCAUAGUAGACGUUAAGAUUGAUACUUUCAAUUAGCAUAUUCAUCAAAGGUAUCCAUGAUGUAUAUACUCGAGCUCCACUUGGGAUGUAUAAAUAACUCGACACAAACAUUCAAAUCAAAAGUUUAAAAUUGACAAAAGAUAUCUUUAUUAAAUGAGUUAGAUCUUUGUUAUCGACUCACUUUCGGUGAAUAAAUGAGUGCUUUCACACCAAGGGAAACGGCAUUUAAUAUUUUCAGCUACCUAGCGUUGACUUCUCCAAAGAAGCAUGUGAGUGUUCAUAUUCGGGCAACUAGUAUAUUAUUUCAUUACAACAUAGUUAAAUAUAGCGUAAUAUAAUAUUUAUAAUGGAAUUAUAAUAUAAUGUGUGUAAUAGUAUCAUAUUACAUCACAUAAACUCUCUCAAUUAUUGAAAAAGAAAAUCUUAAAAGAUCCCUACUCUGUACUUAAAAAAUCUUCAAAGUUUGCAAUUAUUGAUAACUGAAAAUUAUUGAAAAAAAAAAUCUUAAAAGAGAUGUGUUGAAUUGUGAAAUUAAAACUGAGUUUCAGACAUUUCUGACAUGUCGGUUUAUAUCCUUGAUUGUGCAUGCCCUGUCGGUUGCUUGAUGAAACAGGAGAAUAUUGACAUCUGUGUAUUAUCGUUUACUUCCUGCAAUUAAAUCACAUGUUGUUCACGUGAUUCCAUUUACUCUAUACGGCACAUUUGGCAGUCGUUUUGGUCACUUACCGAAGCACGGGUUAAGUACUUGAUUCAAGGUUGUUAACUGACCUUUACAAGGCGGGAAAAACAAACCCGGAAUGCAGCUAGUGAGUGGGGGACUUUUCUGGACUCUUCAUGAUAUGUAUAUAUAGUCUUAGAGGCUAUAGUUGAGACAUAUGAAAAGCUUGGAACUUCUUCUUAAUGUUUGUAGUUUGAUCUCGGUGAUGGAGAUAAGAUUGCUGCCCUGUUCUCCAGGCCGAACCACUUAAAUUGUGCCUCUGUUUUGCUUGAUGACUGCCAGUGGUGAGAAAACAGCUACAGAACAAAUCAAGCUUGAUGACUCAAAUAUUAGGGAAGCCAUAGUCAAGGCAUCUGGUUUAUGCAUCAACAGUGGUUCGUGGACUAGAAUUCCUAGCUAUUGCGGCUUCACAAUUGCACUGGAAGAAAGCGAAUUUGAUCGAGCUUUGGAUCGCAUAGCUAAAUUCAAAAGCAUCGUACAAAUAGUUAACUAAAAAACGGUAUUGUCAUUUGUCAUGAUUUAUUUCUAUUGCCUGAUGAUGAUACCCAUCACGCCUUAGUUGUCGUGAAUAAAUCUAAAAUCAAAUUGAACUGGUUCUUACUGGUUUUAGCAACAUUUGUGACGUUUUGAGAUUAUAAUAUAUGACAACACUGAUUAGUGUUGUCUCCCAUGUGAAUUGAGACAAAAAUUAUUUUCCCAAUUGCACUUUCAUUUGAACAAUUCCACUGUAGAUUUAUAAAAUAAUGAUGAAAUUGUGUUUUAUAUUAAGUUAUGAGUAAUUGGUUAAAUAUUAAUACAAAACUAUUUUAAGUAACAUGUGGCAUAUUCUAAUUCUAGCCAAGCUUCCAACUAAGAUUCCCAAAUCAAAAGAAUUUCAAUCUUCAGAACAUUCUGCAAAACGUUUGGCCUCUACGCAGUGCUAGAAUUUUCCCUAAGUUUCUAUCGCAAAGACUUCUAAAGAACUAUUCAGAUGUCGAGCUAUAAUCCAGUCUAAAGUGUAUAUAUCUCUCUAAUUCACCUCCCUCCAUUUCACCAGAAAAUCAACAAACACUUAGCUUCAAACAAACACUCUCAAAAAGCUAGCUAGCUACACAGAUGGCAAAACCAAGAAUUCUUGCAAUGACAAUGUUGUUUCUUGUUAUGCUAGCAAUAUUGAUGAACAUGGCAUCUCAAGCAAACGCUCUGAUGCCGUACACACAAUCACCUUUCUUUGACAUGAUGUUCCCAAUGACGGAAGAGCCUUUCAGGGUUCUUGAACAAACCCCUUUAACAAUCGCAAAAGGAGCUGAUCAUCAUCAAACUCUAGCCCUGGCGAGAGCAGACUGGAUGGAGACACCAACAGCCCACGUGAUCACGCUCUACAUUCCAGGGAUGAAGAAAGAUAAUGUGAAGAUUGAAGUUGAAGAGAACAGAGUACUGAGAGUGAGUGGGGAGAGGAAGAGUAAUGAUUAUUAUAAGGAGGGAGUUGAAGGAGAGAAAUGGCACAGAGCUGAGAGGACAUUUGGCAAGUUUUGGAGGCAGAUUAGGAUGCAUAUGAGUGCUGACUUGGAUCAUAUUAAAGCUCACAUGGAAAAUGGGAUUCUGAGGGUCACAGUGCCAAAGCUUGCUGAGGAGAAGAAGAGGCAACCUAAGGUUAUUAACAUUGAUGAAGGGUCUGGUAAUUCUUCCAAUGAAGAUAUUAAGGCUACCAAGGCUCAAAUGUAAUUGAUUAAAGAAAGAAGUGAUUGCUUUGCUUGAUGUGCUAUUUGUUUAUGAUCUUUUCUUGGUUUUGUUGUGAGAUGUUUCUAUUUGGAUGCUCUAUUUAAUGUAUUUUGAUGGGUUUUUGAGGAAGGCUUGUAUGUAUUGACAACAAUAAAGUGCUUUUUAUAAAUCCUAGUCCUACAACACUAAAAGAAAUUAAUACGCUUGGUUUAUAGUUAAUAAUUUUUUUUUUUUUUAAAAGUCUUUUUCUUUGGCAUAUAGUAUGCGUUUUGAGGGGAAAAAAAUUUAUCCCACUCCUAAUUCGUGCUCUUCUGUGAUAUUAAUGUGUUAACACGAAGAUUCAUUGUAAUUGCAACAAUUUUGACAAAUCCAAACGUUCAAGAACUGUUAAAUUGCAUUGAUAAAUGCUAAUAGCAAAGGAACAGAAACGAUUAAUUCAAGAAGUUGCUUAAAGUGAAUUAAAUUAGAGAGUAUAAAUAAUUGUGUAAUACAGUCCAGUCUGCAUGUGUUUAAUUAGCAAUCAAAAACCACUUUGCAACACCAUUAAAAAAACAUUUUAACAUUAUUGCUGAGGGAAGAGGCAGCUUAGGCUUAUUAACUCGUAUUAUUAAUGCUGAUGACGCAACUGGUAAUCCUUUUGGUGAAUAUAUUAAGGCAGCUGAAGCUUAAAAUUAAUUAAGCCCACUAAAGCUUAAAAGUAAUUCUUCUAGUGACGAUGCUUUGCUUAGUUCGAUUUUCUGUUUUUAAUUUUUUUGGGGCUAACGUUUUGCUUAUUUUGCUUUUAAAACUCUUGUGCACCGUCAAAACAAUUUGACUCUUGAUAUAUAUGUAUAUAUAUAUAUAUAUAUAAAUGAGGUUUCAACAGCUGAGAAAGAGAUAGCCACUAUACAUUACACAUUUACACCCAGUAAGAAAUUAAUUCAUUAAUAUAGCCAUUAAGAUGCUUGGUUUAUUGUUAAUGAAAAUUAAAAAAGAAAAUAAAAGGUCUUUUUCUUUGGCCUUUAUUAUGCAUUUUAAGAGGAAAAAAAUUUAUCCCACUCCAAUUCAUGAAGAUAUUCUCGUUUCUGUCAUAUUGAUGUGUUAAUAUGAAGAUCCAUUGCAGUUGGUGAAUUCAAAUAUUCAGUAACUGAUGAAAUGGUAUUUAUUUAUAAAUUCAUACUAAUAGCGAUUGAAGAUUAUAAUUAAUUUUGUAAUAUGGUCAAGCCCUCGUGUGUUUAAUUAGCACUCAAAAACCGCAUUACAAUUAGGCAUUAAAAGAACAUUAUAACGUCAUUGCUGAUGAGUUCUGGUGAAGAUAUUAAGUUAAGGCCACAAAAAUCGAAAUGUACGUAGCUUCAUUUGUUUUUUGUUUUUGAUUUUUUUUGGGGCAAAUGCUUGGCUUCGUUUGCUUUUUCGUUUUUGAUAUUUUUUGUUUUCUUUUGAUUUUCUGUUUUGGUUGUUACGGGAUUUGAUGACGAUGUACAUGUACGAAGAUUAUGUAAUAAAAUGCUUCUGAUAAAUUAUGGUCGGUUUAGUAUUAAUUAACCAAAUUUAAUUUGCUUGAUCAAUUGAUAUUUGUUAGGAUUGUUGUUAUACAAACACAACAAAAGAAGAACACUAACGUACUAAUUAAUUACUAAGAAGAACAUUAACAAUUUUUGCCGAAGUCUGAUGAAGAGAAAUAUUACACAUACGUAACGGUACCACGGAAGGAAAAAAUAAAAGAAACUAAAGUUUAUUUCAACAGACAACAGCUAAGAAUGAAAUAGGCAUAAGAAAUUAAUCCAUUAAUUAAUUAAUUAAUACAGUCCCCCGCUACUAAAUAAAGCGAGCGUCUUACUCUACCUAACAUUUUUCUUUUUAUUAAUUUAAAACAGUUUUCAACUGAGAUUUGAAUUUUAAAAUUACAUACACAAACACACCUAAUUUUAAAGAAAAAAAAUUAUAAUAAUAAAAUAUUUUACAUAUGUAACCAUACGACGGAAGAACAAAUAUAAGAAACUGAAGUUUCAACAGCUGAGAAUGAGAUAGGCAUAAGAAAUUAAUUAAUAGAGUCCUCCUCCUUUGCUAAAUAAUGCGAGCCCAUUGUUCCUUUUAUUUCGAAAACCCAUUAAUCACCAACACAUACACGCCCAAUUUUUUUUUUAAAAAAAACUAAUAAUAAAAUAUUUAAGUCGUCCUAUGUGUUAUCGCUAAAAACAGAUUUACCAUCUAUAGCAACAUGCGGUAUAUGGGUUAACAAGUCCCAAUAUUGUCCUCCAUCCUUUCUGCACUUCUCUGUUAUCAACGGACAACCAUAGAUAAUUAAUUGCAAAAGUGAGGAAGGCAGGCCCUUCUCCGGAAAGUAUUUGAGCUUGGGACAAUGAUAGAGACCCAAGUCAGUGAGGUUCUGAAGAUCAACAAUUGAAGAAGAUAGGCGUUCCACAUUUGGAAAACUGUAAAUCCACAGAGACGUUAGAGAGGCAGGAAGAGGAAGCGUGGUCCCCAAUCUUAUGUCCUUCGGUGGGAAUGACACCAUGUCGUCAUCACAUCCUCUGAUUGUGAGUUCUCGCAGAGAGGAGAAUCUGUGAAAUCCCCGGCCCCACUCCAUCAUUGACUUCCACAUCAUCUUAUUGCCAGCAAUCCAAAGUGAAUGAAGGUUGGUGGGAAGGCCAUCUUCUUCAAGGCUUGGAAGCUCACCUCCUUUUCCUAUUUUUAAUGUUUGAAGAGAGGUCAGAUUGUGCAAUCCCUUGAGCUGGCGGAGAUUAUGUAAACCACUCGGUAAAAAUUUCAGAUUUUCACACCCCAAAAUACUGAUUGUUUCAAGAGAUGUGUUGUUGUCCAACCUUUCUGCUAUUGACUCCAGCUUUGAGCAUCCAUAAACACGAAGGAACUUAAGAGAUGGAGGUAGAUUGCCAAUUUCAAGGGACUCAAGCGUGGCAGGUAACUCGUUUUUUGAAAAUAUACAUGUCAGUGAUGGACAAUCCUUAAUUUCCAACUCCUCGAGAAGAGAUGAUGUGUAACUUCUGCUGUUGCUGCUGCUGCCACUCUGGAUGCCCUCUUCCACUGUCAAAGUCCUUAUAUUAUCACAAUUAUGGACGUCCAAGCUCUUAAGGCUCGGUGGUAGCUGGACUUCAGCAAUAUAUCUCAACGAAUGGCAGUACAAAAUCCUCAAGAUCUCGAGAGAUGAAUUGGUGUCGCACAUCCAUGCCUCUGGUAACGAUUUCAGUGCAACACAUUCUCCAAUCUCAAUUUUCCUCAACUUGGAAGGCAGAGCAACCUCAGGAAAGGAAACAAGGGAACUGCAGCCAAAGAUUGUUAUCUCUCUCAAGGAACUGUGGCUGAGCGAUGAUUGUGGCAGCUUUACAAGGCCUUGGCAGCCGCUCAAUCUUAGAUAUUCAAGUCUGCAUGACAACUCGCAGAGCUGCUGUUGUUGGUCUUUCUCUUCCUCCGCCACCAAGGAUUGAAGUUUGGGACAACUGUCAAUCGUCAAUCUUUUGAGAGAGCAAAUGUCUUGUAGUAAACCGUCAUGACUCUUCCAUAUAUAUGUUUGCUCUUUUGUCGACAAAAUUAAUUCUUCCAAUUUCUGUAGUCGCGGCUUUAAUGGCCCUGCAAGAAACACUUGAUUUGAUGUAUCUCUACAAACCACUGAAUUCUGUGAUCCGAGAUGACCAGUUGCACUUUCCCACAUAACCUUUUUGCAUCCACCACUUAUGAAUUUGCAAAGAGCUGGAAGACUCAAAACUGAAACUAACAAUUCUUCACAUCCUUCAAUAACAAGUAUCUCCAAUGCAGGAAGGUGCUCUGGAAAUGUUCCUUUCAGUUUAGAACAUCUUAAAAUGUGAAGCUCUCUCAAUUUAGGAAACCCUUCAACUCCUUGACUGGAUCCUUGAGGAAUCCAGUCUUCCCAUUCUCUCAUGUUUUCAAAACGAAGAGUCUCCAAGCAUGGAAAAGGAAUUGGAGCAUCAUUCCCAUAGAACUCUGUACCCAACCUCUUUACUCUGCUCAUUCCACAUACUGCAAGAUGCUUUAGAGAGGGUAGUUGCCCAACUGACGGCAGGGCAAUACACAUGUCACAAUUUUCAAAUUCUAGGGUCACCAAAUUUGAGAAUGAGGAAUCUGCUAACCAAGUUGGAAAUUUUGUACCUCCAUAGCCACUGAUACAAAAUUGUUCCAUAUUUUCAUGAGGUUUUAGCAUGUUGAGCACAUCCUUUUCAGUUUCUGCCUCCCUUGAAGACGAGCCAUCGGUACUGAGUGUCCAUCGAAGCAAUAAUUCUCUAAGAUUCUUCUUUCCAUCCAAUUGAGCCUCCUUUGCAUCACCAACGCAUUUUACAUUCUCCAAUUUUGAAAUGUUAAGUGUCCCAUGAAGGUGCGUCAACAACUUUAGCUCUUGUAACCCGGAACCACUGCUUUUUCCCACAACAAAAUUACACAACGUCUGAAGACUAGUCAACCUACCAAUUCCUACUGGCAUUUCCUCCAACGACUUCGUAUUUGAAUUCUUAAGAUGAUGCAAUUUGGCGAGGUUUCCCAUGUCUGCACACAACUUCUUCAGCCGAUCACAAUCUUCCAACAAAAGACUAUGCAAAUUGUAAAGCUUGUUGACUGAUUCAGGUAGAGUUCUAAUCUCAGUUCGAGACAGGUUAAGGUACCUUAAAUACCUCAGAUCACCAAUUGAAUCCGGCAGCUCAGGGAUGCGGUAUCCACGCAAAGAGAAGACCCUCAAGCGUCGGAGUUUGAGCAACUUAGGAAGAAUGCUAGGAGCCAAGUGGCCAGGCGAACUUUUUGUCAACAUUACUGGUAAAAAAGUUCUCAAAUGUUGGAUAUCAUACAAGUCCCCAAACCUUUUACCGCCAUCAAAAUAUUCAGGAAUGUAUGAUAGAUGACGAAGAUUUUCAGAAAAACUUUGCUGCUUGUUAACCUCUGAGGCAUACUCCAUUGUGAAGUACAUCUCCCCCGCAGCCCAACGAGCAAGGUCAUUGAUAAGAUCGUGCAUCACAAAUCGUGAUGUAUUGUUGCUUGAUUGCUGCAAAAAAGAUCUUGAACGUAGCUCUUGAAAGAACUUUCGACCUAGAUCUUCGUUAGGAUUCUCACUCUCUUUAUGAUCCAAGAAACCCGAAGCACUCCAUAAUAAAAUUAUCUCCUCCUCUUCAAAUUCAUAAUCCUUCGGAAACAACGAGCAGUAUGCAAAGCAUUGUUUCAAAAUUGGAGGAAGAUAAUAAUAGGUCACUGCAAGAGCUGGUAUAAUGGGACAUCUAUCUUCUGGUAAUUCCCAUAUCUUGCUACUGAGCACACCUUUCCACUCACGUUUGUAAGGUUUUCCAUGUAAGAGUCCUCCCAGUGUUUUUGCAGCCAAGGGCAAGCCGUUGCAUUUGAUCACUAUCUUCUUGCCAAUUUCCUCCAAUGACUUAUUUGAACUGAAAUCUCUUGUCCCCAAAGAGUGUUGAGCGAACACGGACAAACAAUCAUCAAUUGACAACUUUUCCAAUUGAUAAGCUGGAGCAGUCCCCAUGAUGGCUGCAACCUCUUGAUUACGGGCUGUGACAAUAAUCUUACUUCCCGGUGCGCCAGCUUCAAACGGACGGCUCAUGUCAACCCAAUCAUUGUAAUUCUCAUUCCAAACGUCAUCUAAAACAAGCAAAAAUUUCUUUCCAAAUAGUUGUUUCUUCAAUUUCUCUUGAAGCUUAUUCAAGUCGUUAUUAUCCACAUUCUGGUCACUAGCAAUUGAAAGUAGGAUUGAUUUUGUUAGCCUCUUAACGUCGAAAUCAUCAGAGAAAUAAGUCCAUCCCUUGAGAUCAAAAUGAUCCUGCACUUGCUUAUCAUUGUAGACAAGCUGAGCAAGAGUAGUUUUGCCCAGGCCGCCCAUACCUAUAAUAGGAAUAACAGAGAAUCCACCAUCGUUGCUUAAAUCAUCCCUCAACAGCAGUUCAACAACAUCCUUCUUUUCUGUUUCCCUGCCAUAUACUUUGGCUUCAGUCACUAAAGAGGUUGUCUCUCGCCUUUGACUGGCUUUUUUGGACCCUCCAGCUGAACUUUCUUUCAAAUCUAGCAAGUCUUUCUCUGUUAGAAUUUCUUGAAAUCUGUCGUUGAUCCCUUUGAUUUUGGACAUCAUGGCGUAAUCGAACUGAAUCGAUUGUGGAGUAAAAGUGGUGCAGCAAGUAGGAAUGAGCUUCCGAAACUUACUUGAUCUUGUACGACUGCUGCUGGGUUGAUCAUGAGCAGCAGCUGGUUCUCCAUUUCCAAGCAGCAACUUCCUCCGGAAAGCCUCAGUUUGGAACUCAUCCAACAAGUCUUCAACAUCAAAAGCCAAGUUCUGAAGCUCGCCAAGCCACAACUUCACAGACUCAUCAGUCUUCUUCUCGUCAGCAUCAUCAAGCACCGCCUUGAUCCUCACCAACAUCUUCUUCCACUUCACUAGAUUUGCUUGGAUUCGACCUUGGCGUGCAAAUAAACGAAGCCCCUCUGAAGGUAACUUAUUGAUCAGCAUCUCAACGGACGCCAUCAGGAUUGCCUCUCCGAUGAUCGACAUUUUUUCUUUUUUUGGGUUUUUAUGGACAGAGAAUGAAACUGAAUUAUGAGCUUGUGGAAAGCAGAAUGAGAAAAGUGAAUAAGCGGAGUGAGUUUGUGAUUGUGUCUAGCAAGCCUAGAAAUCAAGAAAAACCCACCGUAAAAGUGAAAAGUAAAACGGAGCCCACCACAAAUAUAAAAUCAGAGGAGCACAGAAAUUAUAAAAAAAAAAAAAUCAAACAUGGAAUGAUUUGUGAAGUUAUUAGCGAUUUGUAAAAGAGAUGGUGGGGUUGUGUUGUUUGCAAAGUUAAUAGCGUGGGUCUUUGUGUUGUUUGCAAAGUUAAUAGCGUGGGUCUAUUUGUUUUUGUUUUAACUUUUAUUAAUCAAUUAGUGAAGCAAAUAUGUAAUGAUUUGUAAAGAUCACGGGCAUCAUAUUAUUGGGAGGUAUUGUGUAUAGUAUUCACAAUUUCUUGUAAGACUUAUUAAUUUCGUUGAAAAUGUAUCGUUAUUAAGUUAUUAUUUAAUUCAUUAACUUGAGGUAUUAAUAUUCAUUAAUUGUGGUGCGGGUGAAUUUACUUAUCUUGUCAUUAUUUGUAAUUAAGAAUGAGGUUCAAUUAAUUUAUUGGAGAAAAAUUGAUUUUAAUUCUUAGGAUUUGAUUUUACUCUCUUUUACUUUUUGACGUUGCUAAAGAGGCAGUAAAAAACUUGCUAAAUGUCAUCAAAUACUUGUAUCUCAUCUCACAAAUUGGCAAUAUUUGUUUGGUAUUUCAUCUCAACGGGAUGCCGUAAGGAUUGCCUCUCCAGUGAUUGUCAUUUUUUUUUCUUUUUUCCCGCACAGAAAGAAACAGAAUUUUGAGUUUUAAAGCAAAAUGAGAAAAUUGAGCAAAAUGCAUGUAGCAAGUCUUCCGCUUGUUUAUUCCAGUAAAGUGAAAAUAAAAACAGAGCCCACCACCCAUUGAUAAUUGAAAAAUGAUAAACGAACGAAGGCGCGACGAAGGGACGACAGAAAACGCGUUUCCUCGUCCAAUUUUGUUCUUGUGGACCGACAAUAAAAUAUUUUUUAUGGGACCGACUAUAAAUAGUAAAAUAAAGAAUAAAAAAAAGAUAGUGUAAACGAACGAAAGCGCCACGAAGGAACGACAGAAAACGCGUUCCCUCAUCAAAAUAAUAUUCUUUUGUGAGAUCAAUAAUAAAUAAUAAAAUAUUUUUUUGUGGGACCGACUAUAAAUAGUAAAAUAAAGAAUCUAUCUAUAUAUAUAUAUAUAUAUAAAGUUAGGACUUGAGCAGGUGAUGUGGCAUCACCAUUUCUCAUCAUCUCAUAUUCUUUAUUAUCUAAUAAAUUUGUUGAAAUUAAAAAAUAAUUACAUUACAAAAUAUUAAAAUAGAAAAUAAUUAUUAGAUUAUAAAUGAUUACAUGUCUUUUCAUAUUUCUAUUUAAAUUUAACAAUAUGUAACCAUUAAUAAUAAUUAAUUAUAAGUCUUAAAACAUUUAUUUAUUUUAUUAUGCCAACAAUUAAAUUUUAGUUGCUUAAAAUACAUCAAUUAAUUAAUAUUAAUAUAUGAAGGAAGGUUCCUUCAUCUUCCCUCAACAAUACCAUUAGAGCCUAAUUUUAAUGUCAUAACCCAUAUUUAAUUAUUCAAUCUUUUGUUUAAUGCAUUUUGGCUUCUUCAAACUCCAUAAACGUUAAAUAUUUAAGAUUUAUGGCAUCAUUAUUUCUCAUCUUUUUAUAUUCUCUAUUAUCUAAUAUAUUGGUUGAGAUUAAAAAAUAAUUACAUUACAAAAUAUUAAAAAUCUAUAUAUAUAUAUAUAUAUAGUUGGGACUAGAGGAGGUGAUGUGGCAUUAUUAUUUCUCAUCUUCUUGUAUUCUCUAUUAUCUAAUAAAUUGGUUGAUAUUAAAAAAGUAAUUACAUUACAAAAUAUUAAAAAUAAAAAAUAAUUAUUAGAUUAUAAAAGAUUAUAUGUCUCUUCCUCUUUCCAUUGAAAUUCAAUAAUAUGUAACCAUUAAUAAUAAUUAAUUAUAAGUCUUCAAACAUUAAUUUAUUUUAUUAUGCCAACAAUUAAACUUUAGUGGCUUAAAUAUAUCAAUUAAUUAAUAUAGGAAAGAAUGUUCCUUCAUCUUCCCUCAAUAAUGCCAUUAGGGUCUAAUUUUAAUGCUAUAAUCUCAUAUUUAAUUAUGCAACCUUUUGUUUAGUGCCUUUCGGCUUCUUCAAACUCGAUAAAUAUUAAGUAAUUAAGAUUUGUGGCAUUAUUAUUUCUCAUUUUUUAUAUUCUCUAGAAUCUAAUAUAUUGGUUGAGAUUAAAAAAUAAUUACAUUACAAAAUAUUAAAAAUAGAAAAUAAUUAGUAGAUUAUAAAAGAUUACAUGUCUCUUCUUCUUUCUAUCUAAAUUCAACAAUAUGUAACCAUUAAUAAUAAAUUAAUUAUAGUUUUGAAACAUUCAUUUAUUUUAUUAAGCCAACAACUAAACUUUAGUGGUUUAAAAUAUAUCAACUAAUUAAUAUAGGAAGGAAUGUUCUUUCAUCUUCCCUCACCAAUACCACUAGGACCUAAUUUUAAUGUCAUAAUUUCAUAUUUAAUUAUGCAACCUUUUAUUUAGUGUCUUUGGCUUCUUCAAACUAUAUAAAUAUUAAGUAUUUAAGAUUUGUUAUGUUUGAAUUUUUUUAUUAUUUAAACAACAUCCUCUUUAGAAAUGUUCUUGUGUUUUUAUUUUUUUGACUUAUUUAAAUUUUUUGUAUUGUGUGCUUCAUGGAGUAUUCUUUUCUUCAUGAGUUAAACAAUAAUAAAGAUAGUUGGAUGAUAAGGGUUAGGUUUUGUAAAAUGUGAGAGUCUAUUAAUACUGAGAAGAAUGGAGAGUUGAUUAGUGUGGACAUAAUUUUUAUUGAUGAAAAGUUUGUGUACACUUAACUAUACACAUUAAUAUAUAUUUUUAAAGUUAACAAAAAAAUAAUUAACUUUCAUAAAUAACAUUAGUUUUAUAAGACUGCGUCAUCUUUUAAAAAAAAAUCAAUUCAUAUUUUUUAUCUGUUUUGUUAAGUGUAAAGAAAUAAAAAAAAUAAUACUAAAUUCUUUUUUUAAAACCGCACGAAGUGCGGUUCUAUUUCCUAGUAAAAAAUAAAAAAAUAGGAUAGUGAAAACUGAAAACGAACGAAAGCCGACGAAGGGACGACAGAAAACGCGUUCCCUCAUCCAAUUUUUCUUUUGUGGGACCGAUAACAAAUAAUAAAAUAUUUUUUGUGGGACCGACAAAAAUAGUAAAAUAAAGAAUAAAAAAUGAAAAAAAAGGAAAAUGGAAUGCAUCCACCUUCGCUUUGGAAGUCUUCUACUUAUAAAAGCAAGCUAAAUUAAAAAGAUUUUAAUCUCUCUUUUUAAUACUAUAAGUGCACUGCAUUUUUUUUAAAUAAUUACCUAUGCAAAUUUGUAAUGUAAUGAAUAUUCAUAUUCCUGUCGUGUCGAAAUGAGAUAAAAUGAAAUUUUAAAUAACACAAAUUCGACUCGUUUGUUAGAGGUAUAUCCUUAAUAAGCUAAUAACAUAAUUAACAUAACGCUAUUAUUACACUAAAUGAAAUAAAAAGACGGUAGCCACCAAUAAUUACACUAGCAAGCUUCGCAUGCUCGUGUUUAAGGAGUUGGACAUUGGUGAAUUAAUCAAGGACAAGAAACAAUUUCAAAAAACAAAAUGGAUACUAUACAUUGUCUUUUUUUUAAUUGUACAGAAAAUGGGACUAAUUUUCAAAUAUUUUCAAAUUCACUUAUUAACAAAAGCUAUGCAAAACGAUUUCCUUUUUAUUUUGAAACAUUAUACGGAAUCAAAUAACAGUGAUUCAAAGAGUGUAAAGUGGUAAUUCUCUUAUUGUAUUUUCUCUCCUUUUUAAAAGGAGAUGGUGGGGUUUGGUUGUUUGCAAAAUUAUUGGUGUGAGGGUCUAUUUGUUUUUGUUUUCACUUUAUUAAUUAAUUACGAACCAAACAUGUAAUCAUUUGUAAAGGGGUCACUAGCAUUGGAUUAUGUAAGAUGAAUUCGUAAGACUUAUUAAUUUCAAUGAAAAUGUAGCGUUAUUAAGUUGUCAAUUCAUUAACUUGAGGUACUAAUAUUUACUAAUUGUGGUGUUUAAUUUAUUUAACUUUUUCAUAAUUUUCAAUUGAGAAUGAAGUUCAAUCAAUGUAUGAAAAUUUUUAUUUUUAGAUUUUUAAUUCCUAUGAUUUAAUUUCAUUCUGUUUCGAUUAUUGACGUGUUAAAAGCUUGUAGACUAUCAUGAAAUGCUUGUAUCUCACCUCACAAAUUGACAAAUAUUGGUUGGUUUCUCCAAAGGCUGCCAUGACGAAUUGAAAGUAAAAACAACCACCAUUGAAAAUUAAUUUUAAAAAUCUUUUUUACUUGAAAUUUUUUAAUCGUGUGAUAGACACAAAUAAAUAUCUCGUAAAACUGUGUUGCGAUCCCGAAGGUACUCAUCCACUACUUGGACACGAGAAGUGCCAGGAACAUAAGUAACCAAGUGAGGUGGAGGAAUACCAUAGACAGCUUCAAAUGGGGUCAUUUUGGUGGCAGAAUGGAUGGACGUAUUAUAGUUGAAUUCAGCCCAUGGAAUCCAUUCAACCCAUUUUCGUGGCUGAUCUCUGGCAAAACAUCGCAAGUAUUGCUCUAAAGUACGGUUCACUACCUCAGAUUGGUCGUCCGUCUGAGGAUGGUAACUAGAACUCAUGCUAAGUUUAGUUCCUUGUAAUUGAAAUAAUGCUUGCCAAAAUGAACUUACAAAUACUUUAUCCCGAUCACUUACAAUGGAUGUUGGAAUGCCAUGGAGGCGAACCACAUUAGCUACAAACGCUUUAGCAAUCGUGACUGCCGUGUAUGGAUGUUUGAGAGCCACAAAAUGAGCAUACUUGGAUAAGCGAUCAACAAUUACCAUGAUGACAGUAUAACCAUUUGACGACGGAAGUCCCUCGAUAAAAUCCAUUGAUACUUCAGUCCAUAUCUGAAGAGGAAUAGGUAGUGGUUGUAGCAAAUCGGCCGGACGCAUAGAAUCAGAUUUGUACCUUUGGCAGAUGGUACAACGCUGUAUAAAUUCCUUCACAGUUUUACGCAAGUUUGGCCACCAAAAGCUGAGUUUAAUUCGAGAUAGUGUCUUAUGGAACCUAAAAUUCCCACCAACUAGAGACGAAUGACAAUCAGUCAUGACUUGUGGAAUUAAAGUGGAAGUGGGAUUCAAAUAAAUUCUGCCCCUUUUAAACCACACUCCAUCUCGUUGUGUCUGUUGUGCAAAUUUUAAUGUACUCGCAAGCGCACGAAUCUAUUGUAGUAUAGAUCAAUGGUGACGAGUGUCGAUCCCACGAGGAGGUGGAUUUUAAUUAUGUAUAGAAUUAAUUUUGGAAAUGGAUGAUUGGAUUUGUGGUAGAAAUGAUUUGGAAUAUGCUAAAACUUAAAUUAAAAUGGCGAGAAUAAAUUCUGAAAUUAGAAUCGAAAUGACGAGAAUAAAUUGUAGAGGAAUCUAUUGAAAUAACGUACUUGGGUAUCUGGAUCCGUAUCAACAUGCAUCAUGGGCUAAAUAAUCCGUAUUAAUGCCAAUUAAAUCAUGAGGGGGGAAUCCACACCUCAUGAACCACGCUCUAAUCAAUAUGGUGCUAAGGGCUUAUCGUGCCAAAUAAUAAUAACCUUAUACUAGAGAGCCGGUGUAACCAAGGCGGUAUCUAGACAAGAUCAGUAUUAUUUGUCGACGAGAAGUCAAAACAUCCACAAAAACUAGAGGGGAAGAGAAAAUAAAUUUACCAAAUAAAGCCCAUGACACAUGUUGAGACUUCACCUUCAACCCAAGCUUGAAAGAAAAUUAGCUACUCAUAAUUGAACUAAGGGCAAAAUGGGAAUUUAUUAAAAUACGAAGAAAAUACAAGAUGGAGAGAGAAUUACAAAAAAUGGAUCCCAAAAAUGGAUUCAGAGAUAUCAAAUUAGGGGGGAGAGGCCCCCUUUUUAUAGAUACAUGGAGUAAAUCAUGGCCAUCGGAUUAAAAACAGUUUGGACGCUCAGGAUUGCGCCACGUCAUCAGUCAACAGUCCACGGUUUGACCACGCGGAUGAACAGUAACACGGUUUGACCCGACUUUGAACAGUAACGCGGUUUGACCCGGAUGAACAGUAACGCGGUUUGGUUGAAACUAAUCCUGUGUGAUGCAUGCACCGUACGCGAGAUUUUUCGUCCACUGAUAUACUGCCACGUCACCAUCAACAGUACAUAAGAAUUUUAGCCCAACAGGAUCGUGACACCUCAUCAGUCAAUGCCACAUCAUCGGUCAAUGCCACGUCAUCGAUCCGUCUAUGUGAACAGUGCCGUGAACAGUAACGUAUACAGUACCGUGUACGUGAAUAGUACCGUACAUGUGAAUAGUGUCAUUUUUCCUUUUAUGCUCCUCCUAAGGUUUUCGACCGUCCUGAGUUCAAAAGUGAUGUCCGUUUUGUCGUCUGAUCUCUCCUUUAUUGUGAAAUGACUAUAAUGCCCCUAAAAUACAUAAAUUACUUAAUUAAAAUAAAACACACGUAAUUAAAUCACAAGAAUGUUAAAUACAUAAAAGUAAGGGUUGUUAGUAAGACUUGAAAUGUAAAAUGACGGUUUUCUCCUUUAUAAAUAUGCAUUUUCUAACACUCAACACACCCCCCAACCAGCUUAUUGCUAGUCCCUAGCAAAUAAAGCGAAAACAAAAUUCAAAUUCAAAAUGAUUUUUUUUUUUUUUUUUAGAAACACUCGUGUUUAUUCAAUCAGAUUAAUGAUAGCAAUCAAAUAAAAGUAUAAGCAUUAUCUCCAGUCUAAAGCAACAUCACACCCACAUCAACCAUCCACAUGAAUUAGCCCAGUAGACUUUGUUAUAGCUACUUUCAAGAAUGACAUGUCAAACCCCAAAAUCUCACUUGAAGUAGUGACACUCUCACAAAGAAAUUAAAACCCAAUAAACAUAGUCACUCCAAUGAAUGGUAAUUGAGAGAGAAAAUAAUAAAGAAAUGAUAUCACAUGCUCUCACCAAGAUGAAAUAAAUAUGCUCUCAGCUUAGAAAUAAUACGAUCUCAAGUCAAAUAAAAUGUUAGUCAACCCACUUUAUUUAUCUUUUUUUUUUUUUAUUAUGCAUCACUACAUCUUUUUAGCCCAUAUAACUAGCUUCUACUUCAAAAUAUAGUUCCCUAAAAUCAAGAAGGACUUUUAUUAGGACAUAACGUAGGCUAGGGAUAUGGCUAACAAAGAAAGGAAAUAAGGAAAACAAAGUGUAUGUUUGAGAAAAAUGCAGAAUUUUUUUUUUUUUUUGGAAGUUGCAAGGUGGAUUUCACUUAUUAUUGUUAUUUUUAUUCUUUUGAAACAACAACUUUUGUUUUUGUUUUUUUUUUCUUUUUACUUUUAUUUGGCAUAACUUCACUGAACAACAUAAUUAUUUACAUUUUCUCAAACAUAAAUAGGUGAUGGAACUUAAAAGACAUUGGGUAAUACUCCAAAUCGGAGUGGGUCAAGAUGAUAAGUUGACAAAGAAAAGGUUUUUGUUCUUUUUUUUUUUUUUUUAAAGGCUCAAAAGGGGUAACUAUGGAUAUUUAAUAAAAUGGAUGGCUAGAAAGGCUCAAACGGAUCAAAGAUGGCCUUUCCAUCGUCUUUUAGGGCUCUAAAUAAUCAUCCAUAUCUACUAGUUAGAUGGGCCUCCCAAUGUAGCAACACAUAAUUUUUUUUCUUUUUUUUUUAUUUUACAAUUUUUUUUUUUUUUAAGGGUUAACUCAAAAGAAAUCUAGAGAUCGUAUAUACAAUAAUAAACUGCUAAGCUGUAUAAAGAAUGGGCAAAAGGGUUACUCUCCAAGAAAAAUGAUAGGCUCAAAAGCUCACUUGGUACUUCUUAUGACAUGUUCAUUCCUUCAAGCAACUCAUAUUUGUCUCUGACAUUAACAUAUAAAGUAGCAAACAUAGUGUAACAUCACUUCAGACUAAAGAUAAUACAAAUACUAAAAUUUGAAAUUCAUCAUGUCAUCCAAUGUUAACACAAAUCACAAUUUUUUUUUUUUUAAAUUUGAAACAACAUUCUACCCCCCAACCUAUUCUAAACAUGAAAGGAAAAUAUGCAUGCAGAAAUGUGAAAAUGAUGUAGAAAAAUUUAUUAGAAAAAGAAAUUUUUUUUUUUUUUUUAACUAAGAAGAUGCGUUUCUAGAGGCACGACACUCCAUAUUCAGCCAUCUUCGACUCAAAAAUUGGAAAAUAUAUAUUUAUAAAGGAGAAAGAGGAAGAAAACAGUUUUUUUUUUUUUUUAAACGAUGAAGAUGCGUUUCUAGAGUAACUACACUCCAUAUUCAGCCAUCUUCAACACAAAACGUUAGCAACAGUUAGUUUCUACAACAAAAAAUCAGUAAAAACUUAACCAAGAUUCCACAAUUGUCGACUAUUCCCUCCCCCCAACCAGAACGAAACAUUGUCCUCAAUGUUUGAAAGGAAAGAAGUAGAGUUUAGAAGACAUCACCUGGGUGGUGCAACACAGAAGAAAAUAUUUACAGGCGGAGAGUUAAAUCUAAUUUGUACUUCUUACUGCGGCUACUGUUACCAUCAUUAUUUGGUCGCUCCAACACAAAGGUCCAGGGAUCUGGCUCCGGUUUAUAAGCUUGUAACAUAUCAAGUAGCUCAUUAGCAGUGUGAGCACAAAUAAAGAGUUUUUUCACAUUAGAAGGAAUGAAAUAGUUUUUUAUUGCAUGGUUAAGAAAUUCGAUAAAGCCAUCAUAAAAGUUAUUCACAUUUAACAAACCGAUGGGUUUCUGGUGGAUGUGUAGAUGGGCCCAAGAUGCUAGUGUCAUAAGUGCCUCUAGUGUUGCAAGAUCUCCUGGAAGGAAAAUAAAAGCAUCAGCAUGAUUAAGCAUUUCAGUUAUUCUUUCUUGCAUACCUGAGACGACUAACUCUUCUCCAGUUGAUGAGUCAGACGAACUGCCCAAUGGUUUUAGGACUCUUGGGAUGAUGCCUAACACUUGACUUCCUCUGAUAAAAGCUGCUUCUGAGACCAUUUUUGAUAACCCUCGGUUACCUCCUCCAUACACCAAAUGUAAUUUUCUCGCUGCUAUGCUUCGACCAAGAUCUAUGGUUGCCUCAACGAACUCUUUAUGUUUGCCAUAGGUAAAUCCAGAAAGCACACAAAUGUUCUUGAAUUGUCUAUUGGGAGUAGCUGCCAUUGGAAUAUUUCUCAAAAACAAUUUGUGAGUGUUUGACAAAAGAAAUCACAUUUAAGAGUCUUGGUGACAGUGGGUCACAACUGUGUAUGAAGUGGCAUGUUAGUGUCAAAUAAAGUGUAAAGCACAUGGCUCGCGAGUAAAAAAGGAAACAGUAAAAAGAAAAAAGCAAACAAUAAAGAAAAUUAUUAAAGACAAUAAUGCAAACAAUAAAACAACAGUGAAAUGGAAUAAAAUAACAAUAAAGUAAAAGGAUAUUUACACGUAGUUGCGACUGUGGCUCACAUCUUCCUCUGGUUUUACGUCCAGAAACGGCUUGAACGCCCUCUAUGGGUCGAGGAUAGGCUUCCCAUCCAGUUUUCUUAUAAACUGGCAAACAGGGUCGUUUAUAGUCAGAUUCUCGAGACUAUAUCGUGCAUGCUCUUUCUGGAAUAAUGGCCAUAACUGGAGAAUCGCUCCUUGCACAUAUCCACUGGGAUGCGUUUCAAGAGACAGAAGGAUAUCAUCCAAUGACUCCUUAUUCAAGCCAUCCCUAAUGAAUUGAAUCUUAUCUUCUCUGUUAUCAGACAUCAUUCCUAAAGAACAUGGGUUUCUAUCGCAACUCAUUCUGGCACACUUGUGACAAGCAACAGAAAUUCUUCGAGCUCGUCGUUUUCUUGCAUAAUUUCCUUUACCACAAUCAGGCAUGUAUGCAAUAAAUUUAGGAGGUAACUCACCUGCUAAUCGUACUUUAGCCUCGAUUAACCAACGGAUGUCUGCAGGUAUGUUAUUCCUCAUGAGUAAUCGCAUGCGUUCAGAUCGGGCUUUAUAGAUCGUAAGAAGGGCAUUCUGAGGAAGUGAAGGGAAACGCUUGUGAAGCUUCGCUAGAAUCUCGUUUCUGUCCAUACCUUUGCCUCAGAAUAUCAGUUAUUAUGGGAAACUGAAGUAACCGACUUGAUUGUCACGGAGUACCGUUAUCCGCCACUUCACCGGGGUAACAAACUAAAGCACACAAACAGAAAAACAAAUUAAAACACACAAGAAAAUUAAAAUCGUCCUCUUAUUGAAUUUACCUCAAGCUCCAACUGGAUGUCGUAAACACUUCUCUCAAUGUCUCUGAGUUGGUUUUCUAAACCCUCAACAUAAGCUACUAACUCUGGUGGUUGUAGAGCCCAAAUGCGAUGUGUUUUACAAAAUUGAAUCUGCCUUUUGAGAUGAGUUUUGACACGUUGAAGUGGUUUAAGAAUGUUCAGGAGGAACGGUCUAAGUAUGGUACUCAUGAUUAAAAAUGAUAAGAGAAAACUUAAUGGUAAAAUAAACACACUUAUGCAAAAAUAAUUUCAAUUAGCAAAAGAAUAAUAAAAAGAAAGAAAGAAAAAUCAAAUCAACGAAAAGAAAAAAACAAAUCAAUUCAAAUCUGGUGGGUCACUCAAAUUUAUUUCGGUGUCUUCUCCAUGUGGUUGGUAUUCUAGAUAUGGCUUUAAUCUUUGACCAUUAACUUUAAACGUGACACCGUUCUUUGGGUCUUUAAUUUCAAUUGCCCCAUGUGGAAAAACAGUAUGAACAAUAAAUGGACCAGACCAACGAGAGCGUAACUUACCUGGGAAUAGGUGCAAGCGAGAAUUGAAUAAAAGCACUUUCUGACCUGGAGUGAAAGAUUUUCUCAUAAUGUGCUUGUCAUGAAAGACUUUCAUCCGUUGCUUGUAGAUCUUGGCAUUUUCGUAUGCAUCAUUGCGAAUUUCUUCAAGUUCUGCCAGUUGUAAUCUUCUUUCUGAGCUGGCUUGCUGCAUGUCAAAGUUGAAUUUCUUGAUGGCCCAAUAUGCACGAUGCUCGAGUUCCACAGGUAGGUGGUAAGCUUUUCCAUACACUAGCCUGUAGGGUGACAUCCCAAUCGGGGUCUUGAAAGCCGUUCUAUAUGCCCAUAAUGCAUCAUCAAGUCUUAAUGACCAAUCUUUCCUGUCUGGCCUCACCGUCUUUUCUAAUAUGUGCUUUAUUUCUCGAUUGGAUAUCUCAACUUGGCCACUGGUUUGCAGAUGAUAUGGAGUCGCCACUUUGUGUGUGAUUGAAUACUUUGUCAAAAGAGCUUUGAAUGCUUUGUUACAAAAGUGGGCACCACCAUCACUGAUUAUUGCUCGAGGGAAUCCAAAGCGUGAGACAAUAUUGCUUUUCAAAAAUCCUAUCACCACCUUGUGAUCAUUGGUUCUACAUGGAAUUGCUUCUACCCAUUUUGAGACGUAGUCAACACCAACCAAUAUGUAUUGAUGGCCAAAAGAAGGGGGAAAGGGUCCCAUGAAGUCGAUACCCCAUACAUCAAAAAUCUCAACCACUAAAAUUGGAUUUAGUGGCAUCAUGUUCCUUCGCGUAAUGCUCCCCAUUCGUUGACACCUAUCACAUGAAGAACAGAAAGUGUAAGCGUCUCGAAAUAUAGUUGGCCAAUAAAAACCACAUUGUAAAACUUUAGUUGCCGUUUUCUUAGCACUGAAAUGGCCUCCACAAGCUUGUUCAUGGCAGAAUGAAAGAAUAUUCUGAAUUUCAUUUUCAGGGACACAUCGUCUAACAAUUUGGUCUGCACAAUACUUGAACAAAUAUGGGUCAUCCCAAAAGAAAUUCUUUAUCUCUGCAAAGAAUUUAGCCUUGUCUUGCUUGGUCCAAUGCUCUGGAAGUUUACCUGUAACAAGAUAAUUAACUAUAUCAGCAUACCAAGGUAAUACUUCCACACUCAUUAAUUGUUCAUCUGGGAAUGACUCAUUCAAUAUUAAUGGCUCUGUUAUUGUGUCAAAAUGGAGACGAGAGAGGGGGUCCGCCACAACAUUUUCUGUCCCUUUCUUAUCUUUGAAUUCCAAGUCAAAUUCCUGCAAAAGUAACACCCAACGAAUUAGUCUAGCUUUUGCAUCUUUCUUUGUGAGAAGAUAUUUAAGAGCAGCAUGAUCUGUGAACACAAUUAUUUUACAACCAAUGAGAUAAGAUCGAAAUUUUUCCAAUGCAAACACUACUGCUAGCAUUUCUUUUUCAGUAGUUGAAUAGUUCAACUGUGCAUCAUUCAAUGUCAUACUAGCAUAGUCAAUAACGUGAGGAAUUCGAUCAACUCUUUGUCCUAAUACUGCUCUUACUGCAUAAUCAGAUGCAUCACACAUGAGCUCAAAUGGUAAGCUCCAGUUUGGGGGCUGAAUGAUGGGUGAUGAUGUCAACAAAUGCUUUAAUUUUUCAAACGCAACAAAACAUGAAUCAUUAAAGAUAAAAGGUACAUCCUUAGCAAGUAAAUUGCAUAAGGGUCUAGAAACUUUGCUAAAAUCUUUAAUGAAACGUCUAUAGAAACCAGCAUGCCCAAGGAAAGAUCUUACUUCUCUGACUGUUUUGGGUGGAGGAAGAUUAGAAAUGAGAUCCACCUUGGCUUUGUCAACCUCAAUACCUUUACUUGAAAUGAUGUGACCGAGGACAAUACCUUGUUUGACCAUAAAAUGGCACUUCUCCCAAUUUAAGACCAAGUUCUUCUCGAUACAUCUCUGCAGAACUAGUGUUAGAUGAUGUAAACAUUGAUCAAACGAGUUACCAAAAACAGAAAAGUCAUCCAUAAAGACUUCAAGGAAUCGUUCAACCAUAUCAGAAAAAAUGCUUAGCAUGCAUCGUUGAAAUGUAGCAGGUGCAUUGCAUAAUCCAAAUGGCAUUCUCCUAUAUGCAAAUGUGCCAAAAGGGCAAGUGAAAGUAGUUUUCUCCUGAUCUUUUGGUGCUAUGGGGAUCUGAUUGUAUCCUGAGUAACCAUCUAGAAAGCAAUAAAAUUCGUGGUCUGCUAAUCUAUCAAGCAUUUGAUCGAUAAAUGGUAAAGGAAAAUGAUCUUUACGUGUGACAGAAUUCAAUUUUCUAUAAUCAAUGCAUACACGCCACCCUGUAGUUACUCUAGUUGGUAUCAAUUCAUUAUUAGCAUUGGUAACUACUGUGACUCCUGACUUUUUGGGGACAACUUGUACAGGACUGACCCAUGAACUAUCAGAAAUUGGGUAAAUGAUACCUGCAUCUAAUAGCUUAAGGACUUCAGUUCUAACCACUUCUUUCAUAUUAGGAUUUAACCGACGUUGCAUUUCCCUAGUAGAUUUAGCAUUUUCAUCGAGGUGAAUGUAAUGCAUGCAGUCUACAGGGUUUAUACCUUUUAUGUCCGCUAUGGUCCAUCCUAAUGCCCCUUUGUACUCUUUUAAAACAUCCAACAACUUACCUUUUUGUUCGUCGUUUAGGGAUAAUGAGAUGAUUACCGGUAGAGUGCUUUCUUCUCCCAAAAACGCAUAUUCCAAUGUGUUGGGUAAUGGUUUGAGCUCGAGUUUCGGUGGUGAUUCUGAUGAUGGGAUGAGUUUCUUCUCUGAUGGUGCUAGUUGUUCAACUCUUGACUUCCAUUUAUUAGUGUCCAUAGAUGGUGCUGAGUUAAGUAGGGCAUUGACCUCUUCGACCGAUCUGUCAAUAUCAAAAUCCAAACCAAAGUGAGUUAAACAUGUUUGUAAAGGAUCAUCACUAAGGUUUGAAACAAAAGUAUCAUCAACUAAUGCUUCAAUUAAAUCCACAUCAACAAGUCCAUCAUCUGUAUUGUGAGGUUGUUUGGCAAUGUUGAAGAUGUUCAGCUCCAUAGUCAUGUUGCCAAAGGACAACUGCAUAUUUCCAGUCCUGUAUUGAAUGUGAGCAUCCGCAGUUGCCAAGAAAGGUCGGCCUAGAAUAAUGGGGAUGUGCUUCCUUGAAUCCUGUAUUGGUUGAGUGUCAAUUACAAUGAAAUCAACAGGAAAAUAAAACUUGUCUACCUGGAUAAGCACGUCCUCCACAAUACCACGAGGUAUUUUUGUGGACCGAUCUGCAAGCUGUAACACCAUUGGAGUUGGGUGUAAUUCUCCAAGUCCAAGUUUCACAAACACAGAGUAAGGCAACAAAUUUACACUAGCUCCUAAAUCCAACAAAGCAUUCUCAAUUGUGUGGUUCCCUAUACUACAUGAGAUAGUGGGGGAGCCUGGGUCUUUGCAUUUUAGAGGAAUUUUAUGUUGGAGUAUAGAACUAACGUUUUCUGUUAAAAAUGCCUUCUUUUGAACAUGCAUAUUUCUCUUUUUAGUACAAAGGUCUUUAAGAAACUUGGCAUAAGAUGGAACUUGCUUUAUAGCAUCAAGCAAAGGGAUGUUAACACUUACCUGUUUGAAGAUUUCAAGAAUCUCACCUGUGGAUUUUCCCUUCUUUCCUUUUGCUAACCUUUGAGGAAAUGGAGCUUUCGGAACAUAUUCUCGUGGGUUGGUUUCUUCUCUGUCCUCCGGUGGUGAGUCCUCAACACUCACAGGUACAAUUUGAUUUUCUUUUGUCACCGGCAUCUCCACUUUGUUGUCGACUUCUUUUCCUUUUCGUAAGGUCAUUACUGCUUUGACCUCUCCAUGCUGUUGUGGUGAACUGGUACUUGCUUCAUGUACUCCUUUAGGGUUAGGCACUGGUUGACUUGGAAACUUGCCUUUCUCAACAGUCAUUGCCAAGGUCUGAACUGAAGAAGCGAGUUGUCCCACCAUCUUCUCCAGGCUUGAAACUGAUUGAGCCUGUGAGUUGAAGCCUGCUCUUAACUCAUUUCGUAGUCCAUCAAUGGUGCGGUUCUGUUGCUCAAUCGUGGAAUGAGUAAGAUUCUUGAGAUUCUGGAAUGAAUCCUCCCAUGGUCUGGGUUGAGAGUAAUUCUGGUUCUGAUUGUAUGGUCUGAAUGGUGGCUGAGAGGCUUGAGGAUUUUGAGGAAUUUGUUGCAUUGGUGGAGCUGGAGCCGCUGGUCCAUUCUGUUGGAAUCCUUGAGACCAUGAAAAAUUGGGGUGAUCUCUCCAUCCAGGGUUAUAUGUGUUGGAGUAUGGGUUAUAAUUCGAUGGUUUUCUCAUUACACCUAUGGCAUUGGCUUGAUCUGAGUAUGAGUCAUGGUCAUGUGGUUCUGUUGAUUUAGCAGUCGAUAACGAUGCUAUUUGUCGAGCAAGACCCUCAACCAUCUCCUUGACUUCUUUGAUUCCCGAAGUUGACUCGCCAAUUUGAACCUCAUUUACUCCCUUAAUUCUUCUAGUAUUCCUGAGUGAUCGACUCCGUUGUUGGGAAUUAUCCGCUUGUCGCUGGAAGAAUUCCUAAAUCUCUGAUGCACUUUUUGACAUUAGCUCUCCUCCACUUGUUGCCAUUAGCCAUUCUUGCACAUUCGGCAAUAAUCCCUCCAAAAAGUAUUGGCAUUGGUGCCAUUUCUCGUACCCAUGAUGUGGACACUUCAAGAGUAGCCCAUUGAAUCGCUCCCAUGUUUCGAAAAACUGCUCGUCUUCUCUUUGGGUAAAUUCCGAGAUUUCCCUGCGAAUAGCAUUGGUUUUAUGCACUGGGAAAUAUUUAUUCAAAAAUUUUGUAACCAUUUGUUCCCAUGAUGAAAUGCUAUUAGCAGGUAAUGUAUUAAGCCAUGAACGAGCUCUAUCCUUUAAAGAAAAUGAGAAUAAUCUGAGUUUAACAUCAUCGUCUGAAAAAUUUUCAUAUUUAAAAGUUUGACAAAUGGCAUGAAAAUCAUUCAGAUGAUUAUAUGGGUCCUCAUUUUCUAGGCCAUAGAAUGUUGGGAGACAAUUUAGCACACUAGGUUUUAGUUCAAAACUCCUAGCAGCUACAUUUGGGUACCUUAUGCAUGAUGUGCUCAAAUUAGCUAAGGGACUAAAAUAGUCCUUAAAUGGCCUCUCCUGUGGUGCUUGUAAAUCCAUUCCAAAUUUAUUUUUAAUGUGCUUUUGUGUGCGAAGUGUUUUUUCUAAUUCAAGAUCUAUAGGUUCAAGAUUAGGUAAUAAUGACCUACGACCAUGCAUGCAAAAUAAAUAAAAUGAAAAUGAAGAUGGAACAAAACAAAUACAAAUAAAAAUAAAGAAGAGAGAGAAAUUACAAUACUAACCUUAUUGCGCUAUUACAACCUUUCUAUAAAAAUACACAAAAAAUACGUGAAAUAAAUUAACUAAAAAUUGAAUUAAUAAAAUAAAAAAUUACAAAGAAAAAAAAAUAAAUUGAAAAUUAAAUUACAGAAUUUUAAAGAAGAGAAAAAGAAAAGAAAUACUAACCUUUAAAUGUAGAUUCACUUUUUUUUUUUAAAUACAAGAAAACAAUUAAAUGGAAAUAUUCACAAAAAUUAAUUCUAUGAAUUAAAAUUACUUACCUCCCCGGCAACGGCGCCAAAAACUUGUUGUGCAAAUUUUAAUGUACUCGCAAGCGCACGAAUCUAUUGUAGUAUAGAUCAAUGGUGACGAGUGUCGAUCCCACGAGGAGGUGGAUUUUAAUUAUGUAUAGAAUUAAUUUUGGAAAUGGAUGAUUGGAUUUGUGGUAGAAAUGGUUUGGAAUAUGCUAAAACUUAAAUUAAAAUGGCGAGAAUAAAUUCUGAAAUUAGAAUCGAAAUGACGAGAAUAAAUUGUAGAGGAAUCUAUUGAAAUAACGUACUUGGGUAUCUAGAUCCGUAUCAACAUGCAUCAUGGGCUAAAUAAUCCGUAUUAAUGCCAAUUAAAUCAUGAGGGGGGAAUCCACACCUCAUGAACCACGCUCUAAUCAAUAUGGUGCUAAGGGCUUAUCGUGCCAAAUAAUAAUAACCUUAUACUAGAGAGCCGGUGUAACCAAGGCGGUAUCUAGACAAGAUCAGUAUUAUUUGUCGACGAGAAGUCAAAACAUCCACAAAAACUAGAGGGGAAGAGAAAAUAAAUUUACCAAAUAAAGCCCAUGACACAUGUUGAGACUUCACCUUCAACCCAAGCUUGAAAGAAAAUUAGCUACUCAUAAUUGAACUAAGGGCAAAAUGGGAAUUUAUUAAAAUAUGAAGAAAAUACAAGAUGGAGAGAGAAUUACAGAAAAUGGAUCCCAAAAAUGGAUUCAGAGAUAUCAAAUUAGGGGGGAGAGGCCCCCUUUUUAUAGAUACAUGGAGUAAAUCAUGGCCAUCGGAUUAAAAACAGUUUGGACGCUCAGGAUUGCGCCACGUCAUCAGUCAACAGUCCACGGUUUGACCACGCGGAUGAACAGUAACACGGUUUGACCCGACUUUGAACAGUAACGCGGUUUGACCCGGAUGAACAGUAACGCGGUUUGGUUGAAACUAAUCCUGUGUGAUGCAUGCACCGUACGCGAGAUUUUUCGUCCACUGAUAUACUGCCACGUCACCAUCAACAGUACAUAAGAAUUUUAGCCCAACAGGAUCGUGACACCUCAUCAGUCAAUGCCACAUCAUCGGUCAAUGCCACGUCAUCGAUCCGUCUAUGUGAACAGUGCCGUGAACAGUAACGUAUACAGUACCGUGUACGUGAAUAGUACCGUACAUGUGAAUAGUGUCAUUUUUCCUUUUAUGCUCCUCCUAAGGUUUUCGACCGUCCUGAGUUCAAAAGUGAUGUCCGUUUUGUCGUCUGAUCUCUCCUUUAUUGUGAAAUGACUAUAAUGCCCCUAAAAUACAUAAAUUACUUAUUAAAAUAAAACACACGUAAUUAAAUCACAAGAAUGUUAAAUACAUAAAAGUAAGGGUUGUUAGUAAGACUUGAAAUGUAAAAUUACGGUUUUCUCCUUUAUAAAUAUGCAUUUUCUAACACUCAACAGUGUCAACUAUUGUGAUGAAUGAGAAUGACUCAGUUUCUUAUAAAAAGAGUCUUGUUGUACCUCUCCUUGCAAUUUUUGCCACCAAUCUGCAUGUGGUCCCGAAAUAGACAUGAACUGAAAUUCAACAACACGAGAGAGUGUGUCAACAGCUUGAUUUUCAGGUCCGCGUUUAUACUCAAUUUUGUAGUCAUAACCAAGGAUCUUUGGAAGCCAUCGAGCCUGUGCAGGAGUGGUAAUUCGCUGCUCAAGUAAAUUCUUGAGGUUUUUUUUAUCGGUGUGGACAGUAAAUGGUUUCCCGAGGAGAUAUGGGCGCCAUUUCCAAAUUGAUUUGACAACAGCCAACAUUUCUUUCUCAUAGGUAGAUAGUAAUAAUGUCGUCCCCCUCAAAGCUUCACUGUAGUAUGCUAUUGGCUGGUUAUUCUGAGUGAGUACUGCUCCAAUUCCAAUCCCGCUAGCAUCACAUUCGAUUACGAAUUGUUGAGAAAAAUCUGGAAGGCCUAGGACUGGUGGAGACAUUAGUGCUUCUUUUAGCUUGGUAAAAGCUAACUCGGCUGCCUCGUUCCACUUGAAUCCUUCCUUUGAUAACAACUGAUAUAAAGGGGCUGCUAUACAUCCGAAGUGGCGGAUAAAUUUUUGGUAAUAGCCUACUAGGCUGAGGAACCCUCGUACUUCUCUGACAGUGGUUGGCGUUGGCCAUUCAAGAACAGCUUGUAUUUUGGAGGGACUUACUGCUACUCUUUGUUCUGAAAUGACGUGACCCAAAUAACCCACCUGAGAAACACCAAACCUGCAUUUUGUUUCCUUAACAAAUAGUUUGUUAGUAUGCAAAAUAGAGAGGACAAUCCGGAGACGUGCAAGGUGAUCAUUCCAUGUCUUUGAGUACAUGAGGAUGUCAUCAAAGAAGACCAAGAUAAACUUCCUUAGAUAAGGGCGGAAAAUGUCAUUCAUGAGGCAUUGGAAGGUGGAUGGGGCGUUGGUCAAGCCAAACGGCAUUACGAGAUAUUCGUAGUGCCCUUCGUGUGUUCUAAAGGCUGUUUCUGGUAUAUCCGCAUCGUGUACUCGGAUUUGGUGAUACCCAGCCCUUAAAUCUAACUUGGAGAAGAAUUUAGCUCCAUGGAGCUCAUCCAGAAGUUCAUCAAUUACAGGAAUCAGGUAUUUAUCUUUGAUCGUGAUGUUGUUCAUUGCACAAUAAUCCACACAGAAUCGCCAAUCACCAUCUGUUUUUUUAACUAAGAGGACUGGUGAUGAAAAUGGGCUUUUACUCGGUCUUACCAGCCCUGAUUGCAAAAGUUCUCUCACCAUCUUCUCUAUUUGUGUUUUCUGGUAAUAAGGGUAACAGUAGGGUCUUAUGUUGACAGGGUGUGUAUUUGGUUGUAGUGGGAUGUAGUGAACAUGUGGUCUCUUUGGUGGCAGGCUAGUAGGUGGCUUAAAAACAUUGGAGAAUUCGGUUAAAAUCUGAAUUAUGUCACCUAGGUAAAGAUUCGGCUGGAAAUUAUUGGGAGAGAGAGAGAUUUGGAAUAGGAAUCCACUACCUUGAAUAAAGUUGAAUUCUUUAUCAGAUAAGGCUGCUAAAGGGGUGUGUUUAAGACCUUGGAAUGUAUAGGUCUCUUCUCCAACUUUGUAGGUCAUCGUCAACUGCUUGUAAUCCAUCUCUAUUGGUCCAAUAGUCUCUAGCCAUUGUACGCCCAAAAUCAAGUGACAGGCUGCCACAGUAAGCACAAAAAAAUCAGCAGUAAUUGAUUUACGUUGAAUGGAGAUCGUGAGUGCUUGGCACAGGCCUUUGCAUUCGAUUUGUUCUUGGUUGGCGACCGUCACUUGGAACCUUUUAUUCUGAAGAACAGGUAGCCCGUAUUUAGUGACUACAGUUUGAUCAAUGAAAUUGUGCGUGCUGCCGCCAUCUAUGAGCACCGUUACCGGUUUGUUCUUCAGUUUACCCAUCACACGGAAUGUUUGCGGAUGACUGGCUCCUGAAAUGGCAUAGGCAGAAACUUCAGGCGUGACUUCAUGGUCCUUAGAUUCAGGUUCGGCAGGUUCCUUAGCAAGGUUUAUUUGAUUCGAAUCCUCUAUCAUGAAUAAUUGCGGCCUUUGGCAGCGGUGACCGGGAACAAAUUUUUCGUCACAAUAAUAACAUAGUCCAUUUGCCCGUCAUUCUCGUGCCUCUUGAUUUGUGAUGCGUCGAAAUGGAAUUGUUGAAUUGCUGGCAUUUUGGUUUACUUUGGAAGUUGACGGGGGGCCUAAUACGCCACUGGAAUGGUGUGGUAUGAUUCUUUGUGCUCUUGUAAUUGCGGAUGGACGAAAGGAAGUGCUCAUUUUCUUUUGCAGGUUAUUUCGUUCCUCAACUAGUCGAGCAACACCAAUAGCAUCAGUUAAUGUUCGCGGCUGCUUGAUCUUGACAUCCAAAUGAAUUUCAUCUUUGAGACCUGCAAUAAAACAACCCACCAAAAAAUUUUCAGGUAAUCCAUCAAUACAGUGGGAUAAUUUUUCGAAAGCCUCCUGGUAGGCCUCUAAAGUUGAGGUCUAUUUUAAUCGUGUGAGAGCUUCAGAGGGAUCUUCAUAGUCUGUUGGGCCAAACCUUUGAAGCAUGGCUUUUGUGAAUUCUUGCCAAGAUAAUGGUCCCUUAAAUUUUGUUAACCACCGAUGCCACUGUAAGGCAAUACCUUCAAGAUGGAAAGAGGCAAGUUGAACUUGUAGGCCUGGUGCAAUGUUUUUAAAUUCAAAGUAUUGUUCCGCCUUGUAAAUCCAACCGCUUGGAUCUUCUCCGUUAAAUCGUGGGAAGUGAAGUUUGAGGUGGUGAUAUUGGUCAUUUGGUGUGUGGGGUGUGUUAGUGUUUGUGGUAUGUGAGGUUUCUCUGGGGUAAAAAGGGUUGAUUUCAGGCUGGAUGGUUGGUUGAGGUCGAGAGACUUGCAAAGCUUGUAACUCAGUUAACACCUUAUGCAAGGAAUCAUUGAUCUGAUCAAAAUUGGAUUCAUGUCGAGCUAAGGCUUCGUUGACAUCAUUGCGGAAUUCGGCAUUAGAUUUAUCGCGAGUGUCCAUUGACAAACCGGCUCUGAUACCAAAAUGAUAUGGUAUAAUUUAGAAUAAGAGUUAAGAAGAAGAAGGAAGCAAAGAGAUAAAAGAGAGGAAAAAUGUUUCUGUAAUUCUCCCUUUAUUCAACUCAGAACUCUUAUAGCUGGAACUAAACAAAUAAUGCAAACAAAAUAGGAAAAGAAUCAAGACCAGAUCACCUGGUAUUAUAACAGAAAACUCAAAACAGAAUGCUAAAGACUAGCUCCACUAGUUUAUUAAUAGAACUGAUGACCAAGUCUUACAAAGCACAUGUAUCACUGUUGUAGUUAAAAUAAUUUUAAAACAAGUUACAACAGUUCCAACUCAAAAUCAGUAGGCUGCAAUUGGGUUGUUACACAUAUUUCUAAAUUUCAGUCUAAUUUAAUUGUGUAUGGACAAACUAACUUUAUCACUUCUUUCAUAUUAUUACUCAUAAAUUUCAACCUUAUUAUGAUGAUGCACAAUCUAACUUAACAAAAAUAAUGUUCAAAUUGUCAAAAAUGUUCUUUUCUUAAAAAAGAAAAGAAAAUCAUAUACAGUAGUUAAUUUUUCUUCUUCUUUACUCCAGGAUCCAACUCUGUACUCCACUUUUUUGUUGUUAUUGUACCCAGCCGUUAGAUUUUAAUUACAUUGAUUUAACGGUUUGGAUUUGUAAAUGAAUAACGACAUAGUGUUUGGCUACCAUCUGAACCCACUGCAUCUAAUUGGUUUUGUGAUUUUUUGCCUUCUUCUCUGUAACGCUUGACUAGUUCUGGAAAUAUCAACCGCCAUUGACAACAAAUCUGAACCAUGUAUUAUUUCUUAGUAGUGGGCAAAUAAAGUUUGCCCACUACUAAGAAAUAAAGUUUCCACCACCGAACCAGUAUGUUGAUUUGCGAAUACAUUCAUUCAAAUAUUAAACGUUCAGAGAAGAAAGCAAACCAUGGUAGGAUAGCAAAAACUGCGAAUGGUCAUUCCCAACACGAACCCCUAUGGCGGUUUUCCUUUUAAUUUUCUUCUUUGAAUUCUCCUUUUAUUAAUCAUUAGAAAAACUCCCUUUUUUUUAAAUCGUGUGUUAGUAACAUUUACAUGGUUAAUGUCAUCCAAAUCAAAUGGUUGUUAUCUACGAAAAGAGAAUUGCUAGAAAUUUUGUUAGUCCCAUUGCAACAAUAUACAUGUUAUAAAUUGCAUUGUUUUCCAUAUAACAAAUAUAAUAAAAUCUCAAAAAAUUAAUAGUUUUCGGGAUCAUAAAAAAAUUUAUUAAAAUUUAACAAAUAUCAAUUAAUCAGUAAAUUAAUAAAUUAUUAAUUUAUGAAAAUAUUCAUUAUUUUGGAAAAACAUGAUCACGUUUUUAAUAUUGAUUUACCUUGAGUUAGUAUCUAUUAUGUUUUAUUUGUCUAUUAGUUUUCUCUUGGGAAGAUUUUUUAAGAGUUAGCUACUUUAUUUUAACAGUAAUAAAAUUAUUAUUUUACGGUUUUGUUUUUCCAUGUUAAAGACCGAUUAGUCGUCUUCUUCUCCUCAGCAUCAUCAAGCACCGCCUUGAUCAUCUCCAACAUAUUCUCCCACUUCAUCAGAUCGUCUUGGAUCUUUUCUUGGCGUGCAAACCACCCAAUCCCCUCCGAAGCUAACUUUUUUACAAGCAACUCUACGGACGCCGUUAGGAUCGCCUCUCUGAUGAUUGACAUUUUUUUCCCCUUUUUUGGGGGCCAAGAAAGAAAGGAGUAGAAUUAUGGGUUUUGGAAAGUAGAAUAAGAAAAUUGAACAGGUGAGAAAAUGGAUAAUUAAGCAGAAUGAAUCUGUGCUAGUGAAGGGUCUGGUCCAGCAAAGCUUAGUAGAAAUCACGCGUUUAUACUUUAUUGACCGAUGGCUAAUAAUUUGGCAGUUCACCCAUCACCGCCACUUGGUAAGAAAAAUGAAAAGGAAAAUGAGAUUCUUACCACAGUGAGAACCACAGUGAGCAUAGAACGCUGCGUUUUGUGCUAACUAUAAAUUCUCACAGUGGCACGCAUAUCACAUGACACACACAGAGCUCAGACAACACGCUCAACUGCCACAACACUCACCAAAUCUUCACCCAACUCAUGCAUCUCACCUCUCUGUGCUCUCUCUGUGGGCUCUCUCUCCCUCUCUCUCCCCCCGUCGCUCACGCAUCUCACCAUGCUCUCUUUUCACCGUCGACUUUCUCUCUCUCUCUCCCCAUGGGUCUUUCCACAGCUGGCGCGGGUCUCCAUCGAGAAUGCUUCGAACUCAUCAAGGGUGGUGGUAAAAGCAAUAUUUUCAAUCGAGAACGGCGUCGUCUCGGCUUGGAAGAAGUAAUAACACUAGUAUUUGGCGGGGGUUUUGGGUACUUUUUGUUCCUGUUUGUCCAUUAAUUAAUUAAUUUGGAAAAAAAAACGGUGUAUUUGACAAAUGAAUAAUGGGGACGGUUGGAUGUAAUUAAGGGGAUGGUGAACAUAAUAAUGGUUUAAGAAGACCAGGGUUUUGAUCGACAAAGUGGAUUGGAAAAAUCUAGAGCAAAGGCGUUGAUGAAGGGGGCCCAAAUUUGUUUUUUGGGUUUUAAAGAGUGGCAUUUUGAUAACCGACUUUUAUUAUCAGUUAGGUUGUUUUCUGGCAAUUACGCCGGUUGAAAAAGGUGCCGUAAUACUUCCUAAAAUAAUUAACCCUAAAUAAUUUGUCCUGCAUCACCGAACUCCAAAUCUUAUAAAGUGUAACAGACUAAUUUGAGUUUUUUUUUUCAAUUAAAAAAAGGAUGGGCAAAAUAGACAAAUAAUGAAGACAGAAGUUAAGCAGACAGAGGAAAAUGAAUUACAUACUGUCCUUGAGAACUCAAUUCUUUAAUAAACUCAAUUUUUAAUUUUUUAUUUUUUGGGGUAAACUCAUGUCAUAUACUAUAGUCUUUAAUUCGGGCUUUGUUGUAUCAAUUUUUUGGUGGUUAUCUUGUUUUAUUUAUUUUUUAUGCAAGAUUUUUGUAGAAAUACAUCAGGAAUAAGAGUGAAAUCCCAAUUUUAAAAUUUGGGAGAAAUGAAAUGCGAUAUAUUUUUUUAUAAAUAAAAAAAUUUAAUUUUUUUUUAAUUCUAUUAGCAAAAACCAUUAAUUAAUCAACCCAUCAAGUUAUUGGUUUCAUUUACAACUGACAGUCGGUUUCUUAGUUUCAUUCCUUAUCUUUUAAAAGAUAUUACAAUGCUCUGGUUAUUUAGUAAUUACAAAUUAGAAAAGUCAAAUAUUUCUAACCAAAGACACUAGUGGAAAAGAUUUUGAUUCAUUUUUGUGUACACGCAUGACACAAAAUUAAAUUAUAUGGCAAUGUUAAUAGUGAGUCGUUUUUGGGAAUCCAUUAAGUUCGCAUGCGCGUAGACAUCUGUUGCCAGCCCUUUUAUUUUUAUUUUUAUAUCUCCCAAACAUUGUUAGAGUCCCACAUUUUUGACACAUUUUUCUGUUUUCUUGCAUAUGUUGCGAUUUUUAAGUAUCACUCAAAAUUUAACACCGUCAACACCUGCAGGAAAAUUACAUUUUUUAUGUCAGCACACUACAAGAAAAAAACAGAAUACUUGACAUUUUUUAUUUGAUAAUUUUUAAGAAAUAUCAAAUAUAUAUGACAUUUUGUGAAAAACUAAGUAAUUGUGAAAUGUAAAACGUCAAAUUUCAUCUCCAUUCUCUUUCCAAGAAGAACGCACGAAGAAUUUUAGCUUGCUUCAACUGCUUCUCGAAUUUCAGGUAUUGUUUACUUUAAUUUCGAUAAUUUUUUUUUUUACCUCUCUCUUUCUAGUUUGAUAAUUUAGGGUUAUACUUGAAUUAAUUGUAUUUUUAAUCAACCUAGGUUGAUUUAAUUGAUUCCAAGUAUCAAUUUCCUGUUCAACAAACAAGGAACGCACAAAUAAAUUUCAUUUUCAUACUCAAUUUUGAAAGAAUCAAUCAAUUUAUUUUAUCUUUGGUUAGUACACUUCUGUUCAAUUUUUGUUUAUUUAACUUAAGAUAUCUUUUUCUUUCUUUUCUUCAAGCAGAUUAUAGAUUAUAUUGAGAACAGAGCUUUCUCAACGUUGAUUUCAGGUGAUAAUUGAAUGUGUAAUAUUUUCAAUUGAAAUUAAUUGAGUCUCGUAAUUAUAAUAGGGAUUUGAGAUUUACAUCCUGUUGAAAUGAUUUUAGAGUGUUCUGCUAUUUAAAUGUGCUAUUUGAAUGUGCAUUAAUUGUUUGAUUAAAUGUCUCGUAAUAGUAUUACCGUAAUGCACUUUGCUUCAAUUUGGUCUGUUUACACAUUUUAACAAGGGAAAAUUACAGAACUGCAACAGUUUUCAAAUUGAUUGCAUAUUAGAAGUAAUGUUAAUUUAUGCUGCAACAGUUCAAUGGGCUGGGCACAAGUUUAGGACUUUAGUGUUGGGAAAAUAUGCUCUUUAAAAGCAUAUGUGUUUAUUUAAUUGUAAUAAACAUUUUUUCUUAUUAAUAAAAUAAAUGAGGUAUUUUAUUCAAAUAUCUUAAUUGCAUUAAUAUUUGUAUUAAAGUCCAUUUAAUCAUAUUAUAUGUAUUUAUGUGAUCACCAUGUGGAUUCACAGAAGACAUAAAUACAAGUUAUCUUAUGAUUAAAUAAAUUUAGUUCGCAGUUGAUAAAUAAAGUUGGGCACUUUAUUUAGGUAUAGACUGUAAUAAAUUCAUUAAAUGAUUUGUCUUAAUCAUGUAUGAAUUCAUUGAUGUAGUACGACUACAUUGAACAGGAUCACAUAUGAGAUUUAAUUAACUUUGUAAUAACUGUCAGACUUAUUAAAUCUCAUAGGCAUUGAUUUUACUGUAAUCUUAAUCUUGAGUUAAUUAUGAUUUCAUGAUUGUAAUUGUUAUUCCAUUUGAGUUACCAAUGGGCAUGACACAUACUUGUAGUCUAGAUUACCCGGUAUCUUGGUGGGAGCAAUUAUGAGUAUUGGAGUUAUGGAUUAACAAUAUAGAAUUUGUACAACACAUCUCUUGAUGGGUUUUCGGUACUUGAUCAUAGAAUUCUCUGGCCAGAGUGUGUCAACAUAUUUAGUAUGUUGAAAAUGAUCAUUAGAGAAAACCAGUAAGGAUCAAGGAAUAAGAUGUUAUUAAAUUGAUUGGACAGUUGAGAUAUCAAUUUAAUUAACGAUGUGGUACAAAGGAUUGUGCAGUAAAGAAAUCAAUGUGGCUUGGGACGAAUUAUUACUCGAGCAUACAAUUAUGGAAGUCAGUUCCAAUCUUUUAGUGGAGUAGAUUUGGAAUUAAAUAAUUGGGCUAGUUUAAUUACAUGCCUAAUUAUUGUAGCCACUAUUGUAUGUUCCCAAAUGAUCCCCGAGUUAGCUCAUUUAAUUGACUGCACCACUACUGGACUAAUAAGUAAGAUAAUUAGCUAUUUGGGUCAAAAGCCUAAAUAUAUCAUUUAGUGGGAGGCUCCAUUUAAUUAGCUUUUGUAUAAGGGGCCUUAUGUUAUUUUACAAGGUGGGUCCCUUAUUGAAAAAAGAAAAUAACGUGAGUUUUAUUUAGGGCAUUUUUUGGAGCCUAGGGUUUUCACUAAAGGGAGAUAUAUAAGGCUUAUUUUCUCAAAAGAAAAGUGAGAAGCCACUAUAUACAGAUCAGAGAAAAAUAUUUUUCUCUCCAUUGUUGAGAGAAAAAUUUUCUCGUGCUAGUUGCUUUGGUAGUGAUAAAGGCACCCACACGUCAAGUGCAGAUCGAACCUGAGUCAUAACCUGGAAGAUCAUUGGAGACAGUUCGUGAUCUAACAAGCGUGGUGGUGACGGAUCGUGAUCUAAUAGGAGUGGUAGUGACAGAUCGUGAUCUAGGAGCUUAAAUCACUUCAGUGGAAAAAGCCAACUCAGAUUUUCAAGGUACGAUUUCUAGAAUACAAAUUCUUAUAUAUUAUAUGAGAGCGAUCUUCAAAAGGUUUUAUAAAAAUUUAAAAACCUGAUUUUUCUCCAACAUUUAGUUGCUCAAUUAAUGAAUCCACCACUCAUCAGACUUAGAACUUAUAUCUACUGAAUCAAUAAAAAUAGUUGAUCGAAUCAAUACCGAAAGCUUCAUUUGAUUAAUAAUGAACUACAGAUAUUUAUUUAUAACAUCUGUUAGAUUCUGGACAAUCACAAAGAUAUAGUAGCAGAAACUAUGUUCGAGACACUGUAGUUGCUUAAUUAGUGAAAUUGUGAUCUCAUUGCCCCCUUUUUUUGGUUGAUUCUAUAAUUUUAUUAGUCGUUCUUGUGGUUGUAAACAAUAUCAAUUUCUAAUAUUAAUAAAACUGAAUGAAUAAAAUGCGAUGCAUUUGCAGGAAAGUUAAUAGUUUAAAUAUGGAUAAAUCUUGGAUGUUGAUGGAUAGAAGGUCUAUAGAAUAUGAGAACGCGGUAAAUGAGUUUCUCAAGUUUGCAGUACUUCAUGCUAGUCAUCCUGAGCUUUUGAGAUGUCCAUGCCAAGCAUGUCUUAGUUUAUAGGCUCAAACAAUUAAGAGUAUAGAAAAUGCAUGAUAGAACACACAACUCAUAUUUUAGCAACAAUCCUCAGCUCACUGGCCCUUAGUUCAGAAUGACAAUUCUUAUUAGCCAAAGAUUCAAAAUGAUUUUUAGUUGUUUAUAAGUAGAGCACUAGAUCAACAAAUAAUUGAAGUCCUGCAGCUUGGCUAUUGAACUAUACGAUGGUGGCAAUUCGAAGACUACAACUUGGCUCUGCCAUUCGAAGUAAGCAACGCAGCUGCCCAAAGUCUGCCAAGCCAUCAAGACUCCAAGUAUACUUCAAAGCUACAUCAAGACAAUACUAAGAUACAACAUCAACAAUAUUAACAUCAAGAAAUGCAUGGAGGCCAUUGCAUGUUACACCCACCCCAAUAAGAAAAAUACAGUCCUAGAAAUUUACAAACCCGUGCAGUAGGAAUACUAAUUAAUUUAUACAGUUCAAUACUCGUUCCUCUGUUUCAAAUCCAAAUCCACUGGUCUACUAUUCAUUAUGACAAUGCAUAUGCCGAUAUUGUCUUCCAUCCUUUUUGUACCUUUCAAUUUAGUGAGGUUUAGACAGGGGUUCCAGAUUUGGUAAAUCAACAAUCACCAAAUAUGUAGAGCGGCCGGAAGAGGAAGCAUGGUUCCUAAUCCUAAUCUUGAUUUAGAGCAGAUUAGGUAGCAUGUGGCAUUCUACAUUCUUGCAAUGCCAUUUCUUGUUAUGGCAGCGGCAUUCUUGGUCAUGGCCUCACAAGCAAAUGCUUUGAUUUGAAGACUUGCUUGGCUAUGAAAAAUAAGGAGAGCAAAGGUAAUUAAUCUUGGUGUGAUCAACAUUUUUAUGGGGUACUAAGAAAAAUAAAGAUAAUAUAAGGAAUGUUGUUGAGGAGUAUUUUCAUAUUUACACAAGUGUUCAAGUAAAAAUUGAUUUCUUAAAACCCAUUAGCUAGCGCACAUAAUAAUGGGGAGAAAAUUUUAGACUACGAAUGGUCCCACCCAUUUAAUAAUAUUCUUCAAUCAAUUAUGUUUACAUCAAAAAAAAAACCCAACUCUUUAUUACUUUCUAACUAUUCAUAUUAAUGUGUUAAUAAUUAUGAAGAACCGGUGUAAUUUAUAUGAUGUAGGAAGUACUUUAGGCAAAAUCAUCUGAAUCUCAAAAUUUCGUGAUAUUGUGCCAAAUGGGAAGUCAAACCAAUUCGAGGAACUCUCCUGUUUUUGACUGAACAUACAUAAUCCGAACAAUUUGCAAUUAAAUAAAUCGUUCAAAAUCUCCUUUAGUCGAACCCCCAUUUCCAUGGUUUAAUAGAAUAUCAUAAAGGUGCCCAAUAUAGUGAAAUUAACGUUCAGCUCAUGAAGUUGCCGUUAUAAAAAGAAAUUAGUAAAAGAAACUGAAAACCAAUUGACACUGGAUCACGUAAGAUUGUUUGUUAUUAACUAUGAUGGGAAUAUAUACUUGGUCUAUUAAUUAUCAUCUAGCUAAUGCAUGUGCACUUUCAUUUGUGUCUAUCACUGAAGAGUAGAGUUAUUUGAUUGAAUAGUAUCAUAUCACAUAAACUCAAAACUUAAUUUCAUUGCACGAGCAUACCAGGCCAUAUGUGCAAAUCAUUUUCAGCUUACACUAACAUUUCCUUAAUGCAUGUGCACUUUCAUUUGUGUCUAUCACUGAAGAGUAGAGUUAUUUGAUUGAAUAGUAUCAUAUCACAUAAACUCAAAACUUAAUUUCAUUGCACGAGCAUACCAGGCCAUAUGUGCAAAUCAUUUUCAGCUUACACUAACAUUUCCUUAUCAAUCAAUUUUGAUGGUAUGAUAUUAAAAACAUCGAUUUCAUAAUUUUAUGUAAUUCAAAGAAAAGAUAUAAUUGAUUUGAGUUAGUUUAACAUAUAAGGAAAGAGUAAUGGGGAAUGAUGUCGAUGUGGCAUGUGAUGAGUAAAGAUAGACAACAAAUAUUGAUCAUGUAAUAAUGAAAUAUGUAUUUAUUGAAAAUAAAUUGACAGUUAAAAUUAAUAGAUAUAUAUCCAAUGCAUCGAGUUUAUUUUAUCACUUUGCUAACCAUUUUGUAACUACAUGUUAAUUAGAAGUUCAAUUAAUUUUGACCAAAGACUCUAGAGAAUGUCGAAAAGAGAUUUGAUUUUUGUCUUAAAAAAAAUUACAAAUGAAAUAAGUCAAAAUCAAUCACAAGAACAACAAUAAGAGCAUAUUUUAUAAAACCACAAAUACAUAAUAUAAAUUUAGUUUCGAAUUAGAUAAUUAUUAAUUUGUAUUGUAAGAGAGUCUUAUAGAAAAAAGAGGAAUUUUUUAAAAGGAGAUUUGCUUAAGGAACAACUUUAGUUUGGUUUAAUUUGUGAAGGCUCGAGUAAUUGAAAGCAACGCAAUUGAAGGAAAUACAAGCAUUUGAUUUUGACAAAGUAAUCACUACAAUAUUUGACAAGUUUGAGAUGUUAAAAAAACUGGAAAAAUAGACAAAUAAUGAAGACCCUACAAGUUGGCAGAGCAAAUAAACAGAGGAAAACAAAGCAAAUAUUUACCGUUAUGCAUAUAUUUUUUUUAUUUUUUCCGAAAAAAAAUGUUGUGAUAAUUUUUCCCAAAAAGAAGCACAGUUUGAUAUUACUACCAUAGAACUUUAGCUACCAUAUAUAAGCAUGUGUCUAAUUACCAAAUGAAUUCCGCUAUAACAAAGAAUAAAAGCUAAUUUCAUUGAUGGCAUAUGUUGUGCUUUCUUUUCUUUUCUUUUAUUUUAUUUUAUUGAAGUUACUUUGCAAACUGCUCCAUGCUACAUACAUAAUUUACGCUUACACUAGGAUCUUUGCAAUGGUCCAGCAAUUUGUAUUUCCUUUCGGUGAGGUUGGUUUUUUUCUUUAACUAAAAUUUCAGGGAUUAGAAAUCUUAUCCAUUGAACAUCAACUUUGAAUUUUAUUAAUAUUCAAACUUAGAAAAUACUGCAGGAACAAAGUGCAUUCAUAGCCGGUUAAACUAUGUCCAGCUACAAUGCAAGUUUCACUUUUACUUAAUUAAAUAUACAAAAUUAAAUCACAUGAGCCUCUCGUUUCAUUAUACUUCAACUCAAAAUUAAAACACAGAAUUGACGGUAUUGGAGUUUCAUAUUUAAUUUUGCUGUAGUCAUGGGGAAUCAGAUGGCCAUCCAUUUUUACGUCUAUUUUUGUGUGUGCGUGUGUGUAUGUGUGUAUUGGGAUGUCACAGGCCCUAAAAGAUAAAGCUGAACAUCAAUCCCAAAUCUAAAGUGAAAAACAGUAGCAAGAACAGAAUCUUUGUUUUGAUGUCUUAGUUUAUAAGCUCAAACAAUUCAUAGUAUAGAAAAUGCAUGAUAGAACACAGAACUCAUAUUUUAGCAAUAAUCCUAAGCUCACUGGCCCUUAGUUCAGGGUGGCAGUUCUUAUUAGUCAAAGAAUCAAAUUGACUUUUAGUUGUAUCUAAGUAGAGCACUAGAUCAACAAAUAAUUGAAGACUUGCUUGGCUGUGGAACCAUAGGAAGGCAAUUCGUGAACAGCCUUGAUAUUUCAUUUGGUUUUAUUUAAUUCUUUGUAAAGUUGUCUUGUGUGUAAAAUUUUUGUUACAUGAAAUCGGUCGGUGAAGAGAAUUUUUAAAAGCAAACAUCAAAGUCACGAUCAAAGGGACGAAAUCAGUAUAAAUAUUGAUUGUCUCAAGUUAGAUUAUACAAAGAUGAAAUAAUGCUAAUCUAAAAAAUUCGAUGAUUAUAAUUUGAUUUCCAUUAUAUUAAUUAUAUUCAAUCAUGCUCUUUAAAUGAAGAACACUCUAGCAUUUAUAUACACUCAGCUUAUGAAAUUAAUUACAAAACGAUCUUUGACAAAGUCUGAUGAAAAAAGUACAAAGUUAGACUUCCCGAUCAUGCAACCACCCAUCGAAUUGUGUAUUGUGUCAUCGUUGAGCUCUUAGAAGGAUUCAGCUGCUGAGGAGAAGAUAUAAUCUGCUUUUGUGUGAGAAGCUAUGUACUAUGCUUUUAUGGUGUUUCUCUUGGUAGUUGUCGGACAAACUGUAAUGUGAAUUUCUAUCUAAUGGGUAUCCUUUUAGUUACUUUGGGAUUGUUGAUUUAUAUAUGAUGUUUGGUAUCUAAAAUUCAGAUGAUGAUAAUCUUGGCAGUACUUUUGUCAAAUUUUCUUGUGUUGUUGUUGGUUUAAUAAAUAUCACAAAGGUGCAAAAUACAGUAAAAUUAACAUUGAGCUCAUGAGAUUGCCAUUAGAUAUAUUGAAAAAGAAAUUGACACAAGAAACUGAAAAUUAGUUGUUAAUUAUGAUGGGAAUAUAAUCUUGGUAUUUCAAUUAUAUCAUUUGUACUAAUCUCAUUUGUGUCUAUCACAAAAGCAGAGUGGCUUGAUUGAAUAGUGUCAUAUUACGUCACAGCAAUCACAUAAACUCAACCAAAAAUGCAUGAGCAUUGAACAUUCAGCUAAUUUAUACUAAUUAAUUAAUAAUACUAACAAGAGAAGUUGGAUCUCGUCUUCUCUUGGAUAUAUCCGAUGACUUUGAGCUCUCCAGCCUCCCAGCCGGAAAUGUUCUUCCUUCACAUUCGGUGAUUGUUUUUCAUUAUUGCGGCUACUUGACUCAAAUAUGCUAUUGCAAGAGGAGAUUUCUAUUUUGUCUGAUUUAAGCCAUAAGACGCGUUUCAAAUUUCAUUCUGAUUGGUUAUCUGUUAGCUUUUUUGUUUUAAGAACUUCUUAUUUACGGAAGCAAAAUUCUCCUUUCCAGGAUGAUCUAGAUUUAGAAGUUGCUUUUGUCAUAUCAGACGAAGAGGCCAUCUUUAAGGCCUUGUCUAAGAUUGUUGAAUUUACUAGAAGGGACUACUGCUCUGAUUGGUCAAAACUACUAUGGCUGUCUUUUUCAUGAGCUUCUAAGAUCGAAUCAGUUUUAAUGGUAUGAUAUUAAAAACAUCGAUUUCAUAAUUUUAUGUAAUUUCAUAGAAAAUAUAUAAUUGAUUUGAGUUAGUUUAACGUAUAAAGAAAGAGAGAUGGGGAAUGAUGUCGAUUUGGCAUGUGAUGCGUAAUAAUAGACACCAAAUAUUAAUCAUGUAAUAGUGAAAUAUAUAUUUGCUGAAAAAUAUUUGGCAAUAAAAUAAUACUUUAAAAAUUUAAUAUUAUUUGCAAGAAAGUAAUUCGACAAUUAAAAGUAAAAGAUGUAUAUGUGACUCUUCGAGCUUAUUUUAUCACUUCAUUAGCCAUUUUGUAACAACAACUUUAAUAGAAGUUCAAUUAAUUCUGACCAAAGACUCUAGAGAAUGUCGAGAAGAGAUUUGAUUUUUGCAUUCCAAAAAAUUAGAGAUGAGAUAAGUUAAAAUCAAUUACAAGAACAACAAUAAGAAUAUAUUUUUUAAAACCCACAAAUAUAUAUAAUAUAAAUUUAAUUUCGAAUUAAGUAAUUACUAAUUUAUAUAGUAAGAGAGUCUUAUAGGAAAGCAGGAAUUUUUUAAAAGAGAUUUGCUUAUGGAAAAAGUUUAGUUUGGUUUAGUUUGUGAAGGCUCAAGUAAUUGAAAGCAAUGCAAUUGAAGGAAAUAUAAGAUUCUAAUUUUUUUUAAAGUAAUCGCUAAAAUAUUUGACGAAUAGUGAAGACCCUACAAGUUGGCAAUGCAAAUAAACGGAGGAAAACAGGGCAAAUAUUUACUUUCUUCCAAAAAUAAUAAAUGCACAAUCUGCUAUUACUACUAUAGAAUGUUAGCUACUAUAUAUGAGCACGUGUCCAGUUACCAAAUAAUUUCCACUUUAAAAAGGAAUAAAAGCUAAUAUCAUUGUUAGCAAAUUUUAUUUAUUUAUUAUUAUUUUCUAUUAUCCUUUUUUUUUUUGGCGCUUUUAGUUAUAGGCCUAAAAAGAUAAAGAUAAAGAUAAAAAUCAAUCCCAAAUCUAAAGUGAAAAAUUGUGUCUAGAAUAGAAUCUAUGUUUUGAUGUCUUUGUUUACAAGCUUAAACAAUUCAUAGUAUACAAAAUGCAUGAUAGAGAACAUAACUCAUAUUUUAGCAAUAAUCCUCAGCAUCACUGGCCGUUAGUUCAGAAUGACAAUUCUUAUUAGUCAAAGAGUCAAAAUUAUUUUGAGUUGUAUAUAAAUAGGGCACUAUGUUGCGGACCUCCCAAUUCGCUAGCCCAAUUGCCCACAAUUUUGGGCUAGAGAGCCAACACAAGGCCAAGAGUGCUAGCUUGGCCCAAUUCCGGAACAUUCUAGGCAACUCUAGCACAUUGAUCUCGUAAAUACUCUAGAAUUCUCCUUACAAUUCCAGCACAUGUAAAUAGCUAGGAAGUGGUAGAAUUCUCUAGAAUCUCUAGAGCUUGGCAAGCCUCCCCUAUAAAUAUGGGAUGGCAUUAGGCAUUUGCAUCCAACAAACACUACAACAAGCAUUGUAAGCAACUCAAGCAUUGUAAUCUCUCUUCGUGCAAUAAAAGUUUCUUAUUCGGCUCCAUUGCUCUCUUCUCUAGUUCGAGAAGCUCUAGGCUUACUUAGCAACAUUCGGCAAGGUUGUCUAAGUGCCGCACGGGUUAGCUGCACAAAAUACUCAUCCCGUGACAAGUGGUAUCAGAGCUAAGGUUUGCACGCAUGCAAGUUAGCUCACGAAGCAAUGGCCAACCCUUCGAAUGUAGCACAAGAGGGUGUUGUUGGUGUGGAUGCUCCACCGGAACCAAGCCGCGGUCGAGAGGGAGAACGCGUCCAAGGCAAGACUCGCGGCAAGUCCAAGGCCCCAUCCGUGGAUGCGUUGGAGCCUCGUGUGACUACUCUCGAAAUCACAUUGUCCGCCGCUCAAGAAAGCCUCGAGGGAUUGGAGGAACGAGUGGACGGUCUCGAGGGAGAAUACGCCGAGUUCACGGUGGCAACCAAAGCUCUCAUCCAAGAGCAAGCGAACACUCUCCGAGGUGAGUUUCGUUCUUUCCAUGAUGAGUUGCUAAAACUUCAUAGUUUUGUUCAGGACGAACUACGCGCUGUCCGUGCGGAAGUGGAUGAAGUCCGCUCGGAUUAGGCAUGGCACAAGCGCACACUCUCCGCUAGUCCAGCUUCUGCAAACUCGAGUGAUGUGCACCGCAUUGAUGUGCCAAAGCCCGACACCUACGAUGGCACACGCAACGCCACAAUCGUGGACAACUUCCUAUUCGGGCUGGAUCAAUACUUCGAUGCCAUGGGUGUCCGAGAUGAGGCAUCGAAAGUGGGCACUGCACCCACCUAUCUUCGAGGCGCUGCACAACUAUGGUGGCGUCGCAAGCAUGGCGAGAUGGGUAAGGGCAUUUGCACCAUCGACACUUGGGCCAACUUCAAGAAAGAACUCCGAAAGCAGUUCGCCCCAAGCAAUGCGGAGAAGGAAGCGCGAGCGCUCUUACGUCGCCUCAAGCAAUCGGGUAGCAUUCGGGACUACAUCAACGAGUUCACUACCCUUAUGUUAGAGAUAACCGACAUGUCCGACAAGGAUUCACUCUUCUACUUCCAAGAUGGCCUCAAGGAUUGGGCCAAGACCGAGCUUGAUAGGCGUGGUGUUCAAACACUUGACGACGCCAUCGCCGUUGCGGAAUCGCUCACCGAAUACUCUACCCAAUCCAAGGACAAAAAGGCCAACCAAGGCAAAGGUGGGGGAGAGAGUCGUAAGGACAAGGGCAACAACCGCAAAGAUUGGGGGCAGAAAAAGCCGCCUAGCAACAUGAGCGGGCAAGGAAAAUCGGAGGGCAAGAAGGAGGCGCCAAAGCCACAAAGCCCAUGCUUCAUAUGCAAUGGUCCUCAUUGGGUACGCGACUGUCCGGAGAACAGGUCGCUUAACGAUCUUACUACCUAACUCAAGAGCAACCCCGCAAUGUCCACAGAGGAACCCCAACUCAGCAUGGGUUCUCUCCAACGCCUUGGUGCACUCAAUCGCCAACAGCCCGCACUCGUCAAGAAAGGGCUCAUGUAUGCAAGCGCAAAGGUAAACGGUCAGUCCGUUCGCACGCUGCUAAACACGAGAGCAACACACAAUUUCGUGUCCGUAGAUGAGGCCAAGCGCUUAGGCCUCAAGGCCACCAAGGAAUGAGGCACAAUGAAGGCAGUAAACUCACCUGCCAAGCCAAUUGCGGGAAUCGCACAAGGCAUGCACAUCACACUCGGUACGUGGAGCGGAAAGCUUGACUUCUUCAUUGUGCCCAUGGACGACUUCAAGAUGAUCCUCGGCAUGGAAUUCUUCGACCAAGUCCAUGCCUUCCCGCUGCCCGCUACGAACUCCCUAAGCAUCCUCGACGGGAGCAAGGCAUGCAUGGUUCCCACGGAACUAGGCAAGUCCGAGGAGAAGACACUCUCCACCAUGCAAUUCAAAAGGGCUUUCAAGAAGGACCCAAGCCAAGUCCCUCCGCGAAUUCAAGCCAUCCUCAAUGAAUACAAGGACGUGAUGCCUCCAGAACUUCCGAAGAAGCUCCCACCUCGACUAGAGGUAGAUCAUGCAAUCGAGCUGGAACAAGGUGCGAAGCCACUAGCCUUGACGCCCUACCGCAUGGCGCCACCCGAAUUAGAGGAGUUGCGGAGACAACUCAAAGACUUGCUGGACGCAGGCUACAUUCGCCCCUCAAAGGCCCCAUUCAGUGCGCCCGUGCUCUUCCAAAAGAAAAAGGAUGGAUCGCUGUGGAUGUGCAUCAACUAUAGAGCGCUCAACAAAAUCACUAUCAAGAUCAAGUAUCUGAUUCCCUUGAUCGCGGACUUGUUCAACCAGCUUGGCAAAGCGCGGUACUUCACCAAACUUGACUUGCGCUCCGGGUACUAUCAAGUACGCAUCGACAAGGGAGACGAACCGAAGACGGCGUGCACAACAAGGUACGGGUCUUUCGAAUUCCUUGUGAUGCCUUUUGGCCUUACUAAUGCACCCGCCACAUUUGCACACUCAUGAACAAGGUGCUCCAACCAUUCCUCGACCGAUUCGUGGUCGUGUACUUGGACGACAUAGUGGUGUAUAGCACCACGCUCGAGGAUCAUGCCCAACACUUGCGACAAGUCCUCCAAGUACUCCGAGACAACGAGCUCUUCCUCAAGUUGGAAAAGUGCUCGUUUGCCCAACAAGAAGUGGAGUUCCUUGACCACAAGAUUGCGGGUGGGAAGAUCAUGAUGGAGAAUGCCAAAGUAAAGGCCAUCCUCGAUUGGGAGCCUCCCUCGAAAGUGCCCGAACUUUGGUCAUUCCUUGGAUUGGUGAAUUACUACCGCCGCUUCAUCAAGGGCUAUUCGGCCAAGGCGGCACCCUUGCCUGAUAUGCUCAAGAAAAACAGAGCGUGGCAUUAGACCGAAGAGUGCCAACGCACAUUCGAGGAAUUGAAAAGAGCAAUUUCAGAGGAACCCGUCCUCGCUCUUCCGGACCACACAAAGCCCUUCGAAGUCCAAACGGAUGCCUCGGAUUUCACCAUAGGUGAAGUCCUUAUGCAAGAAAGCCACCCCAUAGCAUUCGACAGUCGAAAGCUAAAUGAUACGGAACGCCGCUACACGGUGCAAGAGAAGGAGAUGACCGUAAUCAUACAUUGCUUGCGGGUGCGGCGACAUUACUUGCUCGGCUUACACUUCACGAUCAUGACGGACAACGUGGCGACAAGCUACUUCCAAACUCAAAAGAAGUUGAGUCCGAAGCAAGCACGGUGGCAAGAUUUCCUGGCGGAAUUCGACUAUCGGCUCGAGUACAAACCGGGUAAAGCCAAUGUCGUUGCGGACGCUCUAAGCCGCAAGGCCGAAUUGGCGACACUUAGCAUGAGCCAACCGAAGUCCGACCUUGUCUCACGCAUCAAGGAAGGCCUCCAACAAGAUCCGCUAGCAAAGGAUUUGCUGGAGAAGGUGCUCGAGGGAAAGACAAGGCGUUUUUGGCAAGAGGAAGGCAUCCUCCUCACCAAGGGAGAUCGGCUGUUCGUGCCAAGGUGGGGAAAUUUGCAGAAGGAAGUUAUCAAGGAGUGCCACGACUCCAAGUGGGUUGGUCAUCCAGGAAUUGAGCGCACCAUCGCACUAGUUCAAGUCUCGUAUUUUUAGCCGCACAUGAGGGACGGCAUCGAGGUAUAUGUGCGAACUUUGUCUUGUGUGCCAACAAGAUAAGGUGGAUCAUCAACUUCCAGUGGGAUUGUUGGAGCCGCUGUUGAGUGUUAGAAAAUGCAUAUUUAUAUAGGAGAAAACCGUCAUUUUACAUUUCAAGUCUUACUAACAACCCUUACUUUUAUGUAUUUAACAUUCUUGUGAUUUAAUUACGUGUGUUUUAUUUUAAUUAAGUAAUUUAUGUAUUUUAAGGGCAUUAUAGUCAUUUCACAAUAAAGGAGAGAUCAGACGGCAAAACGGACAUCACUUUUGAACUCAGGACGGUCGAAAACCUUAGGAGGAGCAUAAAAGGAAAAAUGGCACUAUUCACAGGUACGGUACUAUUCACGGGUACGGUACUGUCUACGUUACUGUUCACGACACUGUUCACAUAGACGGAUCGAUGACGUGGCAUUGACCGAUGAUGUGGCAUUGACUGAUGAGGUGUCACAAUCCUGUUGGACUAAAAUUCUUAUAUACCGUUGAUAGUGACGUGGCAGCAUAUUAGUGGACGAAAAAUCUCGCGUACGGUGCAUGCAUCACACAGGAUUAUUUUCAACCAAACCGUGUUACUGUUCAUCCGGGUCAAACCGUGUUACUGUUCAUCCACGUGGUCAAACCGUGGACUGUUGACUGAUGACGUGGCGCAAUCCUGAGCGUCCAAACUGUUUUUAAUCUGAUGGCCAUGAUUUACUCCAUGUAUCUAUAAAAAGGGGGCCUCUCCCCCCUAAUUUGAUAUCUCUGAAUCCAUUUUUGGGAUCCAUUUUCUGUAAUUCCCUCUCCAUCUUGUAUUUUCUUCGUAUUUUAAUAAAUUCUCAUUUUGCCCCUAGUUCAAUUAUGAGUGGCUAAUUUUCUUUCAAGCUUGGGUUGAAGGUGAAGUCUCAACAUGUGUCAUGGGCUUAAUUUGGUAAAUUUAUUUUCUCUUCCCCUCUAGUUUUUGUGGAUGUUUUGACUUCUCGUCGACAAAUAAUAAUAAUCUUGUCUAGAUACCGCCUUGGUUACACCGGCUCUCUAGUAUAAGGUUAUUAUUAUUUGGCACGAUAAGCCCUUAGCACCAUAUUGAUUAGAGCGUGGUUCAUGAGGUGUGGAUUCCCCUCUCAUGAUUUAAUUGACAUUAAUAAGGAUUAUUUAGCCCAUGAUGCAUAUUGAUACGAAUCCGAAUACCCAAGUACGUCAUUUCAAUAGAAUUAUCUUCAAUUUAUUCUCGCCAUUUCAAUUCCAAUUUUAGAAUUUAUUCUCGCCAUUUUAAUUUAAGUUUUAGCAUAUACCAAAUCAUUUCCACCAUAAAUCCAACCACCCAUUUACAAAAUUAAUUCUACAUAUAAUUAAAAUCCACCUCCUCGUGGGAUCGACACUCGUCACCAUUGAUCUACACUACAAUAGAUUCGUGCGCUUGCGAGUACAUUAAAAUUUGCACAACAAGUUUUUGGCGCCGUUGCCGGGGAGGUAAGUAAUUUUAAUUCAUAGAAUUAAUUUUUGUGAAUAAUUUCUUUUAAUUGUUUUCUUGUAAUUUUUUAUUAAAAAAAAGAAAGAAAAAAAAGAGUGAAUUUAUAUUUUGAGUUAAGAAUUUUUAUUUAUUUAUUUUCUCUCUUCUUUACAAUUCUGUAAUUUAAUUUCCAAUUUAUUUUUCUUUGUAAUUUUUUUUUAUCUUAUUAAUUUAUUGUUAGUUAAUUAAUUUCACAAAUUUGUUUUAGUGUGUUUUUAUAGAAAGGUUGUAACAGCGCAAUAAGGUUAGUAUCGUAAUUUCUCCCUCUUCUUUAUUUUUAUUUGUUUUGUUCCCAUAUUUAUUUUUAUUUUAUUUGUUUUGCAUGCAUGGUCGUAGGUCAUUAUUACCUAAUCUUGAACCUAUAGACCUUGAACUUGAGAAAACACUUCGCACACAAAAGCACAUUAAAAAUAAAUUUGAAAUGGAUUUACAAGCACCACAGGAGAGGCCAUUUAAGGACUAUUUUAGUCCCUUAGCUAAUUUGAGCACAUCAUGUAUAAGGUACCCAAAUGUAGCUGCUAGGAGUUUUGAAUUAAAACCUAGUGUGCUAAAUUGUCUCCCCACAUUCUAUGGCUUAGAAAAUGAGGACCCAUAUAAUCAUCUGAAUGAUUUUCAUGCCAUUUGUCAAACUUUUAAGUAUGAAAAUUUUUCAGACGAUGAUGUUAAACUCAGAUUAUUCCCAUUUUCUUUAAAGGAUAGAGCUCGUUCAUGGUUAAAUACUUUACCUGCUAAUAGCAUUACAUCAUGGGAACAAAUGGUAACAAAAUUUUUGAAUAAAUAUUUCCCAGUGCAUAAAACCAAUGCUAUUCGCAGGGAAAUCUCAGAGUUUACUCAGAGAGAAGACGAGCAAUUUUUCAAAACAUGGGAGCGAUUCAAUGGGCUACUCUUGAAGUGUCCACAUCAUGGGUACGAAAAAUGGCACCAAUGUCAAUACUUUUUGGAGGGAUUACUACCGAAUGUGCAAGAAUGGCUAAUGGCAACAAGUGGAGGAGAGCUAAUAUCAAAAAGUGCAUCAGAGAUUUGGGAAUUCUUCCAGCGACAAGCGGAUAAUUCCCAACAACGGAGUCGAUCACUCAGGAAUACUAGAAGAAUUAAGGGAGUAAAUGAGGUUCAAAUUGGCGAGUCAACUUCGGGAAUCAAAGAAGUCAAGGAGAUGGUUGAAGGUCUCUCUCGACAAAUAGCAUCGUUAUCAACUGCUAAAUCAACAGAGGCACAUGACCAUGACUCAUACUCAGAUCAAGCCAAUGCCAUAGGUGUAAUAAGAAAGCCAUCAAAUUACAGCCCAUACUCCAACACAUAUAAUCCUGGAUGGAGAGACCACCCCAAUUUUUCAUGGUCUCAAGGACUCCAACAGAAUGGACCAGCAGCUCCAGCUCCACCAAUGCAACAAAUUCCUCAAGUUCCUCAAGCCUCUCAGCCACCAUUUAGACCAUACAAUCAGAACCAGAACUACUCUCAACCCAGACCAUGGGAGGAUGCAUUCCAAAAUUUCAAGAAUGUUACUCACUCCACGAUUGAGCAACAGAACCGCACUAUUGAUGGACUACGAAAUGAAUUGAGAGUGGGCUUCAACUCACAAGCCCAAUCAGUUUCAAGCCUCGAGAAGAUGGUGGGACAACUUGCUUCUUCAGUUCAGACCUUGGCAAUGACUGUUGAGAAAGGCAAGUUUCCAAGUCAACCAGUGCCUAACCCUAAAGGAGUACAUGAAGCAAGUACCAGUUCACCACAGCAGCAUGGAGAGAUCAAAGCAGUCAUGACCUUGCGAAAAGGAAAAGAAGUCGACAACAAAGUGGAGAUGCCGGUGACAAAAGAAAAUUAAAUUGUACCUGUGAAUGUUGAAGACUCACCACCGGAGGAGAAAGAAGAAACCAACCCACGAGAAUACGUUCCAAAAGCUCCAUUUCCUCAGAGGUUAGCGAAAGGAAAGAAGGGAAAGUCUACAGGUGAGAUUCUUGAAAUCUUCAAACAGAUAAGUGUUAACAUCCCUUUACUUGAUGCGAUUAAACAAGUUCCAUCUUAUGCCAAGUUUCUUAAAGACCUUUGUACUAAAAAGAGAAAUAUGCAUGUCCAAAAGAAUGCAUUUUUAACAGAAAACGUUAGUUCUAUACUCCAACAUAAAAUUCCUUUAAAAUGCAAAGACCCAGGCUCCCCCACUAUCUCGUGUAGUAUAGGGAACCACACAAUUGAGAAUGCUUUGUUGGAUUUAGGAGCUAGUGUAAAUUUGUUGCCUUAUUCUGUAUUUGUGAAACUUGGACUGGGAGAAUUACACCCAACUCCAGUGGUGUUACAGCUUGCAGAUCGGUCCACGAAAAUACCUCGUGGUAUUGUGGAGGAUGUGCUUAUCCAGGUAGACAAGUUUUAUUUUCCUGUUGAUUUCAUUGUAAUUGACACUCAACCAAUACAGGAUUCAAGGAAGCACAUCCCCAUUAUUCUAGGCCGACCUUUCUUGGCAACUGCAGAUGCUCACAUUCAAUGCAGAACUGGAAAUAUGCAGUUGUCCUUCGGCAACAUGACUAUGGAACUAAACAUCUUCAACAUUGCCAAACAACCUCACAAUGCAGAUGAUGGAAUUGUUGAUGUGGAUUUAAUUGAAACAAUAGUUGAUAAUACUUUUCUUUCAAACCUUAGUGAUGAUCCUUUACAAACAUGUUUAACUCACUUUGGUUUGGAUUUUGAUAUUGACAGAUCGGUCGAUGAGGUCAACGCCUUACUUGACUCAGCACCAUCUAUGGACACUAAUCAAUGGAAGUCAAGAGUUGAACAACUAGCACCAUCAGAGAAGAAACUCAUCCCAUCAUCAGAAUCACCACCGAAACUUGAGCUUAAACCAUUGCCCAACACAUUGGAAUAUGCAUUUUUGGGGGAAGAAAGUACUUUGCCGGUAAUCAUUUCAGCAUCCCUCAAUGACGAACAAAAAGGUAAGUUGUUGGAUGUUUUAAAAGAGCAUAAAGGAGCAUUAGGAUGGACCAUAGCAGACAUAAAAGGUAUAAACCCAGUAGACUGCAUGCAUUACAUUCACCUUGAUGAAAAUGCUAAAUCUACUAGGGAAAUGCAACGUCGGUUAAAUCCUAAUAUGAAAGAAGUUGUUAGAACAGAAGUCCUUAAGCUAUUAGACGCAGGUAUCAUUUACCCAAUUUCUGAUAGUUCAUGGGUCAGUCCUGUACAAGUUGUCCCCAAAAAGUCAGGAGUCACAGUAGUUACCAAUGCUGAUAAUGAAUUGAUACCAACUAGAGUAACUACAGGAUGGCGUGUAUGCAUUGAUUAUAGAAAGUUGAAUUCUGUCACACGUAAAGACCAUUUUCCUUUACCAUUUAUCGAUCAAAUGCUUGAUAGAUUAGCAGGCCAUGAAUUUUAUUGCUUUCUAGAUGGCUACUCAGGAUAUAAUCAGAUUCCCAUAGCACCAAAAGAUCAAGAGAAAACCACUUUCACUUGCCCUUUUGGUACAUUUCCAUAUAGGAGAAUGUCAUUUGGAUUAUGUAAUGCACCUGCUACAUUUCAAUGAUGCAUGUUAAGCAUUUUUUCUGAUAUGGUUGAACGAUUCCUUGAAGUCUUUAUGGAUGACUUUUCUGUCUUUGGUGAUUCAUUUGAUCAGUGUUUACAUCAUCUAACACUAGUUAUGCAGAGAUGUAUCGAGAAGAACUUGGUCUUAAAUUGGGAGAAGUGUCAUUUUAUGGUAAAACAAGGUAUUGUCCUCGGUCACAUCAUUUCGAGCAAAGGUAUUGAGGUUGACAAAGCCAAGGUGGAUCUCAUUUCUAAUCUUCCUCCACCCAAAACAGUCAGAGAAGUAAGAUCUUUCCUUGGGCAUGCUGGUUUUUAUAGACGUUUCAUUAAAGAUUUUAGCAAAGUUUCUAGACCCUUAUGCAAUCUACUUGCUAAGGAUGUACCUUUUUUCUUUGAUGAUUCAUGUCUUGUGGCAUUCGGAAAAUUAAAGAAGUUGUUGACAUCAUCACCCAUCAUUCAGCCCCCAAACUGGAGCUUACCAUUUGAGCUCAUGUGUGAUGCAUCUGAUUAUGCAGUAGGAGCAGUAUUAGGACAAAGAGUUGAUCGAAUUCCCCACGUUAUUUACUAUGCUAGUAUGACAUUGAAUGAUGCACAGUUGAACUAUUCAACUACUGAAAAAGAAAUACUAGCAGUAGUGUUUGCAUUGGAAAAAUUUCGAUCUUAUCUCAUUGGUUGUAAAAUAAUUAUAUUCACAGAUCAUGCUGCUCUUAAAUAUCUUCUCACGAAAAAAGAUGCAAAAGCUAGACUAAUUCGUUGGGUGUUGCUUUUGCAGGAGUUUGACUUGGAAUUCAAAGAUAAGAAAGGCACAGAAAAUGUCGUGGCGGACCAUCUCUCUCGUCUCCAUUUUGACACAAUUACAGAAUCAUUACCAUUGAAUGAGUCAUUUCCAGAUGAACAAUUGAUGAGUGUGGAAGUAUUACCAUGGUAUGCUGAUAUCGUUAAUUAUCUUGUUACAGGUCAACUUCCAGAGCAUUGGACCAAGCAAGACAAGGCUAAAUUCUUUGCAGAAAUAAAGAAUUUCUUUUGGGAUGACCCGUAUUUGUUCAAGUAUUGUGUAGACCAAAUUGUUAGACGAUGUGUCCCAGAAAGUGAAAUUCAAAAUAUCCUUUCAUUCUGCCAUGAACAAGCUUGUGGAGGCCAUUUCAGCGCUAAGAAAACAGCGACUAAAGUUUUACAAUGUGGUUUUUAUUGGCCAACUAUAUUUCGAGAUGCUUACACUUUCUGUUCUUCAUGUGAUAGGUGUCAACGAAUGGGGAGCAUUACACGAAGGAACAUGAUGCCACUAAAUCCAAUUUUAGUGGUUGAGAUUUUUGACGUAUGGGGUAUCGACUUCAUGGGACCCUUUCCCCCGUCUUUUGGUCAUCAAUACAUAUUGGUUGCUGUUGACUACGUAUCAAAAUGAGUAGAAGCAAUUCCAUGCAGAACCAAUGAUCACAAGGUGGUGAUAGGAUUUUUUAAAAGCAACAUUGUUUCACGCUUUGGAUUCCCUCGAGCAAUAAUCAGUGAUGGUGGUGCCCACUUUUGUAACAAAGCAUUCAAAGCUCUUUUGACAAAGUAUUCAAUCACACACAAAGUGGCGACUCCGUAUCAUCCACAAACCAGUGGCCAAGUUGAGAUCUCCAAUCGAGAAAUAAAGCACAUAUUAGAAAAAACGGUGAGGCCAGACAGAAAAGAUUGGUCAUUAAGACUUGAUGAUGCAUUAUGGGCAUAUAGAACGGCUUUCAAGACCCCGAUUGGGAUGUCACCCUACAGGCUAGUGUAUGGAAAAGCUUGCCACCUACCUGUGGAACUCGAGCAUCGUGCGUAUUGGGCCAUCAAGAAAUUCAACUUUGACAUGCAGCAAGCCAGCUCAGAAAGAAGAUUACAACUGGCAGAACUUGAAGAAAUUCGCAAUGACGCAUACGAAAAUGCCAAGAUUUACAAGCAACGGAUGAAAGUCUUUCAUGACAAGCAAAUUAUGAGAAAAUCGUUCACUCCAGGUCAGAAAGUGCUUUUAUUCAAUUCUCGCUUGCACCUAUUCCCAGGUAAGUUACGCUCUCGUUGGUCUGGUCCCUUUAUUGUUCAUACUGUUUUUCCACAUGGGGCAAUUGAAAUUAAGGACCCAAAGAACGGUGUCACGUUUAAAGUUAAUGGUCAAAGAUUAAAGCCAUAUCUAGAGUACUAACCACAUGGAGAAGACACCGAAAUAAAUUUGAGUGACCCACCAGAUUUGAAUUGAUUUUUUUUCUUUCUUUUCGUUGAUUUGAUUUUUCUUUCUUUCUUUAUAUUAUUCUUUUGCUAAUUGAAAUUAUUUUUGCAUAAGUGUGUUUGUUUAACUAUUAAGUUUUCUCUUAUCAUUGUUAAUCAUGAGUCUCAUACUUAGACCAUUCCUCCUGAACAUUCUUAAACCACUUCAACGUGUCAAAACUCAUCUCAAAAGACAGAUUCAAUUUUGUAAAACACAUCGUAUUUGGGCUCUACAACCACCAGAGUUAGUAGCCUAUGUUGAGGGUUUAGAAAGCCAACUCAGAGACAUUGAGAGAAGUGUUUACGACAUCCAGUUGGAGCUUGAGGUAAAUUCAAUAAGAGGACGAUUUUAAUUUUCAUUGUGUGUUUUAAUUUGUUUUUCUGUUUGUGUGCUUUAGUUUGUUACCCCAGUGAAGUGGCGGAUAACGGUACUCCGUGACAAUCCAGUCGGUUACUUCAGUUUCCCAUAAUAACUGAUAUUCUGAGGCGAAGGUAUGGACAGAAACGAGAUUCUAGCGAAACUUCACAAGCGAUUCCCUUCACUUCCUCAGAAUGCCCUCCUUACGAUCUAUAAAGCUCGGUCUGAACGCAUGCGAUUACUCAUGAGGAAUAAAAUACCUGCUGACAUUCGUUGGUUAAUCGAAGCUAAAGUACGAUCGGCAGGUGAGUUACCUCCAAAAUUUAUUGCAUACAUGCCUGGUUGUGGUAAAGGAAAUUAUGCAAGAAAACGACGAGCUCGAAGAAUUUUUGUUGCUUGUCAUAAGUGCGCCAGAAUGAGUUGCAAUAAAAACCCAUGUUCUUUAGGAAUGGUGUCUGAUAACAGGGAAGAUAAGAUUCAAUUCAUUAGGGAUGGCUUGAAUAAGGAGUCAUUGGAUGAUAUCCUUUUGUCUCUUGAAACACAUCCCAGUGGAUAUGUGCAAGGAGCGAUUCUCCAGUUAUGGCCAUUAUUCCAGAAAGAGCAUGCACGAUACAGUCUCGGGAAUCUGACUAUAAACGACCCUGUUUGCCAGUUUGUAAGAAAACUGGAUAGGAAGCCUAUCCUCGACCCAUAGAGGGCGUUCAAGCCGUUUCUGGACGUAAAACCAGAAGAAGAUGUGAGCCACAGUCGCAACUACCUGUAAAUAUCCUUUUACUUUAUUGUUAUUUUAUUUCACUAUUGUCUUAUUGUUUGCAUUAUUGUCUUUAAUAAUUUUAUUACUGUUUGCUUUUUCCUUUUUACUGUUUUCUUUUUGACUUGCGAGCCACGUGCUUUACGCGUUAUUUGACACUGACAUAUUACCUCAUACACAACCAUGACCCACUAUCACCAAGACUCUUAAAUGUGAUAUCUUUUGUCCAGCACUCACAAAUUAUUUUUUUGAGAAGUAUCACAAUGGCAGCUACUCCAAAUAGCCAAUUCAAGAACAUUUGUGUGCUUUCUGGAUUUACCUAUGGCAAACAUAAAGAGUUCGUUGAGGCAGCCAUAGAUCUUGGUCGAAGCAUAGCAGAGAGAAAAUUACACUUGGUGUAUGGAGGAGGUAACCGAGGGUUAUCAAAAAUGGUCUCAGAAGCAGCUUUUAUCAGAGGAAGUCAAGUGUUAGGCAUCAUCCCAAGAGUCCUAAAACCAUUGGGCAGUUCGUCUGAUUCAUCAACUGGAGAAGAGUUAGUCGUCUCAGGUAUGCAAGAAAGAAUAACUGAAAUGCUUAAUCAUGCUGAUGCUUUUAUUUUCCUUCCAGGAGAUCUUGCAACACUAGCGGCACUUAUCACACUAGCAUCUUGGGCCCAUCUGCACAUCCACCAGAAACCCAUCGGUUUGUUCAAUGUCAAUAACUUUUAUGAUGGCUUUAUCGCAUUUCUUAACCAUGCAAUAAAAAACUACUUCAUUCCUUCCCAUGUGAAAAAACUUUUUAUUUGUGCUCACACUGCUAAUGAGCUACUUGAUCUGUUACAAGCUUUUAGACCGGAGCCAAACCCCUGGACCUUUGUGUUGGAGCGACCAAAUACUGAUGGUAACAGUAGCAGCAGUAAGAAGUACAAAUUAGAUUUAACUCUCCGCCUGUAAAUAUUUUCUUCUGUGUUGCACCACCCAGGUGAUGUCUUCUAAACUCUACUUCUUUCCUUUUAAACAUUGAGGACAAUGUUUCGUUCUGGUUGGGGGGAGGGAAUAGUCGACAAUUGUGGAAUCUUGGUUAAGUUUUUACUAAUUUUUUGUUGUAGAAACUAACUGUUGCUAACUUUUUGUGUUGAAGAUGGCUGAAUAUAGAGUGUAGUUACUCUAGAAACGCAUCUUCAUUGAUUAAAAAAAAUAAUAAAAUAAAAAAAUAAAAAAAACAAAAAAAAUAAAAAAUUUCUUUUUCUUUAUUAAGUUUUGAUGUUCAUUUUUCUUCUUCUUUUUAAUUUCUCCUCUAUAAAUAUACAUUUUCCAACUUUUGAGUCGAAGAUGGCUGAAUAUAGAGUGUAGUGCCUCUAGAAACGCAUCUUCUAAGUUAAAAAAAAAAAAUUCAUUUUCGUUUUCUAUCAUUUUAAGUGUAACUUUUCUAAUUAGUUUUUAUGCAUCAUUUUCACAUUUCUGCAUGCAUAUUUUCCUUUCAUGUUUAGAAUAGGUUGGGGGGUAGAAUGUUGUUUAAAAAAAAAAAAAAUUGUGUGAUUUGUUUUAACAUUGGAUGACAUGAUUAAUUUUAAAUUUUAGUAUUUGUAUUAUCUUUGGUCUUAAGUGAUGUUACAUUAUGUUUGCUACUCUACAUGUUGAUGUCGGAGACAUAUAUGAGUUGCUUGAAGGAAUGAACAUGUCAUAAUAAGUACCAAGUGAGUUUUUGAGCCUAUCAUUUUUCUUGGAGAGUAACCCUUUUGCCCAUUCUUUAUACAGCUUAGCAGUUUAUUAUUGUAUACACGAUCUCUAGAUUUCUUUUGAGUUAACCCUUAAAAAAAAAAAAAAAUGUGUGUGUUGCUACAUUGGGAGGCCCAUCUAACUAGUAGAUAUGGAUGAUUAUUUAGAGCCCUAAAAGACGAUGGAAAGGCCAUCUUUGAUCCGUUUGAGACUUUCUAGCCAUCCCUUUUAUUAAAUAUCCAUAGUUAACCCUUUUGAGCCUUUUAAAAAAAAAAAAAACAUUUUCUUUGUCAACUUAUCAUCUUGACCCACUCCGAUUUGGAGUAUUACCCGAUAUCUUAUAAGUUCCAUCACCUAUUUAUGUUUGAGAAAAUGUAAAUAAUUAUGUUGAUCAGUGAAGUUAUACCAAAAAAAAAAAGCAAAAAAAAAAACAACAAAACAAAAGUUGUUGUUUCAAAAGAAUAAAAAUAACAAUAAUAUGUGAAAUCCACCUUGCAACUUCCACAAAAAAAAAAAAAAAAAUUUCUCUGCAUUUUUCUCAAACAUACACUUUGUUUUCUUUAUUUCCUUUCUUUGUUAACCAUGUCCCUAGCCUACGUUACAUCCUAAUAAAAGUCCUUCCUGAUUUUAGAGAAUUAUAAUCUGAAGUAGAAGCUGGUUAUAUGGGCUAAAAAGAUGUAGUGGUGCAUAUAAAAAAAAUAAAUAAAUAAAUUGGGUUGACUAACAGUUUUUAUUUGACUUGAGAUCGUAUUAUUUUUAAGCUGAGGGCAUAUUUAUUUUAUCUUGGUGAGAGCAUGUGAUAUCACUUCUUCAUUAUUUUCUCUCAAUUACCAUUCAUUGGAGUGACUAUUUUUAUUUGGUUUAAUUUCUUUGUGAGAGUGUCACUACUUCCAGUGAGAUUUUGGGGUUUGACAUGUCAUUCUUGAAAGUAGCUAUAACAAAGUCUACUGGGCUGAUUCAUGUGGAUGGUUGAUGUGGGUGUGAUGUUGCUUUAGACUGGAGAUAAUGCUUAUACUUUUAUUUGAUUGUUAUCAUUAAUCUGAUUGAAUAAACACUCGUGUUUCUAUAAAAAAAAAUCAUUUUGAAUUUGAAUUUUGUUUUCGCUUUAUUUGCUAGGGACUAGCAAUAAGUUGGUUGGGGGGUGUGUUGAGUGUUAGAAAAUGCAUAUUUAUAAAGGAGAAAACCGUCAUUUUACAUUUCAAGUCUUACUAACAACCCUUACUUUUAUGUAUUUAACAUUCUUGUGAUUUAAUUACGUGUGUUUUAUUUUAAUUAAGUAAUUUAUGUAUUUUAAGGGCAUUAUAGUCAUUUCACAAUAAAGGAGAGAUCAGACGGCAAAACGGACAUCACUUUUGAACUCAGGACGGUCGAAAACCUUAGGAGGAGCAUAAAAGGAAAAAUGGCACUAUUCACAGGUACGGUACUAUUCACGGGUACGGUACUGUCUACGUUACUGUUCACGACACUGUUCACAUAGACGGAUCGAUGACGUGGCAUUGACUGAUGAGGUGUCACGAUCCUGUUGGACUAAAAUUCUUAUAUACUGUUGAUGGUGACGUGGCAGCAUAUUAGUGGACGAAAAAUCUCGCGUACGGUGCAUGCAUCACACAGGAUUAUUUUCAACCAAACCGUGUUACUGUUCAUCCGGGUCAAACCGUGUUACUGUUCAUCCGGGUCAAACCGUGUUACUGUUCAUCCACGUGGUCAAACCGUGGACUGUUGACUGAUGACGUGGCGCAAUCCUGAGCGUCCAAACUGUUUUUAAUCCGAUGGCCAUGAUUUACUCCAUGUAUCUAUAAAAAGGGGGCCUCUCCCCCCUAAUUUGAUAUCUCUGAAUCCAUUUUUGGGAUCCAUUUUCUGUAAUUCCCUCUCCAUCUUGUAUUUUCUUCAUAUUUUAAUAAAUUCCCAUUUUGCCCCUAGUUCAAUUAUGAGUGGCUAAUUUUCUUUCAAGCUUGGGUUGAAGGUGAAGUCUCAACAUGUGUCAUGGGCUUAAUUUGGUAAAUUUAUUUUCUCUUCCCCUCUAGUUUUUGUGGAUGUUUUGACUUCUCGUCGACAAAUAAUAAUAAUCUUGUCUAGAUACCGCCUUGGUUACACCGGCUCUCUAGUAUAAGGUUAUUAUUAUUUGGCACGAUAAGCCCUUAGCACCAUAUUGAUUAGAGCGUGGUUCAUGAGGUGUAGAUUCCCCUCUCAUGAUUUAAUUGACAUUAAUAAGGAUUAUUUAGCCCAUGAUGCAUGUUGAUACGGAUCCGAAUACCCAAGUACGUCAUUUCAAUAGAAUUAUCUUCAAUUUAUUCUCGCCAUUUCAAUUCCAAUUUUAGAAUUUAUUCUCGCCAUUUUAAUUUAAGUUUUAGCAUAUACCAAAUCAUUUCCACCAUAAAUCCAACCACCCAUUUACAAAAUUAAUUUUACAUAUAAUUAAAAUCCACCUCCUCGUGGGAUCGACACUCGUCACCAUUGAUCUACACUACAAUAGAUUCGUGCGCUUGCGAGUACAUUAAAAUUUGCACAACAGCCGCUACCACUAGCAACAAGGCCAUGGGAAAGUGUCUCCAUGGACUUUAUUACUUCGCUGCCCAAGUCCGAAAGUUACGGAAGCAUCAUGGUCGUUGUCGACUGAUACAGCAAGUACGCCACAUUCAUUGCCGCACUAAUUGAUUGCAAAGCGGACGAGGCAGCCCGCCUAUUCGUCAAGCACAUUGUGAAGCUUUGGAGAGUUCCAAAGAGCAUUGUGAGCGACCGAGACCCUCGGUUCACUGGAUGCUUUUGGACGGAGCUCUUCAAGAUGUUGGGGAUCGAUCUUAAGUUCUCGACAAGCUUCCACCCACAAACGGAUGGGCAGACCGAGCGCAUCAAUGGCCUCCUCGAGAUGUACUUGAGGCAUUAUGUGAGUGCUCAUCAGCGGGAUUGGGCGAAGCUACUCGACAUCGCCCAAUUUUCUUAUAACUUGCAGCGAAGUGAGGCUACGGGCAAGAGUCCGUUCGAGAUCAUCAUGGGAUUCCAGCCAAUGACUCCCAACGCCAUAGCCUCGACUUACGGAGGGAAAAGCCCCGCGGCACACAAGCUCACCCGCGAAUGGCAUGAGGAAGCGGACAUCACGCGAGCCUACCUCGACAAAGCCGCGAGGAAGAUGAAAAAAUGGGCGGAUACGAGGAGACGGCAUGUUGAGUACAAGGAAGGUGAUCAAGUCAUGAUCAAGCUCCUACCCCAACAAUUCAAGACUUUGCGGAAAGUUCCCAAGGGGUUAGUGAGGCGCUACGAGGGACCCUUCCGAGUUGUUCGACGUGUGGGCAACGUCUCGUAUCAACCCCAACUUCCGCCAAGACUCAAGAUCCAUCCGGUCUUCCAUUUGAGCCUUCUCAAGCCAUAUCACGAAGACAUAGGAGGUGCGCGCCAACUGCCGUUGUCACCGCGUUCGACAAAGAUGUAGACUACAUCAUUGCGGACCGCACGGUUUCGAGGAGGGGCGUGCCAGCACAUAGCGAGUACUUGAUGAAGUGGAAAAACCUCCCCGAGAGCGAAGCCACUUGGGAACGUGAAGAUGAUUUGUGGCAAUUCGCUGAGCACAUCCAGCACUUCAAGCACGAGAGCGCGACGAGGACGCCGCGAGCUUAGGUAGGGGAGGAUGUUGCGGACCACCCAAUUCGCUAGCCCAAUUGCCCACAAUUUCGGGCUAGAGAGCCAACACAAGGCCAAGAGUGCUAGCUUGGCCCAAUUCCGGAACAUUCUAGGCAACUCUAGCACAUUGAGCUUGUAAAUACUCUAGAACUCUCCUUACAAUUCCAGCACAUGUAAAUAGCUAGGAAGUGGUAGAAUUCUCUAGAAUCUCUAGAGCUUGGCAAGCCUCCCCUAUAAAUAUGGGAUGGCAUUAGGCAUUUGCAUCCAACAAACACUACAACAAGCAUUGUAAGCAACUCAAGCAUUGUAAUCUCUCUUCGUGCAAUAAAAGUUUCUUAUUCGGCUCCAUUGCUCUCUUCUCUAUUUCGAGAAGCUCUAGGCUUACUAGCAACAUUCGGCAAAGUUGUCUAAGUGUCGCAUGGGUUAGCUGCGCAAAAUACUCAUCCCGUGACAACUAGAUCAACAAAGAAUUGAAGACUUGCUUUUGCUAUUUAACCAUGCGAUGGCAAUUCGAAGACUACAGCUUAGCUCUGCCAUUCGAAGUAAGCAAUUCAGCUGCCCAAAUACUGCCAAGCCAUCAAGACAAUAACAAGAUAUAUGGGUUAAUCGCAAAAGAGACAACCCGAGAUCUCUAAUCGCAAAAGAGAGGCAAGCAGGCCCUUCUCUGGAAAGUACUUGAGCUUGGGACAAUUACAGAGUUUAAUGAAAUAAGGUUUUGAUGAUCAACAAUUGAAGAAGACAGGCAGUCCAAAUUUAGUAAAUUAACAAUCACCAAAUAUGGUAGGGUGGCAGGCAAAGGAAGCGUGGUUCCUAAUCCUAAUCUUGAUUGAUAACUGGCUAUGUAACAUGUGGCAUUCUACAUUCUUGCAAUGCCAUUAAUUUCUUGUUAUGGCAGCAGCGUUCUUUCAUCAUGGCAUCACAAGCAAAUGUUUGAUUUGAAGACUUGCUUAGCUGAGAAAAAUAAGGAGAGCAAAGGUAAUUAAUUUUGGGGUGAUGAAUAUCUUUAUGGGUGUACUAAGAAAAAUAAAGAUAAUAGAAGUAAUGUUAUUGAGAAGCAUUUUGAUAUUUACAAAAGUGUUGUUAGAGUGCAAUUUAUGCACUAGUUUUGCAUUGUUUACUUCCCUUAAUAUCAAUGUUUUGCACUUAAUAAUAGUAAUUUACUUGUGUUUUACCUUUGUAGGUGUAAUUCUAUUGAUUGGUGAUAAAAUUGAGCUAUAAGAUGAUGUUUAAGGAUGAUUGGUCUCUUAGAGAAAUUAUGAGCGUCAGAAGAACUUUGUUGAUAAGGCGUGGGCGCGUGCUGUCAACUGCGGACCUGCAGUUUUUAGUUUAACGUGUUUUGUAUUUUUGGUUAUUUUUGUAAUUACGAAUUUAAUAUUUCAGAUAUUAGUAUUUUAUUUUAAAUAGAAUUCUAAAAGAGAAGAGAGAGAGAGUAUUUAAAGGAGGAAUCUAUUGUGAAAGGGGGGAUGGGGAUUGGAGAAAAAGAAAAGAAACCCUAGAUCUUAAUUUUUCUCUUCUCUCUAUGAAGAACUAAACCUAUUUUUUCUGGUUGAAGGAUAAUGAAGCUUUGAUUCAUCACUACUGUGAGAUCUUUCUUAUGCUUUAAUUGUUUUAUUACUUUUUGGGUAUUUGUUUAUUCUCUGAAUUAGUUUCAUGAUUAUGUUUGUUAAUUAGGUAAUUGGCCACUAUUUAAUUAUCAACUUAAUCUAUUGUCAAUUAAAGGAUUCAUCGUAUGAAGAAUUUAAUGUUUGUGACAAAUAACAUAGCAGAGAGUUGUGUUGUGAGAAUAAACAAUCUAAUUUAAAUGAAUCAUCAUAUGUGUUGAUUAUGAUUUGGGUCUCUCUGGUUUUUCAGGCUGUCAAUUGAUUAAAUCCUAUGAUCGUAUCUAGGGUUGUCUAUUGAUUAGGGAAAUAUCCAACGAUCGUACCUUGGUUAUCGACUAGUUAAGGAGAGAUUGGCUAUUAGAGGGUCUCAAUAGCUAUAACCGGUCUAUUCAUAAGUAAUAAUAAUCUAUAUUUGAAUCAAUGAUCAGUAGUCGAAUCAAGUUUAGUUAAUUCCUUCAACCAGAGCUUUCUCCAAUUUGAAUUACAACUUUAAUUUACAUUCUUGUUAUUUUAAUUUGAUUUUUAUUAUUGUCAACAAAACCCCCAUUUUAUGUUUUAUGUUUUAAAAGGAUUUAAAUAAUUACCAAUCUCUGUGGACACGACCCUGCUCAAUCACUAUACACAAUUUAUUUAGAGUAGGAAUUUAUUUUUGUUGGCUUCGACACCCAUCAAGUGUUCAAAGAAAAAAGUUUUUUUUCUAUAUCUAUUUGCUGGUGCACAUAACAAAAGGGCAUUCUGAGUAAAUUUAAAACUACAAAUAGUCUCACUCUUUUAAUAAUAUUCUUCAAUUAAUUCUGUUUAUUUCAAAAUAAAUAUUCUAUCUCUUAUUACUUUCUAACUAGUCAUGCUAAUGUGCCAAUAAUUAUGAAGAACUAGUGUAAUUUAUAUGAUAUAAGAACCCCUUUAGCACAUUAACCCGAAUUUAGCUAAUACAUGUGCCUAAUAUAGCGAAAUCAACAUUCAGCGCAUUAGAGUGCUAUUAUAUAUAUUGAGAAAGAAAUUAACACAAAAAACUGAAUAUUAAUUGACACAGGAUCAUGUUGGAUUGUCAGUUGUUAAUUAUGAUGGGAAUACAAUCUUCAUCAUUGCGACUACUUGACUCAAUUAUGCUAUUGCAAGAGGAGAUUUAUAUUUUGUCUGGUUUAAGCCGUAAGAUGGAUUUCAAGAUUCAUUCUGAUUGGUUAUCUGUUAGCUUUUUGUUUUAAGAACUUCUUAUUUACGGAAGCCAAAUUCUUCUUUCCAGGUUGAUUCAGAUUCAGAAGUUGCUUCUGUCCUAUCAGAAGAAGAGGCCAUCUUUAAGGCCUUGUCUAACACUGUGGAAGUACUAGAAGGGACUACUGCGCUGAUUGACUUUUUCAUGAGCUUCUCUUCCAUUUGAACAUGAGAGUAAUCAGAUAGUUGACAUAUAUGUUACAAAAGUUGGAAGCAACUUAAGCAAUUCAGUAUCAUGUGAGGACUAUAAUAAUAAGCCGAUUCUUUUGCUUGGAUUUUUUUGUUAAUUCACUCGCUGCAUGCUUAUCCCACCUCUGAUUUUUCUUAAUAUUUCUCUGUAGUUCACUUCACAGCACUUUAGCCGCUACAUUGGCAUUUUCUGCUAUUUGUUAUUGUUCAUUGAAGCAAGUUAGCUUAUGAGAUUGCUUUUUGGUAAAUGUUCUUCAGGGGGGUUGUGAAAGGCCAAAUCAACUGAGAUGACCGGGUUUUCUAGAUCAGCCAUCUCUGUCCUCAACAACUGUCAAUUACUGAGACACCAAACUCUAACCUGAUUCAUAUGGAUUUAGACUAAAGCUUCUUGCCGAUACCGUCCCCAGUCAAAGCUGCUAUCCUUGAAAGUUUUGCAAGAGAAAACAUGUCUGAGUCAGACAUUGACGUCCCCCCAAGCAUCAAACAGUAUAUCAAGAGCAAUGUUGGUUUCCCAGUCGAUACAAAUGCAGAAUUCAUAUAUGCAAAUUGCUCUCAAUCUCUGUUUAAUAAGCUAGUCCUCUGCUGUAUCCUACAAAGUGGAACAAUACAUUAUGCUUCCCAGCAGACUCCAAUGGGAAGUAUGUUUCUGCUGCCAAAUUUUUGAAAGCUAUCAUUGUGAAUAUCCCUCCCCAGUCUGAAGUGGGCUUUGAUACUUGUGACAAUACUCGAUCGAGACUGUAAAGAAGCCGUGGGUGUACAUUUCUGGUCCAACAAUCAAUCCAACUGGCUUGCUUUUACAGCAGGAAAGAGAUAGAGAAUAUAUUAACUGUUUGUGCAGAAUAUGGGGCAGGAGCUUGCUUAGUGUCGUGUCAAAAUAAAUAUAACAAAGUUUUAGCUGAAUAUAAAUUCGACUUAGUUAUUAUAGAUAUUUAAUAAAAUAAUAACACGAUUAAUAUGAUACUUCAUGAAAAAAAGAUUUAAUUUAUUAUUUCUACUAGUAAAAACUAUUAAUUCAUCAACCCAUCAAGAUUUUUUUUCUUUUUUUUUUUUUUUUUUUUUUAAUUCAACCCAUCAAUCUUUGUUUGUAACUGCCAGACCGUCAGUUUCUUAAGGCUCACGCAGUGCAAGGGUAGUGUAUCGUUUCUUUCUAACUGAAAUGGGAACUCGGAUGCUGAGAAAAUAUGCCUGCAUGACUUCAUUAAUCCUGCAGGCGUGGUACUAUCACUAUGCAACAUUACAUUAACAUUUCCUCAUCAAUCAAUUUUGAUGGUCUGAUAUUGAAAACGUCGAUUUCAUAAUUUUGUGUAAUUUCAUAGAAAAUAUAUAAUUGAUUUGAGUUAGUUUAACAUAUAAUGAAAGAGUAAUGGGGAAUGAUAUUACUGUGGCGUUUGAUGAGUAAUGAUAGACAACAAAUAUGGAUCAUGUAAUAAUGAAAUAUGUAUUUACUGAAAAAAAUUUGGCAACAAAAUGAUGCUUUAAAAAUUUAAGAUUAUUUGCUAGAAAUAAUUUGACAAUUAAAAGUAAAAGAUAUAUUUGCAAUGCUUCGAGUUUAUUUUAUCACUUCACAGACCAUUUUGUAACCACAUGUUAAAUAGAAGUUCAAUUAAUUCUGACAAAGGACUCUAGAAGAGAUUUGAUUUUUGUAUACCAAAAAAAUUAGAGAUAAGAUAAGUUAAAAUCAAUUAGAAGAACAACAAUAAGGAUAUAUUUUAUAAAAGCCACAAAUACAUAUAAUAUAAAUUUAGUUUUGAAUUAGUAAUUAUUAAUUUAUAUAAUAAGAGAGUCUUAUAGGAAAGUAUAAGAGUCUUAUAGUAAGAGAGUCUUAUAGUAAUUAUUAAUCUGUGAAAUCCCCGGCCCCGCUCAAUCAUUGACUUCCAAAUCUCCAUAUUACCCAAAAUAUAAACUGACUGAAGGUUGGUGGGAAGGCCAUCUUCUUCAAGGCUUGGAAGCUCACCUCCUAUUGUUAAUUCUUGAAGAGAGGUCAGAUUGUGCAAUCCCUUGGGUAAGGCCUCUAGUCUCUUACAAUCAAGUAUCGUCAGCCUCGUGAGUUUCGCACAAGGCAAUCCCCCUUGGGGAAAGGACACUAGAUUUCCACAAUACGCUAUGCUAAUCUCUUGAAGCUGGCGGAGAUUAUGUAAACCACUCGGUAAAAUUUUCAGAUUUCCACAAUUAGAAAUGUCGAUUGUUUCAAGAGAUGUGUUGUUGUCCAACCUUUCUGCUAUUGACUCCAGCUUUGAACAACUCUCAACACGAAGGGACUUAAGAGACGGAGGUAGAUUGCCAACUUCAAGGGACUCAAGCGUGGCAGGUAACUCAUUUUUUGAAAAUAUACAUGUCAGUGAUGGACAGCUGUUAAUACGCAACUGCUCAAGAAGAGAUGAGGUGUACCUUCUAUUGCUGCUGCUGCUGCUACUCUGGACGCCCUCUUCCACUGUCAAAGUCCUUAUAUUAUCGCAAUCGCUGAUUCUCAGCUGCUUGAGGCUCGGUGGUAGCUGGACUCCAGCAAUAUAUGUCAACGAAUGGCAAACCCAAAUCUCCAAGAUCUCGAGAGAUGAAUUGGUGUCGCACAUCCAUACCUCUGGUAAUGAUUUCAGUGCAUCACAUUCCCUAAUCUCAAUUGUCUUCAACUUGGAAGGCAGAGCAACCUCAGGAAAGGAAACAAGGGAACUGCACUUGUAGAUUUCUAUCUCUCUCAAGGAACUGAGGCUGAGAGAUGAUUGUGGCAGCUUCACAAGGCCUUCGCAAUAUCUCAAUCUUAGAUAUUCGAGUCUGCAUGACAACUCGCAGACCUGCUGUUGUUGGCCUUUCUCUUCCUCCGCCACCAAGGAUUGAAGUUUGGGACACCGUCUAAUCGUCAGUCUUCUGAGAGAGCAAAUGUCUUGCAGUAAUUCGUUAUGACUCUUCCAUAUAUAUGUCUGCUCUUUCAUUUCAUUUAUCUUCAAUUCUUCCAAUUUUGGCGGUCGCGGCUUUAAUGGCCCUGCGAGAAACACUUGAUUUGAUGUAUCUCUACAAACCACUGAAUUCUGUGAGCCGAGAUGAUCAGUUGCACUUCUCCACACAACCUUUUUACAUCCACCAAUCUGUAAUUUGCAAAGAGCUGGAAGACUCGAAACUGAAACUGACAAUUCUUCACAUCCUUUAAUAACAAGCUUCUCCAAUGCAGGAAGGCGUUCUGGAAAUGUUCCUUGCAGCUUAGAACAUCUUAAAAUGUGAAGCUCUCUCAAUUUAGGAAACCCUUCAACUCCCUGACUGGAUCCAUGAGGAAUUCAGUCUUCCCAUCCUUGCAUGUCUUCAAAAUGAAGAGUCUCCAAGCAUGGAAAAGGAAUUGGAGUAUCAUUCCCAUAGAACUCUGAACCCAACCUCUUUACACUAGUCAUUCCACAUACUGCAAGAUGCUUUAGAGAGGGUAGUUGCCCGACUGACGGCAGGGUAGGACACAUGCCACAAUAUUCAAAUUUUAAGGUCACCAACUUUGAGAAUGAGGAAUCUCCGAACCAAGUUGGAAAUUUUGCACCUCUAUAGCCGCUGAUACUAAAUUGUUCCAAAUUUUUAUUGGGUUCUAGCAUGUCCAGCACGUCCUUUUCAAUUUCCGCCUCACUUGAAGACGAGCCAUCGGUACUGUGUGUCCAUCGAAGCAAUAAUUCUCUAAGAUUCUUCUUUCCAUCCAAUUGAGCCUCCUUUGCAUCACCAACGUCUUUUACAUUCUCCAAUUUUGAAAUGUUAAGUGUCCCAUGAAGGUGCGUCAACAACUUUAGCUCUCGUAAACCGGAACCACUGCCUUUUCCCACAACAAAAUUACACAACGUCUGAAGACUAGUCAACCUACCAAUUCCUACUGGCAUUUCCUCCAACGACUUCGUAUUUGAAUUCUUAAGAUGAUGCAAUUUGGCGAGGUUUCCCAUGUCUGCACACAACUUCUUCAGCCGAUCACAAUCUUCCAACAAAAGACUAUGCAAAUUGUAAAGCUUGUUGACUGAUUCAGGCAGAGUUCUAAUCUCAGUUCUAGACAGGUUAAGGUACCUUAAAUACCUCAAAUCACCAAUUGAAUCCGGCAGCUCAGGGAUGCAGUAUCCACGCAAAGAGAAGACCCUCAAGCGUCGGAGUUUGAGCAACUUAGGAAGAAUGCUAGGAGCCAAGAAGCCAGGCAAACUUUUUGUCAACAUUACUGGUAAAAAAGUUCUCAAAUGCUGGAUAUCAUACAAGUCCCCAAACCUUUUACCGCCAUCAAAAUAUUCAGGAAUGUAUGAUAGAUGACGAAGAUUUUCGGAAAAACUUUGCUGGUUGUAAAUUUCUGAGGUAUACUCCAUUGUGAAGUAUAUCUCCCCCGCAGCCCAACGGGCAAGGUCAUUGAUAAGAUCGUGCAUCACAAAUCGUGAUGUAUUGUUGCUUAAUUGCUGGAAAAAAGAUCUUGAACGUAGCUCUUGAAAGAACUUUCGACCUAGAACUUCGUUAGGAUUCCCAUUCUCUUUAUGAACCAAGAAACCUGAAGCACUCCAUAAUAAAAUUAUCUCCUCCUCUUCAAAUUCAUAAUCCUUCGGAAACAACGAGCAGUGUGCAAAGCAUUGUUUCAAAAUUGGAGGAAGAUAAUAGUAGCUCACUGCAAGAGCUGGUAUAAUGCCACAUCUCUUUUGUGGUAAUUCCCAUAUCUUGCUACUGAGCACAUCUUCCCACACACCUCUGUCAUGUUCUCCACAUAAAAGUCCUCCCAGUGUUUUUGCUGCCAAGGGCAAGCCAUUGCAUUUGAUCACUAUCUUCUUGCCAAUGUCCUCCAAUGACUUGUGUGAACUGAAAUCUCUUGUCCCCAAAGAGUGCUGAGCAAACACAGACAGACAAUCCUCAGUUGACCCUGCAAGUUGGCAGAGCAACUAAACAGAGGAAAACAAUUGAAAUUAAAACGCAAAAAUUGAUGGUAUUGGAGUUCCUUAUUUAGUUUUGCUGUAGGUCAUGGGAAUUAGAUGGCCAUAAUCCUCAGCUCAUGGCCGUUAGUUCAGAAUGACAAUUCUUAUUAGUCAAAGAAUCAACGGAUAAUUGAAGCUUGCUGGGCUAUUGAACCAUGCGAUGGCAAUUCGAAGACAACAGCAAGAUACAGCCAUUCGAAGUACAAAGACUGCAGUAGGAGUAAUUAAUUAAUACAAAGAUACAACAUCAAGACAAUACCAAAGACUGCCAAGCCAUCAAGACAAUACCAAGAUACAACAUCGAGAAUUACAUGCAGGCCCUAACGCAUUUUAUCCCUUCUCUGUUUUAAAAGAGAUUUACGAACCCAUGCAGUAGGCGUAAUUAAAUAAUUUAUGCAGUUCAGUACUCAUUCCUCCUCUGUUUCAAAUCCAAAUCCACUGCUCUACCAUUUAUUAUGACGCAAGGUAUAUGGGUUAGCAAGUGCUGUCAUUGUCCUCCAUCCUUUGAGUACGUUUCUUCCAUCAAGGGACAACCCGAGAUCUCUAAUCGCAAGUUGAGCCAAUUCAAGGAAAUCCCCUGUUUUUGACUGAAACAUACAUAAUCCGAACAAUUUAUAAUUAAAUAAAUCGUUCAAAAUCUCCUUUAGUCGAAUUCCCAUUUCCAUGGUUUAAUAAAAUAUCACAAAGUUGCCUAAUACAGUGAAAUUAGCAAAUUCAGCUCAUGAGAUUGCCAUUAUGUAUAGUGAAAAAGAAAUUAAUACAAUAAACUGAAAAUUAUGAGAAUAUAAUCUUGGUCUUUUAAGUAUCAUCCAGCUAAUGCAUGUGCACUUUCAUUUGUGUCCAUUACUGAAAAGUAAAGUGGCUUGAUUGAACAGUAUCAUAUGACAGAAACUCAAAACUCUAUUUCAUUGCCCGAGCAUACCAUGCCAUAUGUAAGCUCAAAAGUGCAAUAACAUUGAACAUUCAGCUAGCUAGCUCACACUAAUUAAUUUAUAGGACUGUUAGUUCUUUAUGAUUCACUAGAAGAGAAAAAAUUUGACAAUCAUGAAAACAACAAUAAUUCACUCCCAUAAACAACAUAACAAAUGCAUGGUCUAUUGCAAGUCUUUUUAUGAUUCUAAUUAAAAGAGAAAAUACAAAGGACAUAUUAUAUAUAUUUGAAUGUUCUCCUUGAUAAUAGACAAAAUAACACAAGUCUGGCUAACUAAUCCAAUCAUCAUUAUAGUCUGAUUUUCAUUAUUUAAUUAUGUCCAAUCAUGCUAAUUUAACAAAUAACACUGAACAUUUGAGUAUUUAUAUGUUAAACAGCCUUGGCUAAGUUAGAAAAACAUUAGAGCUGCAUUUACGCUUUGUGUUAUUAAGUAGGACAUGAAGAUAUUAUGUUGCAUUUGUCAGAAAACAGAAAAUUAUUGAAAAAAAUCUUAAAAGAGGUGUGUUGAAUUGUGAGCUUAAAACUGGGUUUUAGAUGUUUCUGCCAUGUCAGUUUAUAGCCCUGAUUGUGCAUGCUCUUUUGUUUGGAUGAAACAGGAGAAUAUUGACAUCUGUGCAUUGUCGUUUACUUCCUGUAAGUGAAUAUCAUGUUCUUCACGUGAUUUCACCUACUCCAUACGGCACAUUCGACAGUCGUUUUGGUCACUUACUGAAGCACGAGUGAAACACCUGAUUCAAGGUUGUGAGCCAUCUUUGUUUAUCCUCGUAGCAUCCUUGAUCUUAUAGUAUCCUUGUGGUUCUUGAAAGUUCUUCUCAUUCCCAUGUGCUGAGUCGCUUGCUGAGAUGAUGAAUAUUUGAUGGUCCUUCCUUGAGACAUUUGAUGGAUGAGAAAUGAUGUAACCAAUAUAGUUCUGUUUUGAAAAAUCACCAAAUGAUGUCAGAUAGUUCUGUUUUCUGUUUUGAAAAAUCAAUAUAAAUCAAUCACCUUAGAUUCUCUUUGUCUCAAAGCACUAUGGGUGAUGAUUUGAUGAGAAAUAUGGGUGAAAGAGAAGUAGGUUGGAAGGUUAGGUUUUGCAGCUGCUGCUCAUAGAUGAAAAAGAAAUAGUUUGGAUUUUCUUUAGGUUAGGUUAGGAGUUGUAACUUGCACACACCACACACGUGACAUGUUUGCACUUUACAUUUAUUUAAUUUAUUUAUUUUUAGAUUUAAUUAUUUUUUCAAUUAAAAUUACAUUAAAAAUAUUUGAGAAAAAAGUUACAGGUUUGGCGGAUAUCCAUACAGGUAUCCAUCGUAUAUUUAGCUAAUACUAAACCCACCCGUAAUGUAGUGCGGGUUUUAAUUUCUAAUACUAAACCCGCCCACAACCCGCAAAAUUACCCACAGUGGGCAAGUUUUGGCGGGCGGGUUUGGACGGACUUACGGAUUUGCAAGUACCAUUACCAUCCCUAUCUUUGGUAUGUGUUUAUCUUGUUUUCGUUCUUUUAUGAUGCAAGAUUCUUGGUUACAUUAGGAAUAAGAGUGAAAUCCCAAUCUUAAAAUUUGGAGAAAUAAAAUGUAAUAUGAUUUUUUUUUGAUUUUUUUCUACUAGCAAAAAUUAUUAAUUUAUUAACCCAUCAAGCUAUUGGUUUCAUUUGUAAGCCGGUCAGUCCAUUUUUUUGCUUUCAAUUGUUAUCUUUUAAAAGAUACUAGAAAAAUCUUACUUUGAGUGCAUUUUAUCACUUCACUAAUUUUUUGGUAAUUACAAGUUAGAAAAAUAAAUUAUUUCUGACCAAAGACACCAGAGAAUGUCGAAAAGCGUUUGAUUAAUUUUUGUAUACACACACAUAAGACAAAAUUAAAUUAUUCGUCAGCGUUGAUAGUGAGUCUGUUGCCUAUGUUGCAAUUUUCAGGUAUCACUGAAAAUUUUAGACCGUCAACACCUGCAGGAAAAUUAUAUACAUAUUCUAUCAUUCAACCUCAACAAAUAUAUUCUUUUCACUGGAAUCCAACAACUGUUAAGUGUUAACCUUGUAGUCCUCAAGAGCAGAAAUUGUUGUAUUAAUUUCUUCAAGUGUCUCUCUUAAAAGAAGAGAGUAAAAUUUCAACUGAGAUCUUGCCACAUAAGACGAUCGAUUUAAUCCGACAAAAUGUGUGUGGGUUAACAAGAGCCAAUGCUGUCCUUGAUCCUUUCUGCAUCUUUCUUCCAUCAGCGGACAAUCCUUGAUCUACAGUUGCACGCUCUUGUCCAAAAAGUAUUUUAGCUUCGGACGAAUAUAAAGCCAAAGAUACACCAACGACGUGAGAUUUUGACCAACUGAAGAUAGGCAUUCCAUGUUUUGGAAAUCAUAAAUCCACAAAAGGGUUCCUAAUUCCUGUGGCGAAAUGACACCACGUCACGAAGUCCUCCGAUUGACAGCCGUUGUAGAGAUGAGAAUCUGUUCAAUCCCCCUUCCCCCCACUCCAUGGAUGACUUCCAAAUCUUCAUAUCAUGAAUAUAAAGUGACUGAAGGUUGCUGGGAAACAUACCAUCAUCUGCCUCGACUGGGAAGCGAUACCAUAUAUGCUUGCCAGACCUCCUCUGUUUAAUUGUUGAAGAUUCUGCGUGUCCUUGGGUAAGGCCUCUAGUUUAUCACACCACGUUAUCCGGAGCUUAGUCAGUUCCGCAGAAGGCAAUCAUCCUUCAGGAAAGGGUCAUUUCAAUAAAAGCACAGUACAAUUGCUGAACUAAUUUUUUGAAAACAGAGAUAUGAGAGAUUGACAAUUUACAAUUGCUUAACUGCUCAAGAAGAGAGCACGCUUGAAAUAUGAAAUAUGAAAAAGAGAGCACAAAUGACAAAUCUUAAGGAAUUAGCAGGAUUCACGUCCGACCGACUCCACGUUGCUAAAGCAAAGGAUUAAUUUUGAGAAAUUGUAAAGAAAUUAAUACAAGUGAAAUGAGAGCCUGCUCAUUUGAUUAUUGGCCAAGGGUGAUUUCAAUAACGUUUUCAAAGAAGAUAUAGAACAAAGAUCAAAACGAAAAAUAAGCAAUUUCAGUCGUUGAAAAAAAAAGAGCAAGCUUCACACAUGCAUGCAUGUGUCGGACCAACAGAACAUGGCUUGUGGUAAGGAUCAAUCAAAGAAAUAUAAAUUCACUGUUUUAUAAAGUAAGCAUCAAAAUGUUUGACAAGUUUUAGAUUUGUAGAAUAUUGGGAAAACGGACAAAUAAUCAAUGAAGACACUGAAAGUUAAGCAGAUCAAUUAAACAGAGGAAAUAACUGAUCAAUUCUUUGUGCAAUGGCCACAGCAACUGUGAGCUUAUAAGUUGCUGAUGUGUUGGGCUUAAAUGCAAGAUUCGAAGAGUUCUUGUGGCUGUGUGAAGACUGACUUCAGUUGGAGGGGUCUUAUUGCAAAUUUUAUGCUGAUGUGGCAGAGUUCGCUGAGAAUUCGUUGUGCCUUUUCCAGAAAUAUCAGAACAAAAGGCGCUGGUGAUUAGCCCCUGAUCUGAGAUCAAUAUCUUCUUCAUUUCUUGUUCAUUUUGUUGGCAAUUUGGUUCUCUGUGAUCCUUGUAAUUUUCUCUUCGUAAUCAACCUGUAUCUCGAUUGUUAUGAUCAAUAAAAGAGCAGUUUUGUACUUGAAACACUACUCUUUGUUCUAUUCUUGGAAUUGCUUUCGUGUUUGGUUGAUCUGGUUUGAUUCUUUCAAGUCCGAUUCAUCAAGUUCUUCACGAACUAACUUGUGUAGCCAUUAAAGUUUCAACAGCAACAGAUUAAAUAUAUCUACAAGACUACAUUAAUCCUAAUGGCAUGGUAGCAUCUCCAUGCAACAUUACAUUAACAUUUCAUCAUCAAUCAAUUUUGAAGAUAUGAUAUUAAAAACAUUGACUUCAUAAUUUUAUGUAAUUUCAUAUAAAAGAUGUAAUUGAUUUUGAGUUAGUUUAACAUAUAAAGAAAGAGGAAUAAGGAAUGAUAUCAAUGUGGUGUGUGAUGAGUAAUGAUAGAUAGCAAAUAUUAAUCAUCUAAUAACGAAACAUGUAUUUACAAAAAAAUAUUUGGCAAUAAAAUGAUGCUAUAAAAAUUUAAUAUUAGUUGCAAGAAAAUAAUUUGGUGAUUAAAAUUCACAGAUAUAUAUGCAAUGCUUUGAGUUUAUUUUAUCACUUCGUUAAGCAUUUUGUAACUACAUAUUAAUUAGAUCGUCCAAAGCUGUGCAUUUUUUUAAAAAAAAAAAAAAAAAAAAAAAAGAAGCACGGUCUGCUACUAAUACUGUAGCAUGUUAGCUACUAUAUAAGCUCCUGUCUAAUUACCAAAUAAAUUCCACUUUAACGAAGAAUAAAAGCUAAUUUCAUUGUUACUGCCUGUUGUGCUUUUAUUUUUUUUUCUUUUUUUCUUUUUGUUAUUGAAGUUACCUCGCAAACUGCUCGGAUGCUAAUUACAAAAUUUCCUCUUACUCUAGGAUCUCUUGAAUGGUCCUGCAAUUUGUAUUCCUUUAUGUGGGAUUGGUUUUUUCUUUGAGCAAAAUUUCAAGGAUAAGAAACCUUACCCAUCGAAAACCAACUUUGAAAUUUAUUAUUAUUCAAACUUAGAAAACUGCAAAAACAAAGCGCCUUCAUAGCACCAGUUAAGCUCUGUCUUGUUACCAUGCUAGUUCUAUUUUUACUUUAUUAAAUGUAUACAAAAUUAAAUUACCUGAGCCUCUAGUUUCACUAGUUUCCAACUUGAAAUUAAAACGCUGAAUUAAUGGUAUUGGAGUUCGUUAUUUAAUUUUUCUUGAGUUCAUGGGGAAUCAGAUGGCCAUCCAUUUUUAUGUCUAUUUUAUGUACUAUUGGCCACUAAGUAGCUUGCCCAUAUAUGCGUAUUGGGAUGUCAUAGGCCUUAAAGCUGAAAAUUAAUCCCCAAUCUAAAGUGAAAAACAGUAGCUAGAACAGAUUCUAUGUUUUGAUGUCUUUGUUUAUAAGCUCAAACAAAUUAAUAGUGUAUAGAAAAUGCAUGAUAGAACCCAAAACUCAUAUUGAUUUUUAGUUUCGAAAUUCAUUUCAGAAAAUCUGUUCCGUUCAACAGAUUUAACUAAAUUAUCAACUAAACUCUAGCCAUGUACUUGCUUAUCUAUGGGUAGAGCACUAGGUCAACAAAGGAGUCCAUCUUUAAGGCCUUGUCUAAGACUGUGGUUGCCUUUUUCAUGAGCUUCUGGCUUUCCAGCUUGCUGAGCGACGUACACAUAAAGAGGUUAUCCUUCUCUUUUUUUCUCUGUUUUCAUAUCACAGAAUCCAUUUUUGAAUAUAUGUAUUUAGGUACACACACACAUGAAUAUGCAUGUUUUUAUGAGGAUAUUCAAGUAUAUUAUUUGACAAUCACAAAAACAACGAUCUACUCCAAUAAAUCUCAUAACAAAUACAUGCUCUAUCUUUUUAGGACUAAUUCAAAGAGAAAAUACGAAGGACACAUAAUUGAAUUCUGUCCAUGAUAAAGAACUCUAAACAAAUUCAUAUACUUAUUGCAGUACCUGUUAAAAAUUCAUUUGUUUCUUCUUUUCCUUUGAUCAACAGCUAAAUACAGCCUUGAAAUUUCAUUUAGUUUUGGUUAAUUUUCUGUGGAGUUGUGUUGUGUGUAAUAGUUUUGUUUCACGAAAUCGGUAGGGGAAGAGAAUUUUUAAAAGCAUAUCAAUGUAAUGAUCAAAGAGACGAAAUCAAUACAAAUAUUGAUUGUCUCAAGUUAGAUUAUACAAAGAAGAAAUAAGCUAAUCUAGCAAUUCAAUCAUAAUAAUUUGAUUUCCAUUAUAUUAAUUAUGUGCAAUCAUGCUAUUUUAAUAAAGAACACUCGAGCAUUUAUAAAUAGUCAACUUAUGAAAUUAAUUACAAAACAAUCUUUCGCAGAGUUUGAUGAAAAGACUGUGUAUUGUGUUAUCUUGAGGUCUUAUAUCAAUUAAAGCCAGGCUGCGCUUUGGCUGACAGCGAGAUAUAUCCAAACAUAAGUGCUGCGAAUGAACUGGGAAGACGGUAGGAAGAUUAAGCUGCUGAGGAGAAGAUAUAUGCAAAAGAAAUAAAGCUAAUCUGUUUUUAUGUAACAAGCUGCUAUGUACUCUGCUUUUAUGGUCUUUCUCUUUGCGGUUGUUAGACAAACUGGAACGUAAGUUUCUAUCUUAUGUGUGUCCUAAUCCUUUUAGAUAGCUUGAGAUUGUUGAUUUAUAUAUGACGUUUGGUAUCCAAAAUUCAGAUGAUGAUAAUCUUGGCAGUACUUUUAUAAAAUUUUCUUUUGUGUUGGUGUUGACUUAAUAAAAUAUUACAAAGGUGCCUAAUAUAGUGAAAUUAACAUUGAGCUCAUGAGAUUGUCGUUAGAUAUAUUGAAAAAGAAAUUAAUGCAAGAAACUGAAAAUUAAUUGAUACUGGAUCAGGUUGGAUAGUUAGUUGUUAAUUAUUGUUGAGUGUGAACCAGAAUUCAGUGUGCAGGGCAAACAACAAUGUCGACCAUCAGACUUGGCAGAAGACGACAUGUCCAAUAAAAGCUUAUCAGGGCUGUACGACAACCUUCCCAUGUCAAUCAGAAUUCGUUAAGUAAUGCACGUGUGUAACACGUGAUCUCCUAAUAACAUAUUAACUGAAACGUCUACUUACUACUGUCGUUUUGGGAUAUAUAUGUUACGCACACGCUCAGCACAUGGGGGAUUGGUUACCAGUUAAAAGAAGCGGGAAAAUUCUGGGGUUAACUACUUAACUGUAACAAACCCAGAAUGAUUUGCAGGCUUCUGAGAUAGGUUUCUAGGAGCUUCAAAGCUUGUAUAAAAAGGGUCCUGAUGACUGAAGUUGAGAGUGGUUUUUUCCUUGUAAUCUCUGAAAAGGCUUGAGCCUUGUUUCCUGCAUUAAUAAAUAAUCAUAGCCCUGUUUCUCAAAGAGGAUGUAGGCUGUAAUGGCUGAACCUCUAUAAAUCCUUUCUGUGUUUUUUCUUUCUCUGUUGUGUGUUUCUAUUCUUGUUUUAGAUUGUAUUGAUUCCUAAUAAAACUGUUAAUCAUUCUUGAUACUGAAUUUUAUUAAAUCUCUUCUUCUCUUUUGAAUAAAAUUUCUUUAAAAUUCAAUUCAUAAAAAAGAAAAUCUCCUUAUAAUUUAAUAUGUUUCAGUUGUCUCAGUGGAAUGAUGCUAUUUGUUUCAAUCAAAGUUUUGAAGCAUCCUAAAAUUUUGAGAUCCAAAUGAAAAUAAAUUAAUUUAAUUCGUGGUGUACUCUAAAUUUUCAGCUAUAAAAAAAUAGCGAAAUUGAAGUGCACUUGGGCAAGAAGAAACAGAGACUGCGAUUAUACAAUUUCAGUGUUUGACUCUAUCGGCAAAAAAAGAAAAUAAAAAAGAACUCCCAUUGUUCCAUUGUUUUUCCCAUAAAUAAUAAUAUACAGAGAAUUUUGUUUAACGAGAGAUAUAAUAGGUAUUUAGGUGAGUUUAUAGCGUAAAUUUUAAAAUUUUAAAAUUUAAUAAUGGAUUUAAUAAGUAAUUGGGUUCAAAUAGUAUUUUAGUGGUUUUAAAUAGCCCCACCCUUUUUAUUUUAAAAAAAGAUUUAAUUACAAAAAUAUUACUUCCAAUCGACAACAUUUUAUAUUUUAUUUUAUUAAAUAUUAUUUUAUUUUUGAAUUACUAAUAAUGCACAAAACGGCAUCAUUUAUUGAUAUUUUUAAAUUGUUUAAGAUUUGUUUAAUUAGAAAAUUUCCAUUGUUGAUAUUUAAAUAAUUUUAAAAAAUAAAAUAAUAAAAUUGGUGUCGUUUAGUUUUGUUAAAUAUACUAAGGGCUCGUUUGGUAUGCCGGAUUGGAUUGGAUCAGAUUGGAUAAGAUAAAAUUGGAUUGGAUAAUAAUGGAUUAUAUAUAAUACUAUAUUGGGUUUGGUCCAAUUUUAGAUUGAACUAUAAAUAAUCAUCUCUUAUAUUAUAAUAUUAUAAUUUACAAGUUAUUAUUAUUAUUAUUAUUAAUAUAAACUAAAAUUUUGUAUUAUUAAUUAUACAAAUCAACCUCAAUGAUAUUAAUGAAAUAUAAAUCAUAAUUUAAAUAAUUUUUAUUUUUUUAAAUAUUUUUAUGAUAUUUUUAUUAUUUUUAUUCAAUAAUCUAUUAUUUUAUAAAAAUUUAUAUUUGUGAAUAUUAAUUUAAUAAUAAUUUAUAAUGUAAAUUUGAAAUUAUAAAAAUAUUUAAUAAAGCAAAUAAAUAAAAAUAAAAUUUUCAUUCAAUGUGAAAUUAAUAAUGAUUUUUAGUAUAAUUUAUUAUUAAAAUUAUUAAAAUCAAUAUUUUUUAUUACAUUUAUCACAUAUUACUAUAAUUUUAAUAUUUAUAAAUUAUUAUGUUUAAUUGAAUUAUUAAUAUAAUCUAAUACUAACUAAUCCCAUAGCCCCCUUGAAAUAAUUUCUUUUACAAAAUUGAAAUUAGCUUUGGGGCUCACGAUAAAUAAAUUCUAAUACUUUUGACAGCACUAAAUAUAGGAAUAGGAUAAAAUUUUAACAAAGAGUUUAAUCUCCACUUUUAAUCCUCCUCCAACCAAACAUGCCCUAAGCUAACGGAUCAUGGCAAAUUUGUAGUAAGUGAUGAACGAUUUGAUAAGCUCUACCCCAUCAGUUCCUUAAUUGAGAAAAUUCCCAAGCCCGUGCAGCCUCACAAUUGAUAGAGACCCGAAGCCACCAAACUCGACAAUCAUCACUCAACGUCGUUGCAGGCUACCGGUCGCUCAACAAGCACCAGUUCCUCACUCUACAGCCAUCACUCAAGCGCUGCCAUUUCCUGUUAAUUAUUCGCUCGAAUUAGGGUUCUGAUAAUUGGGGAUUUUUUUCUUAAUUGUGGAAUUAUGAAGUAAUGAUGAUGACGACGAAGAUGUGGUGGUUGACGACGGCAAAGGCAACGUUGAAUAUUGAGGCACUGGAGAAACAAGCAUUGGCUAUUAUCUUGGUCGAUUUGCCUCGAAUUGAUCACUAAAAAUGGGGAUAUCGUGGGCCGAGCUUCAACGCAGUCGCAAAUUUCAUUUGGAUAACUGAAUUUUAUUUUAUUUUUGUGUUUAAUUUGUUUAAAGUUUAAUUGUUUAGAUCUAGGCUAAAUUUUAAUGAUCAUUUUUAUGAUUAAAUGACAUGAGUAUGCUUAAGUUUUUUUCCUUCAAAUUGAUUUUCUGAUGUUACAUUUUGUUAGCAAAAAGUUAAAAAAUAGUAGAAACUGUCAGAAUUUUUGUUAUGAAGAUGUUGUUUUAGUUUGAUAUUGGGAAAAUAUCAUUAUACAUAUUGCCAUCAUAUUCAUGGGAGACCAAAAUGGGAAUGAUGGCAGGCUAUGCAUUGCUCACAACUAAUUUAAAACUCACUAUUUCUGUUUUUGGUGUUUUAGUAAUUCUGGGGGCAUUCCAACUAUAAUUAAUAAGCUAUAAACUUGUUUAGUAAUUACUAAUCAACUUGCUAGAAAGAGUCACAAACUAAUUAGCUUUCUCUUGUAAUUUUUACAGAUCAUCAGUGGAUAAGAACUACAAGGAGUUGAAGACUUAAAGAUAAGAACUACAAGGAGUUGAAGACUUUAAACCCUAAACUUCAUAUCUUGAUUUACAAGUGCAAUGGGGUUUCACCCCAAUUAUGGGCUAGAGAUGUACUCUUUCUGUUCUUGGUGCUUCCCACCCCCCCCCCCCCCCCCGCCCCCCAAAGUCAUUUUUUGUUCUCUACUCCAUUGUAAAUUUGUAUUCAAAAGUCUUUUUCUUUGUCUUUAGUUUUUAAAUUUAUGGAGAUGAUCUUAUGAGGUCUUAAAUAAAUAGUUGUAGAGCUUUACUAAAACUAUGUACAAUCUUAUUGAGAUUUGGGUGUGAUUUUGUAAGAUUGCUAAAAAAUUCAUAUUUGGUAUUUGUUUUAUUUUCCUAGUCGAAUUUCUUGCUUGUAGAAGAUAAAAGAAAAGUGCAAUUUCAUGUUGCAAUAAUUUUUUUUCCUUCCCUCUUUUUCUUCCCAUAUAGUCUGGCUCUGGAUUUGGUGCAGUUGAUGGUUUUAAUACAGUGAACCAAUUUCGUCAGAAUCAUCUUAAAGGAUUAAAGUGGCUUCCUUUUGCAACUGGGUAAGUCAAUGUUACUUCCUGAAUUCAGUUUGGAGUUCUUUCGGAAUAGAUUUCCUUCCCUUACAUUACUUAGCUUCUAGUUGCAUCUUCUUGGCCUUCUCCAGCUGACUUUCCUAUUGGCAAAUUCCUUCGCUUCUAUUGUUUUCAGGUGCCAGUGCUGGAUUUGGAGGUAUGAAUCAUGCCUUCAUUUUUACUUUUUAUGAUUAUUUUUUUAAGGUGUAUGGUACUGUAAUAUAGUUCUUUGUAUAGCUAGUACAAAAUAGUUCUUUAACUUCUUACGUUCGGCUAUAAUGGUCUUGACAUAUGAUAGGGCAGCUCUAUCACCAAUUGACGUGGAAUGAGAAAUAGGAGACAAAUGGGAUUAGAAAAAUAAGAAACAUGACAAAAAUAAAAAUCUAAUCUACUCAUAUAAGCAACUCAUCAAAUAAGUGUAUCGCAUACUUAAGUGAAUAACAAUCUGUAAUUUCCACGAAUCAAAGUAAAAUUAUAAUAUUCUUUAAAUAAGACUCAUAAGCUUGUUAGGUGUUAUAUUGAAUCAUCUAAGUUGAAUAAUCUUUUGGGUCGAAUAUUUAAUUUCUUAUUCCAUACGUUUCAGUCUCUCAAUAGUUGAAUUAGCAAUGAAAAUUUGAAAAUGGAAAAAUCCAAUGCAAUUAUUUUAGCUGCUUAUCAUAGAUAAGAAUUUCAAAUUUGACACUUUAUUGUCUGUUGUCAAAUUCAUAAAGUAUGAACCUGCAUUAGCUUAGUUCUCUAAUAUUUAUAAAUAAGUAAUACUUGAAUUAAGAUGAAAGAAAAUUGAAAAGUAGAGUUGCUUGAUUGAAUAGCGUCAUAUUUUACAUCACAGAAACUCAAUUUUCAUUGCCAUACGUAGCUCAAAAGUGCAUGAACAUUUAAAAGUCAGCUAACUUAUACUAAUUAAUUAAUACGAGUCUCAGUUCUUACUUCUUAGUACUUGGCAACAUCCAUCCAUAAGAGUGAAACUCCUAUUGAUUUCAUAUAUACAAAAUAAAUAACUUACAAAGGCAAUAUAUACAAUCACGACAAAAACACCAAUUCACUCCAAUAAACAACAUAGCAAAUACAUGGUCUAUAUUGCAAGUCUUUUUACUAUUUUAAUUAAAAGAGAAAAUACGAAGGACAUAUUAUAUAUAAUUGAAUAUUAUCCUUGAUAAUUAGACAAAAUAACACUAAUCUAGCUAACUAAUCCAGUCAUCAUAAUAAUCCGAUUUCCUUCAUUUAAUUAUGUCCAUUGAUGCUAUUUUAAUAAAGAAUACUGAACACUUAAGUAUUUAUAUGCUCAACAACUUCGGCCACGUUUGAAAAGAUCAUAUUAAUUAUUAAUAUAAAGAAAAUAACCCUACAAGGUACAUAUUACAUAUGCAUGUAGUUGCAAUAAAUACAUAAUAAUAAAGAUUGUAAAAGUUCAGGGCCAUUAAUUCAACAAUUACUAAACCAAUAUCCCAAUAAUUGUUUGAUUACUAAUCUUAGCAUUAAAAGAUCUGCAAACUUUAUUCGGCCAAAACAAAUGCUUCCUUAUUGCUUCCUUGAUCUUAUCCUGCCUGGUGAUUCCUGAAUGUCCUUCCCAUUCUGAUAUGCUGAGUUGUUUGCUGAUUAUAAAUACAAAUCACCUUAAAUUUUCUUAGUCUUGUUCUUCAUGCGAAAUUCUACGUAAUGGCUUAGUUGGUUUAAAUUCUUCUUUUUUCUUUGAAUUGUUGAUUUGUAAUGUUCUUCUCGCUCUCACAUGUGGCAUUCUGCACUCUUCCAAUGCUAUUUCUUGUUAUGGCAGCAGAAUUCUAGAUUUUCUCCCAGUUUCUUUUGUAAAGACUUCUAAAGAGGCAUCCAGAUACUGAGAUACAAUCCAAUCUAAACCCAUACAUAUAUACACCUCACCUUCCCCCAUUUCCCCAGAAAAUCAACAAACAGUUUGCUUGAAAACAAACACUCUAAAAAAACUAUCUAGCCACCCAGAUAGCCAAAUCAAGAAUUCUUGCAAUGGCAAUGUCAUUUCUUGUUAGGGCGGCAACAUUGAAGAUCAUGGCAUCACAAGUGAAUGCUCUGAUGCCGUACACAAGAUCACCUCUCUUUGACAUAAUGCUCCCUAUGACGGAAGAUCCUUUCAAGGUUCUUGAACAAAGCUCUCUAACAAUUCCUAAAGGAGGUCGAGAGCAGACUGGAAGGAGACACGAACAGCACACGUGAUCACACUCGACAUUCCAAGGAUGAAGGAAAAUGAUGUGAAGAUUGAAGUUGAAGAGAACAGGGUACUGAGAGUGAGUGGGAGAGGAAGAGUGAUGAUUAUUAUAAGGAGGGAGUUGAAGGAGAGAAAUGGCACUGAGCUGAGAGGACAAGUGGCACGUUUUGGAUGCAGUUUAGGAUGCCAAUGAGUGCUGAUUUGGAACAUGUUAAAGCUCUUUUGGAAAAUGGAGUUCUGAGGAUCACAGUACCAAAGCUUGCUGAGGAGAAGAAGAGCCGGCCUGAGGUUAUUAGCAUUAGUGGAUUCUUUUGGUGAAGAUAUUAAAGCCACCAAGGCUCAAAUGUAAUUAAUCAACGAAAGUAAGUGUUUGGCUUGGUUUUGUGGUUCUCUUUGGAUGUUCUGUUUAUGUUUUUAUGGGUUUUUGAAGAUGGCUCACAGGUAUUAGCACCAAUAAGUGCUUUUUAUAAAUCCUGGUCCUAAAUUUGUAAAAAAAAAGUUAAUGCGCUUGGUUUAUUGUUAAUUAAAAAAAAAAAAAGUCCUUUCCUUUGGCAUUUAUCAUGCAUUUGAAAAAAAAAAUUAUUCCACUGUAAUUCAUAAAGAUAUAUUUUUCCCCGGAUCCCCGGUUACAUUAAAGCGUUGAUACGAAUAUCCGUUGUGAUUAUAAAAAAGUUAAUCAAUCCGAAUAUUCAAUAAGUGGUAAAUUGGCACAAAAACAAUUAAGUCACGAACUUGCAUAUAGUGCAUUAAAUUGAAGAGCAUAAAGAAUUUUGUAAUGCAGUCCAGCAAUCAAAAACCAUUUUACAACACCAUUAAAAAAUCAUUGCAGCACUAUUGCUGAUGAGGCAGCUGGUAAUUCCUCUGGUGAAGAUAUUAAGGCCGCUGAAGCUGAAAUGUAAUUAGUGUCGUCAGAAGAUUAUGUAAUAAAGUGCUUUAGAUUAAUCUUGGUUGGAUUACUAUUCAUUAACCAUAUUUAAUUUAUGUGAUCAAUCGGUAUUUGCUAGCAUCAUUGUUAUACAACAACAUAUUAAUUAACUACUGAACUCUGCCAGCGAAUUAAUGAGCAAAUCCUCCUCAAAUUAUGCAUGUAUACGAUCAAAAUAAUUUCAAUUUCACCAUAUACGCGCGUGUGUGUAUACAUAUAUAAUACUUAAUAAUCACCAAACCAACAAUUCCCAAGUUGGAUUAUACAUAGACGAAUAAAUAAUGCUAAUCUAGCAAGUCCAAUCAUAGUAAUUUGAUUACCAAAUAUUAACCAUGUCCAAUCAUAUUCUUAAAUAAUCGCCGAACCAACAAUUUGCAAGUUAGAUUAUACAUGGAAGAAUAAAUAAUGCUAAUCUAGCAAGUCCAAUGGUAAAAAUUUGAUUUUCAUUAUAUUAACCGUGUCCAAUCAUGCUAUUUUAAUAAAGAACACUUGAAUAAUAUUUUCAUGUCCAGCAGGUAAAAUUUCAAAACAAUUUUUGCCAAAGUCCUCCUCGGCUAAAUUAAUUUAUGCAUUAAUAAAGUCCUCCUCUUCUAAAUAAUAAAAAACCUGUUACGUUAUUCUACCAUUUUUUUUUAAAAAAAAAAGCAUUCUACUAUUUAAAAAAAGAAUUCGAAAACUGGUUCUAGACAUACACCGAACCAUAUUAAUUUAAAACAGUUUUCAACUGAGAUUUGAAAUUACACACACAAACACACCGAGUCCUUUAUAUAAAGUGCUUUUAAUAAAUUAUGGUCGGUUUACUAUUAAUUAAUCAAAUUUAAUUUACUCAAAUUACUCCUGUACACGAUCAAAAUAAUAUCAAUUCUAUGAUAUAUAUAUACGUGCACAUACAUACAAAAUGUAAAUAACUUUCAAAUAUAAAAUAUUUAAAAUAGACGAAAUAACUUUCAAAUGUUUAUUGUAUUUUGAUGGGUUUUUGAGGAUGGUUGUAUGUAUUAGCAACAACAAGGUGCUUUUUAUAAAUCCGGGUCCUAAUUUUGUAAAAGAAAUUAAUACUCUCGGUUUAUUGUUAAUAAAAAAGAAAAAAGAAAAAGCAUUUUUCUGUGGCAUAUAUUAAGCAUUUUGAGAAAAAAAAAAUUACAUUCCAAUUCAUGAAAGACAUUCCUUCUGUCAUAUUGAUGUGUUAAUAGAAAGAUCUAUGUGAAUUAUAACAAUUUUGAUGAAUCUAAAUAUUUAAUAACUGAUAAAUUAUAUUUAUAAAUAUUAAUACCGGUGGCACAUAAGCACUUAAUUCAAGAACUCGCCUAUAGUGCAUUAAUUUAAAGAGUAGAAAUAUUUAAUAAAUCAUGCCCGGUUUACUAUUAAUUAAUAAAAUUUAAUUUACUCAAAUUACUCCUCUACAUGAUCAAAGUAAUUUCAAAUAUACAACACACAAAAUGUAAAUGACUUUGAAAUAUAAAAUAUUUAAAAUAAUCACCCCACUAACAAUUCACCACAAAGAUUAUAAAUAGUCGAAAUAAUGAUAAUCUAAGGGGUCCGGUCAUAAUAAUUUGAUUUUUAUUUAUAUUAAUUAUAUAAAAAAGAGUACUCGAGAUUAUAUAUAUCCAACAGCUAAAAUUUCAAAACAAUAUUUGCCAAAGUCUGAUGAAGAGAAUACAUAUAUAUAACAUGCACUCGCACACAUUCUAUUGUUUAAUUAAAAAAUUCGAAAGCCCAUUAUAUACAUGAUAAAGACUUACCGACACCGAACCAUAUUCAUUUAAAGGAAUUGUUUUCAACUGAGAUUUAAAAUUAUUUACACAAACACGCCCGAUUUUUUCUUUUUUUUAAAAAUUACUAAUAAUAAAAUAUUUCAGUCGUCCUCUGUUCGGCUGUCAAAAACCCAUUAAGAUCGAUUUGAACAGAAGGUAUAUGGGUUAACAAUCCUCCAUCCUUUCUGCACUUCUCUUCCAUCAACGGACAGCGAUAGAUACUUAAUUGCAAAAGUGAGGAAGGCAGGCCCUUCUCCGGAAAGUAUUUGAGCUUGGGACAAUCCACGAGAUUUAAGUGGGUGAGGUUUUGAAGAUCAACAAUUGAAGAAGAUAGGCGUUCCAGAUUUGGAAAAUCUACAAUCCUCAGAGAUGUUAGAGAGGCAGGAAGAGGAAGCGCGGUCCCUAAUCUUUUGUCCUCUAGUGGAAAUGACACCAUGUCGUCAUCACAUCCUUCGAUUGUAAGAUGUCGCAGAGAAGAGAAUCUAUGAAAUCCCCGACCCCGCUCAAUCAUUGACUUCCAAAUCUCCAUAUUACCCCAAAUAUGAAGUGAAUGAAGGUUGGUGGGAAGGCCAUCUUCUUCAAGGCUUGGAAGCUCACCUCCUAUUGUUAAUUGUUGAAGAGAGGUCAGAUUGUGCAAUCCCUUGGGUAAGGCCUCCAGUCUCUCACACCCAUAGAUCCUGAGCUUACUCAGUUUCGCACAAGGCAAUCCCCCUUCGGGAAAGGACACCAGAUUUUCACAUUCCCAUAUUUCGAUCUCUUGAAGCUGGCCGAGAUUAUGUAAACCACUCGGUAAAAUUUUCAGAUUUUCACACCCAGAAAUAUUGAUUGUUUUCAAGAGAUGUGUUGUUGUCCAACCUUUCUGCUAUUGACUCCAGCUUUGGACAAUACCAAACAAAAAGGGACUUAAGAGACGGAGGUAGAUUGCCAACUUCAAGGGACUCAAGCGUGGCAGGUAACUCGUUUUUUGAAAAUAUACAUGUCAGUGAUGGACAAUCCCUAAUUUCUAACUUCUCAAGAAGAGAUGAGGUGUACCUUCUAUUGCUGCUGCUGCUGCUGCUACUCUGGAUGCCCUCUUCCACUGUCAAAGUCCUUAUAUUAUCACAACUAAGGAUGUCCAACCUCUUAAGGCUCCGUGGUAGCUGGACUCCAGCAAGAUAUGUCAACGUACGACAAUGCUCAAUAUACAAGGUCUCGAGAGAUGAAUUGGUGUCGCACAUCCAUGCCUCUGGUAAUGAUUUCAGUGCGUCACAACCUUCAAUCUCAAUUAUCUUCAACUUGGAAGGCAGAGCAACCUCAGGAAAGGAAACAAGGGAACUGCACUUGUAGAUUUCUAUCUCUCUCAAGGAACUGAGGCUGAGAGAUGAUUGUGGCAGCUUCACAAGGCCUUCGCAAUAACUCAAUCUUAGAUAUUCGAGUCUGCAUGACAACUCGCAGAGCUGCUGUUGUUGGUCUUUCUCUUCCUCCGCCACCAAGGAUUGAAGUUUGGGACAGCUUGUAAUCGUCAGUCUUCUGAGAGAGCAAAUGUCUUGCAGUAAUUCGUUAUGACUCUUCCAAAUAUAUGUCUGCUCUUUCAUAUCAUUUAUCUUCAAUUCUUCCAAUUUUGGCAGUCGCGGCUUUAAUGGCCCUGCGAGAAACAGUUGAUUUGAUGUAUCUCUACAAACCACUGAAUUCUGUGAGCCGAGAUGAUCAGCUGCACUUCUCCACACAACCUUUUUACAUCCACCAAUUUCAAAUUUGCAAAGAGCUGGAAGACUUGUAACUGAAACUGACAAUUCUUCACAUCCUUUAAUAACAAGCUUCUCCAAUGCAGGAAGGUGCUCUGGAAGUGUUCCUUGCAGUUUAGAACAUCUUAAAAUGUGAAGCUCUCUCAAUUUAGGAAACCCUUCAACUCCUUGACCGGAUCCAUGAGGAAUCCAGUCUUCCCAUUCUUCCAUGUCUUCAAAACAAAGAGUCUCCAAGCAUGGAAAAGGAAUUGAAGCAACCUUCCCAUAGAACUCUGGAUCAAAUCUCCUUACGCUGCUCAUUCCACAUACUACAAGCUGCUUUAGAGAGGGUAGUUGCCCGACCGACGGCAGGGCAGUACACAUGCUACAAUAUUCAAAUUUAAGUGUUACUAAAUUUGACAAUGAGGAAUUUCCUAACCAAGUUGAAAAAUUUGUGCCUCCAUAGCCGCUGAUACAAAAUUGUUCCAGAUUUUUAUGGGGUUUUAGCAUGUCAAGCACGCCCUCUUCAGCUUCUGCCUCCCUUGAAGAUGAACCAUUAGUAUUGCGAGUCCAUCGAAGCCAUAAUUCUUUAAGAUUCUCCUUUCUAUCCAAUUGAGCGUCCUCGGCAUCAAUAAUGUGUUUUACAUUCUCCAAAUUUGAAAUGCAAAGUGUCCCCCCAAGUUGCGUCAAGGACUUUAGCUCUCGUAACGGGAACCACUGUCUUUUCCCACAACAAAAUUACACAACGUCUGAAGACAAGUCAGCCUACCAAUUCCGACUGGCAUUUCCUCCAACGAAGAUGUAUUUGAAUUAUUGAGAUGAUGCAAUUUGAUGAGGUUUCCCAUGGCUGCACACAACUUCUUCAGUCGCCAACAGCCCUCCAACAGAAGGGUGUGCAAAUUGUAAAGCUUGUUGACUGAUUCAGGCAGAGUUCUAAUCUCAGUUCCAGAUAGGUUAAGGUACCUUAAAUACCUCAAAUCACCAACUGAAUCCGGCAGCUUGGGGAUGAAAUAUCCACACAGAGAGAAGACCCUCAAUCGUUGGAGUUUGAACAACUUAGGAAGAAUGCUAAGAGCAAAGUAUCCAUGCGACCUAUUUGACCGCCUUACUGGUAGAAAAGUUCGCAAAUGCUGGAUAUUGUACAAGUCUUCAAACCUUUUACCGCCUUCAUAAUAUUCAGGAAUGUAUGACAGAUGAUGAAGAUUUAUGGAAAAACUUUGUUGCUUGUUAACCUCCGAGGUAUACUCCAUUGUGAAGUAUAUCUCCCCCGCAGCCCAUUGAGCAAGGUCAUUGACGAGGUCGUGCAUCACAAAUCGUGAUGUACCGUUGCUUGAUUGCUGGAAAAAAGAUCUUGCACGUAGCUCUUGAAAGAACCUUCGACCUAGAUCUUCACUUGGAUUCCCGCUCUCUCCGUGAUCAAGAAACCCACAGCACUCCAUAAUAAAAUUAUCUCCUCCUCUUCGAAUUCAUAAUCCUUUGGAAACAAUGAGCAGUAUGCAAAGCACUGUUUCAAAGGUGCCGAGAGAUAAUAGUAGCUCACUCUAAGCGCCGGUAUAAUGUCACAUCUCUCUUCUGGUAAAUCCCAUAUGUUGCAACUGAGCACACCUUCCCAAUCACUUCGGUCACAUUUACCACGUAAGAGUCCACCAAAGUUUUUUGCAGCUAAGGGCAAGCCGUUGCAUUUGAUCACAAUCUUCUUGCCAAUUUCCUCCAAUGACUUGUUUGAACUGAAAUCUUUUGUCCCCAAAGAGUGUUGAGCGAACACGGACAGACAAUCAUCAAAUGACAACUUUUUCAAUUCAUAAGCUGGAGCAGUUCCCAUGAUGGCUGCAACCUCUUGAUUACGAGUUGUGACAAUAAUCUUACUUCCCGGUGCGCCAGCUUCAAACGGACGGCUCAUGUCAACCCAAUCAUUGUAUUUCUCAUUCCAAACGUCGUCUAAACAAGCAAAAAUUUCUUUUGAGAUAACUUCUUCUUCAGCUCCUNAAGUUUAAUUGUUUAGAUCUAGGCUAAAUUUUAAUGAUCAUUUUUAUGAUUAAAUGACAUGAGUAUGCUUAAGUUUUUUUCCUUCAAAUUGAUUUUCUGAUGUUACAUUUUGUUAGCAAAAAGUUAAAAAAUAGUAGAAACUGUCAGAAUUUUUGUUAUGAAGAUGUUGUUUUUAGUUUGAUAUUGGGAAAAUAUCAUUAUACAUAUUGCCAUCAUAUUCAUGGGGAGACCAAAAUGGGAAUGAUGGCAGGCUAUGCAUUGCUCACAACUAAUUUAAAAACUCACUAUUUCUGUUUUUGGUGUUUUAGUAAUUCUGGGGGCAUUCCAACUAUAAUUAAUAAGCUAUAAACUUGUUUAGUAAUUACUAAUCAACUUGCUAGAAAGAGUCACAAACUAAUUAGCUUUCUCUUGUAAUUUUUACAGAUCAUCAGUGGAUAAGAACUACAAGGAGUUGAAGACUUAAAGAUAAGAACUACAAGGAGUUGAAGACUUUAAACCCUAAACUUCAUAUCUUGAUUUACAAGUGCAAUGGGGUUUCACCCCAAUUAUGGGCUAGAGAUGUACUCUUUCUGUUCUUGGUGCUUCCCACCCCCCCCCCCCCCCCCGCCCCCCCAAAGUCAUUUUUUGUUCUCUACUCCAUUGUAAAUUUGUAUUUCAAAGUCUUUUUCUUUGUCUUUAGUUUUUUAAAUUUAUGGAGAUGAUCUUAUGAGGUCUUAAAUAAAUAGUUGUAGAGCUUUACUAAAACUAUGUACAAUCUUAUUGAGAUUUGGGUGUGAUUUUGUAAGAUUGCUAAAAAAAUUCAUAUUUGGUAUUUGUUUUUAUUUUCCUAGUCGAAUUUCUUGCUUGUAGAAGAUAAAAGAAAAGUGCAAUUUCAUGUUGCAAUAAUUUUUUUUCCUUCCCUCUUUUUCUUCCCAUAUAGUCUGGCUUCUGGAUUUGGUGCAGUUGAUGGUUUUAAUACAGUGAACCAAUUUCGUCAGAAUCAUCUUAAAGGAUUAAAGUGGCUUCCUUUUGCAACUGGGUAAGUCAAUGUUACUUCCUGAAUUCAGUUUUGGAGUUCUUUCGGAAUAGAUUUCCUUCCCUUACAUUACUUAGCUUCUAGUUGCAUCUUCUUGGCCUUCUCCAGCUGACUUUCCUAUUGGCAAAUUCCUUCGCUUCUAUUGUUUUCAGGUGCCAGUGCUGGAUUUGGAGGUAUGAAUCAUGCCUUCAUUUUUACUUUUUAUGAUUAUUUUUUUAAGGUGUAUGGUACUGUAAUAUAGUUCUUUGUAUAGCUAGUACAAAAUAGUUCUUUAACUUCUUACGUUCGGCUAUAAUGGUCCUUGACAUAUGAUAGGGCAGCUCUAUCACCAAUUGACGUGGAAUGAGAAAUAGGAGACAAAUGGGAUUAGAAAAAUAAGAAACAUGACAAAAAUAAAAAUCUAAUCUACUCAUAUAAGCAACUCAUCAAAUAAGUGUAUCGCAUACUUAAGUGAAUAACAAUCUGUAAUUUCCACGAAUCAAAGUAAAAUUAUAAUAUUCUUUAAAUAAGACUCAUAAGCUUGUUAGGUGUUAUAUUGAAUCAUCUAAGUUGAAUAAUCUUUUGGGUCGAAUAUUUAAUUUCUUAUUCCAUACGUUUCAGUCUCUCAAUAGUUGAAUUAGCAAUGAAAAUUUGAAAAUGGAAAAAUCCAAUGCAAUUAUUUUAGCUGCUUAUCAUAGAUAAGAAUUUCAAAUUUGACACUUUAUUGUCUGUUGUCAAAUUCAUAAAGUAUGAACCUGCAUUAGCUUAGUUCUCUAAUAUUUAUAAAUAAGUAAUACUUGAAUUAAGAUGAAAGAAAAUUGAAAAGUAGAGUUGCUUGAUUGAAUAGCGUCAUAUUUUACAUCACAGAAACUCAAUUUUCAUUGCCAUACGUAGCUCAAAAGUGCAUGAACAUUUAAAAAGUCAGCUAACUUAUACUAAUUAAUUAAUACGAGUCUCAGUUCUUACUUCUUAGUACUUGGCAACAUCCAUCCAUAAGAGUGAAACUCCUAUUGAUUUCAUAUAUACAAAAUAAAUAACUUACAAAGGCAAUAUAUACAAUCACGACAAAAACACCAAUUCACUCCAAUAAACAACAUAGCAAAUACAUGGUCUAUAUUGCAAGUCUUUUUACUAUUUUAAUUAAAAGAGAAAAUACGAAGGACAUAUUAUAUAUAAUUGAAUAUUAUCCUUGAUAAUUAGACAAAAUAACACUAAUCUAGCUAACUAAUCCAGUCAUCAUAAUAAUCCGAUUUCCUUCAUUUAAUUAUGUCCAUUGAUGCUAUUUUAAUAAAGAAUACUGAACACUUAAGUAUUUAUAUGCUCAACAACUUCGGCCACGUUUGAAAAGAUCAUAUUAAUUAUUAAUAUAAAGAAAAUAACCCUACAAGGUACAUAUUACAUAUGCAUGUAGUUGCAAUAAAUACAUAAUAAUAAAGAUUGUAAAAGUUCAGGGCCAUUAAUUCAACAAUUACUAAACCAAUAUCCCAAUAAUUGUUUGAUUACUAAUCUUAGCAUUAAAAGAUCUGCAAACUUUAUUCGGCCAAAACAAAUGCUUCCUUAUUGCUUCCUUGAUCUUAUCCUGCCUGGUGAUUCCUGAAUGUCCUUCCCAUUCUGAUAUGCUGAGUUGUUUGCUGAUUAUAAAUACAAAUCACCUUAAAUUUUCUUAGUCUUGUUCUUCAUGCGAAAUUCUACGUAAUGGCUUAGUUGGUUUAAAUUCUUCUUUUUUCUUUGAAUUGUUGAUUUGUAAUGUUCUUCUCGCUCUCACAUGUGGCAUUCUGCACUCUUCCAAUGCUAUUUCUUGUUAUGGCAGCAGAAUUCUAGAUUUUCUCCCAGUUUCUUUUGUAAAGACUUCUAAAGAGGCAUCCAGAUACUGAGAUACAAUCCAAUCUAAACCCAUACAUAUAUACACCUCACCUUCCCCCAUUUCCCCAGAAAAUCAACAAACAGUUUGCUUGAAAACAAACACUCUAAAAAAACUAUCUAGCCACCCAGAUAGCCAAAUCAAGAAUUCUUGCAAUGGCAAUGUCAUUUCUUGUUAGGGCGGCAACAUUGAAGAUCAUGGCAUCACAAGUGAAUGCUCUGAUGCCGUACACAAGAUCACCUCUCUUUGACAUAAUGCUCCCUAUGACGGAAGAUCCUUUCAAGGUUCUUGAACAAAGCUCUCUAACAAUUCCUAAAGGAGGUCGAGAGCAGACUGGAAGGAGACACGAACAGCACACGUGAUCACACUCGACAUUCCAAGGAUGAAGGAAAAUGAUGUGAAGAUUGAAGUUGAAGAGAACAGGGUACUGAGAGUGAGUGGGAGAGGAAGAGUGAUGAUUAUUAUAAGGAGGGAGUUGAAGGAGAGAAAUGGCACUGAGCUGAGAGGACAAGUGGCACGUUUUGGAUGCAGUUUAGGAUGCCAAUGAGUGCUGAUUUGGAACAUGUUAAAGCUCUUUUGGAAAAUGGAGUUCUGAGGAUCACAGUACCAAAGCUUGCUGAGGAGAAGAAGAGCCGGCCUGAGGUUAUUAGCAUUAGUGGAUUCUUUUGGUGAAGAUAUUAAAGCCACCAAGGCUCAAAUGUAAUUAAUCAACGAAAGUAAGUGUUUGGCUUGGUUUUGUGGUUCUCUUUGGAUGUUCUGUUUAUGUUUUUAUGGGUUUUUGAAGAUGGCUCACAGGUAUUAGCACCAAUAAGUGCUUUUUAUAAAUCCUGGUCCUAAAUUUGUAAAAAAAAAGUUAAUGCGCUUGGUUUAUUGUUAAUUAAAAAAAAAAAAGUCCUUUCCUUUGGCAUUUAUCAUGCAUUUGAAAAAAAAAAUUAUUCCACUGUAAUUCAUAAAGAUAUAUUUUUCCCCGGAUCCCCGGUUACAUUAAAGCGUUGAUACGAAUAUCCGUUGUGAUUAUAAAAAAGUUAAUCAAUCCGAAUAUUCAAUAAGUGGUAAAUUGGCACAAAAACAAUUAAGUCACGAACUUGCAUAUAGUGCAUUAAAUUGAAGAGCAUAAAGAAUUUUGUAAUGCAGUCCAGCAAUCAAAAACCAUUUUACAACACCAUUAAAAAAUCAUUGCAGCACUAUUGCUGAUGAGGCAGCUGGUAAUUCCUCUGGUGAAGAUAUUAAGGCCGCUGAAGCUGAAAUGUAAUUAGUGUCGUCAGAAGAUUAUGUAAUAAAGUGCUUUAGAUUAAUCUUGGUUGGAUUACUAUUCAUUAACCAUAUUUAAUUUAUGUGAUCAAUCGGUAUUUGCUAGCAUCAUUGUUAUACAACAACAUAUUAAUUAACUACUGAACUCUGCCAGCGAAUUAAUGAGCAAAUCCUCCUCAAAUUAUGCAUGUAUACGAUCAAAAUAAUUUCAAUUUCACCAUAUACGCGCGUGUGUGUAUACAUAUAUAAUACUUAAUAAUCACCAAACCAACAAUUCCCAAGUUGGAUUAUACAUAGACGAAUAAAUAAUGCUAAUCUAGCAAGUCCAAUCAUAGUAAUUUGAUUACCAAAUAUUAACCAUGUCCAAUCAUAUUCUUAAAUAAUCGCCGAACCAACAAUUUGCAAGUUAGAUUAUACAUGGAAGAAUAAAUAAUGCUAAUCUAGCAAGUCCAAUGGUAAAAAUUUGAUUUUCAUUAUAUUAACCGUGUCCAAUCAUGCUAUUUUAAUAAAGAACACUUGAAUAAUAUUUUCAUGUCCAGCAGGUAAAAUUUCAAAACAAUUUUUGCCAAAGUCCUCCUCGGCUAAAUUAAUUUAUGCAUUAAUAAAGUCCUCCUCUUCUAAAUAAUAAAAAACCUGUUACGUUAUUCUACCAUUUUUUUUUAAAAAAAAAAAGCAUUCUACUAUUUAAAAAAAGAAUUCGAAAACUGGUUCUAGACAUACACCGAACCAUAUUAAUUUAAAACAGUUUUCAACUGAGAUUUGAAAUUACACACACAAACACACCGAGUCCUUUAUAUAAAGUGCUUUUAAUAAAUUAUGGUCGGUUUACUAUUAAUUAAUCAAAUUUAAUUUACUCAAAUUACUCCUGUACACGAUCAAAAUAAUAUCAAUUCUAUGAUAUAUAUAUACGUGCACAUACAUACAAAAUGUAAAUAACUUUCAAAUAUAAAAUAUUUAAAAUAGACGAAAUAACUUUCAAAUGUUUAUUGUAUUUUGAUGGGUUUUUGAGGAUGGUUGUAUGUAUUAGCAACAACAAGGUGCUUUUUAUAAAUCCGGGUCCUAAUUUUGUAAAAGAAAUUAAUACUCUCGGUUUAUUGUUAAUAAAAAAGAAAAAAGAAAAAGCAUUUUUCUGUGGCAUAUAUUAAGCAUUUUGAGAAAAAAAAAAUUACAUUCCAAUUCAUGAAAGACAUUCCUUCUGUCAUAUUGAUGUGUUAAUAGAAAGAUCUAUGUGAAUUAUAACAAUUUUGAUGAAUCUAAAUAUUUAAUAACUGAUAAAUUAUAUUUAUAAAUAUUAAUACCGGUGGCACAUAAGCACUUAAUUCAAGAACUCGCCUAUAGUGCAUUAAUUUAAAGAGUAGAAAUAUUUAAUAAAUCAUGCCCGGUUUACUAUUAAUUAAUAAAAUUUAAUUUACUCAAAUUACUCCUCUACAUGAUCAAAGUAAUUUCAAAUAUACAACACACAAAAUGUAAAUGACUUUGAAAUAUAAAAUAUUUAAAAUAAUCACCCCACUAACAAUUCACCACAAAGAUUAUAAAUAGUCGAAAUAAUGAUAAUCUAAGGGGUCCGGUCAUAAUAAUUUGAUUUUUAUUUAUAUUAAUUAUAUAAAAAAGAGUACUCGAGAUUAUAUAUAUCCAACAGCUAAAAUUUCAAAACAAUAUUUGCCAAAGUCUGAUGAAGAGAAUACAUAUAUAUAACAUGCACUCGCACACAUUCUAUUGUUUAAUUAAAAAAUUCGAAAGCCCAUUAUAUACAUGAUAAAGACUUACCGACACCGAACCAUAUUCAUUUAAAGGAAUUGUUUUCAACUGAGAUUUAAAAUUAUUUACACAAACACGCCCGAUUUUUUCUUUUUUUUAAAAAUUACUAAUAAUAAAAUAUUUCAGUCGUCCUCUGUUCGGCUGUCAAAAACCCAUUAAGAUCGAUUUGAACAGAAGGUAUAUGGGUUAACAAUCCUCCAUCCUUUCUGCACUUCUCUUCCAUCAACGGACAGCGAUAGAUACUUAAUUGCAAAAGUGAGGAAGGCAGGCCCUUCUCCGGAAAGUAUUUGAGCUUGGGACAAUCCACGAGAUUUAAGUGGGUGAGGUUUUGAAGAUCAACAAUUGAAGAAGAUAGGCGUUCCAGAUUUGGAAAAUCUACAAUCCUCAGAGAUGUUAGAGAGGCAGGAAGAGGAAGCGCGGUCCCUAAUCUUUUGUCCUCUAGUGGAAAUGACACCAUGUCGUCAUCACAUCCUUCGAUUGUAAGAUGUCGCAGAGAAGAGAAUCUAUGAAAUCCCCGACCCCGCUCAAUCAUUGACUUCCAAAUCUCCAUAUUACCCCAAAUAUGAAGUGAAUGAAGGUUGGUGGGAAGGCCAUCUUCUUCAAGGCUUGGAAGCUCACCUCCUAUUGUUAAUUGUUGAAGAGAGGUCAGAUUGUGCAAUCCCUUGGGUAAGGCCUCCAGUCUCUCACACCCAUAGAUCCUGAGCUUACUCAGUUUCGCACAAGGCAAUCCCCCUUCGGGAAAGGACACCAGAUUUUCACAUUCCCAUAUUUCGAUCUCUUGAAGCUGGCCGAGAUUAUGUAAACCACUCGGUAAAAUUUUCAGAUUUUCACACCCAGAAAUAUUGAUUGUUUCAAGAGAUGUGUUGUUGUCCAACCUUUCUGCUAUUGACUCCAGCUUUGGACAAUACCAAACAAAAAGGGACUUAAGAGACGGAGGUAGAUUGCCAACUUCAAGGGACUCAAGCGUGGCAGGUAACUCGUUUUUUGAAAAUAUACAUGUCAGUGAUGGACAAUCCCUAAUUUCUAACUUCUCAAGAAGAGAUGAGGUGUACCUUCUAUUGCUGCUGCUGCUGCUGCUACUCUGGAUGCCCUCUUCCACUGUCAAAGUCCUUAUAUUAUCACAACUAAGGAUGUCCAACCUCUUAAGGCUCCGUGGUAGCUGGACUCCAGCAAGAUAUGUCAACGUACGACAAUGCUCAAUAUACAAGGUCUCGAGAGAUGAAUUGGUGUCGCACAUCCAUGCCUCUGGUAAUGAUUUCAGUGCGUCACAACCUUCAAUCUCAAUUAUCUUCAACUUGGAAGGCAGAGCAACCUCAGGAAAGGAAACAAGGGAACUGCACUUGUAGAUUUCUAUCUCUCUCAAGGAACUGAGGCUGAGAGAUGAUUGUGGCAGCUUCACAAGGCCUUCGCAAUAACUCAAUCUUAGAUAUUCGAGUCUGCAUGACAACUCGCAGAGCUGCUGUUGUUGGUCUUUCUCUUCCUCCGCCACCAAGGAUUGAAGUUUGGGACAGCUUGUAAUCGUCAGUCUUCUGAGAGAGCAAAUGUCUUGCAGUAAUUCGUUAUGACUCUUCCAAAUAUAUGUCUGCUCUUUCAUAUCAUUUAUCUUCAAUUCUUCCAAUUUUGGCAGUCGCGGCUUUAAUGGCCCUGCGAGAAACAGUUGAUUUGAUGUAUCUCUACAAACCACUGAAUUCUGUGAGCCGAGAUGAUCAGCUGCACUUCUCCACACAACCUUUUUACAUCCACCAAUUUCAAAUUUGCAAAGAGCUGGAAGACUUGUAACUGAAACUGACAAUUCUUCACAUCCUUUAAUAACAAGCUUCUCCAAUGCAGGAAGGUGCUCUGGAAGUGUUCCUUGCAGUUUAGAACAUCUUAAAAUGUGAAGCUCUCUCAAUUUAGGAAACCCUUCAACUCCUUGACCGGAUCCAUGAGGAAUCCAGUCUUCCCAUUCUUCCAUGUCUUCAAAACAAAGAGUCUCCAAGCAUGGAAAAGGAAUUGAAGCAACCUUCCCAUAGAACUCUGGAUCAAAUCUCCUUACGCUGCUCAUUCCACAUACUACAAGCUGCUUUAGAGAGGGUAGUUGCCCGACCGACGGCAGGGCAGUACACAUGCUACAAUAUUCAAAUUUAAGUGUUACUAAAUUUGACAAUGAGGAAUUUCCUAACCAAGUUGAAAAAUUUGUGCCUCCAUAGCCGCUGAUACAAAAUUGUUCCAGAUUUUUAUGGGGUUUUAGCAUGUCAAGCACGCCCUCUUCAGCUUCUGCCUCCCUUGAAGAUGAACCAUUAGUAUUGCGAGUCCAUCGAAGCCAUAAUUCUUUAAGAUUCUCCUUUCUAUCCAAUUGAGCGUCCUCGGCAUCAAUAAUGUGUUUUACAUUCUCCAAAUUUGAAAUGCAAAGUGUCCCCCCAAGUUGCGUCAAGGACUUUAGCUCUCGUAACCGGGAACCACUGUCUUUUCCCACAACAAAAUUACACAACGUCUGAAGACAAGUCAGCCUACCAAUUCCGACUGGCAUUUCCUCCAACGAAGAUGUAUUUGAAUUAUUGAGAUGAUGCAAUUUGAUGAGGUUUCCCAUGGCUGCACACAACUUCUUCAGUCGCCAACAGCCCUCCAACAGAAGGGUGUGCAAAUUGUAAAGCUUGUUGACUGAUUCAGGCAGAGUUCUAAUCUCAGUUCCAGAUAGGUUAAGGUACCUUAAAUACCUCAAAUCACCAACUGAAUCCGGCAGCUUGGGGAUGAAAUAUCCACACAGAGAGAAGACCCUCAAUCGUUGGAGUUUGAACAACUUAGGAAGAAUGCUAAGAGCAAAGUAUCCAUGCGACCUAUUUGACCGCCUUACUGGUAGAAAAGUUCGCAAAUGCUGGAUAUUGUACAAGUCUUCAAACCUUUUACCGCCUUCAUAAUAUUCAGGAAUGUAUGACAGAUGAUGAAGAUUUAUGGAAAAACUUUGUUGCUUGUUAACCUCCGAGGUAUACUCCAUUGUGAAGUAUAUCUCCCCCGCAGCCCAUUGAGCAAGGUCAUUGACGAGGUCGUGCAUCACAAAUCGUGAUGUACCGUUGCUUGAUUGCUGGAAAAAAGAUCUUGCACGUAGCUCUUGAAAGAACCUUCGACCUAGAUCUUCACUUGGAUUCCCGCUCUCUCCGUGAUCCAAGAAACCCACAGCACUCCAUAAUAAAAUUAUCUCCUCCUCUUCGAAUUCAUAAUCCUUUGGAAACAAUGAGCAGUAUGCAAAGCACUGUUUCAAAGGUGCCGAGAGAUAAUAGUAGCUCACUCUAAGCGCCGGUAUAAUGUCACAUCUCUCUUCUGGUAAAUCCCAUAUGUUGCAACUGAGCACACCUUCCCAAUCACUUCGGUCACAUUUACCACGUAAGAGUCCACCAAGAGUUUUUGCAGCUAAGGGCAAGCCGUUGCAUUUGAUCACAAUCUUCUUGCCAAUUUCCUCCAAUGACUUGUUUGAACUGAAAUCUUUUGUCCCCAAAGAGUGUUGAGCGAACACGGACAGACAAUCAUCAAAUGACAACUUUUUCAAUUCAUAAGCUGGAGCAGUUCCCAUGAUGGCUGCAACCUCUUGAUUACGAGUUGUGACAAUAAUCUUACUUCCCGGUGCGCCAGCUUCAAACGGACGGCUCAUGUCAACCCAAUCAUUGUAUUUCUCAUUCCAAACGUCGUCUAAAACAAGCAAAAAUUUCUUUUGAGAUAACUUCUUCUUCAGCUCCUCUUGAAGCAAAUUUAAAUCACUGUCAUCAAUAGUCUGCUUAGUAACGGAUCUUAGAAUUGUUUUUGUUAGCCUCUUAACGUCGAAAUCGUCAGAGACACAAGUCCAUGCCUUGAGAUCAAAAUGAUCCUGCACUCGCUUAUCAUUGUAGACAAGCUGAGCAAGAGUAGUUUUGCCCAUCCCGCCCAUACCUAUAAUAGGAAUAACAGAGAAUCCACCAUCGUUGCUUAAAUCAUCCCUCAACAGCAGUUCAACAACAUCCUUCUUUUCUGUUUCCCUGCCAUAUACUUUGGCUUCAGUCACUAAAGAGGUUGUCUCUAGCCUUUGACUGGCUUUUUUGGACCCUCCGGCUGAACUUUCUUUCAAAUCUAGCAAGUUUUUCUGUGUCACAAUUUCUUGAAAUCUGCUGUUGAUCUCUUUGAUUUUGGACAUCAAGCCAUAAUCGAACUGAAUCGAUUGUGGAGUAAAAGUGGUGCAGCAAGGAGGAAUGAGCUUCCGAAACUUACUUGUUCUGGUACGACUGCUACUGGGUUGAUCAUGAGCAGCAGCUGGUUCUCCAUUUCCAAGCAGCAACAUCCUCCGGAAAGCCUCAGUUUGAAACUCAUCCAACAAGUCUUCAACAUCAUAAGCCAAGUUCUGAAGCUUGCCAAGCCACUUCUUCACAGACCGAUUAGUCGUCUUCUUCUCCUCAGCAUCAUCAAGCACCGCCUUGAUCAUCUCCAACAUAUUCUCCCACUUCAUUAGAUCGUCUUGGAUCUUCUCUUGGCGUGCAAAAAACAGAAUCCCCUCUGAAGCUAACUUAUUGACCAGCAAAUCAACGGACGCCGUAAGGAUUGCCUCUCCGAUGAUUGACAUUUUUUUUCUUUUUUUUUGGGCAAAGGAAGAAAGGAGCAGAAUUAUGGGUUAUGGAAAGCAGAAUGAGAAAAUUGAACGGGUGAGAAAAUGGAUAAUUAAGCAGAAUGAGUUUGUGAUUGUGAAGGGUCUGGCCCAGCUAGAAAUCACGCGUUUAUACUUUAUUGACCAAUGACUAAUAAUUUGGCAAUUCACCCAUCACACCACCACUUGGUAAGCAAAAUGAAAAUGCUUAGUAAUUAAUAAGUGUCAAGGGUCAAGCAAAAUACGACGUAAAAUGUGGCAAGUCUCCCCACUUGUUUUCCUUGCAGCUAAGAAAAGAAAAACACAGCCCACCACCCAUUAAUAAUUUAGCAAUUCAUCAAUCACCACCACUUGUUACGAAAUUCCUUCCGUUAGAUAUUCGUAUAGGUCAAGGAGUUAAUCCAGUGUCAAUUACUUAGAACCUUCACUUUACAAAUCUUCAACUCAUAAACCAAGAUAAAUCAAAACGUUUCUCUCUCUCUAUUUUUUUUUUUUUAAACUCCUAAAACGUUUCUUUUUAGAAAUAUUUUACUUUAUUCAUCUAAUAUGUUAUCUAACAAAUAGACACAGAUGAAAUCACUCUAAAGUGAAGAUGAAAGGGGAAAAAAAACAUUCCAACCACCAAUAAUUUAGCAAGCUAACGUUUUCAAAAUAUUGUUCUUUAUAAUUGAACAGGAAAUAAGACUAAGUUUUGGACAUUUUCAUAUUCACUUACUUUCAAAAGCAGUAUUUCGAAACAUUUUACAGAAUCAAGUAACAGUUAUAUAACGAGAAAAGUGCAAAGUUGUGUAAUUCUAAUUUUUUUUUUUAUCACAGACACUCAGAUCAUUUUUUGUUUGGGUCGCCAACUCGCCAAUGAACCUAUGAUUGAAUGAGUGUUUAGAAAGAAAAUCAAUGAAAAAUAGUUUAUUUUGGCCGUCGAAAUAUAGUAAGUGAGAAAGAUUAUUCUGUUUUUUUUUUGUUAAUUAGGUUAGUAAUUAUGAUUGAGUGACUCAGAACUAUAUUCUAGAUUGGGAAUCAAUGGUUCUCCCACACUGAGAGGCUGUAAGUUUAAGAUUGUCGUUUGCUAUUUCAUCGACAAGAGAGCACUCGAUUUUAUUAAAAGGAGAAAGUCGUAAGAUUUCCUUUAUUAGAAAAUGUAUCUGAUCAUUCCUUUUUACUUGAAAAUUUCAUAUAUAAAAACAUAUUAAUAAAUGACAUACUAUACAUAAAUUAUUAAUUCACUUGAUAGUUGAUUAUCGAAGGACAUGUGACCCAUGGGAGCAUGCAGUCAAUAAAAUAAUUCUUUUUUUUUAACAAAAAAUCGGUGAUGUUGAAAAGCAUUACUUUAUACUAUUAUUACUCUAAUUGGGUGAACAUUUCAAAAAAAGCAUUACUUUUUUUUUAUUUCCAAUCUUUACCAAAAGAAAAAUAUUUAUUGAUCCCUUUUAUCAACUUGCUUUUAUUGACUUUCUUCCUAAUAGAAGUGAAAAGAGAAACCAAUAAGUGUUACCAGAUUAAAUUCAUAAGCUUCGAAGAAGUAAAUUAGUCAAAUUAACCAAAACAUCCAUUAAGCUGGUCAGAGGAUCAGACCGCUCUCUAUCCACCCUUAUCACGGCCUGGUCCAAACUCAUUUUUCUUUGAAAAUAGACAAAUAAUAAAGCCACUACAAGUUAAGCAGAUCAAAUAAACAGAGGAAAUAGCUGAUCAAUUCUUUGUGCAAUGGCCACGGCAACAACAAAAAUAUGCCUACAUGACUACAUUAAUCCGACUGGCGUGGUACCAUCGCCAUGCAGCAUUACAGCAACAUUUGAUCAUCUAUCAAUUUUCAUGAUAUGAGAUUAGAAACAUUGAGUUUAUAAUUUUAUGUAAUUUCAUAGAAAAGAUAUAAUUGAUUUGAGUUAGUUUACCAUUUAAGGAAGGAGUAAUGGGGAAUGAUAUCGCUGUGGCAUGUGAUGAGUAAAGAUAGACAGCAAAUAUUGAUCAUGUAAUAGUGAAAUAUGUAUUUACUGAAAAAUAUUUGGCAAUAAAAUGACGCUAUAAGAAUUUAAUAUUAGUUGCAAGAAAAUAAAUUGACAAUUAAAUUAAUAGAUAUAUAUGCAAUGGUCCGAGUUUAUCUUAUCAGUUCGCUAACCAUUUUGUAACUACAUAUUAAUUAGAAGUUCAAUUAAUUUUGACCAAAGACUCCAGAGGAUGUCGAGAAGAGAUUUGAUUUUGGUAUUAAUAAAAAUAGAAAUAAAAUAAGUCAAAAACAAUUACAAGAACAACAAUAAAAGCAUAUUUUAUAAAAGCCACAAAUACGUAAUAUAAAUUUGAUUUUGAAUUACGUAAUUACUAAUUUAUAUAGUAAGAGGGUCUUAUAGAAAAAUAGGAAUUUUUUAAAAGAGAUUUGCUUAAGGAAAAAGUUUAGUUUGGUCUAGUUUGUGAAGGCUCGAGUAAUUGAAAGCAAUGCAAGUGAAAGAAACACAAACUUCUAAUUUUUACAAAGUAAUCGCUAAAAUAUUUGACGAGUUUGAGAUUUUAAAAAGGCUGAGAAAAUAGACCAAUAAUAAAGACCUACAAGUUAGCAGAACAAAUAAACUGAGGAAAACAUGGUAGAUAUUUACCAUUAUACAUUUUUUAUUUUAUUUUUUCCAAAAACGAAUGUUGCGAAUUUUUUAUGAUAAGAGAACAGAACUCAUGGUUCAGCAAUAAUCAUCAGCUCACUGGCCGUUAGUUCAGAAUGACAAUUCUUAUUAGUCAAAGAAUCAAAAUGAUUUUUAGUUGUUUAUAAGUAGAGCACUAGAUCAACAAAUAAUUGAAGACUUGCUUUUGCUAUUGAACCAUGCGAUGGCAAUUCGAAGACUACAGCUUAACUCUGCCAUUCGAAGUAAGCAACUCAGCUGCCCAAAGACUGCCAAGCCACCAAGACAAUGCCAAGAUACAACAUCAAGAAUUACAUACAGGCCGUCACAUAUUACAUCUCUCCUCUGUUUUAAGAGAGAUUUACGAACUCACGCAGUAGGAGUAAUUAAUUAAUUUAUACAGUUCAGUACUCAUUUCUCCACUAUUUCAAAUCCAAACCAUUUAUUAUGACGCAAGGUACAUGGGUUAGCAGGUGCCGAUAUUGUCCUCCAUCCUUUUGUAUACGUUUCUUCUAUCGGAACAAUUUACAAUUAAAUAAAUCAUUCAAAAUCUCCUUUAGUCGAACCCCCAUUUAUAUGGUUUAAUAAAAUAUCACAAAGUUGCCUAAUACAGAGAAAUUAACAAAUUCAGCCCAUGAGAGUGCCAUUUUAAUGCAAGAAAUUGAAAGUUAAUUAACACUGGAUUAUGUUGGAUUGUUACUUGUUAAUUACGAUGGGAAUAUAAUCUUGGUCUUUUAAUUAUCAUCUAGCUAACCCAUGCGCAAAAGCUUCAUUUGUGUCUGUCGCUAAAGAGUAAAGUUGCUUGAUUGAACGGUAUCAUAUGACAGAAACUCAAACUCUAUCAUUGUCCGAGUAUACCAUGCCACAUGUGUAGCUCAAAGGUACAAUAACAUUGAACAUUCAGCUAGCUAGCUCAUACUAAUUAAUUUAUAGGAUUGUUAGUUCUUUAUGAUUAACUUAAAGUGAAAAAAUUUGAAUAUCACGAAAACAAUAACAAUUCACUCCCAUAAACAACAAAAUAAAUGCAUAAUCUAUAUUGCAAGUCUUUUUAGGAUUUUAAUUAAAAGAGAAAGUACGAAGGACAUAUUAUAUAUAAUUGAAUGUUCUCCUUGAUAAUUAGACAAAAUAACAUCAAUCUGGCUAACUAAUCCGAUUGUUAAAGUGCAAUUUAUGCACUAGUUUUGCAUUGUUUACUUCUCUUAAUAUCGAUGUUUUGCACUUAAUAAUAAUGAUUUACUUGUGUUUUACUUUUGUAGGUGCAAUUCUAUUGAUUAGUGAUAAAAUUGAGCUACAAGAUGAUGUUUAAGGAUGAUUGUUCUCUUGGAGAAAUUAUGAGCGGCAGAAGAACUUUGUUGAUAAGGCGUGGGCGCGUGCUGUCAACUACGGACCUGCAGUUUUUAGUUUAACGUGUUUUAUAUUUUUGGUUAUUUUUGUAAUUACGAAUUUAAUAUUUCAGAUAUUAGUAUUUUAUUUUAAAUAGAACUCUAAAAGAGAAGAGAGAGAGAGUAUUUAAGGGAGGAAUCUAUUGUGAAAAGGGGGAUUUUGAAUUGGAAAAAGAAAGAAACCCUAAAUCUAAUUUUUCUCUUCUCUCUAUGAAGAACUAAACCUAUUUUUCUGGUUGAAGGAGAAUGAAGCUUUGAUUCAUCAUUACUGUGAGAUCUUUCUUAUGCUUUAAUUGUUUUAUUACUUUUUGGGUAUUUGUUUAUUCUCUGAAUUAGUUUCAUGAUUAUGUUUGUUAAUUAGGUAAUUGUCCACUAUUUAAUUAUCAACUUAAUCUAUUGUCAAUUAAAGGAUUCAUCGUAUGAAGAAUUUAAUGUUUGUGACAAAUAACAUAGCAGAGAGUUGUGUUGUGAGAAUAAACAAUCUAAUUUAAAUGAAUCAUCAUAUGUGUUGAUUAGGAUUUGGGUCUCUCUAGUUUUUCAGGCUGUCAAUUGAUUAAAUCCUAUGAUCGUAUCUAGGGUUGUCUAUUGAUUAGGGAAAUAUCCAACGGUCGUACCUUGAUUAUCAACUAGUUAAGGAGAGAUUGGCUAUUAGAGGGUCUCAAUAGCUAUAACCGGUCUAUUCAUAAGUAAUAAUAAUCUAUAUUUGAAUCAAUGAUCAGUAGUCGAACCAAGCUGAGUUAAUUCCUUCAACCAGAGCUUUCUCCAAUUUGAAUUACAACUUUAAUUUGCAUUCUUAUUAUUUUAAUUUGAUUUUUAUUAUUGUCAACAAUUCCCCCAUUUUACGUUUUACGUUUCAAAAGGAUUUAAAUAAUUACCGAUCUCUGUGGACACGACCCUGCUCAAUCACUAUACACAAUUUAUUUAGAGUAGGAAUUUAUUUUUGUUGGCUUCGACAACCAUCAAAUUUUGGCGCCGUUGCCGGGGAUUGGUGUCAUUUAUUUAAUCCUUUUUACGUUUUACUUGGUGUAUGGUUCGUUCUUCUCGUACAGGUACACUUUCGUUUGAUCCUGAAAUUGAGAAGACAGCUCGCCAGUUGAGACAGCAGACGAAGCGAGCUAAGCAACGAUCCUCGUCGCCUUUGCUUUCUGAAACAGAUACAGUGCCUGAUUUAGUUGAAUCAUCUAGCGAUUCAGAAGAACAAGUGAUGGAUAGACCUGCACCUGUAGAAAGAACUCUUAGAGAGUUAGCUGAACCAGACUUGAAUCAACAACCACUCUGCAUUCAAUAUGUAGACUUGGAGGUAAAUUUUGAAUUAAAGUCUGGUCUUAUUCAUUUAUUACCCAAGUUUCAUGGUUUUGCAGGUGAAGAUCCUCAUAAACAUCUCAAGGAAUUUCAUGUUGUAUGCUCAAGUAUGAGGCCACAAGGCGUGACUGAAGAGCAGAUUAAGCUGCGUGCUUUUCCGUUCUCUGUAGAUGGGCUAGCUAAAGAUUGGUUGUACUACUUGCCUCCUGGAUCGAUUACAACGUGGAAUGGUUUGAAGAAGCAGUUCCUUGAGAAGUACUUUCCUACUUCAAGAGCUGCCAACAUCAGAAAAGAUAUUUGUGGGAUCAGACAACUUCCUGGGGAGACUUUGUAUGAGUAAUGGGAGCGAUUCAAACAAUUGUGUGCCAGCUGUCCUCAGCAUCAGAUUUCUGAUCAACUUCUUAUUCAAUAUUUUUACGAAGGACUAUCAUUAAUGGAUAGGAGUAUGAUAGAUGCUGCUAGUGGAGGCGUGUUAGUGAACAAGACCCCUACUCAAGCAAGGGAGUUGAUAUCAAAUAUGGCUGCCAACGCACAACAAUUUGGCAGUAGGCAAGAUCUCACUUCAAGGAAGGUGAAUGAGGUAAAUAUUUCUUCUGUUGAACAACAUUUAGAUAAACUUACUUCUCUUGUGGAAAAGUUUGUUGUAGGUAAUGUGCAACAUGUGAAGACUUGUGGCAUUUAUUCCAAUAUGGGUCAUUCAACUGAUAUGUGUCCUACACUUCAAGAAGAACCCGUUGAACAAGCCAAUGUAGUUGGAGAAUUUCCAGGCAUGCCUCAGAGGAGGUAUGAUCCUUAUGCACAAACAUACAAUCCGGGAUGGAAGGAUCAUCAUAACUUCAGCUAUGGAGUUAGGCAAUCAGGAUUCUCACAACAAUAUCCACCAAGACAACCAGCACCUCCACAGUCAAACUCCAAGUCAGGUAUAUCUCUUGAAGAAAUUGUUAAAUCACUUGCGACUAACACUCAACAAUUUCAACAGGCAACUACAGCAAGCAUUCAGAACUUGGAGAACCAAAUGAGUCAAUUGGCGACUACAGUGAGCCGUCUGGAGUCUCAAGUAUUAGGGAGAUUGCCUUCACAAUCUGAGGUGAAUCCAAAGCAAAACGUUAGUGCUGUCAUCCUUAGAAAUGGGAAAGAGUUGCAAGAGUCUAGUAAGAAAGUGACAAAGCAUGUAGAAGAUGAGCUUGAGAAGAAUGAAUUGAUGCCUCAAUCUCAAGAUGCGCAACCUACCAAAGCGAAACCCCGACCUAUUGUGAUACCUCCUCCUUUUCCAAGCCGGUUUGCAAAAUCCAAGAAGGAGGAACAAGAGAAAGACAUCCUUGAGACAUUUCGCAAGGUUGAGGUAAAUAUUCCUUUAUUAGAUGCUAUAAAACAAAUACCUCGAUAUGCUAAAGUCCUUAUGGAACUGUGCACCUCUAAGAGAAAAUUAAGAGGAGAUGAAAAAGUUCACAUGGGGGAGAAUGUUUCAGCAGUUUUCCAAAAGAAACUACCUCCUAAGUGCAAGGAUCCAGGUAUGUUUACUAUCCCUUGUAAAAUUGGUAGUGUUAGAAUUGAAAAGGCUUUGUUAGAUCUAGGAGCUUCUAUUAAUGUCAUGCCUCAUUCCAUUUAUUCAUCUUUGAAUAUUGGUCCAUUAAAAGAAACUGGUGUGAUAAUUCAACUAGCUGAUAGGUCUAAUGCAUAUCCUGAUGGGGUAUUAGAAGAUGUUUUAGUACAAGUUAAUAAGUUGGUUUUUCCUGCUGAUUUUUAUGUACUUGAUAUGGAAGAUGAUAACUCCUCUAAUUCUGUCCCAAUUUUGCUAGGAAGACCUUUUCUUAAGACUGCUAGGACUAAAAUGGAUAUACAUAAAGGGACUCUCACUAUGGAGUUUGAUGGAGAGGUUAUAGAAUUCAAUAUGAAUGAUGCCAUGAAAUAUCCUAGUGAAGAACAUUCAGUAUUUUCUGUGGAUGUUAUUAACCCUAUAGUGCAGGAAGUUUUUUACAAGGAAAAAACGAAGACAUUUCAUGAUAGAAUGAUUUUGAGAAAGGAGUUCUCUAUUGGUCAAAAAGUUCUUCUUUUUCAUUCUAAGCUUAAACUUUUUCCGGGUAAAUUACGUUCUUGCUGGGUUGGACCUUUUAUUGUUACUAAUGGUUUUCCUCAUGGUGCAGUUGAGAUUCGGAGUCCGACCUCUAACAAAGUUUUUAAGGUUAACGGUCAUCGCUUAAAACCUUUUUAUGAAGGUUUUUCGGUGAAUAUUGUGGAGGAUGUGGCUCUCGAGAGUCCUAAUUAUGGAGAUUGAUGCAUAAAUGUGUCUAACCAAAGACAUAAAACAAAGGCGCUUUUUGGGAGGCAACCCAAAUGAUUUAUUUAUUUUGGUUUUUGUUAUAUCUUCUUUUAAUUUUGAUUCAGAUUUUUUUUUAAAAAAAUAAUGUGUUAGCUUAUUUUGGUCAGAAGAAAAUUUUCGAUAAGGCGUGCCCACGUCUUAACUAAUAAGUACUUCUGUAAUUUUUAAAGUAAAAUAGUUUUAAGGCAUGCCCACGUGCUUAUUGGAAAAGUACUUCUGAAAUUUUUAGUGUCUCAAAGUGAUUCAUCACUAAAAAAUAAAAAAAAUAAAAAAAAUUAAAAAAAAAAAUUAAUUUUAUUUAUUUUAUUUUUUUUAUUUCUUUUGUUCUUUCUUUUAUAUAUAUUUUUUAUUUAUUUAAAAAAAUCAUUGUUCAAAAAAAAAAAAAUUUUACUGUUCACAAAAUCCUUAAUUUUCCAGAACUUGCUUUCUUCUCCAGCCGCUCGCAGCACCAACAGCCCACAAACCAGCCGCAGCGCGCAACAUCAGUCCCAGCAGCAAGCUCCAGCAUCCCCAGCCCGCGCGCGCAACGCGAAUCAGCCCUAGCCGCCGCACGCAGCAUCGCGCACCGCAACCAGCAGCAGCGCGAAUCAACCUCAGCGCAGCGCAUCAGUCCCGCGCGCGCAGUGCAACAGAUCCGCAAAGCAGACCCGCAACGCAAAUCGGCUCUCGCGCGCAGUACAGCAGUGCGUAGAUCCAGCACCGCAACCAGCAGCACGAACCAGCUCCAGCCAAGCAGCAACGCAACGCAACCAGCCUACGCCCUGUAUUCCAGCCGGGUAAAUCGAAAUCCGUGAGUGCAAUUAUUGUAACAAUGCCAAAGAGGAAAGCAUCUACUUCCAAGUUAUCGAAAAAGACACCCGUCGCAAAGAAAUCUAAGAUUGCCGCUCCCACUACGGUUCCAUGGAACACAAUUUCAGAUUCACGCCAAGCCGUGAGACAAAGAUCGAAGCAUGGAAAAGGCAUGAGUGUUUUGCCACUUGCGGAAUCCAAUCUCGGAGGGUGCCUCGCAUUCGCGACUCAACAAGAGAAAGAGGUGUGGUCGAAUUCAAGGAGGGGAGAUUUCAGUUUACUGAACCAGGACCCACUCAACUUCCGAAGAAGAUUUAUGCUAGGAGUGGUGCUGCCUCUGAUGACGAGUUUGACGACGACACUAUUGCCCUGCCAACUAUUCCUUCUACAUCCGCACCACUUUUGAGCAUUCAGUUAGAGAAAAUGGAGCACAAGCUGAACAAGAUGGAGCAGAAUUUGGCCGCAUACUUCGAGAGUGUGAGAUUUACCCCACCAUUUCCGCCAAGCCCAUAGACGUUAUGUGGAUCAAAGCUCACAAUUCAGGGAAGUUUCUUUUUGCCUUUAAUCUUUUAUCCUUACGCUUUAAUUUUUAUGUGAGCUUUGAUUAUCUUACAUUGGGGACAAUGUAAGUUCUUGGUGUGGGGGAGGGAUUUUUACAUUAUUGAUGCCUGGAAUUAUUAUUUUCACUCUACUCAUCCUUAAAUGAUUUUGGAGUUAGUAUGCUUUAUAUAUUAUUUUUUCUUUUCUUUUCUUUCUCACUACUUUUUUUCCCAUCUAUCUCAAAUUAUUUACAUCUAUUUUUAUUCCAUCAUACUCUUUCAUCACUCACAUUUUAUCUUUCACUUUUCAUCUUUCUCACUUCUUAUCAUUUUUACCUUUUCUUUUAUAUCUCACUCAUACCUUCUUCUCAUUCUACACCACUAUUGAUGGUUGAUUCAUUUGAAGAGUGUACAUGAUUUGAUGGCAAAUUUACCAACUUUGUGAGGAUUUGAGCCUAUGAGCAACCACUUUGCUCUAAUAUUUUUGUUAUGUGAAUAUCAAUCUUAGUUUGUUUAUUCUAGAACUUGCUUUGUUAUGCAUGUUGAAGCCGCAUUACGGGAUUUUAUGCAUUAAAAUGAUAAGGGCAAACCAUUUACCAUUUUUCCAUUCUCGCAUUUUCCUUUUUCUCUACCCGAAGACCUUUAUUUGCUACCUUUGUUUGAGCCUUAACCAUUACCCAUCUAAUUCUCUCCGUCUACUUAACCAUUUUUCUUCUUUUGAGCCUCGAUUUAAGGAGAUUUUUGGACUCAUUGUGUGGAUAUAUUUUGUUGCUUUUUCUACCUUGUAUUAAAGUUUCUCAAUUAGAUCAACAAGCAUUAUGCUUGAAUUAAAUUGUGCAAGGUUCGUUUCUUUUGUUUGAUUCAGAAAAAAAAAAGAAAAAAAAAGAAAAGAAAAGGAAAAAGAAAAAAAAGAAAAAGAAUAAUCGAAAAAAAAGAGGAAGAAAAAAAAAUGUUUACAUUCUUGGUGACUUGAGUAGAAAUAAGCAUUUUGAUAUCAUAAGUUCAUUCUUCUCAUUUUGAUCUCUUUUUCUUUCGUAAACCUUUCUUUUUCAUUUCACCCAUUUAACCCCAUUACAACCCUUUUAAGACCCUUAGAUUUUUGCAUUUUAUUCAUGUUUUGUGGAUUGAGAUGUGAUAUAUGAGCAAGCUUAUGGUAAUAGCAUUCUUUGAUUUGAUUUGAGUGGAUAAAUGACACCCUAAACACUUUGAGUGCAUGGAGUGAAGUUAUUGAGAGGGCUAUUAAAUCUUGUUGCACUUGAAUUUUGAAUGGAUCUUCUUGGUGGUUGAAUGUUCUUAUUCUAUCUUAUGAAAUUCUAUGCUUUAAAAUCCUUAUCUCUCGAAUGUUGAACGACUUAAUUUCUUGAGGUAUGCUUGCUUAAAAUUGUUUUUGGAUGAGUUGAGAUGAGAAUUUAGUGGAGAUUUGAGAUUAGUCUUGAGUUAUAUGCUUGAGGACAAGCAUCAUCUUGGUGUGGGGGAAUUUGUUAAAGUGCAAUUUAUGCACUAGUUUUGCAUUGUUUACUUCUCUUAAUAUCGAUGUUUUGCACUUAAUAAUAAUGAUUUACUUGUGUUUUACUUUUGUAGGUGCAAUUCUAUUGAUUAGUGAUAAAAUUGAGCUACAAGAUGAUGUUUAAGGAUGAUUGUUCUCUUGGAGAAAUUAUGAGCGGCAGAAGAACUUUGUUGAUAAGGCGUGGGCGCGUGCUGUCAACUGCGGACCUGCAGUUUUUAGUUUAACGUGUUUUAUAUUUUUGGUUAUUUUUGUAAUUACGAAUUUAAUAUUUCAGAUAUUAGUAUUUUAUUUUAAAUAGAACUCUAAAAGAGAAGAGAGAGAGAGUAUUUAAGGGAGGAAUCUAUUGUGAAAAGGGGGAUUUUGAAUUGGAAAAAGAAAGAAACCCUAAAUCUAAUUUUUCUCUUCUCUCUAUGAAGAACUAAACCUAUUUUUCUGGUUGAAGGAGAAUGAAGCUUUGAUUCAUCACUACUGUGAGAUCUUUCUUAUGCUUUAAUUGUUUUAUUACUUUUUGGGUAUUUGUUUAUUCUCUGAAUUAGUUUCAUGAUUAUGUUUGUUAAUUAGGUAAUUGUCCACUAUUUAAUUAUCAACUUAAUCUAUUGUCAAUUAAAGGAUUCAUCGUAUGAAGAAUUUAAUGUUUGUGACAAAUAACAUAGCAGAGAGUUGUGUUGUGAGAAUAAACAAUCUAAUUUAAAUGAAUCAUCAUAUGUGUUGAUUAGGAUUUGGGUCUCUCUAGUUUUUCAGGCUGUCAAUUGAUUAAAUCCUAUGAUCGUAUCUAGGGUUGUCUAUUGAUUAGGGAAAUAUCCAACGGUCGUACCUUGAUUAUCAACUAGUUAAGGAGAGAUUGGCUAUUAGAGGGUCUCAAUAGCUAUAACCGGUCUAUUCAUAAGUAAUAAUAAUCUAUAUUUGAAUCAAUGAUCAGUAGUCGAAUCAAGCUGAGUUAAUUCCUUCAACCAGAGCUUUCUCCAAUUUGAAUUACAACUUUAAUUUGCAUUCUUAUUAUUUUAAUUUGAUUUUUAUUAUUGUCAACAAUUCCCCCAUUUUACGUUUUACGUUUCAAAAAGAUUUAAAUAAUUACCGAUCUCUGUGGACACGACCCGGUUUACGUUUGUUUAAUCUAAUGGCUAUAACAUGUGUACCGUCAAAAGCUACAGUAUCCAUCUUUGUUUGUCCUCGUGGCAUCCUUGAUCUUAUAUUAUCCCGGUGGUUCUUGAAAGUUCUUCUCAUUCCCAUGUGCUGAGUUGCUUGCUGAGAUGAUGAAUACUUGAUGGUCCUUCCUUGAGACAUCUGAUGAGAAACGAUGUAAUCAAUAUAGUUCUAUUUUGAAAAAUCAAUAUAAAUCAAUCCCCUUAGAUUCUCUCUGUCUCAUAGCACAAUGGGUGAUGAUUUGAUGAGAAAUAUUAAUAUGAAUGCGUCAGAUAGAAGCUUGGUUGCAAUCAGAUAUUAAGUAUAUUUGUCAGAAUGGAUGCAACAAAAAUUCUAUCUGAUCUGUAGUUCAUGAAAAGCGGCCGAAUGCUUCCGGCAAUUCAAGCAAAUAGAAGCUUGGUUGAUUGAUUGCUCUUCAUGUGAAAUUCUACCUAAUGGCUAUACUUUUAAUGGUUUAAAUUCUUCUUUUUUUCUUUGAAUUGUUGAUUUAUACUGUCUUGUAUGCAAAUUAAAUUCGAAAUUUCGGAUGAUGAUAAUCUUGAUUUAGAACAGAUUAGGUAACAUGUGGCAUUCUACAAUCUUGCAAUGCCAUUUCUUGUUAUGGCAGCAGCAUUUUUUUCUCAAUUGUUUGUGUGGACUAAUUUUCUGAAUUCAAAACUUGGCGUAUUAAAACGUCAUCGUUUUGUCCAUUAAGAUUUUUCAACUGUUCAUGAAGGUGUUUUUGCUAAGGACAGCCUAAGUUUUAAGUUCUGCACGUGACAAGCACGUGAGAGAAGAAUCAAGUUAGUUAUAAGUUGUUAUACACGUGGCUGGAUCUGGUGCAAUCUGGUGUUAUGAACAGCCGUUAUAUAAGCUGAGCUUUCAGGCAGUUUCAGCAAGAUGUAAAGAGCUUUCUAGAGAGAAUGAAGAGAGAGAGAAAGUAUCAUCUUAUUCCUUGUUAGUUGCUCCGUGUGAUCUCUGUAAAAUUACUUUGAAUCAUAAAUAAAACUCAUUUUGGUCGAUUCUCCCUUGGAUGUAAGUUGUGUCUCAUUGCACAGCUUAACCACGUAAACAGUGCUGGUUUCUGUGUGUGAUUUUUUGUUAAUCUUGCUUAUUUCUUGUAUCCUAAUGGCUGAAAUCUUGCUUUAAUUUCCCAAGUCAUCUAUUGAGUUCAUCGAGGUCAUUCAAUUGUUCAUAUGUAGCUAGUUUGAUCUUGAACAAGGUCUUGGGCUGUGUUUUGAUAGCUUGAUUAGCGGCUAUCUUGACAGUACAAUUGGUAUCAGUGCUAGGUCUUCAGAUCAAGAUCCAAGUAUGGCUACAUCAAAGAUUGAUCUUGAGCUUGUAGACUCAGUGAUAAGGGAAGUGGCAAAAGAAUCCACGGUUGCUGACUUAUGGGCUAAGUUGGAGAGUGUGUACAUGAGAAAAUCCCUUGCUAACAGAUUGUACUUAAAGAAGAGGAUGUUUGCCUUAAAGAUGAUUGAAGGCUCAUGUCUUGAUGAUCAUAUUGAUGGGUUCAACAAAGUGUGUGACACUUUGAAAAGCAUUGAUGCAGAAUUAAAUGAUGAAGAUAAAGCCUUGCUAUUAAUGAGCUCCCUUCCCAAAGUCCUAUGAGCAUUUUUUUGAUGCCUUGAUGUGUGCAUAUAUGCAUAUCAUAAAUUUUAUUUUAUGAUCGCGGCUAAUCCGACGACUUUCGAGUACAUUCAUUCAAAUAUUAAACGUACCAGGUCUACAGAUUUACGUUUUGCCAUUUGUGGCAGGAUAGCAAAAAUUGCAAAUGGUCAUUCCCAGCACGAACACCUAUGGCUCUUUUCCUUUAAUUUUCUUCUUUGAAUUUUCCUUUGAUUAAUCAUUAGAAAAACUGCUUUCUUUUUUUUUUCUUUUUUAAACACGUGCCGUUAACAUUUACAUGGUUAAUCUCAUCGAAAUCAAAUGGCUGUUAUUCCCAUUGCAACCAUAUAUUGUUAUAAAUUGCAUUGUUUCCUAUAACAAAUAUAAUAAAAUCUCAAUAAAUUAAUAGUUCUGGGACCAAUGAAAAAUUAGUUAAAAUUUAACGAAUAUCAAUUAGUCGAUAAGUUAAUAAAUUAUUAAUUUAUGAAAAUAUUCAUUAUUUUGGAAAAAAAAAUGAUUACGUUUAUAGUAUUGAUUUACCUUGAGUUAGAAUCUAUUUUUUUUAUUUGAAUAGUAAUUUUCUUUUAAGAAGAUUUUUUAAUAGUUAACUACUUUAUAAUAAGACUAUUGUAUGAUUUAUAUUUUUCCUUGUUAGAGAUGAUAGUUCUGCUAUGCAAGCUGUUUCGAUCAAAGGAUUAGAUGAUAUUGACAUUGAAUAAUUUUUUGUUGCAAAAUGACAACACCAAUUAGAAUUUCUUUUCGCAUUACAAAAGUAAAAAAUGAGAUCCAAUUCUAAAUUAAUUUAAAAAGAAAGCCAUAUAGACAUAUCAUAUGGAUUUUGUUUUAUACUAGGUAAUCUAUGUGGUAAUAUAUUUCCUUCAAAAUGUACUAUUUGAUUUUGAAAUUAUUUUUAAAAAAUUUAAUAUCACAAUAAUAGUCAUGAUUCCAUCAGUUUGAGGUUUUUUUCUUUUUUUUGUUUAAGAAAAAAGAUGGGAAAAUAGUCAAAUGAUGAAAACACAUGCUAAGCGGAGCCAAUAAACAGGGGAAAGUGAACUACUGUCCUUGAACACGUUCUCUAAUAAUCUCAAUAUUCUACGUACAUUUUUGUAAAUUCAUGUCGCAUACAAAAGCCUUAUGGGUUUUGUUGCAUCAAUUCUUUGGGGAUUUAUCUUGUUUUAUUAUUUUGCGACGCAAGAGUCCUCGAAGCAAUACAUUUGGAAUAAAACGAUUUAAUUUAUUUUUCGUUGUUAUUAACAAAAACUAUAUAUUAUUAAUUAAUCAACUCAUCGAGAUAUUGGUUUCAUUUGUAACAAGUAGCUAAUUGCUUAGUACAUUGUUGUACUUACUCAUUAUCAUAUCAAGAAGAAUUUGUAAAUAAGAACAUAGACGUGGUACGCUGUGAUGUGAUAAAUUUAAUUCAAAUCUAAAUUAAGAGAUGAUUCAUAUAUAUAUAGGUACAUACUGAAAAAAGAUAUUCAAACAUAAGCACUCCAUUUUAUGAUAUACCUAACGAUAAUCGGUUUAUUGUCCAUAGGAAAUGAAGUGAAUAGAAACAGAUGUAGAAAGACAAAAAGAUGAAAAAGCGCACAUGACUAUUUAUAAAAUAAUAAAUUAAAUUUAUAUCGUUUUUAAUAAGUGUGAGAUUAUUUACAUUUUUAAAUUUAUUUUGAAUGCUCUUAUUUUUUAUUACAAAACCUCAUAAUUCAAUUUACUAUUAAGAGCAAUUCAAUAUAAAUAAAUAGAACAAUAAUACCUUUGACACCCACCUAGAGCGCACACACCCAUGUAAAAUUAUUAAACCUUAAACCGAAGAACGUUCUUCCUCAACAUUAAAACUCGUGCAUUAUUUAAAAGUAUAUUUAACAAAUUUUCACAAAGAGACUCCAGCAAAAAUUUUCACAAAUUUUUACUCGGCUGUCAAGGAGAUUGCACUAAAUAAACAACAGCAGAAAAACAAAUAAAAAACUUGAUACACGAGUAGAAUAUACUCAUUAAAUUUUAAUUUUCGGCACAAUUAUGAGCUGCAUAUUUAUACACACACACAAAUAACUGUUCUGCAAAUAUGUACAAAUCAAUUUCAGCCAUCCAAAUUUUUUUCGAAUUUUAAUGAAUAUAAAUUUUAUAAGUUGGGCAACUAUGAAACAUAAAAUUAGCAAAAUGAUAUUAUUAACAAAUAAGGAGAGCAAAAGGUAAUUAUAUCUUGGUGUGCUAAAUAUUUUUAUGGGUGUAGUGAAAAAACUAAAGAUAAUGGAAGAAAUGUUAUUGAGGAGUAAGUGAAAAGUGAUUUCCUAAAAUCUAUUAACUAAUGCGCAAAAUAGAAGGGCAUUUUGAGAAAAUUUUAGAUUAAAAAUAGUCCCAUCCUUUUAAUAAUAUUCUUCAAUCAAUCUGUUUAUUUCAAAAUAAAAAUCCAUCUCAUUUUUACUUUCUAAUUAGUCAUAUUAAUGUGUUAAUAAUUACGAAGAACCAGUAUUAUUUGUAUGAUGUAGGAAGCCCUUUCGACACAAUAACCCAAAUUUCUAAGAGUAGCGGCUGGACUUGAUUGGGAACAACUUCGAUUCAGUUUAAAAGGUUAAUCUCAAAAUUUCGUGAUAUUGUGCCUAAAGAGCUUCCUGCAUCAGUAUAACAGUUUCUAAAUUAAUAUAAUUGUGUGUUCAUUUUUUAUGAUUUUCCUUUAAUUUGUUUUUUAGAAACUGUUGUUCUUCAAUAAUUAUUCUAACAAUGUUGCUUUAAAGUGAUGUUGAUACGGGAGUCGAUGAGUCUUUAUCUGAAACAAAAAUUUACAAAAAAAAAUAUUAAAUUAAAAAAAAAGUACAUCAAAUAUUGGGCUCCCCCAAGUUUUACAUUUGUCUUCCACAAUGAGACAAGCCCUUUUUUCAAGUGAAGACUUUUGAUGUACAAUUUGUAAAGGAAAUUUGCCCCAUAUAAUUUUCCUUGCUACAACUUGCAAGCUUAUGUAAAUCAUAUCAACUUAAAAGAUUCCAAGAUUUGGUAUUUUGGUGAUUUGAGUAUCCAAUGGUGAUGACACAUACGCAUGGAAGUCCCCUGAUUUGAGUUUGACUAAAAUAAUCUCAAUAAUUUAAAACAACACAUCAGGCCAAAGUCCUUAAGAGAUGAACUGGAUUUCAGUGCAUCACAUUCCGAAAUUGAUACUAACCUUAAUUGGGAAGGCAGAACAGCCUCUCUUUCCUACUGUUGCACAAAAUGGCAAGUCAAGCCAAUUCAAGGAACUUCCCUGUUUUUUACUGAAAAAUACAUAAUCUGAACAAUUUAUAAUCAAAUAAAUCAUUCAAAAUAUCCUUUAAUCGAACCCCCGUUUCCAUGGUUUAAUAAAAUAUCACAAAGGUGCCUAAUACAGUGGAAUUAACACUCAGCUCAUGGGAUUGCCAUUAUAUAUAUUGAAACAGAAAUUAAUACAAGAAACUGAAAAUUAGUUGACACUGGAUCACGUUGGAUCGUUAGUUGUUAAUUUUGAUGGAAAUAUAAUCUUGAUCUCUUACUUAUCAUCUAGCUAAUGCAUGUGCACUAGUUUUAAUUGUGUCUAUCACUGUAAAUAGUAGAGUUGCUUGAUUGAAUAGUAUCAUAUUACAUCACAGAAACUCGCUCAAUUUUCAUUGCCAUAUGUAUCUCAAAAGUGCAUGAACAUUGAACAUUCAGCUAACUUAUACCCAACAACAUCCAUCAGUCAGAGUGAAACCCCAAUUGAUUUCAUAAAUACAAAAUAAAUAACUCGCAAAGGCAAUCUUUGACAAUCACAAAAGCAACAACAAUUCACUCCAACAAACAACAUAACAAUUAUAUGGUCUAAAUUGCAGGUCUUUUUAUGAUUUUAAUUGAAAGAGAAAGCACGAGGGACAUAUUAUAUAUAAUUGAAUGUUAUGAUUGAUAAUUGGGCAAAAUAAUACUAAUCUAGCUAACUAGUCCAAUCAUCAUAAUAAUCUGAUUUUCAUUAUUUAAUUAUGUUCAAUCAUGUUAUUUUAAUAAAGAACACUGAACGCUUGAGUAUUUAUAUGUUCAACAACUUCGGCUAAAUUUGAAAAAAAAACGUAUUAAUUAUGAAUAUUAAUAAAUUACCCUACAAGCCACAUAUUGCAUACAUAUGCAGUUGCAACAAAUAUAUGUGUAAUAAAAAGAUCAUAUGUGCUUAGAAAAUGAAGCAUCAUUGAAUAAAUGAAAAAAAAAAGAAAGAAAAUUAAAAUCAGCGUCCAGCGAAAAGAAUCCAUCUUUACGUAUUGCCUCCAAUUUGGUACAUCUAUCGAACUUUAAAAAAAUUGCAGUAGAAAUUAGAGCUCAUUUUUUUAGAUAUGGCUCAUAUACAAUACAAGUGUCAAGAUGUAAUUAGAGUUUACAUAUAUACACGUGUCUAAUUCUAAUUGACAGACAAACUAAUCAUAAAUACUCAGGUGUUUCUAAAUGAUUGAAUAAUGAUAUUGUAGUGACUUCAUUGCUUUGUUCUCUGAUUAGAAAUAAAUCACUGUCCAAGAACCUUUGUCAAGAUCUGUUCAAGUUGCAAUUAAACCAACACCAAUCUGAGGCUUCAAUGCUGAUUCACACCUUAGCUCUAGGCUAAUGGAGAUUAAAACAGAAGAUUAAAUUGAACUAGAAGCAGCACACACUCACACAAAGAACAGGAUUUAACGUGGUUCGAUUGUGCAUAAAUGCACAAUCUACAUCCUUGGCAGAAGCCACAGAAAAAGCUUUAUUGAUGAUUCAAAAUGAAUUUUACAGAGCUAAUACAGAGGAGAUUACAAGGAACAAGAAGACUCUUUCUCUCUUUCUAAGAUCUCUGUGGAAAGCUCUCAAAAUCCUAUGCAAUUUUUUUCAACAACCAGCCUCUUUAUACCCCUGAUAUUUGAAACCCAGAUUGCACAGCUUUUGGACGCGUGUAUAACGGCUUCAUAACGAAUUUGAUUCCCUUCUCACAUGCGGUCUCACGUGCUUCACUUAAACUUGCUCAAAACGACUGAAAGUAGCGUCGUUUUUGCUUAGGUUUAGUGAAGAAGAUAGCAUGUGUGUUGCACGUGACUCGUAAAUGGAUUCGCUUACUCAAAACACAGCCGCUUCAGGGCUUCGAGUUUUGGAUUCAUUGCACUCUAGUCCACAGAUAUUAUUGGUAUUUAUAAAUUUCAAAGAGGUGAUAACAGAUGGUCUAUUAUAAACACUAAGAAGGGUCCCUAGCAUUGCCUGAACAACUUUACUUAUGGUUUCUCAUCAAAUAAUGUUACAAAAAAGAAAUAAAUAAGUUAGAAGAUUCACAGCAUAUUGGAGUGUAAUUUUUACUUGAGUGACAAUGAAUGAAGUUAUGUUAAUUUACAUUAAGUAGAAACCUUCCUAAAUAGGAAUAGAAAUACUCUAUUAAACAUAUCAAAUACUACCUUAAUAAAAAUUUAGUUGACAAAAAUUAAAAAAAAAAAAGCCUUGAAGGCUUGAAAUAAUUAACCCCAACUAAAUAAUUGUCUUACAUCACCGAUUUUUCCUUUUUUUUUUCAUUUUAAUAAGACAUCACCACACUCCUGACUUUAUAAAGUAAAGCAUAAAAUAUAAUGGAGACGUUUGAGUUUAAAAAAAUAAAGUUGGGAGAAUGACUUGUCAUGCUGUCUUUGAUCAUUGAGCACAUAAUUCUCUGAAAAAAAACUCAAUUGUAUUUGUGUUUGUUGUAGAUUCAUGUCAUUUACUAGUCCUUUGGGUUUUGUUGUAUCAAUUCUUUGGUAAAUGUUUAUCUCAUUUUCGUUUUUUUAUGAUGUGAGAUUCCUGGUUAUAUUAGGAAUCAGAGUGAAAUCUAAUCUUAAAAUUUGGAGAAAUAAAACGUAAUAUAAUUUUUAAAAUUUGGAGAAAUAAAAUGUAAUAUGAUUUUUUUACGAAUAAAACGAUUUAAUUUAUUUCUUUUCUACUAGUAAAAAUUAUUAAUUUAUUAACCCAUCAAGCUAUUGGUUUCAUUUGUAAGCUCGUCAGUCAGUUUUUUACUUUGAGUUGUUAUCUUUCAAAAGAUAUUAGAAAAAUCUUACUUUGAGUGUACUUUAUCACUUCACUGAUUAUAGGGUAUUUACAAGUUAGAAAAAUAAAUUAUUUCUGGCCAAAGACACUAGAAAUUAAAGUUCAUAUGACUUUGUAAUACUGUUUGGUAAGUGAGAAAAUUGCCGAGAAAAUACAGAGCAAAUAGAAUCUUUAAGAAGAUGUAAAUUUCUGUAUUUUAUUGAUCUAAAAAAUUAUACAAGCUCUUAUAUACAAUUGUAAGAUUCUACACACUCACAAUGGAAUAUCACGCUACUAGUAACUAACAACCUUUAUAACAAACUCAACUGAUUCAGGCUGACUCCAGAGAAUGUCGAAAGGCGUUUGGCUAAUUUUUGUAUACACACAUAACACAAAAUUAAAUUAUUUGGCAGCGUUGGCAGUGAGUCGUUUUUGGCCAUCCAUAAGUUCACAAAUGUGCAUGGACAUCUGUUGCCAACCCUUUUAUUAUUUUAUAUCUCCAAAACAUUAUUAGAGUCCCACAUUUAUCACACAUCAUUAAGUAGAAUGCGCUAAUUAGGAAGCCAGUUUCUUUGUUCUGUUUUCUUGCAUAUGUUGCAAUUUUCGAGUAUCACUGAAAAUUUUAGACCGUCAAAACCUGCAGGAAAAUUAUAUACAUAUUCUAUCAUUCAACCUCAACAAAUAAAUUCUUUUCACUGGAAUCCAACAAUCGUUAAGUGUUAACCUUGUAGUUCUCAAAAGCAGAAAUUGUUGUACUAAUUUUUUCAAAGUGUCUCUCUUAAAAGAACACUAAAGAUAGGAGAGAGUGAAAUUUUAACUGAGAUCUUGCCACAUAAGACGAUCGAUUUAAUCCGACAAAAUAUGCGUUAGGUUAAUAAGAGCCAAUACUGCCCUGAUCCUUUCUGCAUCUUUCUUCUAUCAGCGGACAAUCCUUGAUAUACAGUUGCAAGAGCGAGGUAGGCACGCUCUUGUCCAAAAAGUAUUUUGGCUUCGGACGAAUAUAAAGCCAAAGAUACACCAACGACGUGAGAUUUUGACCAAUUGAAGGCAGGCAUUCCAUGCUUUGGAAAUCAUAAAUCCACAAAAGGGUUCCUAACUCCUGUGGCGAAAUGACACCACGUCAUGAAGUCCUCCGAUUGACAGUCGUUGUAGAGAUGAGAAUCUGUUCAAUCCCCCUUCCCCCCACCCCAUCGAUGGCUUCCAAAUCUUCAUAUCAUGAAUAUAAAGUGACUGAAGGCCGCUGGGAAACAUACCAUCAUCUGCCUCAACUGGGAAGCAAUACCAUAUACGCUUGCCAGACCUCCUCUGUUUCAUUCUUGAAGACUGUGCAUGUCCUUGGGUAAGGCCUCUAGCUUAUCACACCACGUUAUCCGGAGCUUAGUCAGUUCCGCAGAAGGCAGUCCUCCUUCAGGAAAGGGUCAUUUCAAUAAAAGCACAGUACAAUUGCAUAACUAAUUUUUUGAAAACAGAGAUAUGAGAGAUUGACAAUUUACAAUUGCUUAACUGCUCAAGAAGAGAGCACGCUUGAAAUAUGAAAUACGAAAAAGAGAGUACAAAUGAAAAAUCUUAAGGAAUCAGCAGGAUUCAUAUCCGACCAACUCCACGCUGCUAAAGCAAAGGAUUAAUUUUUGAGAAAUUGUAAAGAAAUUAAUACAAGUGAAAUGAGAGCCUGUUCAUUUGAUUAUUGGCCAAGGGUGAUUUCAAUAACGUUUUCAAAGAAGAUAUAGAACAAAGAUCAAAACGAAAAAUAAGCAAUUUCAGUCGUUGAAAAAAAAAGAGCAAGCUUCACACAUGCAUGCAUGUGUCGGACCAACAGAACAUGGCUUGUGGUAAGGAUCAAUCAAAGAAAUAUAAAUUCACUGUUUUAUAAAGUAAGCAUCAAAUGUUUGACAAGUUUUAGAUUUGUAGAAUAUUGGGAAAACGGACAAAUAAUCAAUGAAGACACUGCAAGUUAAGCAGAUCAAUUAAGUUGCUGUGAGCUUAUAAGUUGCUGAUGUGUUGGGCUUAAAUGCAAGAUUCGAAGAGUUCUUGUGGCUGUGUGAAGACUGACUUCAGUUGGAGGGGUCUUAUUGUAAAUUUUAUGCUGAUGUGGCAGAGUUCGUUGAGAAUUCGUUAUGCCUUUUCCAGAAAUAUCAGAACAAAAGGCGCUGGUCUGGUGAUUAGCCCCUGAUCUGAGAUCAAUAUCUUCUUCAUUUCUUGUUCAUUUUGUUGGCAAUUUGGUUCUCUGUGAUCCUUGUAAUUUUCUCUUCGUAAUCAACCUGUAUCUCGAUUGUUAUGAUCAAUAAAAGAGCAGUUUUGUACUUGAAACAGUACUCUGUGUUCUAUUCUUGGAAUUGCUUUCGUGUUUGGUUGAUCUGGUUUGAUUCUUUCAAGUCCGAUUCAUCAAGUUCUUCACGAAUUAACUUGUGUAGCCAUUAAAGUUUCAACAGCAACAGAUUAAAUCUGUCCACAAGGCUACAUUAAUCCUAAUGGCGUGGUACCAUCUCCAUGCAACAUUACAUUAACAUUUCAUCAUCAAUCAAUUUUGAAGAUAUGAUAUUAAAAACAUUGACUUCAUAAUUUUAUGUAAUUUCAUGUAAAAGAUGUAAUUGAUUUUGAGUUAGUUUAACAUAUAAAGAAAGAGGAAUAAGGAAUGAUAUCAAUGUGGCGUGUGAUGAGUAAUGAUAGGUAGCAAAUAUUAAUCAUGUAAUAACGAAACAUGUAUUUACAAAAAAAAUAUUUGGCAAUAAAAUGAUGCUAUAAAAAUUUAAUAUUAGUUGCAAGAAAAUAAUUUGGUGAUUAAAAUUCACAGAUAUAUAUGCAAUGCUUUGAGUUUAUUUUAUCAAUUCGUUAAGCAUUUUGUAACUACAUAUUAAUUAGAUCGUCCAAAGCUGUGCAUUUUUAAAAAACAAAAAAGAAGCGCAGUCUGCUACUAAUACUGUAGCAUGUUAGCUAGUAUAUAAGCUCCUGUCUAAUUACCAAAUAAAUUCCACUUUAACGAAGAAUAAAAGCUAAUUUCAUUGUUACUGCCUGUUGUGCUUUUAUUUUAUUUUCUUUUUUCUUUUUGUUAUUGAAGUUACCUCACAAACUGCUCGGAUGCUAAUUACAAAAUUUCCUCUUACUCUAGGAUCUCUUGAAUGGUCCUGCAAUUUGUAUUCCUUUAUGUGGGAUUGGUUUUUUCUUUGAGCAAAAUUUCAAGGAUAAGAAACCUUACCCAUCGAAAACCAACUUUGAAAUUUAUUAUUAUUCAAACUUAGAAAACUGCAAAAACAAAGCGCCUUCAUAGCACCAGUUAAGCUGUGUCUUGCUACCAUGCUAGUUCUAUUUUUACUUUAUUAAAUGUAUACAAAAUUAAAUUACCUGAGCCUCUAGUUUCACUAGUUUCCAACUUGAAAUUAAAACGCUGAAUUAAUGGUAUUGGAGUUCGUUAUUUAAUUUUGCUUGAGUUCAUUGGGAAUCAGAUGGCCAUCCAUUUUUAUGUCUAUUUUAUGUACUAUUGGCCACUAAGUAGCUUGCCCAUAUAUGCGUAUUGGGAUGUCAUAGGCCUUAAAGCUGAAAAUUAAUCCCCAAUCUAAAGUGAAAAACAGUAGCUAGAACAGAUUCUAUGUUUUGAUGUCUUUGUUUAUAAGCUCAAACAAAUUAAUAGUGUAUAGAAAAUGCAUGAUAGAACCCAAAACUCAUAUUGAUUUUUAGUUUCGAAAUUCAUUUCAGAGAAUCUGUUCCGUUCAACAGAUUUAACUAAAUUAUCAACUAAACUCUAGCCAUGUACUUGCUUAUCUAUGGGUAGAGCACUAGGUCAACAAAGGAGUCCAUCUUUAAGGCCUUGUCUAAGACUGUGGUUGCCUUUUUCAUGAGCUUCUGGCUUUCCAGCUUGCUGAGCGACGUACACAUAAAGAGGUUAUCCUUCUCUUUUUUUCACUGUUUUCAUAUCACAGAAUCCAUUUUUGAAUAUAUGUAUUUAGGUACACACACACAUGAAUAUAUAUGCAUGUUUUUAUGAGGAUAUUCAAGUAUAUUAUUUGACAAUCACAAAAACAACGAUCCACUCCAAUAAAUCUCAUAACAAAUACAUGCUCUAUCUUUUUAGGACUAAUUCAAAGAGAAAAUACGAAGGACACAUAAUUGAAUUUUGUCCAUGAUAAAGAACUCUAAACAAAUUCAUAUACUUAUUGCAGUACCUGUUAAAAAUUCAUUUGUUUCUUCUUUUCCUUUGAUCAACAGCUAAAUACAGCCUUGAAAUUUCAUUUAGUUUUGGUUAAUUUUCUGCGGAGUUGUGUUGUGUGUAAUAGCUUUGUUUCACGAAAUCGGUAGGGGAAGAGAAUUUUAAAAACAUAUCAAUGUAAUGAUCAAAGAGACGAAAUCAAUACAAAUAUUGAUUGUCUCAAGUUAGAUUAUACAAAGAAGAAAGAAGCUAAUCUAGCAAUUCAAUCAUAAUAAUUUGAUUUCCAUUAUAUUAAUUAUGUGCAAUCAUGCUAUUUUAAGAAAGAACACUCGAGCAUUUAUAAAUAGUCAACUUAUGAAAUUAAUUACAGAACAAUCUUUCGCAGAGUUUGAUGAAAAGACUGUGUAUUGUGUUAUCUUGAGGUCUUAUAUCAAUUAAAGCCAGGCUGCGCUUUGGCUGACAGCGAGAUAUAUCCAAACAUAAGUGCUGCGAAUGAACUGGGAAGACGGUAGGAAGAUUAAGCUGCUGAGGAGAAGAUAUAUGCAAAAGAAAUAAAGCUAAUCUGUUUUUAUGUAACAAGCUAUGUACUCUGCUUUUAUGGUCUUUCUCUUUGCGGUUGUUAGACAAACUUGAACGUAAGUUUCUAUCUUAUGUGUGUCCUAAUCCUUUUAGAUAGCUUGAGAUUGUUGAUUUAUAUAUGACGUUUGGUAUCCAAAAUUCAGAUGAUGAUAAUCUUGGCAGUACUUUUAUAAAAUUUUCUUUUGUGUUGGUGUUGACUUAAUAAAAUAUUACAAAGGUGCCUAAUAUAGUGAAAUUAACAUUGAGCUCAUGAGAUUGCCGUUAGAUAUAUUGAAAAAGAAAUUAAUGCAAGAAACUGAAAAUUAAUUGAUACUGGAUCAGGUUGGAUAGUUAGUUGUUAAUUAUUGUUAAGUGUGAACCAGAAUUCAGUGUGCAGGGCAAACAACAAUGUCGACCAUCAGACUUGGCAGAAGACUACAUGUCCAAUAAAAGCUUAUCAGGGCUGUACGACAACCUUCCCAUGUCAAUCAGAAUUCGUUAAGUAAUGCACGUGUGUAACACGUGAUCUCCUAAUAACAUAUUAACUGAAACGGCAACUUACUACUGUCGUUUUGGGAUUUAUAUGUUACGCACACGCUCAGCACAUGGGGGAUUGGUUAACAGUUAAAAGAAGCGGGAAAAUUCUGGGGUUAACUACUUAACUGUAACAAACCCAGAAUGAUUUGCAGGCUUCUGAGAUAGGUUUCUAGGAGCUUCAAAGCUUGUAUAAAAAGGGUCCUGAUGACUGAAGUUGAGAGUGGUUUUUUCCUUGUAAUCUCUGAAAAGGCUUGAGCCUUGUUUCCUGCAUUAAUAAAUAAUCAUAGCCCUGUUUCUCAAAGAGGAUGUAGGCUGUAAUGGCUGAACCUCUAUAAAUCCUUUCUGUGUUUUUUCUUUCUCUGUUGUGUGUUUCUAUUCUUGUUUUAGAUUGUAUUGAUUCCUAAUAAAACUGUUAAUCAUUCUUCAUACUGAAUUUUAUUAAAUCUCUUCUUCUCUUUUGAAUAAAAUUUCUUUAAAAUUCAAUUCAUAAAAAAGAAAAUCUCCUUAUAAUUUAAUAUGUUUCAGUUGUCUCAGUGGAAUGAUGCUAUUUGUUUCAAUCAAAGUUUUGAAGCAUCCUAAAAUUUUGAGAUCCAAAUGAAAAUAAAUUAAUUUAAUUCGUGGUGUACUCUAAAUUUUCAGCUAUAAAAAAAUAGCGAAAUUGAAGUGCACUUGGGCAAGAAGAAACAGAGACUGCGAUUAUACAAUUUCAGUGUUUGACUCUAUCGGCAAAAAAAGAAAAUAAAAAAGAACUCCCAUUGUUCCAUUGUUUUUCCCAUAAAUAAUAAUAUACAGAGAAUUUUGUUUAACGAGAGAUAUAAUAGGUAUUUAGGUGAGUUUAUAGCGUAAAUUUUAAAAUUUUAAAAUUUAAUAAUGGAUUUAAUAAGUAAUUGGGUUCAAAUAGUAUUUUAGUGGUUUUAAAUAGCCCCACCCUUUUUAUUUUUAAAAAAGAUUUAAUUACAAAAAUAUUACUUCCAAUCGACAGCAUUUUAUAUUUUAUUUUAUUAAAUAUUAUUUUAUUUUUGAAUUACUAAUAAUGCACAAAACGGCAUCAUUUAUUGAUAUUUUUAAAUUGUUUAAGAUUUGUUUAAUUAGAAAAUUUCCAUUGUUGAUAUUUAAAUAAUUUUAAAAAAUAAAAUAAUAAAAUUGGUGUCGUUUAGUUUUGUUAAAUAUACUAAGGGCUCGUUUGGUAUGCCGGAUUGGAUUGGAUCAGAUUGGAUAAGAUAAAAUUGGAUUGGAUAAUAAUGGAUUAUAUAUAAUACUAUAUUGGGUUUGGUCCAAUUUUAGAUUGAACUAUAAAUAAUCAUCUCUUAUAUUAUAAUAUUAUAAUUUACAAGUUAUUAUUAUUAUUAUUAAUAAUAUAAACUAAAAUUUUGUAUUAUUAAUUAUACAAAUCAACCUCAAUGAUAUUAAUGAAAUAUAAAUCAUAAUUUAAAUAAUUUUUAUUUUUUUAAAUAUAUUUAUGAUAUUUUUAUUAUUUUUAUUCAAUAAUCUAUUAUUUUAUAAAAAUUUAUAUUUGUGAAUAUUAAUUUAAUAAUAAUUUAUAAUGUAAAUUUGAAAUUAUAAAAAUAUUUAAUAAAUAAAUAAAUAAAAAUAAAAUUUUCAUUCAAUGUGAAAUUAAUAAUGAUUUUUAGUAUAAUUUAUUAUUAAAAUUAUUAAAAUCACUAUUUUUUAUUACAUUUAUCACAUAUUACUAUAAUUUUAAUAUUUAUAAAUUAUUAUGUUUAAUUGAAUUAUUAAUAUAAUCUAAUACUAACUAAUCCCAUAGCCCCCUUGAAAUAAUUUCUUUUACAAAAUUGAAAUUAGCUUUGGGGCUCACGAUAAAUAAAUUCUAAUACUUUUGACAGAACUAAAUAUAGGAAUAGGAUAAAAUUUUAACAAAGAGUUUAAUCUCCACUUUUAAUCCUCCUCCAACCAAACAUGCCCUAAGCUAACGGAUCAUGGCAAAUUUGUAGUAAGUGAUGAACGAUUUGAUAAGCUCUACUCCAUCAGUUCCUUAAUUGAGAAAAUUCCCAAGCCCGUGCAGCCUCACAAUUGAUAGAGACCCGAAGCCACCAAACUCGACAAUCAUCACUCAACGUCGUUGCAGGCUACCGGUCGCUCAACAAGCACCAGUUCCUCACUCUACAGCCAUCACUCAAGCGCUGCCAUUUCCUGUUAAUUAUUCGCUCGAAUUAGGGUUCUGAUAUUUGGGGAUUUUUUUCUUAAUUGUGGAAUUAUGAAGUAAUGAUGAUGACGACGAAGAUGUGGUGGUUGACGACGGCAAAGGCAACGUUGAAUAUUGAGGCACUGGAGAAACAAGCAUUGGCUAUUAUCUUGGUCGAUUUGCCUCGAAUUGAUCACUAAAAAUGGGGAUAUCGUGGGCCGAGCUUCAACGCAGUCGCAAAUUUCAUUUGGAUAACUGAAUUUUAUUUUAUUUUUGUGUUUAAUUUGUUUAAAGUUUAAUUGUUUAGAUCUAGGCUAAAUUUUAAUGAUCAUUUUUAUGAUUAAAUGACAUGAGUAUGCUUAAGUUUUUUUCCUUCAAAUUGAUUUUCUGAUGUUACAUUUUGUUAGCAAAAAGUUAAAAAAUAGUAGAAACUGUCAGAAUUUUUGUUAUGAAGAUGUUGUUUUAGUUUGAUAUUGGGAAAAUAUCAUUAUACAUAUUGCCAUCAUAUUCAUGGGAGACCAAAAUGGGAAUGAUGGCAGGCUAUGCAUUGCUCACAACUAAUUUAAAACUCACUAUUUCUGUUUUUGGUGUUUUAGUAAUUCUGGGGGCAUUCCAACUAUAAUUAAUAAGCUAUAAACUUGUUUAGUAAUUACUAAUCAACUUGCUAGAAAGAGUCACAAACUAAUUAGCUUUCUCUUGUAAUUUUUACAGAUCAUCAGUGGAUAAGAACUACAAGGAGUUGAAGACUUAAAGAUAAGAACUACAAGGAGUUGAAGACUUUAAACCCUAAACUUCAUAUCUUGAUUUACAAGUGCAAUGGGGUUUCACCCCAAUUAUGGGCUAGAGAUGUACUCUUUCUGUUCUUGGUGCUUCCCAACCCCCCCCCCCCCCCCCCCGCCCCCCCAAAGUCAUUUUUUGUUCUCUACUCCAUUGUAAAUUUGUAUUCAAAAGUCUUUUUCUUUGUCUUUAGUUUUUAAAUUUAUGGAGAUGAUCUUAUGAGGUCUUAAAUAAAUAGUUGUAGAGCUUUACUAAAACUAUGUACAAUCUUAUUGAGAUUUGGGUGUGAUUUUGUAAGAUUGCUAAAAAAUUCAUAUUUGGUAUUUGUUUUAUUUUCCUAGUCGAAUUUCUUGCUUGUAGAAGAUAAAAGAAAAGUGCAAUUUCAUGUUGCAAUAAUUUUUUUUCCUUCCCUCUUUUUCUUCCCAUAUAGUCUGGCUCUGGAUUUGGUGCAGUUGAUGGUUUUAAUACAGUGAACCAAUUUCGUCAGAAUCAUCUUAAAGGAUUAAAGUGGCUUCCUUUUGCAACUGGGUAAGUCAAUGUUACUUCCUGAAUUCAGUUUGGAGUUCUUUCGGAAUAGAUUUCCUUCCCUUACAUUACUUAGCUUCUAGUUGCAUCUUCUUGGUCUUCUCCAGCUGACUUUCCUAUUGGCAAAUUCCUUCGCUUCUAUUGUUUUCAGGUGCCAGUGCUGGAUUUGGAGGUAUGAAUCAUGCCUUCAUUUUUACUUUUUAUGAUUAUUUUUUUAAGGUGUAUGGUACUGUAAUAUAGUUCUUUGUAUAGCUAGUACAAAAUAGUUCUUUAACUUCUUACGUUCGGCUAUAAUGGUCUUGACAUAUGAUAGGGCAGCUCUAUCACCAAUUGACGUGGAAUGAGAAAUAGGAGACAAAUGGGAUUAGAAAAAUAAGAAACGUGACAAAAAUAAAAAUCUAAUCUACUCAUAUAAGCAACUCAUCAAAUAAGUGUAUCACAUACUUAAGUGAAUAACAAUCUGUAAUUUCCACGAAUCAAAGUAAAAUUAUAAUAUUCUUUAAAUAAGACUCAUAAGCUUGUUAGGUGUUAUAUUGAAUCAUCUAAGUUGAAUAAUCUUUUGGGUCGAAUAUUUAAUUUCUUAUUCCAUACGUUUCAGUCUCUCAAUAGUUGAAUUAGCAAUGAAAAUUUGAAAAUGGAAAAAUCCAAUGCAAUUAUUUUAGCUGCUUAUCAUAGAUAAGAAUUUCAAAUUUGACACUUUAUUGUCUGUUGUCAAAUUCAUAAAGUAUGAACCUGCAUUAGCUUAGUUCUCUAAUAUUUAUAAAUAAGUAAUACUUGAAUUAAGAUGAAAGAAAAUUGAAAAGUAGAGUUGCUUGAUUGAAUAGCGUCAUAUUUUACAUCACAGAAACUCAAUUUUCAUUGCCAUACGUAGCUCAAAAGUGCAUGAACAUUUAAAAUUCAGCUAACUUAUACUAAUUAAUUAAUACGAGUCUCAGUUCUUACUUCUUAGUACUUGGCAACAUCCAUCCAUAAGAGUGAAACUCCUAUUGAUUUCAUAUAUACAAAAUAAAUAACUUACAAAGGCAAUAUAUACAAUCACGACAAAAACACCAAUUCACUCCAAUAAACAACAUAGCAAAUAUAUGGUCUAUAUUGCAAGUCUUUUUACUAUUUUAAUUAAAAGAGAAAAUACGAAGGACAUAUUAUAUAUAAUUGAAUAUUAUCCUUGAUAAUUAGACAAAAUAACACUAAUCUAGCUAACUAAUCCAGUCAUCAUAAUAAUCCGAUUUCCUUUAUUUAAUUAUGUCCAUUGAUGCUAUUUUAAUAAAGAAUACUGAACACUUAAGUAUUUAUAUGCUCAACAACUUCGGCCACGUUUGAAAAGAUCAUAUUAAUUAUUAAUAUAAAGAAAAUAACCCUACAAGGUACAUAUUACAUAUGCAUGUAGUUGCAAUAAAUACAUAAUAAUAAAGAUUGUAAAAGUUCAGGGCCAUUAAUUCAACAAUUACUAAACCAAUAUCCCAAUAAUUGUUUGAUUACUAAUCUUAGCAUUAAAAGAUCUGCAAACUUUAUUCGGCCAAAACAAAUGCUUCCUUAUUGCUUCCUUGAUCUUAUCCUGCCUGGUGAUUCCUGAAUGUCCUUCCCAUUCUGAUAUGCUGAGUUGUUUGCUGAUUAUAAAUACAAAUCACCUUAAAUUUUCUUAGUCUUGUUCUUCAUGCGAAAUUCUACUUAAUGGCUUAGUUGGUUUAAAUUCUUCUUUUUUCUUUGAAUUGUUGAUUUGUAAUGUUCUUCUCGCUCUCACAUGUGGCAUUCUGCACUCUUCCAAUGCUAUUUCUUGUUAUGGCAGCAGAAUUCUAGAUUUUCUCCCAGUUUCUUUUGUAAAGACUUCUAAAGAAGCAUCCAGAUACUGAGAUACAAUCCAAUCUAAACCCAUACAUAUAUACACCUCACCUUCCCCCAUUUCCCCAGAAAAUCAACAAACAGUUUGCUUGAAAACAAACACUCUAAAAAAACUAUCUAGCCACCCAGAUAGCCAAAUCAAGAAUUCUUGCAAUGGCAAUGUCAUUUCUUGUUAGGGCGGCAACAUUGAAGAUCAUGGCAUCACAAGUGAAUGCUCUGAUGCCGUACACAAGAUCACCUCUCUUUGACAUAAUGCUCCCUAUGACAGAAGAUCCUUUCAAGGUUCUUGAACAAAAGCUCUCUAACAAUUCCUAAAGGAGGUCAUCAUCAAACUCUGGCCCUGGCGAGAGCAGACUGGAAGGAGACACGAACAGCACACGUGAUCACACUCGACAUUCCAAGGAUGAAGGAAAAUGAUGUGAAGAUUGAAGUUGAAGAGAACAGGGUACUGAGAGUGAGUGGGAGAGGAAGAGUGAUGAUUAUUAUAAGGAGGGAGUUGAAGGAGAGAAAUGGCACUGAGCUGAGAGGACAAGUGGCACGUUUUGGAUGCAGUUUAGGAUGCCAAUGAGUGCUGAUUUGGAACAUGUUAAAGCUCUUUUGGAAAAUGGAGUUCUGAGGAUCACAGUACCAAAGCUUGCUGAGGAGAAGAAGAGCCGGCCUAAGGUUAUUAGCAUUAGUGGAUUCUUUUGGUGAAGAUAUUAAAGCCACCAAGGCUCAAAUGUAAUUAAUCAACGAAAGUAAGUGUUUGGCUUGGUUUUGUGGUUCUCUUUGGAUGUUUUGUUUAUGUUUUUAUGGGUUUUUGACGAUGGCUCACAGGUAUUAGCACCAAUAAGUGCUUUUUAUAAAUCCUGGUCCUAGAUUUGUAAAAAAAAGUUAAUGCGCUUGGUUUAUUGUUAAUUAAAAAAAAAAAGUCCUUUCCUUUGGCAUUUAUCAUGCAUUUGAAAAAAAAAUUAUUCCACUGUAAUUCAUAAAGAUAUAUUUUUCCCCGGUUCCCCGGUUACAUUAAAGUGUUGAUACGAAUAUCCGUUGUGAUUAUAAAAAAUUUAAUCAAUCCGAAUAUUCAAUAAGUGGUAAAUGGCACAAAAACAAUUAAGUCACGAACUUGCAUAUAGUGCAUUAAAUUGAAGAGCAUAAAGAAUUUUGUAAUGCAGUCCAGCAAUCAAAAACCAUUUUACAACACCAUUAAAAAAUCAUUGCAGCACUAUUGCUGAUGAGGCAGCUGGUAAUUCCUCUGGUGAAGAUAUUAAGGCCGCUGAAGCUGAAAUGUAAUUAGUGUCGUCAGAAGAUUAUGUAAUAAAGUGCUUUAGAUUAAUCUUGGUUGGAUUACUAUUCAUUAACCAUAUUUAAUUUAUGUGAUCAAUCGGUAUUUGCUAGCAUCAUUGUUAUACAACAACAUAUUAAUUAACUACUGAACUCUGCCAGCGAAUUAAUGAGCAAAUCCUCCUCAAAUUAUGCAUGUAUACGAUCAAAAUAAUUUCAAUUUCACCAUAUACGCGCGUGUGUAUACAUAUAUAAUACUUAAUAAUCACCAAACCAACAAUUCCCAAGUUAGAUUAUACAUAGACGAAUAAAUAAUGCUAAUCUAGCAAGUCCAAUCAUAGUAAUUUGAUUACCAAAUAUUAACCAUGUCCAAUCAUAUUCUUAAAUAAUCGCCGAACUAACAAUUUGCAAGUUAGAUUAUACAUGGAAGAAUAAAUAAUGCUAAUCUAGCAAGUCCAAUGGUAAAAAUUUGAUUUUCAUUAUAUUAACCGUGUCCAAUCAUGCUAUUUUAAUAAAGAACACUUGAAUAAUAUUUUCAUGUCCAGCAGGUAAAAUUUCAAAACAAUUUUUGCCAAAGUCCUCCUCGGCUAAAUUAAUUUAUGCAUUAAUAAAGUCCUCCUCUUCUAAAUAAUACAAAACCUGUUACGUUAUUCUACCAUUUUUUUUUUUUAAAAAAGCAUUCUACUAUUUAAUAAAAGAAUUCGAAAACUGGUUCUAGACAUACACCGAACCAUAUUAAUUUAAAACAGUUUUCAACUGAGAUUUGAAAUUACACACACAAACACACCGAGUCCUUUAUAUAAAGUGCUUUUAAUAAAUUAUGGUCGGUUUACUAUUAAUUAAUCAAAUUUAAUUUACUCAAAUUACUCUUGUACACGAUCAAAAUAAUAUCAAUUCUAUGAUAUAUAUAUACGUGCACAUACAUACAAAAUGUAAAUAACUUUCAAAUAUAAAAUAUUUAAAAUAGACGAAAUAACUUUCAAAUGUUUAUUGUAUUUUGAUGGGUUUUUGAGGAUGGUUGUAUGUAUUAGCAACAACAAGGUGCUUUUUAUAAAUCCGGGUCCUAAUUUUGUAAAAGAAAUUAAUACUCUCGGUUUAUUGUUAAUAAAAAAGAAAAAAGAAAAAGCAUUUUUCUGUGGCAUAUAUUAAGCAUUUUAAGAAAAAAAAAUUACAUUCCAAUUCAUGAAAGACAUUCCUUCUGUCAUAUUGAUGUGUUAAUAGAAAGAUCUAUGUGAAUUAUAACAAUUUUGAUGAAUCUAAAUAUUUAAUAACUGAUAAAUUAUAUUUAUAAAUAUUAAUACCGGUGGCACAUAAGCACUUAAUUCAAGAACUCGCCUAUAGUGCAUUAAUUUAAAGAGUAGAAAUAUUUAAUAAAUCAUGCCUGGUUUACUAUUAAUUAAUAAAAUUUAAUUUACUCAAAUUACUCCUCUACAUGAUCAAAGUAAUUUCAAAUAUACAACACACAAAAUGUAAAUGACUUUGAAAUAUAAAAUAUUUAAAAUAAUCACCCCACUAACAAUUCACCACAAAGAUUAUAAAUAGUCGAAAUAAUGAUAAUCUAAGGGGUCCGGUCAUAAUAAUUUGAUUUUUAUUUAUAUUAAUUAUAUAAAAAAGAGUACUCGAGAUUAUAUAUAUCCAACAGCUAAAAUUUCAAAACAAUAUUUGCCAAAGUCUGAUGAAGAGAAUACAUAUAUAUAACAUGCACUCGCACACAUUCUAUUGUUUAAUUAAAAAAUUCGAAAGCCCAUUAUAUACAUGAUAAAGACUUACCGACACCGAACCAUAUUCAUUUAAAGGAAUUGUUUUCAACUGAGAUUUGAAAUUAUUUACACAAACACACCCGAUUUUUUCUUUUUUAAAAAAAUUACUAAUAAUAAACUAUUUCAGUCGUCCUCUGUUCGGCUGUCAAAAACCCAUUUAAGAUCGAUUUGAACAGAAGGUAUAUGGGUUAACAAUCCUCCAUCCUUUUUGCACUUCUCUUCCAUCAACGGACAGCGAUAGAUACUUAAUUGCAAAAGUGAGGAAGGCAGGCCCUUCUCCGGAAAGUAUUUGAGCUUGGGACAAUCCACGAGAUUUAAGUGGGUGAGGUUUUGAAGAUCAACAAUUGAAGAAGAUAGGCGUUCCAGAUUUGGAAAAUCUACAAUCCUCAGAGAUGUUAGAGAGGCAGGAAGAGGAAGCGCGGUCCCUAAUCUUUUGUCCUCUAGUGGAAAUGACACCAUGUCGUCAUCACAUCCUUCGAUUGUAAGAUGUCGCAGAGAAGAGAAUCUAUGAAAUCCCCGACCCCGCUCAAUCAUUGACUUCCAAAUCUCCAUAUUACCCCAAAUAUGAAGUGAAUGAAGGUUGGUGGGAAGGCCAUCUUCUUCAAGGCUUGGAAGCUCACCUCCUAUUGUUAAUUGUUGAAGAGAGGUCAGAUUGUGCAAUCCCUUGGGUAAGGCCUCCAGUCUCUCACACCCAUAGAUCCUGAGCUUACUCAGUUUCGCACAAGGCAAUCCCCCUUCGGGAAAGGACACCAGAUUUUCACAUUCCCAUAUUUCGAUCUCUUGAAGCUGGCCGAGAUUAUGUAAACCACUCGGUAAAAUUUUCAGAUUUUCACACCCAGAAAUAUUGAUUGUUUCAAGAGAUGUGUUGUUGUCCAACCUUUCUGCUAUUGACUCCAGCUUUGGACAAUACCAAACAAAAAGGGACUUAAGAGACGGAGGUAGACUGCCAACUUCAAGGGACUCAAGCGUGGCAGGUAACUCGUUUUUUGAAAAUAUACAUGUCAGUGAUGGACAAUCCCUAAUUUCUAACUUCUCAAGAAGAGAUGAGGUGUACCUUCUAUUGCUGCUGCUGCUGCUGCUACUCUGGAUGCCCUCUUCCACUGUCAAAGUCCUUAUAUUAUCACAACUAAGGAUGUCCAACCUCUUAAGGCUCCGUGGUAGCUGGACUCCAGCAAGAUAUGUCAACGUACGACAAUGCUCAAUAUACAAGGUCUCGAGAGAUGAAUUGGUGUCGCACAUCCAUGCCUCUGGUAAUGAUUUCAGUGUGUCACAACCUUCAAUCUCAAUUAUCUUCAACUUGGAAGGCAGAGCAACCUCAGGAAAGGAAACAAGGGAACUGCACUUGUAGAUUUCUAUCUCUCUCAAGGAACUGAGGCUGAGAGAUGAUUGUGGCAGCUUCACAAGGCCUUCGCAAUAACUCAAUCUUAGAUAUUCGAGUCUGCAUGACAACUCGCAGAGCUGCUGUUGUUGGUCUUUCUCUUCCUCCGCCACCAAGGAUUGAAGUUUGGGACAGCUUGUAAUCGUCAGUCUUCUGAGAGAGCAAAUGUCUUGCAGUAAUUCGUUAUGACUCUUCCAAAUAUAUGUCUGCUCUUUCAUAUCAUUUAUCUUCAAUUCUUCCAAUUUUGGCAGUCGCGGCUUUAAUGGCCCUGCGAGAAACAGUUGAUUUGAUGUAUCUCUACAAACCACUGAAUUCUGUGAGCCGAGAUGAUCAGCUGCACUUCUCCACACAACCUUUUUACAUCCACCAAUUUCAAAUUUGCAAAGAGCUGGAAGACUUGUAACUGAAACUGACAAUUCUUCACAUCCUUUAAUAACAAGCUUCUCCAAUGCAGGAAGGUGCUCUGGAAGUGUUCCUUGCAGUUUAGAACAUCUUAAAAUGUGAAGCUCUCUCAAUUUAGGAAACCCUUCAACUCCUUGACCGGAUCCAUGAGGAAUCCAGUCUUCCCAUUCUUCCAUGUCUUCAAAACAAAGAGUCUCCAAGCAUGGAAAAGGAAUUGAAGCAACCUUCCCAUAGAACUCUGGAUCAAAUCUCCUUACGCUGCUCAUUCCACAUACUACAAGAUGCUUUAGAGAGGGUAGUUGCCCGACCGACGGCAGGGCAGUACACAUGCUACAAUAUUCAAAUUUAAGUGUUACUAAAUUUGACAAUGAGGAAUUUCCUAACCAAGUUGAAAAAUUUGUGCCUCCAUAGCCGCUGAUACAAAAUUGUUCCAGAUUUUUAUGGGGUUUUAGCAUGUCAAGCACGCCCUCUUCAGCUUCUGCCUCCCUUGAAGAUGAACCAUUAGUAUUGCGAGUCCAUCGAAGCCAUAAUUCUUUAAGAUUCUCCUUUCUAUCCAAUUGAGCGUCCUCGGCAUCAAUAAUGUGUUUUACAUUCUCCAAAUUUGAAAUGCAAAGUGUCCCCCCAAGUUGCGUCAAGGACUUUAGCUCUCGUAACCGGGAACCACUGUCUUUUCCCACAACAAAAUUACACAACGUCUGAAGACAAGUCAGCCUACCAAUUCCGACUGGCAUUUCCUCCAACGAAGAUGUAUUUGAAUUAUUGAGAUGAUGCAAUUUGAUGAGGUUUCCCAUGGCUGCACACAACUUCUUUAGUCGCCAACAGCCCUCCAACAGAAGGGUGUGCAAAUUGUAAAGCUUGUUGACUGAUUCAGGCAGAGUUCUAAUCUCAGUUCCAGAUAGGUUAAGGUACCUUAAAUACCUCAAAUCACCAACUGAAUCCGGCAGCUUGGGGAUGAAAUAUCCACACAGAGAGAAGACCCUCAAUCGUUGGAGUUUGAACAACUUAGGAAGAAUGCUAAGAGCAAAGUAUCCACGCGACCUAUUUGACCGCCUUACUGGUAGAAAAGUUCGCAAAUGCUGGAUAUUGUACAAGUCUUCAAACCUUUUACCGCCUUCAUAAUAUUCAGGAAUGUAUGACAGAUGACGAAGAUUUCUGGAAAAACUUUGUUGCUUGUUAACCUCCGAGGCACACUCCAUUGUGAAGUAUAUCUUGCCCGCAGCCCAUUGAGCAAGGUCAUUGACGAGGUCGUGCAUCACAAAUCGUGAUAUACCGUUGCUUGAUUGCUGGAAAAAAGAUCUUGCACGUAGCUCUUGAAAGAACCUUCGACCUAGAUCUUCACUUGGAUUCCCGCUCUCUCCGUGAUCCAAGAAACCCACAGCACUCCAUAAUAAAAUUAUCUCCUCCUCUUCGAAUUCAUAAUCCUUUGGAAACAAUGAGCAGUAUGCAAAGCACUGUUUCAAAGGUGCCGAGAGAUAAUAGUAGCUCACUCUAAGCGCCGGUAUAAUGUCACAUCUCUCUUCUGGUAAAUCCCAUAUGUUGCAACUGAGCACACCUUCCCAAUCACUUCGGUCACAUUUACCACGUAAAAGUCCACCAAGUGUUUUCGCAGCUAAGGGCAAGCCGUUGCAUUUGAUCACUAUCUUCUUGCCAAUUUCCUCCAAUGACUUGUUUGAACUGAAAUCUCUUGUCCCCAAAGAGUGUUGAGCGAACACGGACAGACAAUCAUCAAAUGACAACUUUUUCAAUUCAUAAGCUGGAGCAGUUCCCAUGAUGGCUGCAACCUCUUGAUUACGAGUUGUGACAAUAAUCUUACUUCCCGGUGCGCCAGCUUCAAACGGACGGCUCAUGUCAACCCAAUCAUUGUAUUUCUCAUUCCAAACGUCGUCUAAAACAAGCAAAAAUUUCUUUUGAGAUAACUUCUUCUUCAGCUCCUCUUGAAGCAAAUUUAAAUCACUGUCAUCAAUAGUCUGCUUAGUAACGGAUCUUAGAAUUGUUUUUGUUAGCCUCUUAACGUCGAAAUCGUCAGAGACACAAGUCCAUGCCUUGAGAUCAAAAUGAUCCUGCACUCGCUUAUCAUUGUAGACAAGCUGAGCAAGAGUAGUUUUGCCCAUCCCGCCCAUACCUAUAAUAGGAAUAACAGAGAAUCCACCAUCGUUGCUUAAAUCAUCCCUCAACAGCAGUUCAACAACAUCCUUCUUUUCUGUUUCCCUGCCAUAUACUUUGGCUUCAGUCACUAAAGAGGUUGUCUCUAGCCUUUGACUGGCUUUUUUGGACCCUCCAGCUGAACUUUCUUUCAAAUCUAGCAAGUUUUUCUGUGUCACAAUUUCUUGAAAUCUGCUGUUGAUCUCUUUAAUUUUGGACAUCAAGCCAUAAUCGAACUGAAUCGAUUGUGGAGUAAAAGUGGUGCAGCAAGCAGGAAUGAGCUUCCGAAACUUACUUGUUCUUGUACGACUGCUACUGGGUUGAUCAUGAGCAGCAGCUGGUUCUCCAUUUCCAAGCAGCAACAUCCUCCGGAAAGCCUCAGUUUGAAACUCAUCCAACAAGUCUUCAACAUCAUAAGCCAAGUUCUGAAGCUUGCCAAGCCACUUCUUCACAGACCGAUUAGUCGUCUUCUUCUCCUCAGCAUCAUCAAGCACCGCCUUGAUCAUCUCCAACAUAUUCUCCCACUUCAUUAGAUCGUCUUGGAUCUUCUCUUGGCGUGCAAAAAACAGAAUCCCCUCUGAAGCUAACUUAUUGACCAGCAAAUCAACGGACGCCGUAAGGAUUGCCUCUCCGAUGAUCGACAUUUUUUUUCUUUUUUGGGGGCAAAGGAAGAAAGGAGCAGAAUUAUGGGUUAUGGAAAGCAGAAUGAGAAAAUUGAACGGGUGAGAAAAUGGAUAAUUAAGCAGAAUGAGUUUGUGAUUGUGAAGGGUCUGGCCCAGCUAGAAAUCACGCGUUUACACUUUAUUGACCAAUGACUAAUAAUUUGGCAAUUCACCCAUCACACCACCACUUGGUGAGCAAAAUGAAAAUGCUUAGUAAUUAAGUGUCAAGGGUCACGCAAAAUACGACGUAAAACGUGGCAAGUCUCCCCACUUGUUGUUCCUUGCAGCUAAGAAAAGAAAAAACAGAGCCGUAAUUAAUGACAGAAUUUUAAAAAUAAUAAUAAGAGAAAAACCUACACAUUUUCGACUUAGAGUGGAACCGUAAUUAAUGCUAAAAUUUACUCAGCUAACUUUUUCAAAAUAUUGUUCUUUAUAAUUUUCAAAAUCCUAAUUAAGGUUCAUCUCAAAUGUUUGAAGAGUCUAUCAAUUCUUCUAAGUUAAGAAUAUCAAAAUUUUUACUUUUUCUUCAAACGUUGAAUAAUGAAAAAAAAAAUGUUGAAUAUGGAGGAAAAUAGAAUGCAUCCAUAUUUGCUGUAGAAGUCUUCUACUUAUACAAACAAGUUAGAAUAAACGAUUCUAAUCUCUCUUUUUAUUCCUGUACAUUUUUUUUAAUCUCAAUGCGAAUCGUAUCAUAAUGUUAUAUUCCUAUUGUAAAACGAAAUUUUAGAUAAAACAAAUUCGACUCAUUUGUUAAAAGUAUAUAUUUAGUAGGUUAAUAACAUAUCUAAUAAAACGUGAUUACUACACUAAAUGAAAUAAAUGACAGUACUACCACCCAUUAAUAAUUUAGCAAGUUUCCCAUGCUCGUGUUUCCGGAAACAUUAAUCAAUUAGUGAAGCAAACAUGUAAUGAUUUGUAAAGAUCCCUAGCAUCACAUUAUUGGGAGGUAUUGCGCUUAGUAUUGACAAUUUUUGUAAGAUGAAUUUGUAAGACUUAUUAAUUUCGAUGAAAAUGUAUCGUUAUUAAGCUAUUAUUUAAUUCAUUAAGUUAACUUGAGGUAUUAAUAUUCACUAAUUGUGGUGCUGAUUAAUUUACUUAACUUGUCAUUAUUUGUAAUUAAGAAUGAGGUUCAAUCAAUUUAUUGGGGAAAAAAAACAAAGAUAGUGUUUUUUUUUAGAUUUUAAUUUUUAGGAUUUGAUUUCUCUCUCUUUCGCUUUUUGAUGUUGCUAAAGAGGCAAUAAAAAACUUGUUGAAUGUCAUCAAAUACUUGUAUCUCAUCUCACAAAUUGGCAAUAUUUGUUUGGUAUUUCAUCUUAACGGGACGCCGUAAGGAUUGCCUCUCCGAUGAUUGACAUUUUUGUUUCUUUUUUCCCGCACAGAAAGAAACAGAAUUUUUAGUUUUAAAGCAAAAUGAGAAAAUUGAGCAGUAAGUGUGAAGGGUCAAGCAAAAUGCAUGUAUCAAGUCUUCCGCUUGUUUAUUCCAGUAAAGUGAAAAUAAAAACAGAGCCCACCACCCGUUGAUAAUUGGAAAAUGAUAAAUGAACGAAAGCGCGACGAAGGAACGACAUAAAACGCGUUCCCUCAUCAAAAUUUUCUUUUGUGGGACUUAUUAUAAAUAAUAAAAUAUUUUUUAUGUGACUGACUAUAAAUAGUAAAAUAAGGAAGGAAAAGAACAUAUAGACUCCCAACGUUUGGAUAAGGGACACAAAAUCCCUUAAUGUUUCAAAAAAAUAUUUAGACCCCCAUUUGUUAAUAGAAACCAUUUCUUUUAACAAAAAUUAUAAUUUUAAGGUGCAAUUACCAUUAUACCCUUAUAGCAUACUAAAAAAUAAUUGUUCAUUGUGCAAUUUAUCCCUAUAUUAUUAAUAAAAUUACGAAUAUACCUUCAUUACCCAAUUUUUCCAUUUAAUUUUUUGUCAAAUUUUCUCUUCAAACUAAAUAAAUUUAAUCCAUUGCUCAAGAAUAAAAAUAAAUAAAAUUACUUAUUAAUGUCAUAAGAAUAACAAUUUUCCAUAUGUCAAUCAUUUAAACUUGUAUAAUCCACAAAAUAAAAAAAAAUUGGUUACAACAAUAAUUACAAAAUCUUAAUUGUACUAAAUAACAUAUCCAAUAGACAUAAAAACCAUCAAUCUAGUAAACAUAACAAAAAAUCCUUGUAUUAUAAUAUUGUAUCAAAUUAGUAUUGGUAAACAUUACAACAUAAUAUUUUUUGAAAAAAAAAAACAUAAUUUGUUCACAAAUAAAAUAAAAAAAACAUAACCACUCCCUCGUCAUCCCAAUUUAAUCCCAUUUCAUCAUCAACAGUUGUUAUGUCUUCAUUGUCAUCAUUUGACCAAUAUGCUUCAUCAUCUUCUUGUUCAAAAAAAUAAAGUGAGUUAGUAUUCAGGUUUUGGGACGACUAAUCAACCUCAGCUUGAAAUGAUUCUUGUUGGGCUGUCUUUGUAGUAUUAUAUGAAAGCAUGCCAUUAUUUGUUACCAUCUGCAAACCAGUACAUUCUUUUCAUUAAUAAAUUAAGCACAAAAUUCACAUGCUCCAGGACCAUUAAAAAAAAUGCAUAAUAUCUCACCUAGGUAGAAUUCUAACCCAACUGGUUAGAUAUAACAAAAUAAAAUUGAUUCAUUUAUUCCAUGCACAUCUAAAAUUGAUAAAGCAAAGAAAUAACAAAAGUAAUUACCAAGAAAUCUCCAAUAAACCGGACAAAUUAAGAACUAUAUUCAUCAAACAACCAUAAACCAAAAAAAAAUUCUCGUAAUCAUUUACUUAUAUUCUCUCACAUACAUCACAUAUGCAUCAAACAUGCUAGAGAAUUGAACCACUUUAAUCUAUUAGAAUUUUUUUCUCAAAUCUCAAAAGCAUAAAUUUUCAAUGAUAAUGAAAAGAAAUAAAGUUAAUUUAGUAAAACAAAUGAAAAUUAAAGAGAGAAAAAUAGGUUUUAAGAGAAUUGAAACUUGGAUUCCACAAGCAAGAGCAGCAACCAAACAUGAGCACGAGCAGCAGCCAAAUAAAGGCAGUUCCAGCAGCCAAACGCGAGCAGGUCCAGCAACUUUCUCGAUCGCGAGCAGUUCUUGCAACCAGACGUGAUCUCGAUCGAUGGACGAGCAAAAGUUCUAGCAGCUUCCUCGAUCAGGACCAGUUUCGGCAACCAGACGCGGUCUCGAUCGACGCACGAGCAGAAGUUCCAGCAGCUUCCUCGAUCGCGAGCAGUUCCGGCAACCAGACGUUUUCUCGAUCGACACACGAAUAGAAGUUCCUGCAGCUUCCAACAGCGCGAGCGGUUCCAGCAACUUCCGGCAGCCCCAGCAGUUUUCGGCAAACCGUGAGUGUGCGUGUGUUAAAGGAUUUGUCUGGAAGUAGUGUGUGUGUGUGGUUUGUUUGUGUGUGUCAUGUGUGCGUGGAUUUUUAGUCAAUUCAUUUGUUAUUAAUCUACAAUUAUGAUAUUAACCUUGUAAUGAUUUAACGAAAAAGUUUCGGUUAACCAAUGAGGGUUUGAAUUUUUUUUUUGAAACAUUAGGAAGUUUUGUGUCUCUUAUCUAAACGUUGGGGGUCUCUAUGUCCUUUUCCCAAUAAAAAAUGAAAAAAAGAUACUGAAAACGAACGAAAGUGCGACGAAGGGACGACAAAAAGCGCGUUCCCUAAUCCAAUAUUUCUUUUAUGGGACCGAUAACAAAUAAUAAAAUAUUCUUUUGUGGGACCGAUAAUAAAUAAUAAAAUAUUCUUUUGUGGGACCGACUAAAAAUAGUGUCAAAUCAAUUGUAUUUGAGUUGGAAUCUCUGUUUGGUUACUGAGAAAUAGAGAGAAAGUUGCUGAAUAUUCUGAAUCUUAUUCAAUUAAUAAAACGUGAUAGAUCUUACUGACUUUAUAUAUUUACAUGAUCAUUAGUAAAAGCUUUAACUAACUAAUUUGCAUUACAUUGAAAACAACCAAUCAAAUCAGUAAGAGACUAGCUAAUACUAACUAACUUUUGCACACGUUAACACUCAUUGUUGCUUAACAGAAUCAGCUGACUCAGCAUUGUUGACGUGGCAUUGCUGAUGUAUCUUAACUGCUGGCUUCCUCUCUCUUUUCAAUUCAGCACAAUGAGCUUUCUUCACAGCCCCUCUCAAACUCAAGGGGCAUAAAUGCACAUUGAGUUUGGUUCUCAGAUAAAUGAAUUGAGGAGAGUUUAAGGACUUAGUCAUUAUGUUUGCUAUCUGCUCUGCACUAGGAACAUAGAGUAUCUUAAGAUUGUUGUGAAAAUUUUAUUGAACUCGCAAGCGCACGAAUCUAUUGUAGAAUAGACUAAUGGUGACGAGUGUCGAUCCCACGAGGAGGUGGAUUUUAAUUAUAUGUAGAAUUAAUUUUGUAUGAGGUGGUUGGAUUUUAUGGUGAAAGUGACUUAGAUUAUCCUAAAAUUGGAAUUGAAAUGGCGAGAAUAAAUUGAAGAGAAAUCUAUUGAAAUGACGUACUUAGGUAUCUGGAUCCGUAUCAACAUGCAUCAUGGGCUAAAUAAUCCUUAUUAAUGCCAAUUAAAUCAUGAGGGGGGAAUCCACACCUCAUGAACCACGCUCUAAUCAAUAUGGUGCUAAGCGCUUAUCGUGCCAAAUAAUAAUAAUAGUGUACUAUAGAGCCCGUGAAACCAGGGCGGUACUAGACAAGAAUAUUAUUAUUUAUCGACGAGAAGUCAAAACAUCCUAAAAAACUAGAGGGGAAGAGAAAAUAAAUUUACCAAAUAAAGCCCAUGACACAUGUUGAGACUUCACCUUCAACCCAAGCUUGAAAGAAAAUUAGCUAUUCAUAAUUGAACUAGGGGUAAAAUAGAAAUUUAUUAAAAUAUGUAGAAAAUACAAGAUAGAGAAAGAAUUAUAGAAAAUGGAGUCCAAAAAUAGAUUCAGAGGUAACAAAUUAGGGGGGAGAGGUCCCCUUUUUAUAGAUACAUUGAGUAAAUCAUGGCCAUCGGAUUUAAAAUAGUUUUGAUGCUCAGGAUUACGCCACGUCAUCAGUCAACAGUACGCGUGAACAGUACGCGGAUUGACCAUGCGGUUUGACCACGCGGUUUGAACAGUGACAUUGUUUGAACAGUAACGCGGUUUGGUUGAAAAUAAUCUCAUUUGUUGCAUGUACCAUACGCGGGUUUUUGGUCCACUAAUAUGCUUCCACGUCACCAUCAACAGUGCAUAAGAAUUUUAGUCCAAUAGGAUCAUGACACCUCAUCAGUCUAUGCCACAUCAUCCGUCAAUGUCACGUCAUCGAUCCGUCUAUGUGAACAGUGUCGUGCACAGUAACGUAGACAGUACCGUACAUGUGAACAAUACCAUUUUUCCUUUUAUGCUCCUCCUAAGGUUUUCGACCAUCCUGAGUUCAAAAGUGAGGUCCGUUUUACCGUUUGAUCUCUCGUUUAUUGUGAAAUGACUAUGAUGCCCCUAAAAUACAUAAAAUACUUAAUUAAAAUAAAACACACAUAAUUAAAUUACAAGAAGCUUAAAUACAUAAAAAUAAGGGUUGUUAGUAAGACUUGAAAUAUAAAACGAUGAUUUUCUCCUUUAUAAAUAUACAUUUUCUAACAUUCAACAAAGAUCUCUAGCUAGAACUUUAUCCCUGAUAAAAUGUAGAUCGAUCUCUAUGUGCUUUGUUCUUGAAUGAAACAUUGGAUUAUGAACAAGUUCUUUAGCACUCACAUUAUCACACUAUAUAAUUGGUUUCUCCACACAACAAAGAUUAAUCUCAACAAAUAAAGACUUUUAACCAUGUUAUCUCUGAGACAACAGCUGCAAGAGCUCUGUAUUCACUCUCUGCAGAAGAUUUAGUAACUACUAAUUGCUUAUUUGAAGACCAUGAGAUUAAGUUGUUUCCCAGAUACACACAAUAGGCACCAGUAGAUCUUCUAUCAUCAAGGUCACUCCCCCAAUCUGCAUCUAUAAAUGCUGUAAUUUUUAGCUCACCUUCUUUAACAAAUUUCAGCCCAUAGUCUUGUGUUUCCUUCAAAUACUUUAGCACUCGUUUGCAUGCCAUAAGAUGUUGAAGUGUUGGUGAAGAUACAUACUGACUUAGCUUAUGAACAGAGUAGGUUAUCUCAAGUCUUGUCAAAACUAAAUACUGAAGACCUCCUACUAUGCUUUUGUAAUGAGAAGGAUCUUCUAUGUAGUAACCCAUUUCUCCAUCAACAUUCUUCUGUAAUCUGUAAUCUUUAUUGCUGCUCAUUGGUGUAUCUGUUCCUUUGCAUUCAAGCAUAUCAACUUUAGUCAAUAAGUCUCUAAUAUACUUCUUUUAAGACUGAUACACACUAUCUAGAUCAUACAAAAUUUCUAUUCCAAGAAAAUAAGACAGCUUUCCCAUAUCCUUUAAUGCAAAUGCAGAACUGAGCAGCUUGAUAAAAUUUUCCAACUCAUCACAAUUUGAUCCUGUAAUCAGUAUGUCAUCUACAUAUAUCAGGAUUAAAAUGAUUGAUCUUUUAUUCCUCUUCAAGAAUAAAGAUAAGUCAGACUUGGAGUUCUCAAACCCCCAUUGAAUAAGACUAUUUUUCAACUUGUCAAACCAUGCUCGUAGAUCUUGUUUCAAACCAUAGAGUGCCUUGUGAAGUUUGCACACAAACUCAGGUCUUUUUGAAUUAAUAAACCCUUCUGGUUGACUCAUAUAUACCUCCUCAGUUAGAUCUCCAUUUAAGAAUGCAUUAUUCACAUCAACCUAUCUUAUCUACCAUUGAUUCAUCACUGCUAGGCUCAAGACCACUCUAACUGUUGCUGCUUUCACCACUGGACUAAAUGUCUCAAAGUAGUUAACUCCCUCUAUUUGCUGGAAUCCUUUAGCAACUAACCUUGCCUUAUAUUUUGCAACACUUCCAUCAGUGUUUGAUUUUACUCGAAACACCCAUUUGUUGCCAACCAGCUUGUGGUUUUAUGUUCUUGGCACAAGUGUCCGGGUACCAUUUGAUAUUAGUGCAUCAUAAUCAGCUUUCAUUGCCUGAAACCAUCUCUCAUCAUUGAGAGCCUCCUAAACAGUGUCUGGUUCUUUAUGUAACAAUACUGCUAUAUAUACCUUUGGCUUAAAGAUACCUGCUUUCCCUCUAGUAAUCAUGCGAUGUUGGUUUAGAGAUGGUGAGGUUACCACUGUUUGGUUAAGAUGGGAAGUAUUAUUUUGUUGGUUUUGUGAAAUUUCAUCUGAAGGUUGAUUAAAUGUUGUAUCAAGUACAGAAGGUAACAUUGUAUGUGCAGAUGGAUUAUUUGUAUCUGUGUUUGAGGGUUGCUGGUCUGAGCCAUUUGCCUGUGUUGAGACUACUGUUGAAGGGAAAAUAUUGCCACUGGAGUAUGCUUGAGAGAAAGAUUCAUUGCUGCUGACUGAAAAAUUUGAUAUGACAUGAAAUGUUGAUAAUUGAAAAACUUGUAUAGGAGUGAUUGUGCAAUAUGUAUCAGACUGGGACUUGUUUGAAAAAUGAAAGCUAGGAUAUGAAGAAAAUGGAUAUGAGUGUUCAUCAAAGACAACAUGCCUAGUUAUAUAUAUAUGACCAGAGGGAUGAAAAUACUUGUAGCCUUUAUGAGAUGGACUAUAACCAAGAAAGAUGCACUUAGUUGUGUGAUAGUCAAACUUAUGCUUAUUAUAAUCUCUCAAAUAUGGAUAACAAGCACAUCCAAAGCAUUUCAGCAUGUUAUAAUUAGCCUUAUGUUUGUAAUGUUUUUCAUAUGGAGUAGACAUCUUAAGUGUAGAAGUAGGGAGUCUAUUAAUGUGAUAGAUUGAGGUAUGAAAAGCAUCCCACCAGAAUUGAAAAGGAAGUUUGGCUUGAGCUAGAAGUCCUAAUUCUACAAUCUGCCUUUGUUUUCUUUCAACAAGUCCAUUUUAAUGGUGAGUGUAAGGGAAAUAGUGCCUAAAAAGAAUGCCACACUCAUUUAGGAAGGAAGUAAAUGGUAUGUAUUCACCCCCACAGUCAGAUUGUAGACCUUUGAUAGUAGUUUGAAAUUGUUUUUCAACUUGAAGUUUAAACAGUUUGAACACUUCUAGAGCUUCUGAUUUAAGUUUCAAAGGAUAAAUCCAGGUGUAUCUAGUGUGAUCAUCCACAAAGCUAAUGUAAUACCUAUAACCAUCUCUAGAUUAUGUUGGUGAAGGACCCCAUAGAUCAGUAUGAACAAGUCUAAAGCUGAUGUGGAUUUGAUAUCAGUAAUUGGAAAAUGAAGUCUAUGAAAUUUGCCCAACUGACAUGCUUCACAGAAAUGCUUUGUUGCUUGAUUAAAAAUAUUUGUAGAGCACAAAUUGGGAUGCACAAUCUUAAGUAACUGAACCAGGCUUUGAGUAUUAGGGUGGCCAAACCUUUUGUGAAGUAAAGACAUUUUAUUGAAUGAAUCAAUGCUAUAAGUAUUCUUAUUUGACUGAAAACAUUUUCCAGAACAAAAACUAUUGACUGUAGUGUUAAGAUAACACUGAGAUAAUAUAGAGACAGGUGUAUUUAUUGAACAUUGAGAUAGAAAAGAGGUAUAUAUAGAUUGUGAUGAUGAAUUCAACUGCAAUUUGUAUAAACCUUUCUCAGCAAUACCCCGUAGUAGAAUUUUCCCCUUCAGUAUAUCCUUCACAAAACAAACAGAUUCAAGGAAUUCAACAAAUAAGUCAUUAUCAGUGGUAAGUUUUGAAACACUUAGUAGAUUCUAUGUAAUAGAUGGAAUAAGCAGUAUAUCCUUAAGUGCAAUGCAUGUAUUGGCAUAUUGUAUUUUAGAGCUUUGAAUUGUAAGAGUGGUGUUACCAACAUGUGUGAUUGACAUACCUUUACCAUCACCAAUGAUAAGCUUGUCAUUACCUCUGAACUCAUUACUGACAUGCAUAUUUGCCAUGCUAUUUGUUAGAUGGUAUGUAGUUCCGCUGCCAAGAUACCAUCCUUCAUCUAUUGGUCCUUCAAAAUUAGCAACAUAAGCAGCUCCAGUUCCAUUCACAUGCAAGCUCAUUGAAUCAGAUAUGUAUGAAGAACAUGAUGGAUUAUACAUGGGAGGUAUUCCUGAAUAAGCAGCUGCAGUAGGCCAUAAAUCUUCAGUGGGUGCAUUAAAGUAUGUCAUAUAGGCUGAUAUCUGAUUUCUUCCUCUUUUCAUGUGUUGGGGCAUAUAGUUUUCUUCAAAUCUAUGCCAACAUUCUGCUGCUGUGUGUCCAGAUUUAAAGCAUAUUUGACAUACAACACCUUGCUCAUCAUUACUAUCCGAAUUUGACAAACCAGAGUUAGCACUAUAUUGUCCUCUCAUGAAUUGUGCCUGCUUAUUAUUGUUUCCAACCAUUUGACCUCUACCAAGAUUGUUACCAAAAUUUCCAGAUCCAAAUGGAAAACCUCUUGGAUGAGAAUUGAUAAAUUGUCCUCUUCCAGCAAGAAAAUUAUUCCUUCCAAAUUGAUUUCCACCAUGAAAUCCUCCAUUAUAUCCACCUCUUCGAGCAUUACCUCUUGCUUGAGCAUAAUAAGCAUUCAUCAUACCAUAGCUAUUAUUAUUAUGGGAAACAUUAGCAAGAUUUGCAUUGAAUAUCUAUUUUUCAUUUAGACUCUGUUCCAAUCUUGUUUCAUGUGUGAGCAGCAAUGCAUAUGCAUCAUCAAAAUCUAGUUUGCUAGCAGUAAUGAAAGUUGCUAAAUCUAGAUAGCCUAGUUCAAGACCAUUAAGGAUUUGUUGUAGCAAAUCUUUGUUAGAAACUAGAUUACCAGCACAAGCUAAUUUAUCUGCUAUUUGUUUCAUUUUCAAACAAUAAUCUUCUAUAUUUAGUGAAUUUUUUCUCAAAACACUCAUUUCAUAUUUGAGUUGAAGAACUCUAGCUUAAGAUUUUGCACCAAACUUUUCUCCAAUGUUUUCCACACAUCAUAUGAACUAUUACAAGAAUGAACAUGACUGAGAAUACCUUUAGUGAUCGAGCUUAAUAGCCAGCUUAGUAAUGUCUGAUCAUGUGAUCUCCAGAUCGUAUAUUCUGGAUUUUCAACUUGUUGAGUAACUCUUUCCAUUGCUUCAGCAUAGCUUCUAGAAGUAAGAAACUAAGUAAGUGCUACUUUUUCUCCAUUGAUAUAGCCUUCAAGCCUGUUUACUCUUAUCAAAGUUAAUACUUGAUUUCGCUAGAGCAUGUAAUUGGAUCUAUCCAAUUUGAUUAGUGUAAUGAAUGAAAAGGUAGUUUGUAUUGAUUGAUUCAUGUUUGUUGUGUUUAAAUUGCUUGAGCUUGCCAUAUUCGUGGCUCUGAUACCAUGUCAAAUCAAUUGUAUUUGAGUUGGAAUCUCUGUUUGGUUACUGAGAAACAGAGUGAAAGUUGCUGAAUAUUCUGAAUCUUAUUCAAUUAAUAAAACGUGAUAGAUCUUAUAGACUUUAUAUAUUUACAUGAUCAUUAGUAAAAGCUUUAACUAACCAAUUUGCAUUACAUUGAAAACAGCCAAUUAAAUCAGUAAGAGACUAGCUAAUACUAACUAACUUUUGCACACGUUAACUCUGAUUGCUGCUUAACAAAAUCAGCUGACUCAGCAUUGUUGAUGUGGCAUUGCUGAUGUAUCUUAACUGCUGGCUUCCUCUCUCUUUUUAAUUCAGCACGAUGAGCUUUCUUCACAAAUAGUAAAAUAAAAAAUGAAAAAAAGGAUAGUGUGCAAUUUUUCUUUUAAUAAUUUGGCAAUUCACCAAUCACCGGUCACCACCACUUGUUACCAGAUUCAAUGAAUGUAAAAACGCACCUCGACAUUUGUAGGGUCAAGCAACAUUAAUCCAGUUGUUCGGGUAAAUGCUAAAUAAAGUGGAAAAUGGGAUGUAUCUACUACGAACCUUCCCUUUACAAAUCUUCAAACUCAUAAGCCAGAGGCAGCCCCCACCACCAUCAAUAAUUCAGCAAGUUUCACAUGCUUGUGCUUGUCUGCUUGACGAACCGGAAAUGGGUGGACCAGGCACCAUUGAAUAAUUGGAAAAAAAAUGAAAAAUAAAAAUCCGUGUCUAACAAAAAGAAUGCAUCUUCAUGUGUUGCUUCCUAUUCAGUACCUCUAGUCAUCUACCUAGCAUUUAAAAAAAUGGAAGUAGUAAUUAAAUCUGACUUUUUUAGAUAUGGCUCAUAUAUAUUACAAGUAUCAAGAUUUAAUUAGAGUACACGUAUUUACAAUGUGUCUAGUUUUAAUUGAGAGAUAAACCAAUCAUUAAUAAUGAGGUUUUUCUAAAUGAUUGAAUAAUGAUAUUAAUUAUUGAUAUUUACAAAAUUUCUAAGAAGUGAUAACUAACACGUUGGGGAUAUGUAUUUGUGCGGAAUGGUAAAUAUAAAGAAUAGCAAUAAAAAUGGUGGAACUUUAAUUGUAUAAAAUUAAUAUGUAAUUCAAGGUACGAUACAAAUAUCACUUUUCUUAAGACAUUAUUUACCCCUAGCAAUUGAGUGAUGCACAUGAGUUAAGCAAAUAUGCCUUUAGGAUAUAAUGAAACAUUUAUUUAUUUGCUUCCGUUGUGCAUCAACGAAAGUAAACCUGAAUACUCUUGAAUAUUGCAAGUCUGCUAGGAAUCAAUAUGUUGAUUCUGUUAAAAAACAAUGUAUUGGAUAUUUGAUGCAUAAAAAAUAUAUGUUAUUUGAUGAAAUUCAUUUUAGGAAAUAGGGGUAAGAAAAGAGUGGUGAAGGAUUAUCUUAUUCAUAUCUAAACUUCUAAAUAAUGGAUUUAUUUAUUAUGGUGACAUAAUAAUAAUUGUAAAUUAAAAAUAAAUUUACUAUUAAAAAAAUAAAAUUUAUUAAUAAAAAUAAGGGUUAUAUAUCUUUUUUAAAAUGUUAAGAAGUUUUAUAUCUCUUUUUUGGAUUAAAUUUUCUAUUUCCUAUUAAGCAAAACCCACGUCAAAAGUGAAAAGGAAAAACAGAGCCCACAGAAUAGAGCCCAUUACAAAUAUAAAAUCGGAGGAGCUCAUGAUCAUGCCUUUUGCUUUACAUACUAAAUUAAAUAAAAGCCAAACCAGAAUCUUGCCUUUCCUUAACAUGAUUAAUUAGGCCCUGCAUCAGAGAGAACAUGAAAGCAAUGAACCAUUUUGUUAAUCUUAAAUGUCAGGAAUAUAAUUAGCUUGGAAUAAAGUUGCAUUCUUCUCCUCUGACUGUCUCUUCAGGUUCAUUUUAAAAGUUUGAAGAGAGUUUCAAUUCUUCUACACUUUAGAAUAUCAAUGUUCUUGCUUUCUUCAAAUGUUGAAUAAAGAGAAAAAAAAAUUGUUGAAUGUAGAAGGAAAAUAGAAUGCAUCCACCUUCGCUUUGGAAGUCUUCUACUUAUAAAAGCAAGCUAAAUUAAAAGAUUUUAAUCUCUCUUUUUAUUAUUAUAAGUGCACUGCAUUUUUUUUAAAUAAUCACCUAUACAAAUUUGUAAUGUAAUGAAAUAUUCAUAUUCCUGUAGUGUCGAAAUGAGAUAAAAUGAAAUUUUAAAUAACACAAUUUCGACUCGUUUGUUAAAGGUAUAUACUUAAUAAGCUAAUAACAUAAUUAACAGAACCCUAUUAUUACACUAAAUGAAAUAAAAGACGGUAGCCACCAAUAAUUACACUAGCAAGCUUCGCAUGCUCGUGUUUAAGGAACUGGACAUUGGUGAAUUAAUCACGGAUAAGAAACAAUUUCAAAAAACAAAAUGGAUACUAUACAUUUUCUUUUUUUAAAUUGUACAGAAAAUGGGACUAAUUUUCAAAUAUUUUCAAAUUCACUUAUUAACAAAAGCUAUACAAAAUGAUUUCCUUUUUAUUUUGAAAUAUUAUACGGAAUCAAAUAACAGUGAUUGAGAGAGUGUAAAGUGGUAAUUCUCCGAUUGUAUUUUCUCUCUUUUUUAAAAGGAGAUGGUGGGGUUUGGUUGUUUACAAAACUAUUGGUGUGAGGGUCUAUUUGUUUUUGUUUUCACUUUAUUAAUUAAUUACGAAGCAAACAUGUAAUCAUUUGUAAAGGGGCCACUAGCAUCGGAUCAUGUAAGAUGAAUUCGUAGGACUUAUUAAUUUUGAUGAAAAUGUAGCAUUAUUAAGUUAUUAAUUCAUUAACUUGAGGUACUAAUAUUUACUAAUUGUGGUGAUUAAUUUAUUUAACUUUGUCAUAAUUUUCAAUUGAGAAUGAAGUUCAAUCAAUGUAUAAAAAAAUAAUUUUUUUAGAUUUUUAAUUCCUAUGAUUUAAUUUCUCUCUGUUUCGAUUAUUGACGUGUUAAAAGCUUGCAGAAUAUCAUGAAAUGCUUGUAUCUCACCUCACAAAUUGGCAAAUAUCGGAAGGCUUCCAUGACGAAUUGAAAUUAAAAACAACCACCAUCGAAAUUUAAUUUUAAGAAUCUUUUUUACUUGAAAUUUUUGAAAAAAAAUUAACCAGAUUAAAUUAGAGAUAUCAACCUUAACUUAGUGUUGUGCACCACAUUGGCCACUUCUAAUUGUGAAAAGAAAUAGAACUUUUGUAUCGAUGAAACUUAUUUUAUUAGUAUUAUUCAUCAUAUGGUUAAUGGCUUAGCCGAAGGAGAAGGGGUCAGCCAAAAUAAAUAAAGUACCUUCUCAUGCAUUAACCUUUAUUAACUGUUGUAGUUAAAAUAAUUUUAAAACAAGUUAAAACAGUUCCAAUUCAAAAUCAGUAGGCUGCGAUUGGGUUGUUACACAUAUUUCUAAAUUUCAGUCUAAUUUAAUUGUGUAUGGACAAAUUAACUUUUAUCACUUCUUUUAUAUUAAUACUCAUAAAUUUCAAUCUAACUUAACAAAAAUAAUGUUCAAAUUGUCACAAAAUGUUCUUUUCUUAAAAAAGAAAAGAAAAUCAUAUAUAUAGUAGUUAAUUUUUCUUCUUCUUUACUUCAGGAUCCAACUCCGUACUCCACUUUUUUGUUGUUAUUGUACCUAGCCGUUAGAUUUUAAUUACGUUGUUUUAACGGUUUGGAUUUGUAAAUGAAUAACGACGUAGUGUUUGACUACCAUCUGAACCCACUGCAUCUAAUUGGUUUUGUGAUUUUUUGCUUUCUUCAAUAAAAAAACAGUUUAUUUUUGGUCGUCGAAACAUGGUAAGUGAGAAAGAUUAUUCUGUUUUUUUUUUUGUUAAUUAGGUUAGCAUUUAUGAUUGAGUGACUCAGAACUAUAUUUUAGAUUGAGAAUCAAUGGUUAAGAUUGUCGUUUGCUAUUUUAUCGACAAGAGAGCACUCGAUUUUAUUAAAAGGAGAAAGUCAUAAGAUUUCCUUUAUGAGAAAAUGUAUCUGAUCAUUCCUUUUUACUGGAAAAAUUAAUAUACAAAAACUUACUAAUAAAUGACAUAAUAUACAUAAAUUAUUAAUUCAUUUGAUAGUUGAUUAUCGAAUGACAUUUGAUCCAUGGGAGCAUGCAGUCUAUAAAAUAAUUCUUCUUUUUUUUUUUUUAAACAAAAAAUCGGUGAUGUUGAAAAGCAUUUCUGUAUAUUAUUAUUACUCUAAUUGGAGUGAACAUUUCAUAAAAAGAAUGCCGUAUGAAACUAAAUUAUUAAUUCGUUUGAUAGUUGGUUAUUGAAUGACAUGUGACCCACAGUAAAUAGUUAAAUUUGGCGGCAACAAUAAUUACAAGACGAACUUAAAGCAGCGCAUAGGUUUUUCUUAAAAAUACAUAAACAAUUCGAUAUUUGAAAUUCUAAUAUCUCAAUAAUAUUGAGGGUCCUUCUAUCUUACAUGCAUGUAAGAUACAUUCCUCUCACAUGAAUAGUGUGUGGGUCCCACAUAUGCACUAUUCAUGUGAGGGGGAUGUAUCUUACAUGCAUGUAAGAUAGGGUUUGCCUAAUAUUGAUCAUGAUUCAGUUACCAAUUAGAUCCACUUACAAUUUCUUUUUUUCUUUUUUUUGAUUUCCAAUCUUUACCAAAAGAAAAUAUUUAGUGACCCCUUUUAUCAACUUGGUUUUAUUGACUUUCUUCCAAUCAUAGAAGUGAAAAGAGAAACAGAGGCCAGCACCAAUAAGUGUUACCAGAUUCUGUAAAGACAAAAUCAGUGCCCAGCAAAAAGAAGCUAUGUUUUCGUUAUAUGCUGCUUCCUAUUUAGUACAUGCAUAUAAAGAUAUACACGUGCACAUGCAGCACAUCUAUUUAAAAUUUAAAAAACGGAAUUAGAAAUACAGGAUUUAUGGUAGAAAUACAACAGGAAUAAGAGUGAAAUUCCAAUUUUAAAAUUUGGGAAAAAUGAAAUACGAUAUUUUUUUAUGAAUAAAAUAAUUUAAUUUUUUUUAAUUCUACCAGCAAAAACCAUUAACUUAUCAAGUUUUUGGUUUCAUUUACAGUUGACAGUCGGUUUCUUAGUUUCAUUCCUUAAUUCUACAAGAAAAAAACAGAAUACUUGACAUUUUUUAUUUGACAAUUUUUAAGAAAUGUCAAACAUAUAUGACAUUUUGUGAAAAACUGAGUAAUUGUGAAAUAUAAAUGACAAUUUAUUUAAACGUCAAAUAAUUGUGACGUUUUAUCAAAUAAAUGAUAAAUAUAUUACAUUUUUAUUGAAUAAUUAUCAUUUACCUUUUCCUUUUAUUGACUUGAGAAAAAACAAAAAACAAAAAAAUUGACUAUACUGCUUUUGUUUUCGUUCAUAGAACAGAUUUUAGUUUCUUUUGAGAAAAUUCAAACUCAUUCCCAUUACUUUCUUUUCAAAAAUCACCUCUCAAUUUUUCAUCAAUCACUCAAUUCCGAAUUUCAUCUCCAUUCUCUUUCGAAGAAGAAUGCACGAAGAAUUUUAGCUUGCUUUCGCUGCUUCUCGAAUAUUGGGUAUUGUUUCCUUUAGUUUAGAUAAUUUUUUUUUUAUAUCUCUCUUUCUAGUUUGAUAAUUUAGGGUUAUACUUGAAUUAAUUGUAUUUUUAAUCAACCAAGGUUGGUUUAAUUGAUUCCAAGUCUCAAUUUCCUGUUCAACAAACAAGGAACGCACAAAUAAUUUUCAUUUUCAUACUCAACUUUGAAAGAAUCAAUUUAUUUUAUCUUUGGUUAGCACACUUCUGUUCAAUUUUUGUUUAUUUAACUUAAGAUAUCUUUUUCUUUCUUUUCUUCAAGCAGAUUAUAGAUUAUAUUGAGAACAGAGCUUUCUCCUUAAUUCCGCCAAGAGCAACGUUGAUUUCAGGUGAUAAUUGAAUGUGUAAUAUUUUCAAUUGAAAUUAAUUGAGUCUCGUAAUAAUAAUAGGGAUUUGAGAUUUACAUCCUGUUGAAAUAAUUUCAGAGUGUUCUGCUAUUUGAAUGCGCAUUAAUUGUUUGAUUAAAUGUCUCUUUAAAAGAUUAUUUUUGUUUUUAGCAAACAUCUUAAUGCACUUUGCAAAUUGAAUCCAACAAGGGAAAAUUAUAGAACUGCAACAGUUUUCAAAUUGAUUGCAUAUUAGAAGUAAUGUUAAUUUAUGCUGCAACAGUUCAAUGGGCUGGGCACAAGUUUAGGACUUUAGUUGCUCAAUUAAUGAAUCCACCACUCAUCAGACUUGGAACUUAUAGCUAUUGAAUCAAUAAAAAUAGUUGAUGGAAUCAAUGCCGAAAGCUUCAUUUGAUAUUUAUUUAUAACAUCUGUUAGAUUCUGCACAAUCACAAAUAUAUAGUAGCAGAAACUAUGUUAGAGACACUGUAGUUGCUUAAUUAGUGAAAUUGUGAUCUCAUUGCCCCCUUGUUUUGGUUGAUUCUAUAAUUUUAUUAGUUGUUCUUGUGGUUGUAAACAAUAUCAAUUUCUAAUAUUAAUAAAACUGAAUGAAUAAAAUGCGAUGCAUUUGCCGGAAAGUUAAUAGUUUAAAUAUGGAUAAAUCUUGGAUGUUGAUGGAUAGAAGGUCUAUAGAAUAUGAGAACGCGGUAAAUGAGUUUCUCAAGUUUGCAGUACUUCAUGCUAGUCAUCCUGAGCUUUUGAGAUGUCCAUGCCAAGCAUGUCUUAGUUUAUAGGCUCAAACAAUUAAGAGUAUAGAAAAUGCAUGAUAGAACACAGAACUCAUAUUUUAGCAACAAUCCUCAGCUCAUUGGCCCUUAGUUCGGAAUGACAAUUCUUAUUAGCCAAAGAUUCAAAAUGAUUUUUAGUUGUUUAUAAGUAGAACACUAGAUCAACAAAUAAUUGAAGACCUGCAGCUUGGCUAUUGAACUAUACGAUGAUGCCAAUUCGAAGACUACAACUUGGCUCUGCCAUUCGAAGUAAGCAACGCAGCUGCCCAAAGUCUGCCAAGCCAUCAAGACUCCAAGUAUACUUCAAAGCUACAUCAAGACAAUACUAAGAUACAACAUCAAUAAUAAUAACAUCAAGAAAUGCAUGGAGGCCAUUACAUGUUACACCCACCCCAAUAAGAAAAAUACAGUCCUAAACAUUUACAAACCCGUGCAGUCGGAAUACUAAUUAAUUUAUACAGUUCAAUACUCGUUCCUCUGUUUCAAAUCCAAAUCCACUGGUCUACUAUUCAUUAUGACAAUGCAUAUGCCGAUAUUGUCUUCCAUCCUUUUUGUACCUUUCAAUUUAGUGAGGUUUUGACAGGGGUUCCAGAUUUGGUAAAUCAACAAUCACCAGAUAUGUAGAGCGGCCGGAAGAGGAAGCAUGGUUCCUAAUCCUAAUCUUGAUUUAGAGCAGAUUAGGUAACAUGUGGCAUUCUACAUUCUUGCAAUGCCAUUUCUUGUUAUGGCAGCGGCAUUCUUGGUCAUGGCAUCACAAGCAAAUGCUUUGAUUUGAAGACUUGCUUGGCUAUGAGAAAUAAGGAGAGCAAAGGUAAUUAAUCUUGGUGUGAUCAACAUUUUUAUGGGGGUACCAAGAAAAAUAAAGAUAAUAUAAGGAAUGUUGUUGAGGAGUAUUUUUAUAUUUACAAAAGUGUUCAAAGUAAAAAUUGAUUUCUUAAAACCCAUUAGCUAGCGCACAUAAUAAUGGGGAGAAAAUUUUAGACUACGAAUGGUCCCACCCAUUUAAUAAUAUUCUUCAACCAAUUAUGUUUACUUCAAAAAAAAAAAAAACCAUCUCUUUAUUACUUUCUAACUAUUCAUAUUAAUGUGUUAAUAAUUAUGAAGAACUGGUGUAAUUUAUAUGAUGUAGGAAGCACUUUAGGCAAAAUCAUUUGAAUCUCAAAAUUUCGUGAUAUUGUGCCAAAUAUCCAAAACAGAGCUCCCUGCAUUUCAUUGCGCUAGCUAAUUUCUUGUACCAAAAUUAGGAAUUACUGAAGAGUAGAGUUACGUGACUGAAUAGUAUCAUAUCACAGAAACUCAAAACUCAAUUUCAUUGCGCGAGCAUACCACGCCAUAUGUAGCUCAAAAGUGCAAUAACAUUGAACAUUCAGCUGGCUAGCUUAUAUUAAUUAAUUAAUACUACUACUAGUUCUUUAUGAUUAAUUAAAAGAUGAAAUAUUUGACAAUCACGAAACAUUAUUCCAUCACUAAAGAGUAGAGCUUCCUACAUUGUUACCCAAGCUCUUUUGUAUCUCCCAAACAUUAUUAGAGUCCCACAUUUGUGGCACAUCAUUAAGUAAAAUGUGCCAAUCAGGUGAUUGUUUUUCAUUAUUGCGGCUACUUGACACAAUUAUGUUAUUGCAAGACGAGCUUUCUAUUUUGUCUGGUUUAAGCCAUAAGAUGGGUUUCAAGAUUCAUUCUGAUUGGUUAUCUGUUAGCUUUUCGUUUUAAGAACUUAUUUACGAAAGCCAAAUUCUUCUUUCUAGGUUUAUUCAUAUUCAGAAGUUGCUUUUGUCAUAUCAGAAGAAGAGGCUGCUAAGACUGUUGAAGUACUAGAAGUGACUACUGCGCUGAUUGGUCAAAACUACUAUGGCUGCCUUUUUCAUGAGCUUCUAAUAUCCAAUGUUGAUUAUCUCUUCCAUUUGAGCAUGAGAGUAAUCAGAUAGUUGAUAUUUAUGUUACAAAAGUUGGAAGCGACUUAAGCAAUUCAGUAUCAUGCGAGGACUAUAAUAAUAACCCCGAUUCUUUUGCCUCUUGGAUUUUUUUGUUAAUUCACUUGCUGUAUGCUUAUCCGACCUCUGAUUUUUUCUUAAUAUUUCUUUGUAGUUCACUUCACAGCACUUAUAGCCGCUGCAUUGGCAUUUUCUGCUAUUUGUUAUUGGUCAUUGAAGCAACUUAGCUUACGAAGUUUCUUUUUGAUAAAUGUUUUUCAGAGGGUUGUGAGAGGCCAAAUCAAUUGAGAUGACCGGGUUUUCUAGAUCAGCCAUCUUUGUCGUCAACAGUGCUAAACUGUCAAUUACUGAGACACCAAACUCUAACCUGAUUCAUAUGGAUGUAGACUAAAGCUUCUUGCCGAUACCAUCCCCAGUCAAAGCUGCUAUCUUUGAAAGUUUCGCAAGACAAAACAAUGUUGGUUUCCCAGUCGAUACAAAUACAGAUUUCAUAUAUGCAGAUUGCUCUCAAUCUCUGUUUAAUUAGCUAGUCCUCUGCUGUAUCCUAGAAGGUGGAACAAUACAUUAUGCUUCCCAGCAGGCUCCAAUGGGAUCUAUAUAUGUUUCUGCUGCCAAAUUUUUUAAAGCGAUCAUUGUGACUAUCCCUGGGCAGUCUGAAGUGGGCUUUGAUACUUGUGACAAUACUCGAUCGAGGCUGUAAAGAAGCCGUGGGUGUACAUUUCUGGUCCAACAAUCAAUCUAACUGGCUUACUUUACAGCAACAAAGAGAUAGAGAAUAUAUUAACUGCUUGUGCAGAAUAUGGAGCAAGAGCUUAUUUAGUGUCGUGUCAAAAUAAAUAUAACAAAGUUUUAGCUGAAUAUAAAUUGUUAAUUACAGGCAGAGCAAGUUGAGUUUAAAAAAUGCGAAGCACCCAGUCCCAAAACAGAGAAGCUUGACGUUGGCCGGCAGGAUUAAUAUAUAUAUAUAUUUUUAACAACAAUCAAAGCCAGUUGGGAAUUUAUUAAGAGGUUAAUUAGUUGAAGUAUAAAAAAGGAAUUAGCAGGAUUCACGCUCGACCAAAUCCACAUGGCCAAAGCAAAGGAUUAAGGUUGAGAGAUUAUAAUGAAAUAUAAGUAAUGAAAUAUAAGUAAGCGUCGCACAUGCAUGCGUCUGACUGACAGAACAAAUGAAGGAAACAUAAACUUAUCAUUUUUAAGAUGUAAGCAUCAAAACAUUUGACAAGUUUGAGGUUCGUGAGAUAUUGGGAAAAUAUACAAAUAAUAAUGCCACUACAAGUUAAGCAGAGCAAAUAAACAGAGGAAAUAACUGAUCAAUUUAGUUCUUUGUGCAAUGGCCACAGCAACAGAGAAAAUAUGCCUACACGACUACAUUAAUCCUACUGGCGUGGUACUAUCACCAUGCAAAUUAACAUUAACAUUUCAUCAUCAAUCAGUUCUGAUGACAUGAUAUCAAAAACAUUGAUUUCAUAAUUUUAUGUAAUUUCAUAUAAAAGAUAUAUAUAGUUUAUUUGAGUUAGUUUAACAUAUGAAGAAAGAGUAAUGGGGAAUGAUAUCACUGUAGCGUGUGAUGAGUAAUGAUAGACACCAAAUAUGGAUCAUGUAAUAAUGAAAUAUAUAUUUACUGAAAAAUAUUUGGCAAUAAAAUGAUGCUUUAAAAAUUUAAUAUUGUUUGCUAGAAAAUAAUUUGACAAUUAAAAGUAAAGGAUGUAUAUGCAAAGCUUUGACCUUAUUUUAUCACUUCACUAACCAUUUUGUAAGUACAUCUUAAAUUGAAGUUCAAUUAAUGCUGACGAAAGACUCCAGAGAAUGUCGAGAAGAGAUUUGAUUUUUGUAUACCAAAAAAUUACAGAUGAGAUAAGUUAAAAUCAAUUACAAGAACAACAAAAAGAAUAUAUUUUAUAAAAGCCACAAAUACAUAUAAUAUAUAAUCAGUUUCGAAUUAAGUAAUUAUUAACUUAUAUAGUGAGAAAGUGUUAUAGGAAAGUUGGAAUUUUUUAAAAGAGAUUUGCAAAGGAAAAAGUUUAGUUUAGUUUAGUUUGUGAAGGCUCAAGUAAUUCAAAGCAAUUAGCAAUGCAAUUGAAGGAAAUAUAAACUUCUAAUUUUUACAAAGUAAUCGCUAAAAUAUUUGACAAGUUUGAGAUUUUCAAAAAGCUGAAAAAAAUAGACAAAUAAUGGAGACCCUACAGAUUGGUAGCGCAAAUAAACGGAGGAAAAUAGGGCAAACAUUUAUUUUUUCCAAAAAGAAUAAAAGCACGUGUCUAAUUACCAAAUAACUUCCACUAAAAAAGAAUAAAUGCUAAUAUCAUUGUUAGCCCAUGUUGUGCAUUUUUUCAUUUAUUUAUUUAUUUAUUUGCUUUUACUUAUUGAAGUUACUUUGCAAACUGCUCCAAGCAAACUACAAAAUUUCUUCUCACUCUAGGAUCUUCGCAAUGGUCCUGCAAUUUGCUUUCCUUUCUAUUAGGUUAGCUGUUUAUUCAAAAGAAAAAAAAUUGGGGAAAUGGAAACCUCACCCUCUAAAUACAGAUUUUGAAUUUUAUUAUUAUUAUACAAAAUUAGAUAACUAUGCAAAUAAUGGGCGGUUAUAACCAGUGAAACUGUGUCUAGCUACGAUGCAGGUUUAAUUUUCACUUGAUUAAAUAUAAACAAAACUAAAUCACCUGAGCCUCUGGUUUCACUAUUUUUCAACUUGAAAUUAAAACGCAAAAAUUGAUGGUAUUGGAGUUCAUUGUUUAGUUUUGCUGUAGGUCAUGAGGAAUCAAAUAGCCAUCCAUUUUUAUGUCUAUUUUAUGUACUAUUGGUCACUGAGUAUUGGGAUGUCAUAGGCCCGAAAAGAUAAAGCUGAAAAUCAAUCCCCUAUCUAAAGUGGAAAACAGUAGCUAGAACAGAAUCUAUGGUUUGAUGUCUUAGUGUAUAGGCUUAAACAAUUAAUAGUAUAGAAAAUGCAUGAUAGAACUCAUAUUUUAGCAAUAAUCCUCACCUCACUGGCCGUUAGUUCAGAAUGACAAUUCUUAUUAGUCAAAGAAUCAAGAUGAUUUUUAGUUGUAUAUGAAUAGCGCAGUAGAUCAACAAAUAAUUGAAGACUUGCUUUUGCUAUUGAACCACGCGAUGGCAAUUCGAAGACUACAGCUUAGCUCUGCCAUUCGAAGUAAGCAACUCAGCUGCCCAAAGACUGCCAAGCCAUCAAGACAAUACCAAGAUACAACAUCAAGAAUUACAUACGGGCCGUCACAUAUUACAUUUCUGCUCUGUUUUAAGAGAGAUUUACGAGCCCAUGCAGUAGAAGUAAUUAAUUAAUUUAUACAGUUCAGUACUCAUUCCUCCUCUGUUUCAAAUCCAAAUCCACUGCUCUGCCAUUUAUUAUGACGCAGGGUAUAUGGGUUAGCAAGUGUCGAUAUUGUCCUUCAUCCUUUGUGUACCUUUCUUCUAACAAGGGACAGCACGAGAUCUCUAAUAACAAAAGAGAGGCAGGCAGGCCGUUCGCUGGAAAGUACUUGAGCUUGGGACAAUUACAGAGUUUCAAUGAAAUGAGGUUUUGAUGAUCAACAAUUGAAGAAGACAGGCGUUCCAAAUUUGGUAAAUCAACAAUCACCAAAUAUGCUAGAGUGGCAGGAAGAGGAAGCGUGGCUCCUAAUCCUACUCUUGAUUUAGUAUUGCGUAUGUAACAUGUGGCAUUCUACAUUCUUGCAAUGCCAUUUCUUGUUAUGGCAGCAGCGUUCUUUCACCAUGGCAUCGCAAGCAAAUAUUUGACUUGAAGACUUGCUUUGCCAAGAAAAAUAAGGAGAGCAAAGGUAAUUGAUUUUGGUGUGAUGAAUAUUUUUAUGGGUGUACUAAGAAAAAUAAAGAUAAUAGAAGUAAUGUUAUCGAGGAGUAUUUUGAUAUUUACAAAAGUGUUCAAAGAAAAAAGUGAUUUUUUGAAAUCUAUUUGCUGGUGAACAUAAUAAAAUGGCAUUCUGACUUCUGAGUAAAUUUAAAACUACAAAUAGUCUUACUCUUUUAAUAAUAUUCUUCAAUUAAUUCUGUUUCUUUCACAAUAAAAAAUCCAUCUCUUUAUUACUUUCUAACUAGUCAUACUAAUGUGUUAAUAAUGAAGAACCAGCGUAAUUUAUAUGAUAUAAGAAGCCCUUUAGCACAUUAACCCGAAUUUAGCUAAUGCAUGUGCCUAAUAUAGCGAAAUCAACAUUCGGCUCAUUAGAAUGCCAUUAUAUAUACUGAAAAAGAAAUUAAUACAAAAAAAAACUGAAUAUUAAUUGACACUGGAUCAUGUUGGAUUGUUAGUUGUUAAUUAUGAUGGGAAUACAAUUUUCAUCUUUUGAUAAUCCGCUAACUAAUGCAUGUGCACUUUCAUUUGUGUCUAUAUAUACAAAAACUUGUAUCCGAUGGUUUACAUAUGUAUGAAGAUAAUGUAAUAAAGUGCUUUUGAUAAAUUCCCCUGGUCUGUUUACUUCACUAAUUCAUUAAUGUGCAAGUCCUCUAUAGAGCUGUGUUGUGCGUACAAGUUUUGCUACAUGAAAUCCUUAGGUGAGGAGAAUUUUUAAAAGCAUACAUCAAAGUAAUGAUUAAAGGGACAAAAUCAACAUAAAUAUUGAUUAUCUUGAGUUAGAUUACACAAAGAUGAUAAUGUAGUAAAUUUAUCAUAAUACACUACUAAAAAAUGCAUUUUAAUGACACAAAUUUUAUGACAUACAUCUUUAUGUCAUGAAAAUACUUGCAUGAUGUAUAAUGCUUCUGUGAUUAUUUGAUGAUAAAUUCAUAAUUGAUGCAGAUACAAAAUGAAGUGAUGAUAGGUAAAUAUCAUGUGAUUUUUUUUAUGGGUAAGAAUAUUUGAACCCACCAAAUUACUCUUUAAACUUACUUUUUUAUUGAUAAUUUUAUUACAAAAUUACCGAUAAUUUGAAUUACUAUUACAGACAAACAAUAAUUAUAUAAAAUUAUUUUACUUUUACUCAUUGUUUAAACCUACCGCAAAACUCAAUCAAAGGAUGCUUAUUUUCUUCUUCUGCACAAGUGUAGCAAAGUUUUUAAUAAGUUCCUCCUUCAUCCACAGUUGAGAACUUUCUAACUUUUGUUUCUUGUUCUAGUAAUUUGGAUAUGCUGUGUUAGAUACUGAAUUUAUUAAAUUUCUUCUUCUCUUUUGAAUAAAAUCUCUUUAAAAUUCAAUUCAUAAAAAAAAAAUUAAUCUCCUUAUAAUUUAAUAUGUUUCGGCUGUCUUAGUGGAAUGAUGCAAUUUGUUUCAAUCAAAGUUUUGAAGCAUCCUAAAUUAUAUAUUUUUUUGUUUAAUUUGUUUAGAGUUCAAUUGUUUAGAUCUAGGCUAAUUUUUAUUGAUAAUAUUUAUGAUUAAAUUAUAUGAGUAUGCUUAAAUUUUUUUUUUCCUUCAAAUUUAUUUUCUGAUGUUGCAUUUGGUUAGCAAAAAGAUAAAAAUAGUAGAAAAUGUCCGAAUUAUUGUUAUGAAAAUGUUGUUUUAGUCUGAUAUUGGGAAAAUAUCCUUAUACAUAUCGGCAUGAUAUUCAUGGGAGACCAAAUUGAGAAUGAUGGCAGACUAUGCAUUGCUCACAACUAAUUUAAAACUCACUAUUUCUAUUGUUUGUGUUUUAGUAACUUUGGGGGAAUUCCAACUAUAGUUAAUAAGCUAUAAACUUGUUUAGGAUUACUAAUCAACUUGCUAGAAAGAGUUGCAAACUAAUUAGCUUUCUCUUAUAACUUUUACAGAUCAUCUGUGGAGGAGAACUGCAAGGAGUUGAAGACUCUAGACCCUAAACUUCAUAUCUUGAUUUAUAAGUGCAAUGGCCAUAAGUCCGAAUUAUGGGCUGGAGAUGGUAUAUGUAAUCUUUCUGCUCUUGGUGUUUUUUUUUUUUUUUUUUUCCCUCUAGUUAUUUUUUGCUCUCUACUCCAUUGUAUAUUUGUAUUCAAAAGUAUUUUUUCUUUGUUUUAAGCUUUCAAAUUUAUGGAGAUGAUCUUAUUAGGUGUUAAAAAAAUAGUUGUAGAGCUUUACUAAAACUAUGUAAACUCUUAUUGAGAUUUGGGUUUGAUUUUGUAAGAUUGCUAAAAAUUUCAUAUUUUAUACUUGUUUUAUACUUUUCUAGUCGAAUUUCUUGCUUGUGGAAGAUAAAAUAAAAGUCCAAUUCAUGUUGUAAAAAUUUUUUUUCCUCCCUUUUUUCUUCCCUUAUAAUCUGGAUCUGGUUUUGGUGCAGUUUAUGGUUUCAAUGCAGGGAACCAAUUUCAUCAGAAUCAUCUUAAAGGAUCAAAGUGGCUUCCUUUUGUAACUGGGUAAGUCAAUGCUACUUCCUGAAUUCGAUUUGGAGUUCUUUCGGAAUAGAUUUCCUUCCCUUACAUCACUUGGCUUCUAGUUGCAUCUUCUUGGCUUUCUCCAACGGACUUUUUUAUUGGCAAAUUCGUUUGUUUCUAUUGUUUUCAAGUGCUAGUGCUGGAUUUGGAGGUAUGAAUGGUGCCUUCAUUUUUAUUUUUUUAAUUUUCUUUUGGGUGUAUAGUACUGUAAUAUACUUCUUUGUAUAGCUAGUACAAAAUAGUUCUUUAAUUUUAUUUGUCAUGAUUUAUUUCUAUUGCCUGGUGAUGACACCCAUCACGACUUAGUAGUCGUGAAUAAAUCGAAAAUCAAAUUGCACUGGUUUUUACCGGUUAUCAACAAUUGUGAUGUUUUGAGAUUAUAACAUACUUGACAACGCCGACUAGCGUUCUCUCCUAUGUGAAUUGGGACAAAAAUUAUUUUCCCAAUCACGCUUUCGUUUGAACAAUUCCACUUCAGAUAUAUAAAAUAAUGAUGAAAUUGUGUUUUAAAAUUAGUUACGAGUAAUUGGUUCAAUAUUAAUACAAAACUAUUUUAAGUAACACGUGGCAUAUUCUAAUUCCAGUGAGCUUCUAACUCAGAUUCCCAAAUCAAAAGAAACGUUUCAAUUUUCUCCAGAACGUUCUGCAAAACAUUUCUUCGAGUCUCUACGUUGUGCUAGAAUUUUCUCUCAGUUUCUUUUCCAUAGACUUCUAAAAAAUUGUCCAGAUACCGAGAUAUAAUCCAAUCUAAGUGUACAUAUUGUAAGAAAAACGAUACACAGUGAGAUAACAAUUUAAAUAGUAGCUAAUUUAAACAACAAUGUAAACUAGCAAUGGGAAACAACAAAUGAAGAACUGAAGAGAAAGGAGACCAAAACAGAAAUAUAAACCCGAGGCCUGCGGACAGUUUCCUUAAACAUAUUUACCCCCUCUUGGAGUGCUUUAGGUCAGCUGGUAUCUGUUUCCCAGGAUACAACAGGCACGAAUUUUCGGCUAAGCACAGGCUAGAAAUUCUGGCGAACCACAACAACGAGCUCGAUCAGAGAAAACAGACGACGAAGAUGGAGGAAGGAAAAUAAGUGUGCUGGUUUUUUCAGUGUGCAAAAAAACAGAAGAGGAGAUGCCUUUUUAUAGUCAUAUGAGGAUGUAACAGCUACUUUGUAUUGAAUUUCUGAAUUCAAUAUAUUUUAUUUAAUUGUUAUAACAGCCAAAUCAAUUCAAUGAAUUGAUUUCAAAAUUGAAUUAAAAAAAACGUGAAUUAUAUAACAGCUAAAAAUAAUUGUUGAAGCUGUUACAAAUCCUUUGAAUUCAAACGUGAAACUGUUACAAUAAAAAAAAUUCAAAAGGAAAUUAAAAACGUGCCAAGCUUGCAUGGAUGAUUUUGGGCUGACAUUCGCGUACGCAGACGAGUUCAACCAAAUCGGUCAUGGAUUUGCACCCCCCUGCACACGCGCACGUGGAGAGAGCCUCUAUCCUUAUAAUUCUUGAACAAGCAUGGUUAAGUGUUUAUAUAUAAACACUAAUCCCUAGGCUUCUUUUUCCCAUGUGGGAUAAGCCUAAUUUCUUUUCAAAUUUCCAACUUCAAAGGUGAACUUUGAGAGACAAUUUCUCAUUCACCCAAGCACCAUUUUGAGAAAAUAAGAUUAUACUUUUGAAGUAUCAAAGGAGUAGAAUCCGAACCUCACAAGAUUUUCCACUUUCGUUAAGUGGGACCCACUCAAAAUAUGCCCUCAAAAUAGCAUCUAUAUAUGCUAUUUUUUCAACAAUCCCCCACAUGAAUGAAAAUUGGCAGUAAAACAAAAAACCGCUAUAUUUUUUUUACAUCAAAACCAGUUUUGACCUUAAUGAUUGAGUUUAUUGGAUUGAUACCUAGCACAUGAUAGGUUGGUGUUAUCCUUUUAACCUUCCCUUGUAAUAGUAUAAUUACUUUACUGGCUGAUCAGUAGACGCGAUGUCUUUGAACUGUGCGGCCGUUAGUGUAAACGAUCAUAUACUACACAUAGGUAUUUCUCCUAACACUGUUGAGUUCUCAUGGUUAUGUUCGUUUUGGCCUUGAACAUCUACCUGGUUCUGCAAGAGUUUCUAAGAGCUAAACCCAUCAUAGCUCCCUUUGAAGCGGCCCCACUUCUCUCUCACAUAGGUGAUAUCUUAAUUAAGAGUAACCCGCAUUACUCCGCUCGAAUUUUCCGACGCAUAAGAAUCAUUAAGAGCCUAGCUCAACCUUAUUCCCCACGAGCAUCAUUGUUUCAUAAUAGGAAUGGUCAAUGAGGUAAUCUUCUCAAGAGAAUAAACCCCACAAUAAUCCAACUUUAGUCUUUAACAAAUAGGUUGUUCAAUUGAACCUAGAUCUUGGGAUCUCCAGUCUACUAGGUUGGGUUUUCCUUCGUUAUUGACUAAUCAAUCUAUGAGUUUUAAUCCCAUUCCCCUCGAUGAUUUUUCUACUAGCUCUCUAUUUAACCCUUUGGUUAGCGGAUCCGCAAUGUUAUCCUUUGACCUCACAUAGUCAAUAGAAAUAACUCCAGUAGAAAUAAGUUGUCUAAUGGUAUUAUGUCUAUGACGUAUGUGUCUACACUUACCAUUAUACAUAUUGCUUUGUGCCCUACCGAUAGCUGAUUGACUAUCACAAUGUAUACAAAUCGAAGGCACAUGCUUUGGCCACUUUGGAAUACCUUUUAAAAAAUUGCGUAGCCAUUCUGCUUCUUCACCACAUUUAUCUAAUGCAAUGAAUUCAGAUUCCAUUGUAGAUCUAGCAAUUACUGUCUGUUUAGAAGAUCUCCAUGAUACAGCUACACCUGCUAGUGUAAAUACAUAGCCGCUAGUAGAUUUUGAAUCUUUUACAUCUGAUAUCCAGUUAGCAUCACUAAAUCCUUCUAAUACUUCUGGAUACCUAGUAUAGUGCAGUCCAUAAUUACGAGUGUAUCGAAGAUACCUAAGUACUCUUACGAUAGCUUUCCAGUGAUCAGUUCCUGGAUUACUCGUAUAUCUACUAAGUUUACUUACCGUAUAGACUAGAUCUGGUCUGGUACAACUUGUUAAGUACAUCGGACUGUCUAUUAUUCUAGCAUAUUCUACUUGAGAAAAACCCUCUUCUCUAUUUUUCGAUAGAUGGAUACUAGUAUCUAAUGGAGUUUUAGACAUAAUAUUAUCAUUUUUAUUAAAUUUUCCAAGAAUUUUAUCUACAUAAUGAUUUUGACUUAGAAUAAGUCCAUUAGAAGCCCUUCAGAUUUUAAUUUCCAAAAUGACAUUUGCAAGACUCAUGUCUUUCAUGUCAAACUUAGACUUCAACAUAUUCUUGGUAGAUUUAAUCAUGUCAUCAUCACUUCCAACAAUGAGCAUGUCAUCAACAUAUAAACAUAAAAUGACAUAGCCAUUUUCCGUUUCUUUGACAUAAACACAUUUGUCACACUCGUUGAUUUUAAAACCACUUGUGAUCAUCGUAUGAUCAAAUUUCUCAUGCCACUGUUUCGGUGCUUGCUGCAAGCCAUAUAAUGACUUUACCAAUUUACAAACUUUCUUUUCUUGUCCUGGAGCUAUAAAACCUUCAGGUUGCUCCAUAUAGAUUUCUUCAUCUAAAUCUCCAUUUAGAAAAGCCGUCUUUACAUCUAUUUGAUGUAUCUCGAGAUUGCGCAAAGCUGCAAUUGCUAUUAUCAUCCGUAUGGAAUUUAUUCUCAUAACAGGAGAAUAAGUAUCAAAGUAAUCAAGGCCUUCUCGUUGCCUAUUACCUUUAAUUACAAGCCUAUCCUUGUAUUUAUUGAUUUAUCCAUCAGCUUUCAUUUUCCUUUUGAAAAUUCACUUAUACCCCAAAGGUUUACAUUCUGGAGGAAGAUCUGCUAGCUCCCAAGUAUGAUUUUGUAAAAUGGAUUCAACUUCACUGUUAAUGGCUUCUUUCCAUAAAGUGCCUUCAGCUGAAGUUACAACCUCUUUGAAGCUUUGAGGUUCACUUUCUAGCAAAUACGUCAGAAAGUCUAGACCAAAAGACUUUUCUAUCCUAGCUCUUUUGCUACGUCUAACCUCAAUUUCUUGUUCUUGAUCUUCUUCUUCUUCUUCUUCUGGUGCUUCAUCAUUUUCUUCAUUUCCAAGUGUUGUUUCAUGAAAUUGUCGCAAUUCUCUCGAUUCCACUCUAGAAUUGCAAGGAAACACAUGUUCGAAUGAUGCAUUUCUUGAUUCUAUUAUCAUAUUUUUGUGGACAUCUGGAACUUUAGACUCAUGUAACAAAAAUCGAUAAGCACUACUGUUUUGUACAUAACCAAUGAAAAUGCAGUCAACAGUUUUUGGUCCUAUUUUUACUUUUUUAUUGAAAGAACCACUACUUUAGUAAGACACCCCCACACUCGUAAGAAUUUAUAUGAAGGUGAUCUAUUUUUCUAUAGCUCAUACAGGGUUUUAUCUUCUUGCUUUCGGGGUAUCUUAUUUAAUAAAUAAUUAGCUGACAAAACAGCUUCUCCCCACAUAUUCUGGGGUAACCCAGAACUUAUCAACAUUGCAUUCAUCAUUUCCUUUAAAGUUCGAUUCUUUCGUUCUGCAAUCCCAUUAGAUUGAGGUGAAUAUGGAGUCGUGACUUGAUGUAUGAUUCCAUUUUGUUCACAUAGUGACAUAAACAUAACAACAUACUCACCACCACGGUCACUCCUUAAUUCUUUGAUUUUUCUAUUAAGUUGAUUCUCAACUUCAUUUUUGUCGAGAAUAAACUUUUUCAAAGCUUUAUCUUUACUUUUCAAUAAAUAUACAUAGCAAUAUUUUGUGCAAUCAUCUAUAAAGGUAAUAAAAUAUUUAUUAUCACCUCUUGUUUGAAUGGAUUUAAAGUGACAAAUAUCAAUAUGUAUUAAAUCAAGUGGUUCGGUGUUUCUGUUAAUUAUUUGGAAAGAUGACCUAGUUAGUUUUGCCUCAACACAAGUUUCACACUUAUGUUUCAAAUCAAUUUGGAAAUUGGGAAUAUGCUUCAUGUUAAUUAAUUUACGCAAAGAAUUAAAAUUAACAUGUCCUAAUCUACCAUGCCAAAGAUUAGAAGACUCAAGCAAAUAAGCAGAAGAAGUAGCUUUAUUAUUAAUUAUUGGUUUCAGAGUCAUUACAUUGAGCUUAAAUAGCCCAUCAUUAACAUAACUCUUUCCCACAUACAUCCCAUUUUUAGACAAAACUACCCUAUCUGACUCAAACACCAUUUGGAAGCCAUGUUUGUUCAACAGCGAUCCAGACACCAAGUUCUUCUGAAUUUCUGGCACAUAAAACACAUUGUUCAGAGUCAGUUCUUUCCCAGACGUCAUCUUCAAAAUCACCUUCCCUUGACCCUCAAUCUCAGACGUAGCCGAAUUCCCCAUGAAUAGCUUCUCUCCAUUGCUAACUGCUUCAAGUGAAGUGAACAAUCCUUUGUCCGAGCAAACAUGUCUGGUUGCUCCCGUAUCAAUCCAUCAUUCUCUCGGAUUAUAGCCAACCAGAUUCACUUCUGAAACCACUGUAGAGAGGUUUAUGUCUGAAACAUGUUGAGUGAUGUUUUCCAUCACAUUCUCCUCUCGCUUCUUUUUAGGCAACCUGCAAUCUGAAGCAUUGUGACCCAUCUUAUCACAAUUAAAACAUUUUCCUUGAAACUUUGUUUACUUCUUGGAAAUUCCUCCUUUCGGACCCAAUUUUUUAUUUUUAUUUUUAGGUCCAUGUUCGACAAAAUUUGCCUUUGCCAUAGAAAUAACUCCUUUUCUUUUUGCAUUUCUGUUAUCUCCCUCAAUUCUGAACUUAACAACCAGCCCUUCAAUAUUCAUCUCCUUUCAUUUGUGCUUCAAAUAGCUCUUGAAAUCUUUCUAAGCAGGAGGCAAUUUUUCAAUAAUUGCGGCAACUUGAAAAGUUUCACUUAGAUGCAUCCUUUCUGCAAGGAUUUCAGAUAAUAUAAUUUGAAGCUCGUGUACUUGACUUAUUAUAGUUUUAGAAUCCACCAUUUUAUAAUCUAGGAAGCGACCAACAACAAACUUUUUGGUUCCCGCAUCCUCGGUUUUAUAUUUCCGGUCAAAGGAUACCCAUAACUCCUUGGCUGUUUUCUUUCCUAUGUAUACAUUAUACAAGGAAUCACUAAGGCCAUUCAUUACAUAAUUUUUACAUAAAAAAUCUUAAUGAUGCCAUGCAUCAAUUGCACUUGCAACUUGAAUAUCCGUUUCACCCUCUUUAGGUUUAGGAGCAUUCUCGAUCAAGAAACUUGCAAGGUUCAGCAUGGUCAAGUAAAAGAAUAUCUUUUGCUGCCAACGUUUGAAAUUCUGGCCAUUGAAUUUUUCAGGCCCUUCCGCAUGAUUGAUAGGAAUUGCCACAGAGGCUGGUUCCUUUACAACAGUUGGUGCAGCAACAGAAGAUGAAACUGGGACAUACGGAAUAUCAUCAACGGUUUCAGUUGCCAUCUCAAUGAUAAUUGAUUCUGUUUUAAGAUUGUAAAAAAAAUGAUACACAGUGAGAUAAUAAUUUAAAUAGUAGCUAAUUUAAACAACAAUGUAAACUAGCAAUGGGAAACAACAAAUGAAGAACAGAAGAGAAAGGAAACCGAAACAGAAACAUAAACCCGAGCCUUGCAGACAGUUUCCUUAAAACAGAUUUACCACUCUUGGAGUGCUUUAGGUCAGCUGGUAUCUGUUUCCCAGAAUACAACGGGCACGAAUUUCCGGCUAAGCACAGGCUGAAAAUUCCGGCGAACCACAACAGCGAGCUCAAUCAGAGAAAACAGACGAUGAAGAUAGAGGAAGGAAAACAAGUGUGCUGGUUUUUUCAGUGUGCAAAAAACAGAAGAGGAGGUGCCUUUUUAUAGUCAUAUGAGGAUGUAACAGCUGCUUUGUAUUAGAUUUCCGAAUUCAAUAUGUUUUACUUAAUUGUUAUAACAACCAAAUCAAUUCAUUGAAUUGAUUUUAAAAUUGAAUUAAAAAAACAUGAAUUAUAUAACAGCUAAAAAUAAUUGUUGAAGCUGUUACAAAUCCUUUGAAUUCAAAACGUGAAUCUAUUACAAUAAAAAAAUUCAAAAGGAAAUUAAAAACGUGCCAAGCUUGCAUGGAUGAUUUUGGGCUGACAUUCGCGUACGCAGACGAGUUCAACCAAAUCGGUCUUGGACUUGCACCCCCCCUGCACACGCACGUGUGGAGAGAGCCUCUAUCCUUAUAAUUCUUGAACAAGCAUGGUUAAGUGUUUAUAUAUAAAUACUAAUCCCUAGGCCUCAUUUCCUUUCAAAUUUCCAACUUCAAAGGUGAACUUUGAGAGACAAUUUCUCAUUCACCCAAGCACCAUUUUGAGAAAAUAAGAUUAUACUUUUGAAGUAUCAAUGGAGUAGAAUCCGAACCUCACAAGAUUUUCCACUUUCGUUAAGUGGGACCCACUCAAAAUAUGCCCUCAAAAUAGCAUAUAUACAUGCUAUUUUCCACUUUCGUUAAGUGGGACCCACUCAAAAUGUGCCCUCAAAAUAGCAUAUAUACAUGCUAUUUUUUCAACACAUAUCUCUAUGUCACCUCCCUCCAUUUCACCAGAAAAUCAACAAACACUUAGCUUCAAAACAAACACUCUAAAAAAGCUAGCUAGUUGAUGGCAAAAUCAAGAAUUCUUGCAAUGGCAAUGUUGUUUCUUGUUAUGGCAGCAACAUUGAUGAACAUGGCAUCAAAGCAAAUGCUCUGAUGCUGUACACACGAUCACCUUUCUUUGACGUAAUGUUCCCAAUGACGGAAGAUCCUUUCAGGGUUCUUGGACAAACCCUGUUAACAAUCCCAAAAGGAGCUGAACAUCAUCAAACUCUAGCACUGGCGAGAGCAAACUGAAAUGAGACACCAACAUCACACGUGAUCACACUCGACAUUCCAAGGAUGAAGAAAGACGAUGCGAAGAUAGCAGUUGAAGAGAACAGGGUACUGAGAGUGAGUGGGGAGAGGAAGAGCGAUGAUUAUUAUAAGGAGGAAGUUGAAGGAGAUAAAUGGCACAGAGCUGAGAGACCAUUUGGCAAGGUUUGGAGGCAGUUCAGGAUGCCUAUGAGUGCUGACUUGGAUCAUGUUAAGGCUCAUUUGGAAAAUGGUGUUCUAAGGAUCACAGUGCCAAAACUUGUUGAGGAGAAGAAGAGGCAGCCUAAGGUUAUUAACAUUGAUGAAGAGCCUGGUAAUUCUUCUGAUGAAGAUGUUAAGGCCGCCAAGGCUCAAAUGUAAUUGAUUAAAGAAAGAAGUGUUUGAUUUGCUUGAUGUGCUAUUUGUUUUGUGAUCUUUUCUUGGUUUUGUUGUGGGAUGUUUUUCUUUGGAUGUUCUGUUUAUUGUAUUUUGAUGGAUUUUUAAAGAUGGCUUUUAUGUAUUAACAACAAAAGUGUUUUUUAUAAAUCCGGGUCCUAAAUUUGUAAAAGAAAUUAAUAAUACUCUUGGUUUAUUGUUAAUAAAAAUAAAAAAGAAGAAUCUUUUUCUUUAGCAUAUAUUAUGCAUUUUAAGGAAAAAAAAAUUAUCACAUUCUAAUACAUAAAGAUAUUCCUCUUCUGUCAUAUUAAUGUGUUAAUACGAAGGUCUAUUGGAAUUAUAAUAGUUUAGAUGAAUCCAAAAUAUUCAAUAAUUGAUAAAUAGUAUAUUGACACACAGAAAAUGUGCGUGUGUAUGUAUAUAAAUGAGGUUUCAACAGCUGAGAAAGAGAUAGCCAUUAUACAUUACACAUUUGCACUCAAUAAGAAAUCAAUUCAUUAAUAUAGCCAUUAAUACGCCUGGUUUAUUGUUAAUGAAAAUUAAAAAAGAAAAAAAGUCUUUUCUUUGGCCUUUAUUAUGCAUUUUAAGAGGAAAAAAAAUUUAUCCCACUCCAAUUCAUGAAGAUAUUCUCUUUUCUGUCAUAUUGAUGUGUUAAUAUGAAGAUCCAUUGCAGUUGGUGAAUUCAAAUAUUCAGUAACUGAUGAAAUUGUAUUUAUAAAUUCAUACUAAUAGCAAUUGAAGAUUAUAAUUAAUUUUGUAAUAUGGUCUAGCCCUCCUGUGUUUAAUUAGCACUCAAAAACCACUUUACAAUAGGGCAUUAAAAGAACAUUAUAACGUCAUUGCUGAUGAGUUCUGGCGAAGACAUUAAGUUAAGGCCACAAAAAUCGAAAUGCACGUAGCUUCGUUUGUUUUUUAUUUUUGAUUCUCUUUGGGGGCAAAUGCUUGGCUUCGUUUGCUUUUUCGUUUUUGAUAUUUUAUUGGGCUUUAUUGUGUGGCAUCUUCUUGUUUUCUUUUGAUUUUCUGUUUUGGUUGUUAUGGGAUUUGAUGACGACGUACAUGUACGAAGAUUAUAUAAUAAAAUGUUUUUGAUAAAUUAUGGUCGGUUUAGAAUUAAUUAACUAAAUUUAAUUUACUUGAUCAAUUGAUAUUUGUAAGCAUUGUUGUUAUACAAACACAACAAAAGAAGAACAUUAAUGUACUAAUUAAUUACUAAUAAGAACAUUAAUAACUUUUGCCGAAGAAGAGAAAUAUUACACAUAUGUAACCGUGCAGCAUAUGUAACCGUGCAGCUAAAUAAAAGAAACUGAAGUUUAUUUCAACAGCUAAAGAAUGAGAUACGCAUAAGAAAUUAAUCCAUUAAUUAAUUAAUUAAUUCAUAGUCCCCCGCUGCUAAAAUAAAGCGAGCGUCUUACUCUACCUAACAUUUUUCCUUUUAUUAAUUUAAAAUAGUUUUCAACUGAGAUUUGAAUUUUAAAAUUACACGCUUGAUUUAGAAGAAAAAAAAGUCAAAUAUAUGUAACCGUACCGCGGAAAAGACAAAUAUAAGAAACUGAAGUUUCAACAGCUGAGAAUGAGAAUUUAAUUCAUUAAUUAAUUAAUAGAGUCCUCCUUUGCUAAAUAAUGCGAACCCAUUGUUCUUUUUAUUUCCAAAACCCAUUAAUCACCAACACAUAAUACACGCCCAAUUUAAAAAAAAAAACUAAUAAUAAAAUAUUUCAGUCUUCCUUUGUUGAGUCGUCAUUAAAAACCCAUUUACCAGCUAUUCGAGCAUAAGGUAUAUGGGUUAACAAGUCCCAAUAUUGUCCUCCGUCCUUUCUGCACUUCUCUUCUAUCAACGGACAGCGAUAGAUUCUUAAUUGCAAAAGUGAGGAAGGCAGGCCCUUCUCCGGAAAGUAUUUGAGCUUGGGACAAUCAUAGAGUGUCAAUUUAGUGAGGUUUUGAAGAUCAACAAUUGAAGAAGAUAGGCUUUCCAGAUUUGGAAAAAAGGCAAUGCUCAGAGAUGUUAGAGAGGCAGGAAGAGGAAGCGUGGUCCCCAGUCUUCUGUCCUCUGGCUCUGGUGGAAAUGACACCAUGUCGUCAUCGCAUCCUCUGAUUAAAAGAUAUCGCAGAGAGGAGAAUCUGUGAAAUCCCCGGCCCCGCUCAAUCAUUGACUUCCAAAUCCCCAUAUUACCCUCAAUCCUCAGUGAAUGAAGGUUGGUGGGAAGGCCAUCUUCUUCAAGGCUUGGAAGCUCACCUCCUAUUAUUGUUAAUUGUUGAAGAGAGGUCAGAUUGUGCAAUCCCUUGGGUAAGGCCUCUAGUCUCUUACAAUCAUAUAUCUCCAGCCUCCUGAGUUUCGCACAAGGCAAUCCCCCUUCGGGAAAGGACUCCAGAUUUCCACAACCCCCAAUACCAAUCUGUUGAAGCUGGCACAGAUUAUGUAAACCACUCGAUAAAAUUUUCAGAUUUUCACAGUUAGAAAUGUUGAUUGUUUCAAGAGAUGUGUUGUUGUCCAACCUUUCUGCUAUUGACUCCAGCUUUGGACAUCCAUAAACAUCAAGUACCUUAACGGACGGAGGUAGAUUGCCAACUUCAAGGGACUCAAGCGUGGCAGGUAACUCGUUUUUUGAAAAUAUACAUGUCAGAGACGGACAACUGGAAAUUGCUAAGUUCUCAAGAAGAGAUGAGGUGUACCUUCUGCUGCUGCUACUCUGGAUGCCCUCUUCCACUGUCAAAGUCCUUAUUUUAUUGCACCUCUGGAUGUCCAACCUCUUAAGGCUCAGUGGUAGCUGGACUUCAGCAAUAUAUGUCAACGAAUGGCAAUCCCAAAUUUUCAAGAUCUCGAGAGAUGAACUAGUGUCGCACAUCCAUGGCUCUGGUAACGAUUUCAGUGCAUCACAUUCUCUAAUCUCAAUUUUCUUCAACUUGGAAGGCAGAGCAACCUCAGGAAAGGAAACAAGGGAACUGCACUUGUAGAUUUCUAUCUCUUUCAAGGAACUAAGGCUGAGAGAUGAUUGUGGCAGCUUCACAAGGCCUUCGCAAUAUCUCAAUCUUAGAUAUUCGAGUCUGCAUGACAACUCGCAGAGCUGCUGUUGUUGGUCUUUCUCUUCCUCCGCCACCAAGGAUUGAAGUUUGGGACACCCUCUUAUCUCCAGACUUUUGAGAGAGCAAAUGUCUUGUAGUAAUCCGUCAUGACUCUUCCAUAUAUAUGUUUGCUCUUUUGUCGACAAAAUUAAUUCUUCCAAUUUCGGUAGUUGUGGCUUCAACGGCCCCGCAAGAAACACUUGAUUUGAUGUAUCUCUACAAACCACUGAAUUCUGUGAUCCGAGAUGACCAGUUGCACUUUCCCACACAACCUUUUUGCAUCCACCAAUUAAGAAUUUGCAAAGAGCUGGAAGACUCAAAACUGAAACUAACAAUUCUUCACAUCCUUCAAUAACAAGCAUCUCUAAUACAGGAAGGUGUUCUGGAAAUGUUCCUCGCAGUUUAGGACAUUCUAAAAUGUGAAGCUCUCUCAAUUUAGGAAACCCUUCAACCCCUUGACCGGAUCCAUGAGAAAUCCAGACUUCCCAUUCUUGCAGGUCUUCAAAACGAAGAGUCUCCAAGCAUGGAAAUGGAAUUGGAGAGUCAUCCCCAUAGAACUCUGAACCCAAUCUCUUUACUCUACUCACUCCACGCACUGUAAGAUGCUUUAGAGAGGGCAGUUGCCCGACAGACGGCAGGGCAGUACACAUGCCGCAAUCUUCAAAUUCAAGUGUUACUAAAUUUGAGAAUAAGGAAUCUCCUAACCAUGUUGGAAAUUUUGUACCUCCAUAGCCACAGAUACCAAAUUGUUCCAGAUUUUUAUGGGGUUUGAGCAUGUCAAGCACACCCAUUUCAGUUUCUGCCUCCCUUGAAGAUGAACCAUCGGUACUGCGUGUCCAUCGAAGCAAUAAUUCUUUAAGAUUCUUCUUUCCAUCCAACCGAGCCUCCUUCGCAUUACCAACGUCUUUUACGUUCUCCAAUUUUGAAAUUUCAAGUGCCCCACGAAGAUGCAUCAACAACUUUAGCUCUGAUAACCCCGAACCACUGUCUUUUCCCACAACAAAAUUACACAACGUCUGAAGACAAGUCAACUUGCCAAUUCCUAGUGGCGUUUCCUCCAACGAAUCUGUAUUUGAAUUAUUGAGAUGAUGCAAUUUGAUGAGAUUUCCCAUGUCUGCACACAACUUCUUCAGCCGAUCACAAUCUUCCAACAAAAGACUAUGCAAAUUGUAAAGCUUGUUGACUGAUUCAGGCAGAGUUCUAAUAUUAGUUCCAGACAGGUUAAGGUACCUUAAAUACCUCAAAUCACCAACUGAAUCUGGUAGCUCGGAGAUGUGAUAUCCACGCAAAGAGAAGACCCUCAAGCGUUGGAGUUUGAGCAACUUAGGAAGAAUGCUAGGAGCCAAGUAGCCAGGCGAACUAUCUGUCAACAUUACUGGUAAAAAAGUUCUCAAAUGUUGGAUAUCAUACAAGUCCCCAAACCUUUUACCGCCAACAUAAUAUUCAGGAAUAUAUGACAGAUGACGAAGAUAUCGGGAAAAACUUUGUUGCUUGUUAACCUCAGAGGUAUACUCCAUUGUGAAGUAUAUUUCCCCUGCAGCCCAAUGCGCAAGGUCGUUGAUAAGAUCGUGCAUCACAAAUCGUGAUGCAUCGUUGCUUGAUUGCUGGAAAAAGGAUCUUGAAUGUAGCUCCUUAAAGAUUUCAAGACCUAAAUCUUCACCAGUUUUCUCACGCUCUUUGCGAUCCAAGAAGCCCGAGGCACACCAUAACAAAAUUAUCUCCCCCUCUUCAAAUUCAUAAUCCUUUGGAAACAAUGAGCAAUACGCAAAGCAUUGUUUCAAAGGUGCCGAAAGAUAAUAGUAGCUCACUCUAAGCGCCGGCAUAAUGUCACAUCUCUCUUCUUGCAAUUCCCAUAUCUUGGUACUGAGCACUCUCUCCCAAUCACAUCUGUCAUCUUUUCCUCGCAAAAGUCCUCCAAGUGUUUGCGCUGCCAAGGGCAAGCCAUCGCAUUUGGCCACUAUCUUCUUGCCAAUUUCCUCCAAUAAGUUAUCUGACCCCAAAGAAUGUUGAGCAAAUACAGCUAGACAAUCAUCAAUUGACAACUUUUUUAAUUGAUAAGCUGAGGCAGUUCCCAUGAUGUCUGCAACCUCUUGAUUACGAGUUGUGACAAUAAUCUUACUUCCCUUCGCUCCAGCUUCAAACGGACGGCUGAGGCGAACCCAAUCAUUGUAAUUCUCAUUCCAAACGUCGUCUAAAACAAGCAAAAAUUUCUUUUGAGAUAACUUCUUCUUCAGCUCCUCUUGAAGCAAAUUUAAAUCACUGUCAUCAAUAGUCUGCUUGGUAACGGAUCUUAGAAUUGUUUUUGUUAGCCCCUUAACGUCGAAAUCCUCAGAGACACAAGUCCAUGCCUUGAGAUCAAAAUGAUCCCGCACUCGCUUAUCAUUGUAGACAAGCUGAGCAAGAGUAGUUUUGCCCAGCCCGCCCAUACCUAUAAUAGGAAUAACUGCGAAUCCACCAUCGUUGCUUAAAUCAUCCCUCAACAGCAGUUCAACAACAUCCUUCUUUUCUGUUUCCCUGCCAUAUACUUUGGCUUCAGUCACUAAAGAGGUUGUCUCUAGCCUUUGACUGGCUUUUUUGGACCCUCCAGCUGAACUUUCUUUCAAAUCUAGCAAGUUUUUCUGUGUCACAAUUUCUUGAAAUCUGCUGUUGAUCUCUUUGAUUUUGGACAUCAAGCCAUAAUCGAACUGAAUCGAUUGUGGAGUAAAAGUGGUGCAGCAAGUAGGAAUGAGCUUCCGAAACUUACUUGUUCUUGUACGACUGCUACUGGGUUGAUCAUGAGCAGCAGCUGGUUCUCCAUUCCCAAGCAGCAACCUCCUCCGGAAAGCCUCAGUUUGAAACUCAUCCAACAAGUCUUCAACAUCGUAAGCCAAGUUCUGAAGCUUGCCAAGCCACUUCUUCACAAACUGAUUAGUCGUCUUCUUCUCCUCAGCAUCAUCAAGCACCGCCUUGAUCAUCUCCAACAUAUUCUCCCACUUCAUUAGAUCGUCUUGGAUCUUCUCUUGGCGUGCAAAAAACAGAAUCCCCUCUGAAGCUAACUUAUUGACCAGCAAAUCAACGGACGCCGUAAGGAUUGCCUCUCCGAUGAUCGACAUUUUUUUUUCUUUUUUUGGGCAAAGGAAGAAAGGAGCAGAAUUAUGGGUUAUGGAAAGCAGAAUGAGAAUAUUGAACGGGUGAGAAAAUGGAUAAUUAAGCAGAAUGAGUUUGUGAUUGUGAAGGGUCUGGUCCAGCAAGCUUAGUAGAAAUCACGCGUUUAUACUUUAUUGACCAAUGACUAAUAAUUUGGCAAUGCACCCACCACCACCACUUGGUGAGCAAAAUGAAAAAGUUUAAUAAGUGCAGGGGUGCAGCAAAAUACGACGUAAAAUGUGGCAAGUCUCCCCACUUGUUGUUCCUUGCAGCUAAGAAAAGAAAAAACAGAGCCCACCACCCAUUAAUAAUUUAGCAAUUCACCAAUCACCACAAAAUUCCAUUAGAUAUUCGUCGAUCAAGUAGUUAAUCCAGUGUCUGCCACGUAGAGCCUUCACUUUACGAAUCUUCAACUCAUAAACCAAGUUAAAUCAAGACGUUUCUCUCUCUUUUUUUUUUUUUUUUCCCCUUCAAAACUCCUAAAACGUUUCUUUUUAGAAAUAUUUUACUUUAUUCAUCUAAUAUGUUAUCUAACAAAUAGACACAGAUGAAAUCACUCUAAAGUGAAGAUGAAAGGGGAAAAAAAACAUUCCAACCACCAAUAAUUUAGCAAGCUAACGUUUUCAAAAUAUUGUUCAAUGGUUCUCCCACACUGAGAGGCUGUAAGUUUAAGAUUGCCGUUUGCUAUUUCAUCGACAAGAGAACACCCGAGUUUAUUGAAAGGAGAAAGCCAUGAGGUCUCCUUUAUGAGAAAAUUAUGUAUCUGAUCAUUCCUUUUUACUUGAAAAUUUCAUAUACAAAAACUUACUAAUAAAUGACAGAAUAUACAUAAAUUAUUAAUUCAUUUGAUAUAUAGUUGAUUAUCGAAGGAUAUGUGACCCAUUGAUUAUCGAAGGAUAUGUGACCCAUGGGAGCAUGCAGUCUAUAAAAUAAUUCUUUUUUUUAUUAAACAAAAAAUUGGUGAUGUUGAAAAGCAAUAUUAUUAUUACUCUAAUUGGGGUGAACAUCCAUAAAAAGAAUGCCGUAUGAAACUAAAUUAUUAAUUCGUUUGAUAGUUGGUUAUCGAAUGACAUGUGACCCACAGUAAAUAGUUAAAUUUGGCGGCAACAAUAAUUACAAGACGAACUUAAAGCAGCGCAUAGGUUUUUCUUAAAAAUACAUAAACAAUUCGAUAUUUGAAAUUCUAAUAUCUCAAUAAUAUUGAUCAUGAUUCAGUUACCAAUUAGAUCCACUUACAAUUUCUUUUUUUCUUUUUUCUGAUUUCCAAUCUUUACCAAAAGAAAAUAUUUAGUGACCCCUUUUAUCAACUUGGUUUUAUUGACUUUCUUCCAAUCAUAGAAGUGAAAAGAGAAACAGAGGCCAGCACCAAUCAGUGUUACCAGAUUCUGUAAAGGCAAAAUCAGUGCCCAGCAAAAAGAAGCUAUGUUUUCGUUAUAUGCUGCUUCCUAUUUAGUACAUGCAUAUAAAGAUAUACACGUGCACAUGCAGCACAUCUAUCUAAAAUUUAAAAAACGGAAUUAGAAAUACAGGAUUUAUGGUAGAAAUACAACAGGAAUAAGAGUGAAAUUCCAAUUUUAAAAUUUGGGAAAAAUGAAAUACGAUAUUUUUUUAUGAAUAAAAUAAUUUAAUUUUUUUUUAAUUCUACCAGCAAAAACCAUUAACUUAUCAAGUUAUUGGUUUCAUUUACAGUUGACAGUCGGUUUCUUAGUUUCAUUCCUUAAUUCUACAAGAAAAAAACAGAAUACUUGACAUUUUUUUAAACGACAAUUUAUUUAAACGUAAAAUAAUUGUGACGUUUUAUCAAAUAAAUGAUAAAUAUAUUACAUUUUUAUUGAAUAAUUAUCAUUUACCUUUUCCUUUUAUUGACUUGAGGAAAAAAAAAAUUUGACUAUACUGCUUUUGUUUUCGUUCUUACAUGUUAUGGCAGCGGCAUUCUUGGUCAUGGCAUCACAAGCAAAUGCUUUGAUUUGAAGACUUGCUCGGCUAUGAAAAAUAAGGAGAGCAAAGGUAAUUAAUCUUGGUGUGAUCAACAGUUUAAUAGGGGUACUAAGAAAAAUAAAGAUAAUAUAAGGAAUGUUGUUGAGGAAUAUUUUGAUAUUUACAAAAGUGUUCAAAGUAAAAAUUGAUUUCUUAAAACCCAUUAGCUAGCGCACAUAAUAAUGGGGAGAAAAUUUUAGACUACGAAUAGUCCCACCCAUUUAAUAAUAUUCUUCAAUCAAUUAUGUUUAGUUCAAAAAAAAAAAAAAAAACCCAUCUCUUUAUUACUUUCUAACUAUUCAUAUUAAUGUGUUAAUAAUUAUGAAGAACCGGUGUAAUUUAUGUGAUGUAGGAAGCACUUUAGGCAAAAUCAUCUGAAUCUCAAAAUUUCGUGAUAUUGUGCCAAAUAUCCAAAACAGAGCUUCCUACAUUGCUAUAGCAGUUUUUAAAAGUUGAGGACUCCAAAUAUCCAAUAACUGAUAAAUUGUGUUAAGAAAUAUAAAUAUUAAUGGUGAUGACACAUAUGCAUGGAAUUCCUCUGUUUUGAGUUUGACUAAAACAACCUGAAUAAUUUCAAACAAUCCAUCAGCCCAAAGUCCUUGAGAGAUCGAACUGGAUUUGAGUGCAUCACAUUCUGAAAUUGAAACUAACAUUAAUUAGAAAGGCAGAACAGCCUCUGUUUUUUACUAUAAUACAAAAUGGGAAGUCAAACCAAUUCGAGGAACUCUCCUGUUUUUGACUGAACAUACAUAAUCCGAACAAUUUACAAUUAAAUAAAUCGUCCAAAAUCUCCUUGAGUCCAACCCCCAUUUCCAUGGUUUAAUAGAAUAUCAUAAAGGUGCCCAAUACAGUGAAAUUAACGUUCAGCUCAUGAAGUUGCCGUUAUAUAUAUCGAAAAAGAAAUUAAUAAAAGAAAUUGAAAACCAAUUGACACUGGAUCAUGUAAGAUUGUUAGUUGUUAAUUAUGAUGGAAAUAUACACUUGGUCUAUUAAUUACCAUCUAGCUAAUGCAUGUGCACUUUCAUUUGUGUCUAUCACUGAAGAGUAGAGUUACUUGAUUUAAUUUCAUUGCGCGAGCAUACCACGCCAUAUGUAGCUCAAAAGUGCAAUAACAUUGAACAUUCAGCUAGCUAGCUUAUACUAAUUAAUUAGUACUACUACUAGUUCUUUAUGAUUAAUUAAAAGAUAAAAUAUUUGAUAAUCACGAAACAUUAUUCCAUCACUGAAGAGUAGAGCUUCCUACAUUGUUACCCAAGCUCUUUUAUAUCUCCCAAACAUUAUUAGAGUCCCACAUUUGUGGCACAUCAUUAAGUAAAAUGUGCCAUUUAGGAAGAGCUGGCUUCUUUGUUUUUUUUUUUCUUGGAUGUGUUGCAAUUUUCAAGUAUCAUUCAAAAUUUGAUGAUACGAAAAUAUGUCUAUAUGACUUCAUUAAUCCUACUGGCAUGGUACUAUAACCGUGCAGCAUUACACUAACACUUCCUUAUCAAUCAAUUUUGAUGGUAUGAUAUUAAAAACAUCGAUUUCAUAAUUUUAUGUAAUUCAAAGAAAAGAUAUAAUUGAUUUGAGUUAGUUUAACAUAUAAGGAAAGAGUAAUGGGGAAUGAUGUCGAUGUGGCAUGUGAUGAGUAAAGAUAGACAACAAAUAUUGAUCAUGUAAUAAUGAAAUAUGUAUUUAUUGAAAAUAAAUUGACAGUUAAAAAUAUUAGAUAUUUAUCCAAUGCACCGAGUUUAUUUUAUCACUUCGUUAACCAUUUUGUAACUACAUGUUAAUUAGACGUUCAAUUAAUUUUGACCAAAGACGCUAGAGAAUGUCGAAAAGAGAUUUGAUUUUUGUCUUAAAAAAAUUAAAAAUGAAAUAAGUCAAAAUCAAUCACAAGAACAACAAUAAGAGCAUAUGUUAUAAAACCACAAAUACAUAAUAUAAAUUUAGUUUCGAAUUAGAUAAUUAUUAAUUUGUAUAGUAACAGAGCCUUAUAGAAAAAGAGGAAUUUUUUAAAAGGAGAUUUGCUUAAGGAACAACUUUAGUUUGGUUUAAUUUUUGAAGGCUCAAGUAAUUGAAAGCAACGCAAUGGAAGGAAAUACAAGCUUUUGAUUUUGACAAAGUAAUCACUAAAAUAUUUGACAAGUUUGAGAUGUUAAAAAAACCGAAAAAAUAGACAAAUAAUGAAGAUCCGACAAGUUGGCAAAGCAAAUAAACAGAGCAAAUAUUUACCGUUAUACAUUUUUUUUUUUUUUUUUGCCAAAAAAGAAUGUUGCGAUAUUUUUUCCCAAAAAGAAGCACAGUUUGAUAUUACUACCAUAGAACUUUAGCUACCAUAUAUAAGCACGUGUCUAAUUACCAAAUGAAUUCCGCUAUAACAAAGAAUAAAAGCUAAUUUCAUUGAUGGCAGAUGUUGUGCUUUCUUUUAUUUUAUUUGAUUGAAGUUACUUUGUAAACUGCUCCAAGCUAAAUAAAAAAUUUACUCUCACACUAGGAUCUUUGCAAUGGUCCAGCAAUUUGUAUUUCCUUUCGGUGAGGUUGGUUUUUUUCUUUAAAUAAAAUUUCAGGGAUGAGAAAUCUUAUCCAUUGAACAUCAACUUUUAAUUUUAUUAAUAUUCAAACUUAGAAAGUACUGCAGGAACAAAGUGCAUUCAUAGCCGGUUAAACUAUGUCCAGCUACAAUGCAAGUUUCACUUUUACUUAAUUAAAUAUACAAAAUUAAAUCACAUGAGCCUCUCGUUUCAUUAUACUUCAACUUAAAAUUAAAACACAGAAUUGACGGUAUUGGAGUUUCAUAUUUAAUUUUGCUGUAGUCAUGGGGAAUCAGAUGGCCAUCCAUUUUGACGUCUAUUUUAUGUCCAUCCCCAUAAAGUUUCAUACAAUAUGUGUGUGCGUGUGUGUAUGUGUGUAUUGGGAUGUCACAGGCCCUAAAAGAUAAAGCUGAACAUCAAUCCCAAAUCUAAAGUGAAAAACAGUAGCUAGAACAGAAUCUUUGUUUUGAUGUCUUAGUUUAUAAGCUCAAACAAUUGAUAGUAUAGAAAAUGCAUGAUAGAACAGAGAACUCAUAUUUUAGCAAUAAUCCUAAGCUCACUGGCCCUUAGUUCAAACUGGCAGUUCUUAUUAGUCAAAGAAUCAAAUUGACUUUUAGUUGUAUAUAAGUAGAGCACUAGAUCAACAAAUAAUUGAAGACUUGCUUGGCUGUGGAACCAUAGGAAGGCAAUUCGUGAACAGCCUUGAUAUUUCGUUUGGUUUUAUUUAAUUCUUUGUAAAGUUGUAUUGUAUGUAAAAUUUUUGUUAAAUGAAAUCGGUAGGUGAAGAGAAUUUUUAAAAGCAAACAUCAAAGUCACGAUCAAAGGGACGAAAUCAGUAUAAAUAUUGAUUGUCUCAAGUUAGAUUAUACAAAGAUGAAAUAAUGCUAAUCUAAAAAAUUCGAUGAUUAUAAUUUGAUUUCCAUUAUGUUAAUUAUAUUCAAUCAUGCUCUUUAAAUGAAGAACACUCUAGCAUUUAUAUACACUCAGCUUAUGAAAUUAAUUACAAAACGAUCUUUGACAAAGUCUGAUGAAAAAAGUACAAAGUUAGACUUCCCGAUCAUGCAACCACCCAUCGAAUUGUGUAUUGUGUCAUCGUUGAGCUCUUAGAAGGGUUCAGCUGCUGAGGAGAAGAUAUAAUCUGUUUUUGUGUGAGAAGCUAUGUACUAUGCUUUUAUGGUGUUUCUCUUGGUAGUUGUCGGACAAACUGUAAUGUGAAUUUCUAUCUAAUGGGUAUCCUUUUAGUUAGUUUGGGAUUGUUGAUUUAUAUAUGAUUUUUGGUAUCUAAAAUUCAGAUGAUGAUAAUCUUGGCAGUACUUUUGUCAAAUUUUCUUGUGUUGUCGUUGGUUUAAUAAAAUAUCACAAAGGUGCAAAAUACAGUAAAAUUAACAUUGAGCUCAUGAGAUUGCCAUUAGAUAUAUUGAAAAAGAAAUUGACACAAGAAACUGAAAAUUAGUUGUUAAUUAUGAUGGGAAUAUAAUCGUGGUAUUUCAAUUAUAUCAUUUGCACUAAUCUCCAGCCUCCCAGCCGGAAAUGUUCUUCCUUGACAUUCGGUGAUUGUUUUUCAUUAUUGCCGCUACUUGACUCAAAUAUGCUAUUGCAAGAGGAGAUUUCUAUUUUGUCUGAUUUAAGCCAUAAGACGGGUUUCAAGGUUCAUUCUGAUUGGUUAUCUGUUAGCUUUUUCUUGUUUUAAGAACUUCUUAUUUACGGAAGCAAAAUUCUCCUUUCCAGGAUGAUCUAGAUUUAGAAGUUGCUUUUUUCAUAUCAGACGAAGAGGCCAUCUUUAAGGCCUUGUGUAAGAUUGUUGAAUUUACUAGAAGGGACUACUGCUCUGAUUGGUCAAAACUACUAUGGCUGUCUUUUUCAUGAGCUUCUAAUAUCGAAUCAGUUUUAAUGGUAUGAUAUUAAAAAAAUCGAUUUCAUAAUUUUAUGUAAUUUCAUAGAAAAGAUAUAAUUGAUUUGAGUUAGUUUAACGUAUAAAGAAAGAGAGAUGGGGACUGAUGUCGAUUUGGCAUGUGAUGCGUAAUAAUAGACACCAAAUAUUAAUCAUGUAAUAGUGAAAGAAUUGAAGACUUGCUUUUGCUAUUAAACCACGCGAUGGCAGUUCGAAUUUAUUAAUUUAUACAGUUCAGUACUCAUUCCUCUUUCUUCUGUUUCAGAUCCAAAUCUAGUGCUCCAUCAUUUAUUAUGACGCAAGGUAUAUGGGUUAGCAUGUGUCGAUAUUGUCCUCCAUUCUUUGUGUACCUUUCUUCGAACAAGGGACAACCCGAGAUCUCUAAUCGCAAAAGAGAGGCAGGCAGGCCCUUCUCUGGAAAGUACUUAAGCUUGGGACAAUUACAGAGUUUAAUGAAAUGAGGUUUUGAUGCUCAACAAUUGAAGAAGACAGGCGUUCCAAAUUUAGUAAAUUAACAAUCACCAAAUAUGGUAGGGUGGCAGGCAGAGGAAGCGUGGUUCCUAAUCCUAAUCAUGAUUGAUAACUGGCUAUGUAACAUGUGGCAUUCUACAUUCUUGCAAUGCCAUUUCUUGUUAUGGCAGCAGCGUUCUUUCAUCAUGGCAUCACAAGCAAAUGUUUGAUUUGAAGACUUGCUUAGCUGAGAAAAAUAAGGAGAGCAAAGGUAAUUAAUUUUGGUGUGAUGAAUAUUUUUAUGGAUGUACUAAGAAAAAUAAAGAUAAUAGAAGUGAUGUUAUUGAGGAGCAUUUUGAUAUUUACAAAAGUGUUCAAAGAAAAAAAGUUAUUUUUUGAAAUCUAUUUGCUGGUGCACAUAACAAAAGGGCAUUCUGAGUAAAUUUAAAACUACAAAUAGUCUCACUCUUUUAAUAAUAUUCUUCAAUUAAUUCUGUUUAUUUAAAAAUAAAUAUUCUAUCUCUUUAUUACUUUCUAACUAGUCAUGCUAAUAUGCUAAUAAUUAUGAAGAACUAGUGUAAUUUAUAUGAUAUAAGAAGCCCUUUAGCACAUUAACCCGAAUUUUGCUAAUACAUGUGCCUAAUAUAGCGAAAUCAACAUUCAGCGCAUUAGAGUGCCAUUAUAUAUAUUGAGAGAGAAAUUAACACAAAAAAUGGAAUAUUAAUUGACAUUGGAUCAUGUUGGAUUGUCAGUUGUUAAUUAUGAUGGGAAUACAAUCUUCAUCUUUUGAUUAUCAGCUAGCUAAUGCAUGUGCACUUUCAUUUGUGUCUAUCACUGAAUAGUAAAGUUACUUGAUUGAGUAGUAUCAUAUCACAGGAACUCCAAACUCAAUUUCAUUGCCGGAGCAUACUAUGCCAUAUGUAGCUUAAAAGUGCAGCUAUCUUAUACUAAUUAUUUAAUACGACUAUUAGCUCUUUAUGAUUAAUUAAAAGAGAAAAUGUUUGACAAUCACGAAAAUAAUAACAAUUCACUCCUAUAAACAACAUAACAAAUACAUGGUCUAUAUUGCAAAUCUUUUUAUGAUUAUAAUUAAAAGAGAAAAUACGAAGACAUAUUUUAUAUAAUAAUUGAAUGUUCUCCUUGAUAAUUAGACAAAAUAACACCAAUCUAGCUAAUUAAUCCAAUCAUCAUACUAAUCCAAUUUUCAUUAUUUAAUUAUGUCCAAUCAUGCUAAUUUAAUAAAGAGCACUGAACACUCGAGUACUUAUAUGUUCAACAACUUUGGCCGAGUUUGAAAAAGAUUAGAGCUGCAUUUAUGCUUUGUGUUAUUACUGACGACAUGAUCAUAUUAUGUCGCAUUUGUCAGAGAACCGAAAAACUGUGGGGGAAAAAAAAAAUCCUAAAAGAGAUGUAACGAAAGCAAAAUGAGAAAAUAAUGCACACAUCAUAGCAAUGCUUCAUUCAUUUUGAUUCUAUCUAUACAAAAACUUGUAUCCGAUGGUUUACAUUUGUUUAAUCUAACGGCUAUAACAUGUAUACAGUCAAACGCUACUGCUGCCAUCUUUCUUUGUCCUCGUUGUAUCCUUGAUCUUAUAUUAUCCUGGUGAUUCUUGAAAGAUCUUCUCAUUCUCAUAUGCUGAGUCGCUUGUUGGGAUGAUUAAUACUCGAAGGUCCUUCAUUCAGACAUUUCAGCAAACACCUGAUUCAUUCUAUCAAACAUCUGCAUCACUAAUCGCUAAAUGAUAUAAAAUAGUUCUGUUUUGAAAAAUUGAUAUAAAUCAGUCACCUUAGAUUUUCUUAGUCUCAGAGCACAACGGGUGAUGAUUCGAUGAGAAAUAUUAAUAUGCAUGCAUCCGCUGCAUUAGUUAGAGCUGCUUGUCAUUUUCUUCUUUCUUUUGGAUACUAUUUUAAAUUUUUAAUCAGUCUAAUUCAGCUGCAUGUUUGCUUUCAGUCCAAAUCGAAAUCAGAUAUUAAGUACUUCUACUGGUAUGGACACACCCAAAAAUCUAUGGGAUCCGUAGCUCUUGCAGAAGCGGCAGAAUGCUGCCAGCAAUUCAGGCAGAUAGAGGCUUGGCUGAGUGGUUGUUCUUCAAUGUGAAAUUCUACAUAAUGGCGAUCCUUUUAAUGGGGUUUAAAUUUUUUUUUUUUUUGAGUUGUUGAUUUAGAGCAGAUUAAGUAACAUGUGGCAUUCUAUAUUCUUGCAAUGCCAUUUCUUGUUAUGGCAUCAACAUUCUUAAUUUUGAUUUGCUUAAUUUUGCUUUCUGUUUUUGAUAUUUUCUUCGCAUUGUUGUUGUGGGAUUUGUUAUUUGUAGAUAGUGUAUAUGUAUGAAGAUAACGUAAUAAAGUGCUUUUGAUAAAUUCCCCUGGUCUGUUUACUUCACUAAUUCAUUAAUGAGCAAGUCCUCUAUAGAGCUGUGUUGUGCGUACAAGUUUUGCUACAUGAAAUCGUUAGGUGAGGAGAAUUUUUAAAAGCAUACAUCAAAGUCAUGAUUAAAGGGACAAAAUCAACGUAAAUAUUGAUUAUCUUGAGUUAGAUUAUACAAAGAUGAAAUAAUGAUAAUCUAGUAAAUUUAUCAGAAUACACUACUAAAAAAUGCAUUUUAAUGACACAAAUUUUAUGACAUACAUCUUUACGUCAUGAAAAUAUUAUGAAAAUACUUGCAUGAUGUAUAAUGCUUUCGUGAUUAUUUGAUGAUAAAUUCAUAAUUGACGCUAAUAUGAAAUGAAGUGAUCAUAGGUAAAUAUCAUGCAUUUUUUUUUUAUGGGUAAGAAUAUUUGAACCCACCAAAUUACUCUUUAAAUUUAUUUUUUUAUUGAUAAUUUUAUUACAAAAUUACCGAUAAUUUGAAUUACUAUUACAGACAAACAAUAAUUAUAUAAAAUUAUUUUAUUUUUACUCAUUGUUUAAACCUACCGCAAAACUCAAUCAAAGUAUGCUUAUUUUUUUCUUCUAUAAGUGUUUAAUAAGUUCAUCCUUCAUCCACAGUUGAGAACUUUCUAAUUUUUUUUCUUGUUCUAGUAAUUUGGAUAUGCUGUGUUAGAUACUGAAUUUAUUAAAUUUCUUCUUCUCUUUCGAAUAAAAUCUCUUUAAAAUUCAAUUCAUAAAAAAAUAAAAAAUUAAUCUCCUUAUAAUUUAAUAUGUUUCAGCUGUCUUAGUGGAAUGAUGCAAUUUGUUUCCAUCAAAGUUUUGAAGCAUCCCGAAAUUUUGAGAUCGACAUGAUAACAAAUUAAUUUAAUUCAUUGUGUACUCUAAAUUUUCAGCCACAAAAAAAUAGCCAAAUUGAAGUGUACCUGGGCAAGAAGAAACUGCGAUUAUACAAUUUCAGUGUUCGACUCUAUCAAUAAAAAAGAAAAUAAAAAAGAACUCUCAUUGUUCCAUUAUUUUUCCCAUAAAUAAUGAUAUACAGAGAAUUUAGUUUGAUAUGGGAUAUAAUAAGUAUUUAGGUGAGUUUAUAAAGUAAAUUUUAAAAUUUUAAAAUUUAGUAAUGGGUUUAUAAAUAAUUGAGUUCAUAUAAUAUUUUAAUAAAUUCAAAUAACCCACCCUUUUUUUUUUAAAAAAAAGAUCUAAUUACAAAAAUACCAUUCCAAUCGGCAGCAUUUUAUAUUUUAUUUUAUUAAAUAUUAUUUUAUUUUUAAAUUACUAGUGACGCAAGAAACGGCAUCAUUUAUUGAUAUUUUUAAAUUGUUUAAGAUUUGUUUAAUUAGAAAAUUGCCAUUGUUGAUAUUUAAUUAAUUUUAAAAAAUAAAAAUAAUAAAAUUGGUAAGCUCUACUCCAUAAGUGAUGAACGAAUUGACAAAUUUGCAGUAAGUGAUGAACGAAUUGAUAAGCUCUACUCCAUCGGUUCCUUAAUUGAGAAAAAACCCAAGCCCGUGCAGCGCAGCCUCACAAUUGAUAGAGACCCUAAGCCACCAAACUCGACAAUCAUCACUCAACGUCGUCGCAAGCUACCGGUCGCUCAACAAGCACCAGUUCCUUGCUCUACAGCCAUCGCUCAACCGCUGCCAUUACCUGUUAAUUAUUCGCUUGAAUUAGGGUUCUGAUAUUUUGGGAUUUUUUGUUAGUCGUGGAAUUAUGAAGCAAGGACGACGAUGACGAAGAUGUGGUGGUUGACGACGGCAAUGGCAACGUUGAAUAUUGAGGCACCGGAGGAAAAAGCAUUGGCUAUGUAUCUUGGUCGAUUUGCCUCGAAUUGAUCACUAAACAUGGGGAUAUCGUGGGCCGAGCUUCAACGCAGUGGCAAAUUUCAUUUGGGUAACUGAAUUUUUUUUUUUGUUUAAUUUGUUUAGAGUUCAAUUGUUUAGAUCUAGGCUAAUUUUUAAUGAUAAUUUUUAUGAUUAAAUUAUAUGAGUAUGCUUAAAUUUUUUUUCCUUCAAAUUUAUUUUCUGAUGUUGCAUUUGGUUAGCAAAAAGAUAAAAAUAGUAGAAAAUGUCAGAAUUAUUGUUAUGAAAAUGUUGUUUUAGUCUGAUAUUGGGAAAAUAUCAUUAUACAUAUUGGCAUGAUAUUCAUGGGAGACAAAAUUGAGAAUGAUGACAGACUAUGCAUUGCUCACAACUAAUUUAAAACUCACUAUUUCUAUUGUUUGUGUUUCAGUAACUUUGGGGGAAUUCCAACUAUAGUUAAUAAGCUAUAAACUUGUUUAGGAUUGCUGAUCAAUUUGCUAGAAAGAGUUGCAAAGUAAUUAGCUUUCUCUUAUAACUUUUACAGAUCAUCUGUGGAGGAGAACUGCAAGGAGUUGAAGACUCUAGACCCUAAACUUCAUAUCUUGAUUUAUAAGUGCAAUGGGCAUAAGUCCGAAUUAUGGGCUGGAGAUGGUAUAUGUAAUCUUUCUACUCUUGGUGUUUUUUUUUCCUCUAGUUAUUUUUUGUUCUCUACUCCAUUGUAUAUUUGUAUUCAAAAGUAUUUUUUCUUUGUUUUAAGCUUUUAAAUUUAUGGAGAUGAUCUUAUUAGGUGUUAAAAAAAAUAGUUGUAGAGCUUUACUAAAACUAUGUAAACUCCUAUUGAGAUUUGGGUUUGAUUUUGUAAGAUUGCUAAAAAUUUCAUAUUUUAUACUUGUUUUAUACUUUUCUAGUUGAAUUUCUUGCUUGUGGAAGAUAAAAUAAAAGUCCAAUUCAUGUUGUAAAAUUUUUUUUCCUCCCUUCUUUCUUUCCUUAUAAUCUGGCUCUGGCUUUGGUGCUAUGCUUGGUGCAGUUUAUGGUUUCAAUGCAGGGAACCAAUUUCAUCAUAAUCAUCUUAAAGGAUCAAAAUGGCUUUCUUUUGUAACUGGGUAAGUCAAUGCUACUUCCUGAAUUCGAUUUGGAGUUCUUUCGGAAUAGAUUUCCUUCCCUUACAUCACUUGGCUUCUAGUUGCAUCUUCUUGGCUUUCUCCAGCGGACUUUUUUAUUGGCAAAAUUCCUUUGUUUCUAUUGUUUUCAAGUGCUAGUGCUGGAUUUAGAGGUAUGAAUGGUGCCUUCAUUUUUAUUUUUUUAUUUUUAUUUUGGGUGUAUAGUACUGUAAUAUACUUCUUUGUAUAGCUAGUACAAAAUAGUUCUUCAACUUCUUACUUUUGGCUUUAAUGGGUUCGAUAUAUGAUAGCGGAGCCCUAUCAGCAUUUGAUGUCAGACAACAAAUAGGGGACAGAUGGGAUUAGAAAAAUAAGAAACAUGACCAAAAUAAAAAUCUAAUCUACUCAUAUAAGCAACUCAUCAAAUAAGUGUAUCACAUACUUAAGUGAAUAAGAUUCCGUGAUUUCUAGGAAUCCAAGUCAAAUUAUAACAUUCUUUAAAUAAGACUCACAAGCUUAUUAGGUGUUAUAUUGAAUCAUCUAAGUUGAAUAAUCUUUUGGGUUGAAUAUGUUAAUUUCUUAUUCCAUAUGUUUCAGCCUCUCAAUAGUUGAAUUAGCAAUGAAAAUUUGAAAAUGGAAAAACUCAGUGCAAUUAUUUUAGGUGCUUAUCAUAGAUAAGAAUUUCACUUUUUACACUUCAUUGUCUGUUGUCAAAUUUAUUAAGUAUGAACCCGGAUUAGGUUUGUGCUCUCAAGGAUUUAUAAAUAAGUGCUACUUGACUUAGAUGUAAGAAAAUUGAAAAGCAGAGUUGCUUGAUUGAAUAGCUUCAUAUUUUACAUCACAGAAACUCAAUUUUCAUUGCCAUAUGUAGCUCAAAAGAGCAUGAACAUUGAACAUUCAGCUAAUUUAUACUAAUUAAUUAACACAACUAUCAGUUCUUACUUCUUGGUACCCGGCAACAUCCAUCCAUAAGAGUGAAACCCCCAUUGAUUUCAUAUAUACAAAAUAAAUAACUUACAAAGACAAUACCUGACAAUCACAACAAAAACACCAAUUCACUCCAAUAAACAACAUAACGAAUACAUGGUCUAAAUUGCAAGUCUUGUUACGAUUUUAAUUAAAAGAGAAAAUGCGAAGGACAUGUUAUAUAUAAUUGAAUGUUAUCCUUGAUAAUUAGACAAAAUAACACUAAUGUAGCUAACUAAUCCAAUCAUUGUAAUAAUUGGAUUUUCUUUUUUAAUUAUGUCUAUUGAUGCUAAUUUAAUCAAGAACACUGAAUACUUGAGUGUUUUUAUGUUCAACAACUUUGGCUAAGUUUGAAAAGAUCAUAUUAAUUAUUAAUAUAAAUAAAUAAGCCAACAAGGUACAUAUUACAUAUAUGUGUAGUUGCAAUAAAUACAUAUGUAAUAAAGAUCAUAAAGCUCAGGGCCAUUAAUUCAACAUUACCAAAUCAAUAUCCCAAUAAUGGUUUGAUUACUAAUCUAAGCAUUAAAUGAUCAGCAAACUUUAUUUGGCCAAAACAAAUGCUUCCUUGUUGCCUCCUUGAUCUUUUCCUGGCUGGUGAUUCCUGAAUGUUCUUCUCAUUUUGAUAUGCUGAGUCGUUUGCUGAUUAUAAAUGCUAAUCACCUUAAAUUUUCUUAGUCUUCUUCUUCAUGUGAAAUUCUACCUAAUGGCUAUCCUUUUAUCUGGUUUGAAUUCUUCUUUUUUCUUUGAAUUGUUGAUUUCUAAUGUUCUUGUCAUUCGCACAUGUGGCGUUCUGCACUCUUGCAAUGCCAUUUCUUAUUAUGGCAGCAGCAUUCUUGGUCAUGGCAUCACAAGCAAAUGCUUUUGAAUUGCUUUGUUUGAUUUUUGUUUCUAAUAUUUUUUUUUUUGGCAUUGUGGGAUACUGUUUCUCUUUUGAUUUUCUGUCUUUGUUGUUAUGGGAUUCUGGUAUAGUAUGCAUCAGUACACAUAUGAAGAUGAUGUGAUAAAGUGCUUUUGAUAAAUUGCCCCAGUCAGUUUACUUCACAAACCAACCAUUAAUGAGCAAAUCCUUCUAAUGACCCUUGUACACAUUAGAAUAAAUACAAUUCUAUAUAUACACAAAAAUAAAUAACUCUCAAGUAUAUUAUUUGAUAAUCGCAAAAGCAACAAUUCACUCCAAUAAAUCUCAUAACACACUCAUGUUCUAUGUUGCAAGUCUUUGUAGAGAAAAAAUGAAGGACACACAAUUGAAUUUUUUCUAUAAUAAAGAACUCUAAACAAAUUCAUAUACAUAUUGCAGUACCCCUUACAAAUUCAUUUGUUUCUUCUUUUCCUUUGAUCAAGUGCUAAUUACAGCCUUGAUAUUUCAUUUGGUUUUAGUUAAUUUUCUAUAGGGUUGUGUUGUGUGAAAUUAAUUACAAAACAAUCUUUAACGAAGUCUUAUGAAAAUACCAUAUUAUAACUACAAAGUUAGGCUUCCUAAUCAAGCUACUGUUCAUCAGAUUGUGUAUUGUGUUACUGGUGAGCUCUUAUGUCAAUUAUGACCAGAUGGCGCCUUGGCUAACUGUGAGUUAUGUGCGAACAUAAGAGCUGCAAAUGAGUUAUGUACUAUUUUUAUGUGACAAGGUAUGUGCUCUGUUUUUAUGGUCUUUCUCUCUGUAGUUCCCUCUGUAGUUUUUUUUUUUUUGGGAUACAUUGAUAAUAAAAUUAGAAGUCUACUAAUAUGUACAACCAGAAACCUAUUGGGGACUUUUUGUCUUUUGAUGCAGUUGUAGGGCACAGCUCAAAUAUUCUUUCCUCAUUUAAUAUUGGAGAAAUCCGACUCCCAAGCGAUUCUGUCUACGGUUGUUGGACAAACUGUAAUGUGAAUUUCUAUCUAAUGGGUGUAUCGUCCUUGCAGUCAGUUUGGGAUUGUUGAUAUAGAUAUGAUGUUUAGUCUCCAAAAUUCAGAUGAUGAUAAUGUUGUGAGUACUUUUUGUCAUAUUUUCUUUUGUGUUGGUGUUGGGAUCUUAAUUUUGUAUCCACUGUUAGGACAAUAUGAACCCAUUUUAAGUGAUAUGAUGCAAGUUCAUGUUCAAGAAUCCAUUUAAUGAAACAUUCCAGUGUUUAAUAAUGAGUAAUUGGUUUAAGAUUAAUACCAAAUAUUUUAAGUAACAUGUGGCGUAUUCUAGUGAGAUCCUCCAACUCAGAUUUCUAACUCAAAUGGAAACGUUUCGAAUUUCUUCAGAACAUUCUGCAGAACGGUUCGUCUUGUCUUUACAGUUUCUUUUGUGAAUUUCUCCCAGUUUCUUUUGUGAAGACUUCUGAAUAAGCUUCCAGAUAUUGAGAUACAAUCCAAUCUAAGCCCAUACGUAUAUACGCCUCACAUUUGUCCAUUUCCCCAGAAAAUCAAAAAGCACUUUAGUUCGAAACAAACACUCUAAAAAAAACCAUCUAGCUACCCAGAUGGCGAAAUCAAGAAUCUUGCAAUGGCAAUGCCAUUUCUUGUUAUGGCAGUAGCAUUGAUGAUCAUGGCAUCACAAGCAAAUGCUCUGAUGCCGUACACACGAUCACCUUUCUUUGACGUGAUGUUCCCAAUGACGGAAGAUCCUUUCAGGGUUCUUGAACAAACCCCGUUAACAAUCCCAAAAGGAGCUGAACAUCAUCAAACUCUAGCACUGGCGAGAGCAGACUGAAAGGAGACACCAACAUCACACGUGAUCACACUCGACAUUACAGGGAUGAAGAAAGACGAUGUGAAGAUUGAAGUUGAAGAGAACAGUGUACAGAGAGUGAGUGGGGAGAGGAAGAGUGAUGAUUAUUAUAAGGAGGAAGUUGAAGGAGAAAAAUGACACAGAGCUGAGAGAACAUUUGGCAAGUUUUGGAGGCAGUUUAGGAUGCCUAUGAGUGCUGACUUGGAUCAUGUUAAGGCUCAUUUGGAAAAUGGUUCUAAGGAUCACAGUGCCAAAACUUGCUGAGGGGAAGAAGAGGCAGCCUAAGGUUAUUUAAAUAUUUUUAUUAGUUAUAAUAAGUUAUAAAUUUAUUAAUAAAUUAUAAUGUAAAAAUAAAAAAAUGCUAUUAUUGAAUGAUAAAUUAUUUAUUUAUUAAUUUAUAUUAAUAAUUAUAAUGUAAAAACAAAUAAAAUAAAAAUAUUAUAUUAAAUUAAAAACUAUAUUUAUUUAUUAUUUUAGUAUUAUAAUAAUAAUAAAACAAAAAGCAAAAGUUAAAAGCAAAAGCAAAAAAAAAAAACAAAGCUAAUGUGUCAGUUGAUGCAUUAGCUACAGUGCUUUUAACCCAUGUCAUGUUUCCCCAAACAUGGUACAAGUAUUAACUUAAUGUAAAUAGUAAUUUAAUACCCCCUUAAUACUACAACCAAACACAUUCAAAGAUAUUCAUCUUCUGUCAUAUUAAUGUGUUAGUACGAAGGUUUAUUGGAAUUAUAAUAGUUUAGAUUAAUCCAAAAUAUUCAAUAAUUGAUAAAUAGUAUAUAUAAAUAUUAAUAGCAAUGGCACAUAAUCAAUUAAUUCAAGAACUUGCCCAUAGUGCAUUAAGUUAAAAGAGUAAAAAUAACAUUGCAAUCAGGGAUAUUUAUAACACUGUUGCUGAUGAGGCAGCUGUUAAUUCUUCUGGUGAAGAUGUUAAGACCACUAAAGCUGGAAUGUAAUCAGGGAAAUAUAAUGUAUUCACUUAGUUUGCUAUUUGUGUUUUUUAUAUUUGUUUGGCUAAUUCUUUGCUCAGAUUGCUUUUUUGUUUUUGAGAUUUUAUUGGCUUAGUCGUGGGAUAUUAUUUAAUCUUUUAAUUUUGUGUUUUUAUUGUUAUGGGAUUUGAUGAUGGCAUACAUAUAAGAAAAUUAUGCAAGAAAGUGCUUUUAAUAAAUUAUGGUCACUUUACUAUUAAUUAACCAAAUUUAAUUUACUCAAAUUACUCCUAUACACGAUCAAAAUAAUUUCAAUUCCAUGAUAUAAAUACGCGCAUGCGGACACACAAAAUGUAAGUAACUUUUAAAUACAAAAUAUUUAAAAUAAUCAUCACACUAACAAUUCACAAGUUAGAUUAUAUUAAGGCCACCAAGGCUUAAAUGUAAUUGAUUAAGGAAAGAAGUGCUUGCUUUGCUUGAUGUGCCAUUUGUCUAUGAUGUUUUCUUGAUUUUGUUGUGUGAUGCUUCUCUUUAGAUGUGCUGUUUAUUGUAUUUUGAUGGGUUUUUGAGGAUGGUUGUAUGUAUUAGCAACAACAAGGUGCUUUUUAUAAAAUCCGGGUUCUAAUUUUGUAAAAGAAAUUAAUACUCUCGGUUUAUUGUUAAUAAAAAAGAAAAAAGAAAAAGCCUUUUUUCUUUGGCAUAUAUUAUGCAUUUUAAGAAAGAAAAAAAAUCACAUUCCAAUUCAUGAAAGACAUUCAUUCUGUCAUAUUGAUGUGUUAAUAGAAAGAUUUAUGUGAAUUAUAACAAUUUUGAUGAAUCUAAAUAUUUAAUAACUGAUAAAUUGUAUUUAUAAAUAUUAAUACCGGUGGCACAUAAGCACUUAAUUCAAGAACUCGCCUAUAGUGCAUUAAUUUAAAGAGUAGAAAUAUUUAAUAAAUCAUGCUCGGUUUACUAUUAAUUAAUCAAAUUUAAUUUACUCAAAUAUACUCCUCUACAUGAUCAAAGUAAUUUCAAGUAUACAACACACAAAAAUGUAAAUGACUUUGAAAUAUAAAAUAUUUAAAAUAAUCACCCCGCUAACAAUUCACCAGCAAGAUUAUAAAUA
RNAcentral lists this long non-coding RNA (264068 nucleotides) under Citrus maxima (pomelo). RNAcentral describes it as "long non-coding RNA (CMAX_LNC004142)". The stretch from base 96504 to 96607 matches the Rfam family "Plant small nucleolar RNA R71". The record is from RNAcentral. Lineage: Eukaryota; Viridiplantae; Streptophyta; Magnoliopsida; Sapindales; Rutaceae.